Molecule: long non-coding RNA, 275079 nt
Filed under: Ananas comosus (pineapple)
Lineage: Eukaryota; Viridiplantae; Streptophyta; Magnoliopsida; Poales; Bromeliaceae
Description: long non-coding RNA (ACOM_LNC003862)
Source: RNAcentral
CUCAAAGCACUAUUCACUUCAGUUUGUAGCUCAGGUACAGAUAUUUUUCGCCUGCCCUUCUGAAUGUCCGUUUGAGCUCAAAUUUGGCAGUCAUGCUCGGUUUUACUUAACUUAACGAAAGAAAUUUUAAUGUUUCAAUUUUGACCCCGUUUGGUCACCGAAAGCUCUACCGAACUGUAAUCUCUAGCAGAUAGCAGUUCGAUUUUAUUCUCCACCUUUUGGGUAUCAGAAUGAUAUGAAACUUUAAAUUUAGCCUCAUAAAAAUUAAUUCUGACAUAUACUCCAGUUUUCAUAAUUUUCUGACACUGUGCAUUUUUUGCUAAUUUAUCUGCCCCGUUUCCAACAAAAAAUUUUAAAUCUUCUGUUUUCAUUCCGAUUUCAGCACAAGUCACUUCUGACUUAUGUUUUACUUUUCUAAAUCCGAUAAAAAUAGUAUCUCACACUAUUUUUAUUUAUUUUUUGUCACGCCCCGGAUUACACUUUCCCCGGGCGCGCCGACAGAUCCGCCGUAUACAAAGGAAUUUUUCCCUGUAUACGAAGCGAUUGCUAUACCUGUAAAUCAAACACUACUACGAACAGUAGUAGAGAGCUGCUAGAGAAAACAGAAGCUAAACAAACUGAGUUUCAUAUACAUAGUCCAAAUCCAAAAUACAAAGCUACUCGCACUGGCGAGUUAAGUCCACUAUGUACAUAAACUCGAAACAAAACAUCUACCCGCAGUAGGGUGCCUCAAACUCUGUCAGUCGGGUAGGGCUCUAACUCACGACGCCCUUGCCUCGAUCCUGAUCCGCGGAAGGCGCAGCAACCGAAAUCUGUGGCUCUGCAAAACAGGGGUAACAACUGGGCGUGAGAACUACUGUAAAAACAAGUAGUCCUCAGUGGGUACCGCCCAAAACAACAUCGGUCCACCCACUAAGUCUACAGGAGGGAGCAAGAAUAGUAGGAAAAGCAGGAAACAAACUCAACCGCUACAAAUCACUAUACUAUCAUGCUCUACACUAACCAACUGUAGGAAAUGUCAAAUCUGACCCAAUCCAAUCGGGACUGUAGACAUACCCGUCCCUGGGACUGUGAACACACCCGUCCCUGCCCCGUUGCGACUAUCGGGCUCUAUCCACACUAACUGGUCCGUGGAGAGCAAGUCCAACUGGCAUGAGCGACACCAACGCAAAAGCACAAGCCUGACUCCGGAGUGGCACUCGUGGGCGCUACCCAACCGAGUAUGCAGCGUAUCUCUGUCGAGCUCAAUCAGGCUCCAACUAGCCAAAGUCAAGUAAUCGACUUAAACUGGUCUAACAACCAACAGGUAACGUGCCCUCGGCACAAUCUGACGCCAAAAAGGCGAUACGGUCCACCGUCAACUCUGACGGCACCCAACAGUCCGAAACGGCCUGAACGACCCUGCAAAAAUUCACUCGGCGAACCAGCACGAGUGUAAAUACAUUCUAAACUACCCAAGGUAUCCAUUGCACUGACUCGGCAACGAUACAAUCGAACACGGCUCCUAGAGCUAAAUCUGGUAGUUUAAGCAUAUGACGGGUCAAAACGCAGGUUUUCUCCUAAGUCAAAUUUCAAGUCCAACAUGUAUAAUUUAAAUAUUCAUUUCAGCAUGCUUCUACAUUCAUAUUACAUUCAAAAUGCUAAUCGAUGAAUUAAAGCAUGAUUUACAACACUCGAACUAUACACGUUGACUAACAUGCACUUAGGAGCGAAACCGAUGAAACACCCACCUCUAAUGCAAUUCCUGGCAGCAAUAGGGUCUCGGAUCCUCAAGCAACACUGCUGGAAACCUCUUCAAACCAGCAACAAAGCCCCUUAAGAUCUGGAUUUACAAUGCACCCAAAAAUCCAAUAAAAAUCAUCAAAAUCCACAAUUCAGUCCAAGUACACAGCAGCAGAGAAGAGAAGGGUUUCGACCAAGCUAACCUUCACCAAAAUCCACAAGUAAGGACUUCGUGGAUUCUUCUCGCAGUCCCGAAACCAACGAAUCAAGUCUCGACGAAAUCCGAUGCUCCUACGUCGAGUACGAGCUGAAAUACUAACAGUCGACGAUGAAUUUCAGCAAAACAGCAUUUAAGCUUAAAUAUCUCAAUUCCAAUGUCAAAACUCACCAAACGAACUCCAAAUCAGGUGGAGAGGGUCCCAAUUCCAGUACUGGGUGAUAGGGAAAAUAACUCAACUCCACAAAGCCCCUGCUUCCCAAGUUCACCCCAAGAAAACAUCAAAAAUUGGCAAAUUCUGUCCAAAGCAACAACAGCAGAGGAAAACCUGAGUUCGACUGAGCUAACCUUCACCAAAUUCUGCAAAUUAGGGCUUCGUGGAUUCCUCUGGAAGUCAAGAAUCCAGCAAACCAAGUUUCGUUGAAAUCCGACCUUCCUACGUCACGCACGAGCCAAAACACUGGAGGUCGUCGCUGAAGAACUGCAAAAUCAGCACCUUGCAAUUCUUGGAGAGGUGGAUCUUGAUGCAAAUUGGAAAGAUUUGAGGGAUUUGGGAGUAAAAUCUAAGUCCUCUGUGAAGAACAGGUAAAAGAGCUCAAAGGGGGCGCUUCUCAGCUAUUUAUAGGCUGCUGGAUAGAUCAGAUAAGCCCCAGGAAAAAUAGCCGCAAUCCAGUGCCCCUGCAGAAACGGGCGUUUCUGGGCGCCCGGAACCAUGUUCUGGGCGACCAGAACAUCCGGCCUGCACAAAAUGGGCCCCUCGGACUCUCCGCCCGCGGUGUGCUGCGCCCGUAAACGGCACCGGCGGAACUCACCUACCGCCCUGCCACGCGUCGAAGCAAGCGAUAUUCACGAGGUGAAAUUUCCGGACCCACUUCUGGGCGCCCGGAACAUGGGAUCCGAAUUGGCUUCCAGUUUCAGUUAAAAUCAACACUCGUUUCUGGGCGACCCUAACAAUGUUCUGGGCGCCCGAAUCUGGCAAAACUCCAGUUUUGCUUAUUUGAGUGCGCCGAGUCCAAUUCUGCAUCCAAUUCGUGCAGAAUUGACUCCGACUCAGUCCGACACUCUCCAGAGAUGUCGACCAGUCUAUAAUACUGAAGCCAAUCCUAUCCAAAGCUCAGGAACACUACAUCCUCCCCCACUACAAAAAGUUUCGUCCGCGAAACUGUACACAUACCUCAAUCCAGGGCCUCAAACAGGUAGGGGUAGGACUCCUUCAUCACCGCCUCCGGCUCCCAAGUCGCCUCCCGCUCCUCGUGAUUACUCCACUGCACCUUUACAAAGGGUAUGACCCGGUUGCGCAAUUCCCUCGACUCACGAGCCAGAAUCCGCACCGGUCGCUCCUCGUAGCUCAGGUCCUCGCCAAUCUCAAGCGGAGUGAAGUCGAUCACGUGGGAGGGGUCGAACACAUAUUUCCUCAAAGCCGAGACGUGGAACACAUCAUGAAUGCCGGCUAGCCGUGGUGGUAGAGCAAUCCUGUAAGCAACUGGCCCGACUCGCUCCAAUACCUCGAAAGGGCCUACAAAACGUGGACUGAGCUUUCCACGUACACCAAAUCGGCGAAUCCCUCUGGACGGCGAGACUUUAAGAAAAACAUGAUCUCCCACCUGGAACUCCAAGUCUCGUCUCCGGGUAUCAGCAUAGCUCCUCUGUCGACUCUGGGCUGCUAAUAUGUGCCGUCGCGCCUCUUUUACCUUUUCCUCAGCCUCAAUCAGAAUCUCAGGCCCAAGCGUCCUCCUCUCACCCACAUCACUCCAAAACAAAGGGGAUCGACAUCUGCGUCCAUACAACGCCUCAAACGGAGCCAUCCGGAUGCUCGCUUGAUAGCUGUUGUUGUACGCAAACUCAACCAGUCUCAAAUGCCGAUACCACCCUCCUCCAAAGUCCAAGACACAUGCCCUCAGCAUGUCCUCUAGAGUCUGAAUGGUCCGCUCUGACUGACCAUCUGUCUGUGGGUGAAAUGCUGUGCUGAACUGCAACUGAGUGCCCAAGGCCGUCUGAAGACUCCUCCAGAAGUGCGAUACGAACCUCGGGUCCCGGUCGGAUACUAUCGAAGUGGGCACGCCAUGCAACCUCACUAUCUCAUCCAAGUACAACUGAGCGAGUCUCUCUCUGGACCAAGUGGUCUGCACUGGUAAGAAGUGAGCAGACUUGGUCAGUCUGUCCACUAUCACCCAAAUCGCAUCAAAACCACCCUGUGCUCUCGGCAAUCCGACGACAAAGUCCAUCGUGAUCUGCUCCCAUUUCCACUCGGGCACUGGUAGACUCUGAAGCUUGCCAGCAGGUACCUGAUGCUCGGCCUUUACCUGUUGACAAGUCAGACACUGAGCCACAAAUCUACCAAUGUCCCUCUUCAUUCCAUUCCACCAAAACUGAGCCUUUAAAUCCUUAUACAUUUUGGUUCCACCGGGGUGAACCGUAUAAGGUGAACAGUGAGCCUCUCUCAAGAUGUCCUCUCGGAUCUCUGAAUCCAUAGGUACACACAGUCGGUCCCUGUACCGCAGUACUCCCGAACUGUCCACAACAAAGCCCUCGGCCUGUCCCCUCUCAAGCUGCUCUCGAAUCCUCGACAAGUGUGGAUCCCCACUCUGUUUCUCUCGAAUCCUAUCUAACAGAGUGGGCUGCAAGAUCAUAGACAUCAAUCUCGCAGUAAAUCCAGGGGACACUACCUCGAGUCCCAGCCGUCUCAGCUCCUCGAGUAACGGUCUCUGCCGAGUGAUCAACAUACUCAAGCUCUGCACUGCCUUCCUGCUCAACGCAUCUGCCACCACAUUCGCCUUGCCGGGAUGAUACUGGAUACUGAUGUCAUAAUCCUUCAGCAACUCCAACCACCGGCGCUGUCUCAAAUUCAACUCCUUUUGGGUGAACAGAUACUUGAGACUUUUAUGAUCAGUAAAAAUCUCGCAGUGCUCGCCGUACAAGUAAUGCCGCCAGAGCUUCAAAGCAAAAACCACCGCGGCAAGCUCCAAGUCAUGCGUAGGGUAAUUCUUCUCAUAAUCCUUUAACUGCCGUGAAGCAUAAGCAAUCACCCUACCAUGCUGCAUCAGCACGCAACCAAGUCCACUGUGCGAUGCAUCACUGUAGAUCACAAAUCCUUCGCCCAUAACAGGAAGGGCAAGGAUAGGAGCCGACAUCAACCUCAAUCUCAACUCGUCAAAGCUCCUCUGACAGUCGUCGCUCCAGACAAAACGAAUCCCCUUCCGCGUCAAGCGCGUGAGGGGUGUGGAAAGCUUCGCAAAGCCUUCCACAAACCGACGGUAAUAUCCUGCCAGUCCCAGGAAGCUCCGUACCUCAGUAACCGUCGUCGGUCUAGGCCAAUCUCGAAUCGCCUCAAUCUUCUUCGGGUCCACUGCUACGCCCUCAGCUGAAAUCACGUGGCCCAAGAAAGCAACCUCCCGUAGCCAGAACUCGCACUUCUUUAACUUGGCAUACAACUUCUUCUCGCGCAGAAGCUGUAGCACAAUCCUCAAGUGCUCCUCAUGCUCAGCAUCACUCCGGGAGUAAAUCAGGAUAUCGUCGAUGAAGACUACCACAAACCUAUCCAAGAACGGCUUGAACACUCUGUUCAUCAAAUCCAUGAAUGCGGCAGGGGCAUUCGUCAAUCCAAAAGGCAUCACCGUGAACUCAUAAUGCCCGUACCGAGUCCGAAAAGCCGUCUUGGGAACAUCCUCGGCCCUCACCCUCAGCUGGUGGUAACCUGACUGGAGAUCAAUCUUCGAAAAGACACAAGAUCCUUGCAGCUGAUCGAAUAGAUCAUCAAUGCGCGGCAGAGGAUACUUGUUCUUGAUGGUCACUUUAUUCAGCUCCCGGUAAUCCACACAUAACCUGAGCGAACCAUCCUUCUUCUUUACAAAUAACACCGGCGCUCCCCAAGGCGACACACUGGGUCUCACAAACCCUCUAUCCAUCAGAUCCUGAAGUUGCGCCUUUAGCUCUCUCAGCUCUGCCGGUGCCAUCCUGUAAGGUACCUUUGAGAUUGGUGCAGUUCCAGGAACUACAUCAAUCACAAACUCAAUCUCCCUCUCCGGCGGCAAUGUCGUCAACUCAGGGGGAAACACAUCCGAAAACUCGCGGACUACUGGGAUGUCCUCGAGUCUCGGCGCCGCCGUAGGUACCUCCACAACUGUCGCUAGGAAAGCGAUACACCCACUGCUCAGCAUCUGUCGAGCCCUCGCCGAAGAUAUCCAGGUGGCAAACAGCGUGCUCCUGCAGCCUCUGAAAGUAAACUCCUCCUGGCCUGGCUCGCGGAACGUCACCGUCCUCGCUCCACAGUCGAUCGUAGCAUAGUACCGCGCCAGCCAAUCCAUACCGAGCACUACGUCGAAGUCCUGCAGCUGCCCUAACACCAACAGGUCUGCGGGCAUGAUCCAAGAGUCUAACUGCACCGGACAGGACCAACAACACUCUGUAACCUGCAAGACAUGGUCGGGGAUCUGCACCUCUCGUGCCUGAGACAACGCUCCUAACUCUAGACCAUGCAACAAUGCAAAUGCUCGGCUAACAAAGGAAUGCGAUGCACCGGUAUCAAAAAGAGUGCGAACUCUAAUGCCAGAAAUCAAAGUGAUACCUGCCACCACUCGGUCGGCUGCUGAAGAGUCCUCCACCUGAGCUGCAUAGACCCUGCCACUCGGAGCCUGCUGUCGCCGCUCACUCGACCGCGGCACAGACGAUCUGUCCUCCUGGCGGUAGCUCGGUGCUGCUCCGUAAGACUGCUGUGGUGCUGGUGGUGCCGAAGCUGAUGACGGUGCUGGAGAUGCUGCUCGGGGACAAGCUGCCCUCAUGUGUCCCGGCUGACCACAUCCGUAGCACCUGCCCUCUCUCUGCUCGCACUGCCGAGGCCAGUGUGGUCCCCCGCAGAUCACACACUGUGGCGUCCUCUGAGUCUGCCCCUGCUGACGGGAUCCCCUGGAACGCUGACGCCCCGAAGACCCACGACCCUGAGAACGUGAUCGUGGAGGUCUCGGCGGACGUCUGCUGCUCGACUGCCCUCCGUCAUCUGGAAAGGGGCGCUUCCUGUCCUGACCCUGCCCCACGGCCUGAGUCCUCUCCUGCAGCGACACCUCACCUCUCUCCACCCAUAGGGCCUGCUCUAUGGACGCAUCCAGGGUCCUCGACCUCUGCGCCCGCACUAACCUGAAGAUGUCCGGUCUCAGCCCCUGCUCGAACAUGUAUACUCUGUGCGCCUCGUCUCUGGCCGCAAAUGGUACACAGUUCAGGAGUCGAGUAAACUCCCGAACGUACUCCUGCACUGGGCGAUCUCCCUGCUGAAGCCUCCUCAAAUCCUCCUCGAGCUUCUGCUUCACACUGUUGGGAAAGAACAUCCCAAACAGCAUUCCACAGAACUCGUCCCAACUCAGCUGCGCCGCCACUAGCCCCUGGUCUCGCCUCGUCCUCCGCCACCAGUCAUGAGCAUCACCUGCUAGACAGUGUACUCCCAGGGGUACCUGCUCCCCCUCUGGAACGAACAGAUCCUCGAAUAACUUCUCCAUCGCACUGACCCAUCCCUCAACAAUCCAGGCCUCAGUGCCUCUGCCAUCGAAGAUCGGUGGAUCAAAUCGGCGAAAACGAGCUAACCUCUCCGUCCACCGCUCCUGCUCGGCCUCAGUCAACGGUACUGGCCCCCUAGCAGGCGCAACUGGCGCUACUGGAACUGCUGCCGAUGGAGGAACUGCUGCAGCUGGUGCUGUCACUGGAGUAGUCGGGGGUGGAACUGGCGACUCUGGUGCCCUCGGUACAGAACUCGGUGGCUGAGCUAUCCUCUCACACAACCUCUGCAAUAGCUCCCCCUGCUGUCUCGUCACCUCGGUCAGGGCAGCUAACUGUGCACUCAGAUCAGGGGGUGCGCUAGUCUCUGGUCGCGCACUCGGCUCCACAACAGGGGGUACACUCGCCCCCAGUCUGUCACCCUGCUCCUGCCGAGUACUCUGCUCCAUCUGCUCAGAUCUCUCAGAAGGUCCAGCAUGAUCCCGCGCCAACUGGGCACGCUCCCGCAACGACGGUCGACCUCGGCGACGAUACAUAGCUGAAAGGAACAAAUCGGGGUCAGAUACAACAAAACACUCUCGACCCAAUCAAACGAAAGUCUAGAAGGCGGUCCCUGUUUCCCUCCAAAAUUAUGUCGUCUGCAGCCAACAUAAUUUCUCAGGCCGAAACAGAAACUCCUUCAGUCACUCACUCUGCUCUAAGAGGAGUUAGAACAAAUAAUCAUUGACUUUCGCAAUAAAAUUACGCCUCUCACGUCUUGCUUCCCUAAGGUUUGCCAAACUUAGGUUUCCUAGGUCCCCACGACCUACAGCAAAGCUCUGAUACCAACUUAAUCUGUCACGCCCCGGAUUACACUUUCCCCGGGCACGCCGACAAAUCCGCCGUAUACAAAGGAAUUUUCCCUGUAUACGAAGCGAUAGCUGUACCUGUAAAUCAAACACUACUACGAACAGUAGUAGAGAGCUGCUAGAGAAAACAGAAGCUAAACAAACUGAGUUUCAUAUACAUAGUCCAAAUCCAAAAUACAAAGCUACUCGCACUGGCGAGUUAAGUCCACUAUGUACAUAAACUCGAAACAAAACAUCUACCUGCAGUAGGGGCACCUCUAGCUCAGCACGUCGGGUAGGGCUCUAACUCGCGACGCCCUUACCUCGAUCCUGAUCCGCGGAAGGCGCAGCAGCCGAAACCUGUGGCUCUGCAAAACGGGGGUAACAACUGGGCGUGAGAACUACUAUAAAAACAAGUAGUCCUCAGUGGGUACCGCCCAAAACAACAUCGGUCCACCCACUAAGUCUACAGGAGGGAGCAAGAAUAGUAGGAAAAGCAGGAAACAAACUCAACCGCUACAAAUCACUAUACUAUCAUGCUCUACACUAACCAACUGUAGGAAAUGUCAAAUCUGACCCAAUCCAAUCGGGACUGUAGACAUACCCGUCCCUGGGACUGUGAACACACCCGUCCCUGCCCCGUUGCGACUAUCGGGCUCUAUCCACACUAACUGGUCCGUGGAGAGCAAGUCCAACUGGCAUGAGCGACACCAACGCAAAAGCACAAGCCUGACUCCGGAGUGGCACUCGUGGGCGCUACCCAACCGAGUAUGCAGCGUAUCUCUGUCGAGCUCAAUCAGGCUCCAACUAGCCAAAGUCAAGUAAUCGACUUAAACUGGUCUAACAACCAACAGGUAACGUGCCCUCGGCACAAUCUGACGCCAAAAAGGCGAUACGGUCCACCGUCAACUCUGACGGCACCCAACAGUCCGAAACGGCCUGAACGACCCUGCAAAAAUUCACUCGGCGAACCAGCACGAGUGUAAAUACAUUCUAAACUACCCAAGGUAUCCAUUGCACUGACUCGGCAACGAUACAAUCGAACACGGCUCCUAGAGCUAAAUCUGGUAGUUUAAGCAUAUGACGGGUCAAAACGCAGGUUUUCUCCUAAGUCAAAUUUCAAGUCCAACAUGUAUAAUUUAAAUAUUCAUUUCAGCAUGCUUCUACAUUCAUAUUACAUUCAAAAUGCUAAUCGAUGAAUUAAAGCAUGAUUUACAACACUCGAACUAUACACGUUGACUAACAUGCACUUAGGAGCGAAACCGAUGAAACACCCACCUCUAAUGCAAUUCCUGGCAGCAAUAGGGUCUCGGAUCCUCAAGCAACACUGCUGGAAACCUCUUCAAACCAGCAACAAAGCCCCUUAAGAUCUGGAUUUACAAUGCACCCAAAAAUCCAAUAAAAAUCAUCAAAAUCCACAAUUCAGUCCAAGUACACAGCAGCAGAGAAGAGAAGGGUUUCGACCAAGCUAACCUUCACCAAAAUCCACAAGUAAGGACUUCGUGGAUUCUUCUCGCAGUCCCGAAACCAACGAAUCAAGUCUCGACGAAAUCCGAUGCUCCUACGUCGAGUACGAGCUGAAAUACUAACAGUCGACGAUGAAUUUCAGCAAAACAGCAUUUAAGCUUAAAUAUCUCAAUUCCAAUGUCAAAACUCACCAAACGAACUCCAAAUCAGGUGGAGAGGGUCCCAAUUCCAGUACUGGGUGAUAGGGAAAAUAACUCAACUCCACAAAGCCCCUGCUUCCCAAGUUCACCCCAAGAAAACAUCAAAAAUUGGCAAAUUCUGUCCAAAGCAACAACAGCAGAGGAAAACCUGAGUUCGACUGAGCUAACCUUCACCAAAUUCUGCAAAUUAGGGCUUCGUGGAUUCCUCUGGAAGUCAAGAAUCCAGCAAACCAAGUUUCGUUGAAAUCCGACCUUCCUACGUCACGCACGAGCCAAAACACUGGAGGUCGUCGCUGAAGAACUGCAAAAUCAGCACCUUGCAAUUCUUGGAGAGGUGGAUCUUGAUGCAAAUUGGAAAGAUUUGAGGGAUUUGGGAGUAAAAUCUAAGUCCUCUGUGAAGAACAGGUAAAAGAGCUCAAAGGGGGCGCUUCUCAGCUAUUUAUAGGCUGCUGGAUAGAUCAGAUAAGCCCCAGGAAAAAUAGCCGCAAUCCAGUGCCCCUGCAGAAACGGGCGUUUCUGGGCGCCCGGAACCAUGUUCUGGGCGACCAGAACAUCCGGCCUGCACAAAAUGGGCCCCUCGGACUCUCCGCCCGCGGUGUGCUGCGCCCGUAAACGGCUCCGGCGGAACUCACCUACCGCCCUGCCACGCGUCGAAGCAAGCGAUAUUCACGAUGUCGAAUUUCCGGACCCACAUCUGGGCGCCCGGAACAUGGGAUCCGAAUUGGCUUCCAGUUUCAGUUAAAUUCAACACUCGUUUCUGGGCGACCCUAACAAUGUUCUGGGCGCCCGAAUCUGGCAAAACUCCAAUUUUGCUUAUUUGAGUACGCCGAGUCCAAUUCUACAUCCAAUUCGUGCAGAAUUGACUCCGACUCAGUCCGACACUCUCCAGAGAUGUCGACCAGUCUAUAAUACUGAAGCCAAUCCUAUCCAAAGCUCAGGAACACUACAUUUUUAUUUUUAUACCAAAAUCUGGUAUGUUAAAACUAUACUACCACUAUCCAAAUCAUGCUCUUUGUAGACAUAGAAAUGCAUCACUAGCUACAAAUCAACCACACUGACCUAAUCUCAACAGACCGCCAACUGGCCAGUCCAGCCUGUGCCCAAACUAUACUACACACUACCCACGGGGGUGGCCGGUCCAAGAAAACUACCCAAACAGGACUGCUGCGACGUCAACGCAAGAAAAGCCUCACUCCGGAGCGGCACUCGUGGAAGCGACCCAACCGAAUAUGCAAACGUGUCUCUGUCGAGCUCAAUCAGGCUAACUGUCACAUCCCGCAACCGCCACUUUGGUCGGUUCGGGCGUGUCGACAGACGCCGAACGGACAGAGUUUUUCCUGGCUACCCAAGGCUAAACAACAACAAUCAUGUACAUCUAGUUGCCCGGGUAAACAUAAACAAUGUACAUGAACAAUACGAGUAUAAUACAAGCGAGAGUAAGAGAGAAACUAGCUAUUACAUUAACAUUCAACCAUUUUUACAUGUUUCCACCAACAUACAUACAUUGGUUUAUAAUUCUUCUUAUAAUAUAUGUACAUCCAUAACAACCUCACCCAAAAGUACAUCAAGUCUCUCAACCAAUAUACAACAUCUCUCAAAAUGGUACAUGACUCUAAUGCAUAGGAGGUUACUACCUAGGGCGCUAUGCCCUUAUCGCGGUCCUCGAUCGGUCCCCUCUUGCUCGGCCCUGCAACAAAGUGGGAUGAGAACUAAUAAUAGUUCCCAGUGGGUUCGGCUACCGACGCCGCCAAUUUUUUCACUAGGUCUAAGCAGGCAAAAGUAGAAAGGGUUAGCAAUAUACAAAUAUCUAGCAUGCUACUAUGCCUCAGCAAUAUGAAACAAUAAAUAGAUAUGGUAAAUAGUAAACCGGUAAUAGCAACUACUAUGCUCAUGAUGCAUGCCAUUUUUAUUUCAUAACCUAAUCAUUCCAGCUAACCCGAAGGUUGAGCCCCGACUCACAGCCGAAUCCCGCAACGUGAGGAGACGUCCGCUAUACUCACCCGGGACUGUCUGCGGGAUAGCUACGUUAACCCCUACCGUGAAGUACUCCGGAGACCACUGCUUGGCUGGAGCGACCACCGCCAAGCAAAACAGAUGUAUGUGAACAUGAUCCAAUCCUCUAACCCGAAGAUACCCUACCAACUAGUGGUAACCAAGUCCGAAAAAAUACCAAUCCCAAUCCUCAUAUCCUGAGUGAUCACGAUUCUCUAACCAAUGCCACAAUGUCACAAUGUCUCUACCUAAUGCCACAAUGUCUCUGGCUAAUGCUACAAUGUCACAAUGUCUCUACCUAAUGCCACAAUGUCACAAUGUCUCAUUGUCUUGUCGAAUGCCACUUUUGAUGCCACAUGUUCCAAGUUCUCAUUUUCAUGCCGCUAUAGAGUUCUUUGUUCACACCCAAUCCUCAUGCACAUAACACUAUGUUCCUUCUCAUAUUUCCACAAAUACCAUGAGAGCAUGCAAGGAAUGGAACAACCAACAAGCUACUCUACAAUGCAUGAAUGCUAAACAUGAACAUAUAUGGCCAAUGAAGUAACAUAGACAUAAAAGAAAAUCCGGAUGUUCCGGAUAGCACCCCCCACCUCUAAACACUGCCGAGGUGCGAGAAUCCUAAGCUCAUAAUUUUUAGACGUCGCUUCAGUUCGACACAACGGAAACGAAGCGAAAACGGUACUUUCUCUCGAGAACUUGCCACACACCCGUAGGAACUCCGGUUUGAGUUGCUCACCGUGUCGGUUUAACCUUCAAUUAGGUUUCCAUAAGAUUAAUUUACAUCUAACCCAAGCUCAUGGCAAAACCCCAUUUUGAAACCCUAAAAUCCACUAUAGCUAGAAUACACUAAACAAACUCAUGAUUCAAGCAAUAGACAAUUUAGCAUCAUCUAAGGUUUCCAUUUACAUCAAUUCUAAGGGAUUUAAACCAAACCUUAGCUAUCUACCAUUAGAGGUCAAGAAGCUUACCUAAAAUAAGCUUCCCUCUCAAGCUAAGGAAGAAGAAGAGGAAGAAGCUUCACCUCCAAGCACCACUCCACCAACUUCUCCUCUUGGUCUAACCCUAGGAGAGAGAGAGAGAGACUUCUUAGAGAGAGAGAGAGAGAGAAACCUUUUCUCUUAGGUUUUGGUCAAGUGAGGGGGAAAUGAGAGAGAUGAAAGAAGCCCCACUUAUAUACACCCUAUAUAUAUACAAUUGCACCCAACACCUCACACUUUACAAGCUGCCCUCACUGGGCAGUUUUCGGCUAUGGGGUGCGGACCCUGCACAGGGUCCAGACCCCAUAAGCACCCCAAAUGCGAAAAUUUUAGAAAAUUUUCCCAAGUGCUCACCAAGGCCCCUUACACCCUCAUGAGCCAUUGCAAGCCUUCGGAAUGCACAACGAACUUUUCUGAAGCCUUCCGAAGUGUUCAACACCGUACUUUGGUCAAUUUCGACCAAAGUUUGGUUUCGUACGUCGAGGAUCCAUUACCUUUCACUAACAAAGGCUAUAGUCAAUAUAAUAGGUCAAACUGGUCUAACAACCAAGGCUCACAUGCCCUUGGCAUAAUCUGGUACAAGAUGUAAGAAUCUGGGUCCACCAUCAGCCCCGACGGCACCCGACAGUACAAAACAAUCUAACACUGCUGUAAAAACGAGCUUAGCCCCUAAGCACGAGGGUAAUCUCAACCUACACUAGUCUAAGUGUCCACGACGUACUAACAGCGGUGAUACAAAAGGUAAAUCAGCUCCUAAAGCUAAAUAUGUUAACUUUUCGAAAAGUGCCAGGUAUAGGUUUAAUAAGUUUUCUCCUAAAUCAAAUUCCAGUUCAGUAGAUAAUAAUCAUUAUAAAUUAACUAAGAAUGCUCCAAAAUUUAGAUUUCAUUUAUAACAUGCAAAUCUACAGUUUGAGCUAUUAAACCGGAUGAUUAUACGCAAAACUAUACAUGCUGGAGUUUCACAAACUUAUGAGGAAUUCCGAAGGCUUCGGAUAACAUUAACCCACCUUAAACGCGACUCCAACAAAGGCAAGAAGUCGCUAGAGAAGACCCUGGAAAAGAUCUACCUCAAAACAGGCUAAAUCAGGUUGCUGUCAAGUUCUGGACCCUCCUGUGCCAACUUCUGGGCGCCCAGAACAGCAAGUUGGCAGCUACAACCUACACAAGUUCAACACGGAAUUAAAUCCAAUUCUGAAGUCCAAAAGCAGUGAAACUUCACCCAACUCACCUCUAAAUGCUCAAGAAUAAUCCUCCAGGUUCCUCACCAAAUUCAAGCUCAAAAAGGUCACCAAAAAGCCUUCACACCAAUUCGGACUAAUUUCUGGAUGCUCAGAAUCUGCAUCCAGAAUUUCAGCACUUAAGCAAUUUUGCAACUCAACUCAAAUCUGAGGAUUAAUUCUAGCUUAUAAAACCAAUGGAGUUGGGUCACAAACCUCCCAAAUGAAAUAGAGAAUCAAUCCAAAUCCAUCCAUAAGCCUUCCAUAAAAAUCUGGAUUUAAAAUUACAAGAUUUUACAUUAAAACCUCAAAAUCAGCAUAUAUAAGCUCAUUUAUCCAAAUCUGAGCUAAAACUCACCUCUCACAUCUCGAAUUCAGGUGGGGAAAGCUUCAAAACCAGUAGAGGAUGAUGGAAAACCAAUUUCCGCAUCAAAAAUCCAGCUCUCAAAGCAUUCGGAUCCAAAAACAUCAAGAAAACCUCAAUUUCAGCUCAAGAACACUAAAAUCUCAAGAAAACAGCAAUUUGAUCAUACUAACCUCAAUUACAUGCUGUUAAAUUGGUUCCACACACUCUCCCACAUGUCCACAAUCCUCCAAAUCAAGUUUCACAGGAUUUGGAUGCUUCUACGCCGCACAUGAGCCAAAUAUCUAAAGGUUGCUGCUGGAAUCCUGCUGAAUUUUCAAGUCCUCAAUGCCAAAAGUGAAAUUUUGAAGAUGUGGAGGGGCUAGAAUGCAAAAUUACAUGCUCCCUGUGAAGAAGAGGUGAAAAGGGUUCACUGAGGUCAUCCACAGCUUUUUAUAGAAGUAGGAGUUAAGUGUAAUAGGUCUCAAGAACAAACACUGCUAACCUGUCUCUCUACAGGAAAACCAAGUUUUGGGUGCCCUAAACCCAGUUCUGGGCACCCAGAACUUCUAGCCUGCACAAUUCUGUCCUCGAGUUCUUCGUCCAGCGAUCUGGUGUGUCCUAAAAUGGUCCGGCAGAUCUCACCUACCACACCCACGUGUCAACACAAUCAAUAUUUACGAAGUGAACUUUCGGAUCUAGUUUCCGGGUGCCCUAAACAUGGUCCGAAAUGACUCCAAAAUCUAAUACAAAACAGCACUCAAGAGUAUGAAUGGCUCGUCGAUUCGGAAGCUAUGUAAUGGAGUGGGUCGUCGAUUCGAAAGCUCCAUCAUUGAAAACAACUCAUGAGUAUGAAGGGCUCUAUACUCAUAAGAGUAUAGUAGCCCUACUAUAUAUAUGUAUAUAUACAGUGUAGAGCUAUGCUAACGGAAGUAUAAAGGACUUAGUAUUUUCGACUUUUUGGCCCUUGGAUCAAGGAUUGAAUGGUUAGGACAAUUCGGUCCUCCCAGGGUUGAGUGGUCCCCUUAAGGUUGAGUGGUCUCCACAAGGUAAUAAUAUUAAUCCAAAUGUUAGAACUGAUCAAAAAGGUUGAUCUAAGGGCCAAAAAGUCGGAAGCAUAAGAUCCUCUAUACUUCCGAUAGCAUAAUAGCUCUACUAUAUAUAUAUAUAUAUAUAUAUAUAUAUAUAGAAAGAUAGAGAGAGAGAGAGAGAGCUAGGCUAGUAUACCAUCGGUAGCACGAAGCCCUCCGUACUACCAAUUAAGUUGUUUUCAAUUAUACGGCUUCCAAAUCGACGAUCGAUUUCGUUAGACUUGAUAUACACUAUUAAAAGUGUUUAGAAACUAAAUUUUAUAAUUUUUCGACAUCAUUUUGCUAGUGAUCAUAAGGUCUCAAAAUUGACAAUUUUAAGGAUUGAUGUGAUGCAUUUGUAAAUUUAACGAUGUAAAACAAUUCAAAUUUGAUAAAAUUUUUAUAGAAUUCUUUUUUACUAUUUAGAGUAAGAUUAGUACCUUUGAUCGUAAAUUCAAGUUUUUUAUCAUUAUUAUUUAUAAAAUUUUUAUUUUCAGCCAUUCAUUUUUAGACUACUCGUUUGAUUGGUAAAUGAUGUCCAAAAAUUAUGAAAUUUAGUUUUCAAAUACUUUUAAUUGUGUAGAUGUGACACCCCAGUAGUCCCACAUCGGAUGGGAAAGGGGUUGUCAUUGGGUUGAUAAGAGACUUAGACACUAGUAAUAAUAACUGGGCUUAAGCAUUUUGGGCUGUGGUUGGGCCCAACGAGUUAUUAUUGCUAGUGGGCUGGAUCGUUAUAUUUGGUAUCAGAGCCGGUUCACCAGCUGGACAUGUGUGGCGAGUCUCGGCUGAGUCAGGGUCUGAAUGACGGGCUAGCGAGACGAGUCUCACAUCGCCUGGUGAUCUUGGGCUGUGUGUGUGUUUGGACUGACGAGGACGUCAGGGCCUUAACGGGGGGAGUCUGUGACACCCCAGUAGUCCCACAUCGGAUCGGAAAGGGAUUGUCAUUGGGUUGAUAAGAGACUUAGACACUAGUAAUAAUAACUAGGCUUAAGCAUUUUGGGCUGUGGUUGGGCCCAACGAGUUAUUAUUGCUAGUGGGCUGGAUCGUUAUAGUAGAUAAAGUCUAAUGGCGGACCAAUCUUGAUUUCAAAACUAAAUCAGUUGAAAAACAAUCUUGUAUGCACGAAUGCUCGGUAUGCUGAUAUAUACCAGUCUAGUCUCUUUCUCUCGCUCUCUCUCUCUUCUCUGUCUCUUAUAUAUAUUAACAUAAUGAUAUAUAUAAUAAUAUAUAUAUCAAUGUAGUAAUAUAUAUAUAUAAUAUCUAUUGACUAAUAUAUAUAUAGGGCUUCUUUUGCAUUUGGUCUCCUCGAAAAAUUUAUUUUAAAAAUAGCCCAGCAAAUUUAUAUUUGCAAAAAUGACCAUAAUCCUAUCACGUAGGCGCCACGUGAGCAGAGCUGGGCCUGGUUUGUUAAGUUGAACAUGGUGAACCAUUCACCUUGUUUAAACACGGUGAAUAGUUCACUGUGUGUAAACACGGUGAAUGGUUCACCGUGUUUGGAAAAAAUACAAAUAUACAUAUUGCGAAAAAAUAUAAGAAAAAUAUAAGUACGGAACACGAUGAAUCAUUCACCAUAUUUGAAUACGGUGAAUGGUUCACCGUGUCUAGAAAAACUAUAUGUAUUGCGAAAAAAUAUAAAUAUUGAAAAUAGGGAAGAAGGGGAAUAUAAGUAUAGAACACGAUGAACCAUUCACCGUAUUUGAACACGGUGAAUGAUUCACCGUGUUCAACUUAACACCCCUCUAGCUUGCAUGGCGCUGAUGUGGCGCCUGGUUGGCGGGGAUAUGACCAAAUUUGCAAUUAUAAAUUUGAUGGGACUAUUUGUAAAAAAAAAAUUUUGAGGGGCCAAAUGCAAAAAAACCCAUAUAUAUAUAUAUAUAUAGAGAGAGAGAGAGAGAGAGAGAGAGAGAGAGAGAGAGAGAGAGAGAACUAGGCUGGAAUGUUAUUAAUAGCACCAAACUAUUGGUGCUAUUAGAUUUCGGCCUUUGGAUGAAAAAAUGUACAGUUAGGAUGAUAUGGNNNNNNNNNNNNNNNNNNNNNNNNNNNNNNNNNNNNNNNNNNNNNNNNNNNNNNNNNNNNNNNNNNNNNNNNNNNNNNNNNNNNNNNNNNNNNNNNNNNNNNNNNNNNNNNNNNNNNNNNNNNNNNNNNNNNNNNNNNNNNNNNNNNNNNNNNNNNNNNNNNNNNNNNNNNNNNNNNNNNNNNNNNNNNNNNNNNNNNNNNNNNNNNNNNNNNNNNNNNNNNNNNNNNNNNNNNNNNNNNNNNNNNNNNNNNNNNNNNNNNNNNNNNNNNNNNNNNNNNNNNNNNNNNNNNNNNNNNNNNNNNNNNNNNNNNNNNNNNNNNNNNNNNNNNNNNNNNNNNNNNNNNNNNNNNNNNNNNNNNNNNNNNNNNNNNNNNNNNNNNNNNNNNNNNNNNNNNNNNNNNNNNNNNNNNNNNNNNNNNNNNNNNNNNNNNNNNNNNNNNNNNNNNNNNNNNNNNNNNNNNNNNNNNNNNNNNNNNNNNNNNNNNNNNNNNNNNNNNNNNNNNNNNNNNNNNNNNNNNNNNNNNNNNNNNNAUCCACUGUAAUAAAAAAAUUAAUUGUUAAUUUAAAUUUGAUAUCAAAAAUUAAAUUAAAUUCAUGAUUUAAACUCAAAUUUAAAUUUUAAUGUAAAAUAGAUGGAUAGAAAUGCUAUUUUUUAACAGAUUGAUUAUAACUGUUCAUUUUUAUUUGAAAUAUUUUUAACGAAUUGAUCAUAACUGUUCGUGGAAUUAGAUUUAUAGAUGGAUAUAAAUGUUAUUUUUUAACAGAUUGAUUAUAACUGUUUGUUCAUUCUUAUUUGAGAUAUUUUUUAAUAAACUGUCUGUCAUUGUAGGAAUUUCUAUACGUUUUUAUAUGUAGUAUAGAUAUAGAUAUAUUAAUAUUUUAAUAACAUAUAAUUAUAAAAUACUGAUUUCUAGAUCAAAUUAAGUAUAUAUGAAUUUUCAAAUUUUAUUUUUUAUAAAACUAAUCUGUGCUAAUAGAAAAUAAAAUAAGAUCAGUUGAUUUUAAGCCGUCAGAUUUUAAUAUAAAUUGAUAACAAAAUCCGAUCGCUUUGAAAACCGGACUGAUUCACUAGUUUAAUGGUUGAACUGCCGAUUCCAACCGAUCAAAGCGAUUUUUUAGCUUUUGUGAUCCAAAUUAUUAAACCGGACUAUUUUACAAACUAGAUUAUGAUCAGAUCGGUUGAACUAGCUGCUUCGAGCCGAUUUAUAAAUCACUGUAAAAAUCUAUAUGAGGGUUGAUUCAGUAGGACUCUAAUAAAGUAAGAGGGCGGAUCCAAGUCGACUUCUCUAAAAUAUCUCCUCAUAUAUUUUUUUUGUUUUGAUCCAAAGUCGAAUUGUUGGUUGAUUUGUAAUUUUGUUGUUCUCAUUUUCGUAUCUUUUAGCUUUUUGUGAUGUAUAAAAAAAAAAAAAAAAAAAAAAAAAAAAAAAAAAAAAAAAUUGUUGCUAAGGAAAGUUAUUAUACAAGUUGACUCUACCUACUAAAUUAUGUACUGCACUUUUGGGUUUUUUCCAUUCGCCUUUUGGGUGUAUUCGUGGAUGUUUAGUAUGCAAGAAUUUUAUUCUGAUUUCAAAUUUCAGAUAUAUAAUGUGUUUUCCAAUCAUCUAUUUUUCUAAUCCGGUCAAAAAAGUCGAAUUUAAAACUAAACUUGAACGGCAUAAAAGCUUAUUUUGAAAAUAUCAUAAUUAUAAGAACUAGAUUACUAUACUAUCAAUAGCACCAAAUUAUUAGUGCUAUUAAAUUUUCGAUCCUCGGAUAAAGGGAUGUACUGUUAGGAUGAUAAUGAUCUCUUAGGAUUGAGCGGGUGAUUAGUUGAAUAAUAUAAUCUAAUGAAUGAAAAUGAUCGCAAAGGUAGAUCUAACGACGGAAAGUUUGAUAACAUGAAGCACUUGGUAUUAUUAAUAGCAUAAUAUCCGUACUCCUAAUUAUAAUUUAUAUAUUUGAUUUGAAAUUAAAUUUAGCUAUUAAACUUUAAUUUUUAAUUAAAGUUGAAAGUCUAAUUUAUAAUUGAUUUUUAAUUUAAAUUUUUUAUUUGAACAAUCAAGCAUUUUGAAUUUGAGUUAUUUAAACUUAAAAAUUUAUUUUAUAAUUUGAAUUUUUAUUUGAACAAUCAAGCAUUUGGAAUUUGAGCUAUUAAAUUAAAAUUUUUAAUUCAAAUUUUAUGUUAAAAAUUUAAAAAUUUUGAUUUUUUAAAAAUAUAUUUAAAUAGACUUAUCGUUUUAAAAUAGUGAUGCUAACAUUUAAUAUUUAAGUUUUAAUUUUAAGUAUAAAUUGUAGAUUUAACUCUAUGCUUAGAGUUGCGAACUCAAUUUUUUAUUUAGUUUUAGGGUUAAUAACAUAGAAAUUUUCUGUAAACAUAGCGAAUUGUAAAUAUAUCCCUAUAAAGUUCAACUUUCUUAUUUUAUCCCUACAAAAGGCCUAAAGUUUUCAAAUAUUUCUCUGCCGUUAGGAUUCGAUAGAAAAAUUUAGUUAUCUAUAGGUUAAAUACUUAACCCUAGUUAGUUAAUAAGGUAACUUGAUAUUUUUAUACCUCUUAUAUAUACCUUCUUCUCUCAACCAAAACCCUAGCGAUGGGAUUUUUUUCUCUUCCUUUAUACUAGUUUUGAAUCCAUAACUAGAAUUUCUCCAUCUCCAUUCAACCAUGACGCGUGUUGUUUCGCCUAUAUAAAUCGCGUAUUACUUUUUCAUUCAAUUUUUUCUACGACUUCUUUUUUAUUUUGCUCAAAAGAAAAGGUUAAGGAAAAAAGGAGCGAGAAAAGAGGUUGCACGAUUAUAACUGUUGGGUCUUUUGGAGGAAUAUAUUUGUGAUGACAAAAUUGACAUUUCACUAUUAAAAAAUAAAUAAUUCUUUAACGGUAAUAAAUCAGAGAGACAAAUAUAAAUAUCACUGAAUUUUUACAGGAAUAACAUGAAAAAAUAAACUUUGUAAGGAUAUAUUUGCAAUUCGCUAUAUUUACAGAAAGCUGUAUGCAAUUAACCCUUAAUUUUGUAUUAACAUUUAAUUAUUUUUUUUAUAGUCAAUAUUUUUUCAUUCCAACCGAACAGUGAAGAUAGGAAUCAAUUAUUCCGAUUCCAAUUAUUAUUCUAAACAAAACAUAGAAAUAUUUUACAAUUCUAUUUCUGAUUCCAAUCCAUUCCGAUUUUGAAUUCUAUUUUGAAUCAAACGUUAGGCCAGAUGAAAAUACUCCGAACCAAACGGGUCCACAACACUUUCACUUAAAAGCACUAUAAAAUCCGCGCUAGGGCUAAACACUAUCUUUCUUAUUCCAUCUUACCUAACCAAACGCUAUUUUUUUUAUUCUCAGGAAUAAUCCAAUUUUCAUCCAAACGCAAAAUUGAUUUAAUCCCCGCUCAUACCUCAAUUUAUACCUAUCCCUUGAAUAGCUACUUUUUUCUUAUCCUCGAACCAAAAAAUACCUAUAUGGUUAAAACCGCAUCACCGGACCACAUUGAUCUAAUUCGAUCAAUAAGAUUCAAUUUAAUCAAUUUUUGUUUACUAAAAAGUUGAAUUAUGUGUUAUCUUUUAAAAUAUUCUGAAAAAUAAAAUAAAAUAAAAUAUUCUACUUGAUCUAACAAAAUAUUUGUUAUUAUUUCCUCUCAACUCUUUUAAUAUAAAUUAAUUUUAAAUAUAAAUAUUUUUCGAACAAAUCUAAAUGGUUGCCUAUAUUAUAAUCCUAAAGGCUAAAGGCCCAACUUAAAAAGACCCAAAUUGAUCAAACCGACCGAAUCGAAUGGGUCAGUUCGGUUUAGAAAACGAUAAAAUCAAAAAAAUUCAAUUAGAUCCAACAUUCUGAAGGAUCAAAUGGGCUCGGCUCGAACCACUUUAAAUUCAGCUACAACCUGAAAUUGCUAAGUAACAAAUUAAAUUCAAAAUUUAUUCGUUAUAAUUAAAAUUUAUUAUUGGAUAAAAUCUAACCCAUUCCAUCCAAACCGAUCGAACCGACCGAAUGCUCUCCCCUAACAACACCGGAAAUUUGUACCAACCAAGUUAUAGGUAAAAAAAAAAAAACAAAAACAAAAAGCGAAAAGUGAAAAAUAUAUAUAAGAAUGAGCAAAGCAAUUGCAAGAAAAGCUUUUGUACACCCUUAUUAUUGCUCUCCCCCAAACCAUCUGAAAUUUGUCCAAAUGCACAUGUUCUCACAAGGUAAAGAUUAAAAACUGUACAUAUGUUCAUUUUUUAUGACCUAAGAGGCCCUAAGAACCUUAAACUGAUCAGACUCAACCCGAACUCGACCUGACUACACUCUUCAGACAAAAUCGGUUCAAUGCGACCGGCGCGACGAGCCCCGGCCCAGCCAAACAGAGACCCUUCCAAAGGGUUGCUUACCCUUGAAAAUAUUGGUGUUAUUGCUACUGUGAGAUGAUAUCAUCUCCGAUUGCUGCAGUAUUUCCCACAUUACCUGCACAUCCUGAUACUCGCAAGUUUGAACGUCGUUGUGAAGCUUUAGAAUCCCACUACCUGCGACAAUUACAUGACAAAUGAGAAAGAUGGUUAGUUUCCAUGCAAAAAAAGUAAUUAAAAUUCUAUUGAGUCAACUUUUUUUUUUUUUUUUUUUUUUUUUUUUUUUUUUUUUUUUUGUAACUCCAAACGUUGAAUCGAAUCGUUGUUACUUCACUGCUUUAAGAUGAAAAUGAAAUCAAUUGAGUUGUAAUUUGAACACCGAUGGUUGUUGGGACCUGGAUCAGUUAUUAGGGAUCUAAAUAGUUGCAUUGUUUUGUUUCAAAUUUAGAAUUAAAAUUCAAAGUAGGAUCUAAAUGGUUAUGCUGAUCGUUUGAUUAUGGAUUCUGACUUGGGUCUACUAAUAUCGAAAAUGAUAAAAAAAAAAAAAAGAAAAGAAAAGAAAAUGGAGAUGAAUAUGGUGGGAAUGUAACAUUCAAAGAUGACACAUGUUUGGGACUUUUGGUAGCUGCCACUUGGAGCCCAAAUCGUCACUCUCUGCAUUAUAACAUUUUUAACUUUUUAGUAAACAUUAUCUUUAUCAGAACUUACAAAUAUAUAUAUAUAUAUAUAUAUAUAUAUAUAUAUAUAUAGAGAGAGAGAGAGAGAGAACAUUUUGCUAGACUAUUAUCGAUAGUAAAUAUCUUAAUUUACUAUCAAUUUAUUUUCAAUAGUAGAGUUUUUAAAUCAACGAUAGAUAUUAUUGAAUAUGAUCUAGAUCCUUUAAACUAUCUAAAAAUCAAAUUCCAUGCUUUCCGAUAUUAUUCUUUUGUCCAUCAUGUGGACAUAAAAUAAAUGGUUGAAAAUAAACGUACACUCCUUAAAAAAGUAAUGAUACAAUUUUCAUAUUCAAAAUCUAGAGUCAACAUCUUAUUUUAAAUACUUUAAAAAUUAUUUUAAUAAAACUUCAGCUAAUUUAGACUUUUAUAUAUCGUUAAAUGAGCAAAUGCACCUUAUCGAUUAUUAAAAUUAUUAAAUUUUGUACCCUUUAAUCGUUCGGUUAGUGAUGUUGAAAAAGUAUAAAAUUUCAUUUCUACAAAAUUUAAAUGGUCUAAAGCAUGUUCAAAUAUGCCAAUUAUCAAUUUGAAACUUUAUCAUAAAAAAUAAAUGCUUAGUAAAUUAAGUUGUUCUCUCUCUCUCUCUCUCUCUCUCUCUAUAUAUAUAUAUAUUAUAUUUAUUAAAUGUAAAGAGAUAUAUAAUCAAGGCACCGUAGAAAUUAAGUGGAGGAGGGUUUAUAAUACAACUCAUCUGAACCUUAAUGCGAUAUGCGAAAACGAUAUAAAAUGCUUUGUAUCUCCACAAACUUCGCCUACGUAUUGAUGCAAUAUUGGUUUUAUUCCAGAGCAUCUUAAAUUAUUUUGCAUGGACUAAUUAGAAUUCCCCGCAUCAUAUGUACAAACACACCGACCAUAGCAGCAUAGAAUUAUUGUCCGGACCCACCACUCAAUGAUAAAAAGUAAAAUCAUAAAAAAACAAACCAGAAAAGGUUAAAAAAAGAAAAAAAGAAAAAAAACUUCUUUAUUAGAAAUUUCUUAAUCAAAGAUUAUUGUCCUUAGUUGUUAAAACCAAGUUUAAUUAAAAUUCCCUUUUAAUUACUUGCUAACAUUUCCAAACAAAUCUCCAGUACCAGGUCAGAGAAUUCUAAAGGAAAGAGAAUGUGCAUGCGGAACGCGUGCGUAGAAAAAUUCUAUUACUUAGCCGACUUAUGAAAUUGUCGGUAUCAGUUGAGAUCGAUCAUGCUUUUCUGAAGAGAAGCACGAUAAAAUUACGUUUUCUACGUGAGCAGAAAUUUCUUACACACUAUGAAUUCAGAAGAAAUGAAGUAAAGAGAGAGAGGCGGUAAUCUCACCGUCUUUUCUGCUCCUGACCCUCGCGGCGACGGCGACCAGCGCCCGCUUCACCGGCAGCACCAGCACCUUCCUCCACCACUCCAUCCCCUCCUUCCCCUCCCUCCCUUAAUUAAUGCCCCCCUCCACUUCAACGCAUGGAUAUAUUAAUAAGGCAGAGAUGUAUAUAUGUAUGUGUAUGUUAUCAAUGCGAAGGUAAUAAUUAAUACUUGGAGAGAGAGAGAGAGAGAGAGAGAGAGAGAGAGAGAGAGAGAGAGAGAGAGAGAGGAGGCGAGAGAAGAGAAAACGAGGAGUGGGGGUGUUAAAAAUACUCGGGGAUGCCACCUACCCACCCCGAGAACUGUCCACGUUGCCUCGUCCCUCGCGCCAGGCGCCUCUUCCUCCUCGCUCCUCUCCUUCUCUCUCUCUCUCCUCUACCCUUUUGCUCCCUCUAAAAAAGAUCUUUGUCUUGUACUAAGGCAAAGUUGCAUAAAGAUCACUCAACUAUAAGCUAUUCUGAAACAUCCCCUCAACUACAUUUUAUUUUGGAUAAGCGCUACCUGUACACGUCAAAAAAAUAGUGUAUAUCUUACAUUACAUCCUCUCUAGGAAUGCAAACGGAGCGGAUCUGGGGUAAAAGUGUUUCCCUACCUUCUGCUCCAUUUCUUGUCAGGUCGGAAAGGAUUCAGAACAAGUUUAUUUUUUAUUUCAAGGCGGAUUACGGUGAAAGCGGAUUUUUGGCACAUUUUCAUAGAUCGGAAUGGAUUGAAGGAAAAAAAGGGUCUCCCGCCUCCUGCUCCAUUUACUUGGCGGAUCGGGUCGAAUUUGAGACGGAUUAUAUUUUUUCUGUACUCUUUUGUUCUCACUUACCAUUCCAUUCGGAACGGAUCAGGAUGGGAGCUCCACCAACCAGGAUCCAAACGCAUCCCUAAUUGUCUCAUUUGAGGUUUAGAUUUUUUUUUAUAUUUAAAUAUUUUUUCUAGUUACACGUUUAGAUACUGGAAUAAGUUGCGCGGUAAUUAUUUUUUUUUUACAUAAACUUUUUGUAUUAUAAUUUAAAGCUAUAUUGUAUGGAUGUUUUAGGAUGUAUGUCACCUUCAAAUUAUUAUUUUAGAAUAAAAUAAAUUAUCCCGCAAGUUAAAUAUAUUAUUUUAUUUGUCAAACUCAACCUCCUACUUUAUUCAAGAAAAUCUUAAUUCUUAAUAUAUUAUAGUCAAAUAAUUUAUUUCAGCAACUAAACAAGGCCUUAAUUUUUUAAAUUCAACUCAAUCGGAAAAAAAAAAAAGCAGUUUAUUUCAGAAAGUCAAACAGAGGAGGGGUCUCCUCGCAUUUUUGCCGAGUAUUUUUUUUUAAACACCUACAAGAAAGGAAGAGGGAUUAUUAAUUAUUAUACAUUGAGAAGUCACUUUCCUUAUAAUUUUUCAGUUACCGGCUUAUCCGGUUACUCCAAGGCAUGACUCGCGUGCACCGCCACCGCCACGUGCAGCUCACCUGCCGGUGUUCACGUGCAGAACUUCGUUUCCCGGUCACGGUGCACCACGGGCCAUGCAUGGACCGUCCUCUGCCAAUAAUCCAUGUAUCCCGUUUGGUUCAGGGAUAAGAAGCGGAAUAAUCCCUUAUCCCUUUUAUACCCAAAUACUACUUUUUUUUUUUUUAUCCAAAAAUAAUAGUUCUCGAGUAUUUAAAAUAAGUUGAGAUAAUUCGGUAUAAAUCUGGAAUAGUUGUUCCACCUUUAUCCUUAGAACAACCGGGAACAAAAUUAUUUAAACUUUAAAUAAUAAUUUUAAGUUAUUAAUUAAUCUAAUUAAUAUAUUUUAAUUAUUAAUUAAUUUAAUUAAUAUUAAAUUAUUAUUCUUGGAUAAUUUGCUAAGGGUGGGAAGAGCUGUUGGGAUGUUCCCACCCUAUUUUUAUUUUUAAAAUUUAAAAUUUAAAAUUUUAAUAUUUAAAAUUUAAAAUUUAAAAUUGUUAAUUUUUAAAAUUUAAUAUUUGAUAUUAUUCAAAGUUAAAUUUAAUCUUUAAUUUAAAGUUUGAAAUUUAAAAUUUAAAAUUUUAAAAUUUAAAAUUUGAUAUUUUAAAUUUUAAUUUUUAAUUUAAAUUUUUAAAAAUUUAAUUUUAAAUUUAAAAAUAUAAAUAUAAAAUUUAAAAAAUUAAAAAAUUAAAUGCAAAUAUAAUGAGAGGGGUAGCAUUAUUAUUUUUUAUUUAUAACUAUCUAUUAUUCUUCUUAUUCCAUCUUAUCUGUUCAAACGCUAUUUUUUUAUUUUCGAAAACAAUCUAAUUUUCACCCAAACGCAAAAUUAUUCUACUUCUUGCUUAUACCCAUUAGUUAGUUAAUUCGCGAAUUAUUCAUGAAUUUUUGAAGAAAUGAAUUAAGCAGCCGUAUUCGUAUUUUUCCAAAAAAUUCGAAAAAAAUGCAUUUUUUUGGUAAAAAAUACUUAUUCUUGAAUAAUUCGCAGGCGCUGAAUUAUUCGCCCAAAAAGACGCGCGGUCGCUGUCGCGCUCGAGCUCGCGCUCGCGCUUGCGCGCUGGUCGCGGGCCUCGCGGCUCGCCCAAAACAGAAAAAAAAACCCUGUUCGCCUCGCCCAAAACUGAAACCCAGCAAAUCUCUUCUUAUUUGCUUAAUUAUUUAUUUAUUUUGAGACAUAAUAUAGUUUGCUAUUUUUUUUUACUUAAUUAGCUUAAUUUUGUAGCUCUUUAUUGUUAUAUUCUUAAGAAAUAUAAAUAUUUAUAAUAAUAGCAUAAAUUUUGAGAGAAAAAAAACUUAGUUUAAUAGCCGAAUUUUUUAUCCCAAAUUUUUAAUUGGUGAACGUAUAAUAUCCAUGUAAAUCACCUAUUCGAAUAAUUGAUAAAUCCAUUUUUUGGCCGUAUUUUUCAACAAAUCUAAAAAUUAGAAGACGAAUUUCAUCCGAAUUAUAUCCGUACCGAUUUUUCGUCGAAUCUGAAUUAACUAACUAUAUUUAUACCUAAACUUAUAUCUAUCAUUGGAAUAGACAAUUCUUGCUUAUACCCGAACCAAACGAUACCUUAGGACGUGUUUGCUUCCACUUUCUUUAAUUCUAAAAUCAGAAUCGAAAUAAAUAAAUCUCGUUGUAGUGUUUGGUACACGCGAGUUCCAUUUCCAUUUCAAUUUUCAGGUGGAAGGGGAAUACCCCAAUUCCCCCAUUUUCCAAUCCAGCUACCUCGGUUGAAUUGGAACUUGAAUCAAGGAGAAAAUAAUGCACCUUAGAAAAAUAUCUCAAUUAUAUUUUAUAUUUUUAUUUAAAAUUAAAUUAAAUUUUUUGAUUUAAUUUUUAAUUAAAAUAUAAAUUUAAAUUUAGAAAUUAAAUUUAUAAUUCUAGUUUUUGAUUUAGAAAUUAAAUUAAAAUAUAAAGCAUUUUGAAUUUGAUCUAUAAAUAUAAAUUUAAUUGUAAGUUUGAUUUUGAAUAAAAUAAAAAAUUAGUUUAUAUUUUGAAUUGUCCAUUCAAUUUAAAAUUUAAAAUUUUUAAAAAUUAUAUUUAAAAUUUUAGCUUAUCAUUUUAAUAUUUUGAUGUAAAUUUUUAGUAUUUAAAAUUUAUUUUGAAUUGAAAUUAUAAAUUUAAUUUUAUGUUUUGAGGUACAAACUAAAUUUUUAUUUUAUUCAAAAUCGUAUUUUAAUUUAAUUUUAAUUAUUUUCUUGGUAAUAUUGAAAUAUGAAUUAAUCAUACCGAUUUUCGAUUGUUAUUCUGAACUAAACAUAUUCGGAGGUUUUUUCAUUCCGUUUCUGAUUCCUAUCCAUUCCGAUUUCAUUUCUCAUUUUGAACCAAACACACUCUCCGAGCUGUUGAAUUAAAGAUUUAUUUUGGUUUGGUACAUUUUGUUACUUUAUUUUAGACUUAUGUAUGCAGAGUCGAUUCUAUCCUAGAAACUGAUGCAUCGGCCUUUGGGUGUUGUAGUUGAAAAUUAAAGCAAAGAUUUAAUUGCGGUAGAUGAAAUUAUACCUAAAUUGGCUAUAGUUUUUACCGUGUCCAGUAGAGAAAGAGUAAAUUUAAAAUAAGAGGUAAGUUUAUCUAUCCAACUUUCUUUCAAUCAAAACAAAAAACAAAACAUCUUCUAUAUUUGAAGUAAACUCACCACCUUCACACAUCAAAGUGAUAAAAUUUAUAAAUACAAUUUCCAAUUGCAUACAGGUAAAUAAAUUAUUUGUAGUUAGAAUACUUUUUACUACAUUCAACAAGUUAUGUCCAACUACAAUUAUUGCAUUUUUAUAUGCACGCAUCUCUUACUACUGCAUUUACAAGUAUAUCCUCAGAUAGCCCACCAAUUUAUCCUCUGUUGUAAAUUAAAGUUUUCUUAUGUCUUUCUUGUCGGAUCGUUGGCGCUAACCAUUAAUCCCAAAAGCUCGAGUUUUUAGAAAUAUGCAACAAAUUCACUUAAAGCGUACAAAAACAGCGCCCACGAAUCUCGAUUGUGACUCGGCCCACUUAGCUUUACGCUACUUCGAACAUGACUCGGCCCAACCCAGCCUUACGCUAUUUAGAACAUGACUCGGCCCACAUGGCCUCUCACCACAGGGCAGGAUGCUAGCCUAUUUAAGUCAAUAAUCCUCCCUCCAGCACCUGCACAUAUUUGCAGCAUGCGGGAAUCGAACCCAUCGAACCCGUGAUCUCUGGCUCUGAUACCACUUGUAGGAUCGUUGGCGCUAACCAUUAAUCCCAAAAGCUCGAGCUGUUAGAAAUACGCAGCCAAUUCACUUAAAGCGUACAGAAACAGCGCCCACGAAUCUCGAUUGUGACUCUCACCUGGCCUCACGCCACUUCGAACAUAAUUCGGUCCAACCCAACCUCAUGCCAUUUUGAAUAUGACUCAGCUCACAUAGCCUCCCGCCACAGGGCAGGAUGCUGACUCAUUUAAGCCAACAUUUCUAAGUCUUACUAAAAUAGAAAAUAAAUUUGUUUUAUAUGGAAAUGAGAAAUGGUUAUGACUUAUGACCUACAUGUUACUUCAGAAAACAAUAUAUCAAAAUAAAAUAUCUUUUGUAAUAUAAUUUAACACUAAACUACAAUAUUACAAAAUAAUCAAACUUUUCAUUAUCUCAAAUAGUCCAAUAGGGUUAGUUAAUUUGGUAAAUCACUUGCCGUAUAAGCAUAUAACUUCCCUAUGCUGUGGAUUUCCCAAAAAAUAUACAUGAGAAAUCGUAACAAUACUUUUAUUAAAAACUAAUUUCCCUACAAUUCAGCUAGAGGGAAAAAAAUACUUAAAUUUCAAUAGUUUUUACUUAGAUUGAUUUGACAUUUUUCUUAUACUUUUUUUUUUUCUACUUUCGUCUAGGUUUAUUUGUUCUCCGGCCAUUAUAAUAUCAUUUUAUUUAUGAGUUGUAAUACUUUGUUCAUAAUUUAAGCAAAGUAGCAUACUAGUAAAAAGUUGUGGAACUUUUUGUUCCAUUUUUGCACAAAUUGCUAACUAAUUGGAUCUCAACCGUGCAUCAGUAUGGUGACAAGAAAUCAAUUUAAAUACUCAAUAAUGAUACAUGUACUAAAUUUUUAAGAUGUUGAUGGUUGUGUCCCGAAUGCAUCCAUGCAAAAAUGUGGUGAAAGUAAAUGCAACAUACGGAUACCUCUGGUAUUGCCAAUACAAAUCGACCAAUUGCAUAAACACCGCCAUCACCAUAUCGCCAACCUCCAACCAUUGUGUAUUAUUCCAAAAUAACUCGUCAUAACGUACCUGACCAUUCAUGCGAACGUUAUUCAUCCUCAUUGAUAUUAACUGAAUUGUAUUUCUUUGGUCCCGUGUGUCUUUGGCCAUCCUAGUUUACAUCAUCCUAACUAAUUUGAAUGGAAUGUACGGUAACCCUUGGCACCUUUUCUAUAUCCUGCCAUCCAGGCGUACGGACGUUCAGAUCAUAUCUAAUCUUGUCCUAUUUGUAGCAUUAGGCCACGUCAAGGCCUACUAAACUCGGCGUAUAUUGAUUCAUGCGCACUUUCUCUAAAUCUUCACUUUACUGAUCAUGCAAAUAGUGCUAUCAUUGAUAUACACUUGAUUGAUUCUCAUGCAUAUAGCCGUAUAGCUCUCUUUUUUGAGUCAUUGACUCAGUCAUCGAUAUAUAUGCCUCCGUCAUCGAUGCCUUGGGCCUCUGUCUGGCACAUAAAAUCUCGGGUCACUACCUAGAGCCACAAUACCAUGGGUUAUUGCCCAAUCCACAUGUACAUUCUCUGUAUCCAAGGGAAAGUCCGAUCUUUGCAAUAGCAAAUGUAGUACCAUCCCACCCAAACUGAGAGGAAACUCAAUUCAUGCGAACAAACCAUUGGUAUCCCAACUAGACCAUGCAUAUCAAACAAAUUAUACAACAUAUGCAUGUUCAACAUGAUCCAAAUACCAAAUUUCGAACAACCAAUUAAUUCAUGAUGCUCAACUUGAAGUCCCACAUAUAAGAACAUACAUAGGUACUAAAGCGACAAGUCCGACUGCCCCAAAUGUAAUAUGCCAACAAUGUUUCUAUGUAGAUGCUAUAUGGUCAUAAAUACAUGAAUAAAACGACAUUCUUGAUGUGGAUUCCAACAAUCGGCAAAAAAUGUUGUGGUGUAUUGGACCCAAAUUCGUAAGAAUCUAGUAUAAAAUAUCUUCAAUACCGUUUGAUAGAUCUUGGGGAAAUUACAUUUAGUUAGUUUGAGUUUGAAGCAAAACGGACACGAAAAUAGAGUCCGAAAACUCAUUCUAUUGAAACUUCAAUUUCGGUGAAGUAUCGAACGUCUAGAACCACUUGUGUGGGCCUAGAAUCUGUACAUAACUCGGAACCGACUUAGUUGGACCCGAAUCUAUCGGAUCCUGGACCGGAAGCCUAGAACCCAUUUUAGACGCUCAACUAAAGAGCUCGGGUUAUAUUUCAAUUAAUUAUUCAGGCACUCAGAACCACUUUUGGGUGCCCAAAAUUGAGAAGAUGGUGUUUUGGGCGUUCGGAACCCUUGGUUUGAGAGCUCAGAAAUGGCUUUUGGGCGCUCGAAAUAUAUUCCGAGUGCCAAAAACGUGUCCCGGACUGAGAAUGGGUUAUAUUGCAAAUUUUUUAUUUUUAGGGGUUGAAAUGAAAUUGUUGCCACUUUAUAAAUACACUCACCCUAGCAGGCCUAUCGUAUCUCUGUUACUCUAAGAAGCCCUAAGGUCACCCUCUCUUCUAUUCUUUCUUCUUCUUUCUUUCUCUCACUUUUAAUUUCUAUGUUAUUCUAACCUCUAUUUCGUUUCAAACCUUUUGAAGUUGGAGUUCGAGUUGACAAAGAUAUAGUUUGAGAUAUUGAUCAACAUGUUUUAGGAAUGUUGGGUCAAGUUAGAACCACUAUGGUAUAAAAUUGAUGCAAAAACAGGCUUGGAAAUCAGAUUCCGGAGGAUACUGAGUUUCUAGUGAUUUUUCGGACAUUUGAAACAGGGUGUCUGGGCACCCAGAGGUGCUGUAGUUGGGCUGAUUCAAUUUUGGAUCUCACUUGGGGACAUUCAAAUCUACUGAAGGAGCAUCUAAAUAGGUUUUGGGCUAUGAAUCCAGACGCCCGGUAUUAUUCUAGUAGUCUGAAAAUUGGUCGGUGAUUAAGUCAGUGAGUUGAUGACUCAUUGUGCUGACUAAUCAAGAUAACUCAUUUAGUUUUCGGACACAUGAAUCGAGUGCCUAAAAAAUAAUUCGGGUGCUCUUGAAAUGGGUUCUGGACAACUAGGAGCAUGAGGAGGCAUCCUAGUUAGCUCGAGCAUAAGGUUUCGAACGCCCGAAUCACAAACAUCCGAAAUGUCCGAUUUUGGUUAAAAGUGGAAAUUUUGUAAUUUGGGGACUUAAAUACAAUUGUUAUAUUCUUUAUUGGCUAAAUUAUAGACAACCUUUCUGUCAAAAUUCAUUUUUUUCACUUCGCCCCUUACAUUAAGAAAAGUACACUUUUUCCCCUCCUAGUUACAAAAUUAUCCACAGAGGGGCUACACUAUUAACGAAAAGGGCGAUAUGACGAUAAUGCCCUUACUUUUUAUUGGACAGAGUGAGCGCGGAAGUGUUGUGUCAUUUGUUUUCUUGUUGAAGAGGAGAUCUAGCGUUUGAUCCGGGGAGGAGGACAAGCCAGUUCGAAGCACAGGACAAAGGCAAGCGCCUUCAAACAAAGGAGUAGGGCGAGAGAGUUGACCUAGGGAGGAAGAUGAUCGAGCUUGAAUGAGGGAGCCUCUUACUCUUUUGAGGUGUAUUUAGAUUUAAGAGUUGAAGUGUUAAUUUAGUUCAUGUAGUCCUUUUUGUUCUUGUGGUUUGAGCAAUUCUUUCGGGAUCUAUGGUUUUGUGUUAUUUUGUUUCAUUUUUAGUUAUUUUGAAGUUUGGUUUAAUACUUUCUAAGAUGAAAUGCUUGUAGUCCCCAAAUAUUUUAGUGAUUUGUAUGUGAUGCAUUUAAAUUUUUGUUUUAAGUGUACUAUUUGAGAUCAUAGUUUGCUAAAUACAUGGCGUCCUACUGUUUUCUAAUUAAUUCUUCUUCUUCUUUCCAUUUUCUAUACGCAUUUAAUUAGUUGAUGACAAUAUAUUUUAAUUUUUCUUUGCAUUUGUAUACUGUUUUUUCUAAUUUAUUACAUCAUAUAGAUGGAAUUGAGGACUCUUGAAUUCACUUUGGUGGAUUUUUUGAAGGAAAUCUUAUAACAGAAUACUGUAGAGGAAAAAUAUCAUAUGACAAUAAUGUGGACCAAGACUUGAUGUCGAUUAUUGAAAUAUGGGCUAUGCUUGAGAGCCAUGAGUUGAGAGCCAUAGUUUAAUAAAAGAAUCAAUUAUAUACUACACUAUGCCUAUUGGAGAUAUAACUAAUAGUCUGAAGCUUGUGGAUGGUGAUAAAGCGGUUCUAGAGAUGCUUAAGUGCCAUGAUGAAUUUGGCGUCAUUAUGCUCUAUGAGUUUCCCCUGAAUGGUAGAUGAGGAGGGUAUAAAUGAUCCCACUAAAGAUAUGGCUAUAUAAGUGGAGCAAUUGAAGAAAAAUAUCAACAAUGUUGAGACUGAGCUCUAGAAAGAUGUAUCUGAACAUGGGAAGGAAGUGAAUGCAACAAGAGAGCCUAGUAAUGACUCCAUGGAUAAAAAGGUUGACGAUGAUGGAAUGAGUAAGGCUAUUGAUUGAAAUGUAACUGAAGGGGUCGAAGAUAACAAUGAAGAGGCUGAAGGUGAAUCGGAAAGUGACAGUGAGCAUGAAUGAAGAAAAUUUGGUGAUAAUGAUGAGAAUAGUAUUAAUAAUAGUGAUUUCUGUAUUAAUACAAACAAUGUAGAGGGGGAGAAUGGUAUUGAUGGGACAGGUGAGGGGGUGCCACUACUUCUGAACCAAAAUAUGCUGAGGAUAAUGAGCAAGGAGCAAAUAGACUAUCAGCCUAUUGAUGAUCUUGGUAGUAUGUCCUCAUUAGAUGAAGAUGGUCCUUCAUGGACAAAGUAUUCUAUGUUCAAACAAAAAGAUUUGGAGAGAACAGAGCUAAAACUAGGCAUGAACUUUGCAUUAGUUGCAGAGUUUAGAACAUUGCUGAGGAAUCAUGCAAUAUUAAUUGGAUAUGACUUUAGUUUUGUCAAGAAUGAUGGUGAUAGAGUUACGUGAAGUGUAAAAAGAUACUACUGACUAGGAAAAAAAAUAUGGAUGCCUCAUACAUGCAUUUUGGAAUGCAUUUAAGAUAUGUUUUCAAAUAAAGUCUUUAUAAUUUAAGCAUAAGUAUGGUAGGCAAUUCAAAAAAUAUUAAGCUACUUCAUCACGAAUUGCAAAUAAAUACUUGGAACAAUUGAGAGAUGAUCCUAUAUUGGGAACAUCAGCAAUGAGAAAGACAAUGAGAAGAGAGUUGUGCAUUGAUGUCUCUAAGAGCCAAAUUAAUAUAUAAAGCUAAGAGAAAAGGAAAGAAGGUUAUAAUAGGAUUACAUAGAGAUUAGUUCAUGAAAUUUUGGGAAUGGCAAUAUCAUCGAAGUGAGGAAUCUAGGAAGCCUUGCUUUUUUAUACGUGGAAAAGCCUCAUCUUGAGUUAGCCCUAGUGUUUCAGAGAAUCUUUAUACAAUAAGAUGCUCAAAUCAAUGGAUUAAAGGAAGGAUAAAGACCUAUCAUUACUAUAGAUGGUUGUUUUCUAAUGGGAUCAUUAGGCGGACAUGUUAUUAGUGCUAUUAGUAGAGAAGAGAAUAAUAAAAAUAUUUCCAAUUGCGGUUGCUAUUGUAGAAGUAGAACUAGAAGUAGAACUGAAGGAUUCUAAAAUUGGUUGUUAAUAAUUUUUUUACAAGCUAUUGGACCAGCAAAGGCUCAUAAGUGGACUUUUAUAUCUGAUAGACAAAAGGUAAAAAGUUUUAUUUAAUACAAUGAUAGAACUUUUAACAAGAUGAAUUAAUUGUAGUCUACUAACUUUUAUUUACUUUUGUUAUUAAAUGUCUUAGGGUCUGGUAGAGAUUUUUGAUGGCCUACUUCUAAGAGUGGACCAUAGAUUUUGUGUGCAACAUAUGUACAAUAACUUUAAAAAAUAAUUUAAAGGCAACGUAUUAAAAAAUUUGCUUCGAUCAGAAGUAGUUACAUCUUAUACUUUGCACAAUUAAAAAAGGAGCAUGCAAAAAAUUAAGGAUACAAAUGUAGCUGCUUAUGAUUGGCUCAUGAAAGUGCCACCAAAUUGUGGACAAGAUUUUAUUUCAGACCUGACAUUAAAUCUGAUCUUCUACACAAUGACAUGUGUAAGGCAUGGAGUCGAGCAAUACUGGAUGUAAAGGAGAUACUAAUUAUUGAUAUAAUGGAGAAGAUUAGAAGGCAAGUGAUGGCAAAGUUUCAAAAGAAGAGACAAUAAGACAAGAUGGUAUACCAUACCCUGAAGUUCAAACAAAGUUGAAAGAAAUAAAGGAAAAAGUUAGACAUUGUGAGCCAAUAUAAGUUGGAGAAACCAUUUAUGAUGUUCAUUGCACUGGAAAGCAAUACACUGUUAACUUAGCAGCAUCAUCUUGUGAAUGUUGUCUCUGCGAUAUACAAGCAAAAGAUGGAUCUCGAGGAAUUUGUUCACAAUUUUUUAAAAAAGACAUAUAAGAACAUAUAGCCACAUGAUCAUGCCGAUACGUGAUUCUUCAAUGUGACCUAAGGUUGGGAUUGAGCCUAUAACUCCACCUCCAUAUAGAAAACCUAAAAAAAGUAAGGAAGAAGGCAGUUGAUGAGCUCAAAAAGGUAAAAUUAGCAGAGAAGGUAAGAAGUUUAGAUGUACAAAGUGUAAACAGUUUGGACACAACACUUGUCAUUGUACUAAUUAAUAUUGCAUCUAGAGAGGAAAUAUGUGGUAAGGGAACAAGUAAAAGCGAUGAGGGAGAACACAAGUGGAUCGAGGAGGAAGACCACUAGAAUCAAGAAGAGAGACCACCUGUGUGAGUUAAAAAUUUACAAGCGUUUGCGUUAGACGAGAGUAUUAUAUAUUAAAAAACAGAGAUUAAUUAAAGGUUCUAUGCUCCUUAGGAAUCAUAAAGAUUUCUAAUUAAUUACGCCUAUUCAUAUUUAGACAACCCCCGAUUAAGCUGGUUAAUUAUGAUAAUUAGCAAAACAGAAUGCAUUUCUUUUAUUACUCUUGUAUAUCGUGUACAAAAUUAAUACAACUGAAAAAGAGGAAAAGCAACAAUUAUCAUCUCUCUACUUUUCUCCUCUUCAAGGUAUUUUUCCAAAAUAAUGUCGGCCAUGCAUCAUGCAUAAGCUUUCUUUGGUAUUUCAUUGAGCAUUUGACAUGCACACAAGUAAUGUGCAAAUUGCCUUUGGCAUUUCAUCGAACACUUGGCAUGCGUACAUGAACAAUGCAGCAUGCUCAAGUUUCUUUUGACAUUCCGUGAUAUGCACACCAUUUUUGGCAUUUCAUCGAACGCUUAGCAUGCGUACAUGAACAACGCGCUAUGCACAAAUUCUUUUUUGCACUUUGUCUAAUACUUGGCGUGUGCACAUAAAUUAUCCAUCACGCACAGUUUAUUUUUGACAAAAGCCAAUUCAAAAUAGCGGCAAUCAAUAAUUUGAUUGGAGCUUUCCGUCGACGGCUAAGCAUCGAACUGAUAGUCGUCGUCGUUGUCGUCGUCUACCGCUGACAGCUAAGCGUCAAGCGGAUGAUCAUCGUCGUCGUUGUCGUCGCCACCUUUACCGCUGACGGCGAAGCGUCAAGCAGAUCAUCGUCGUCGUUGUUGUUGCCCAUCGCCGACGGCUAAGUGUCAAGCGGAUCGUCGUCGUCGUGGUUGUCGCCUACCGCCGACGGCUAAGCGUCGAGCGGAUCGUCGUCGUCAUUGUUGUCGCCUACCGCCGAUGGCUAAGCACCAAGCGGAUGAUCAUCGUCGUCGUUGUUGUCGCCACCUUUACCAUCGACGGCGAAGCGUCAAGCGGAUCGUCGUCGUCGUUGUUGUCGCCCACCGCCGACGGCUAAGUGUCAAGUGGAUCAUCGUCGUCAUGGUUGUCGCCUACCGCCGACGGCUAAGCGUCGAGCGGAUCGUCGUCGUCAUUGUUAUCGUCUACUGCCGACGGCUAAGCGUCGAGCGGAUGAUCAUCGUCGUCGUUGUCGUCGCCACCUUUACCGCCGACGACGAAGCGUCAAGCGGAUCGUCGUCGUCGUUGUUGCCGCCUACCGCCGACGGCUAAGUGUCAAGCGGAUCGUCGUCGUCGUCGUCGUGGUUGUCGCCUACCGCCGACGGCUAAACGUCGAGCGGAUCGUCGUCGUCGUGGUUGUCGCCUACCGCCGACGGCUAAGCGUCAAGCGGAUGAUCAUCGUCGUCGUCAUUGUUGUCGCCUACCGCCGACGGCUAAGCGUCAAUUGGAUGAUCAUCGUUGUUGUCGGCGCAGUAACAGCAGGCGGAUGGCCACCUCCUUGGUCGAUGAUGACGCCACACUAGCAAAAGGGAACGUGCACCAAUUCGGGAUCAACAACGACAGGGCAAUGCCUGUCAGCAAAGGUGUCGGAAUGGCGACGAGCAGUCGUCUUUUCUUGGUUGACGAUGACCCGACGUAGUAGAGGUUGAUAACGGCAUGUAUAGCCCGGUGUGCAUAGAAAACUCGAUGUAUGGAGUGCCUUGACUAGGAGAGAAGAGAAAAAAAAACAAAUGAAAGUGAGAGGAUCUAAACCCACCUUUCUAUUGGCUCUCUUUUUUUUUAAUUCAAGUUUCUUUUCUCUUUUUUUUUUUUGUGAGUAGAAUCCUCCCUUUUUUUCUUCACUUCUCUUUAUAUAGAGAGAGGGUGAAUGGAGGAGUGGAGGGAAUGGUGGAGUGAUGGAGAAGUGAGAGAAAAUGGUAGAGAAGUGGAGUGGUGUAGGGAAUGGUGGAGAAGUGUGGAGAAAUAGAGAAAAUGGUGGAGAAGUGGAGUGGUGGAGGGAAUGGUGGAGAAGUGUGGAGAAGUAAAGAAAAUAGUGGAGAAGUGGAGUGAGUGAUGGAGAAGUGGUGGGAAUGGUGAGAAAGUGGAGGGAAUGAUGGAGAGAGUGGUAGAAAUGGAGGGAAUGGUGGGAGAUAGUGGAGGAGUGAAUUUAGGGAAGUGAUCUUUUCUUUUUUUUUUCUUUUUUUUUUGUGUUAACACCACCACUAAGUCGAGAAGGAAGAUCACCCCUUGGGAGAGGUAGAAAAGCACUGAUAAGUAGAGAGAAAAUCAAUAUUACUGUCAGGGAAGAAAAGAUACCAAUUGAAAGAAGAGAAGGAUUAAUUGGUAGACUUGGAAGAGUAUUAACUAGGAGAGGUAGAGGUCCAUGCAAGAUUUUUUCACUAAUCAGCAUAUACCAUUCUCCAAUAUAUUUGUUGCUGCUAUAAGAAAUAUAUCUACUCGAGCCAGCGGAGCAACAGGAGAAACAUCGAAAAGCCCUUAUAGGCCAAUAUGUUUCUAACCAUACUAUUUAUUAGUAGCUGAUUAUCAAGCUAAUUCUUAUAUACUUAUAUAUGGAGUUGAGCUAUGAUACUUUUACAAGUAUCACCAUCAUGGUGCUAUUAGGUUUUAAGCCAUUGGAUCUACUUUUUGAUUAUUAAUAGCCCUUGGAUUAAACACUAUUCCACCUACCACCACCUACCACCAUCAUCUCAACCUCACAUCUCUCCAUCCAAGGGCUAAAAACUCACAAGUAUCACCCCCAUGAUACUUUUACAAGUAUUCUAGCCCUACUCCUUAUAUAUGUAUAUUUAAUUUUUUUUCUUAUAUGGAUUUUAUCAAAAGAGGGAUAGGAGAGCAACUUAGGUCAGUGACAACUCAAGAAUCUACUAGUAAGCUAGUCAACUUAGGCCAGAGGCAACUCACAAGUGAUUUUUUUGGUCUAUCGAUCAUUCUGUAUUUUGGUUCCGUUUGUUUAGAGAGUUGUAAGUUACUUAUAUAACUAUAUCUUAUAACUCAAGUUUGAUACUUUUGUAUUCGGUUCUAGCUAUAACAAUAUCUUAUAACUCAAGGUAGAUCUUUUUGUAUAUGGUUCUAGUUUUUGGAAACGAGUGCUUAACUGGAAGAUUGAAGAGGUUAGAUCAUUUAAUUUUGAUUUUGGUUCAAGUUAUUCGAAAGCAGUGCUUAAUUGGGAGUUUUAAGAAAUCAGUGAUAAACUUUAAAAGUGGUUAAAUUGAAAUUCGAGUUUUGGUUUAUUUCUCUUGAAUCUAAAGUUAACUUGUUAAAUUCUCUUGUUAGUUCUCUUGUUAAUGUUAUAUAGUAGUUAGUUUUCUUAUUAAUAUUAAAUGCUCUUGUUAUUCUCUUGUUAGUUCUCUACUAAAUUUAAAGUCAACUUGUUAGUUUUCUUGUUAAUAUAUAGCUUAUGUUGAACGUUAGUUAUCUUGUUGAACAUGUUAGUUCUAGUUUUACGUAGCAAUGAACCUAUUACUAACAUGUGGUUGUUACUGAAUAAAUGUCAGUUUUCUAGGUUUAUGUAUUGUGAUUAGUUAUCAGGAAUGGUGCAUUGGACUAGUGGUUUAGUACAUGUAGUUGUUGCAUAGCUGCAAACUACGUAAUGUGUAGUUGCAAUGCACAUUAUUAAGUAUAUCUCACAUAUAGUUAAUUGCAGGGCACAUAAAAGACACUAUAAAGAUCUAUGUAAUGACUAAAUAACUUAAAUGGUUUGCAUGAUAUAUUGCAAAUCAUUAUAUUACAUAAUAGGUCACUCACUUGGAAACAAAAUAAGGUGGCAUGCAUAAUAAUAGCUAGCCCAGAAUACCAAAUAUAUAUAAUAUGAGUCCGUUCAUAUUAUUAGAUACCAUAAUAAAAUAAUUAGGACAAUAAAUAUUAGAAGAAGAUAGUAUUUGUGAAUCUUCUAAUUGCCUUUCUCCUUUAGCUUAUCUGGACCAUCGCCAUUUUGGCUAUUAACCUAUCCAUUUCCUCUCAAAGUGCCUUUUCUCGAAUUUUCAAUGCUGUCAGCUUUUUCCUAAGAGCAUAAUUAUCUUCAGUAAUAAUUGAAACUUUAUUUCCAAUGCUAUUACUUUCUUUUUCCAUGGCCAAUUUGUUUUAGGAGUUUGAUGAUGUAUUCCUUUCCUCGUUCACAUAUCUCUUGAUCAUGCCAACAAAAACUCCAUAACCAUUUCUCUUGUAGUUUAUGUAGCCAUAAAAUCAUCUUUCGGGAUUAUCAAUUAUUAAUGAUGUUCAGAGGAGCCUUUAGUCUACAGAAGCAAAGAGGAUAGUCCAUAUUGAAUAGACCAUUGGUGCAACUACUAGAUAAUGAGGCAGACAUUUUGUUGCAACCAAAGAUGAAGAAAAAAUAAAAUAAAAUGACGAUAAGGCUUAAUAUAAUAAGAGAAGCAAUUUUUCAUUCUCACAUAGUAUAUUUCAAAAAAAAAAUUUAUUUAUUCUUGAGAGAGGAACUAUAUGUAUACACAUGUGAGAUCAAGGAAGAAAAAGCAUGUGUUGUUGAUGUAUUUGGAAACUAUAGGAGCAUGCAUGUCCUAGCUCCAAUAACUAUGGUGAUGUUUGUUAUGUUGUUUGAUACCUUCCUUAUGCAAUCAUUGUACGAAUACUGUUCCUGUUUGGAACCUCUUGUAUUGUACUGUUUGUUGAGCCUUGAACGUACAGGGGAGACUCUGUCCGCGGUACAGGGGAAACCCUGUCCGUUCGGCGCUGUCGGCGGUCCGAACCCGGCCAAAUAGGCGUGGGGCUUGGGGCGUGACAAUGUUGCUGCUGGGAGGAGAAGGAGAUGGAUUAAUGGUUGAAAGGGUGAAAAAGUGGAAAAAAAAGUGGGGAGCAACAUUCUAGAAGGAAAAUAAUGGAUUUUUAAUGGAUUCCCGUUAUUUUGAAGAGUAUUUUUGGUAUAUCUACUAAUACAUUUUGAGAAGUGGACAUAUCACUUACGAAACCAUGAUGGCAGGGGGGUAAAUGGAUAAUUCCAUAAUCAGGAGAGGGCAAAGUAUAGAAAUUUAAAUGCCAGUGGGAAGUAAAAAGGUGAGUUUUGAAAGGAAAAUUUUCUAUAAUUUAGCCUUAUUUAUUUGGUUGGGAGGUUCCUUUUACCUGUAAAUUGUGAAGAGAGAGGGAGAGAGAACAUAAAGGAGAUAGAGAAAGAGAGAAAGAGAGAGAAGGAGCUCGAGGUGAGUUUGUGAUCGAUGAGGUGGAUUUUGGAGCAUGAUUUUGAAGAUAGGUAAAUAUAUAUUAUUUUGAUUAGUAUUUCCAGGAUUAUAAUAUGUCAGUAAAUAAAUAUAGUAAAUUAUGUUUUAGAAGGUGAUUUUGCUGAAGUUUAAAAUGGGAUUCUGGUGCUGAACUUCUUUCGUUCAAUUUCUGUUGGUAGCAACAUUUUAGGUGGGUUCUAGAUGACCGAACGCAGUGAACUAACCUCUACAUCUAUUGUUCUAUCUGUUACAGUUUGAAGACACUUGCUAGUAUUACAGUAGUUGUUCCCUUCCUUGCAUAUCCAUGUAUCCGUAUAUGAGAUUACUUAUUAUUGAUGCCAUGAACAUUUAUGCUGAUUACAAUUUUUUAUUUUUGUUGCACAUUAUUCUUAUUGAGAUCCUGUGUUACAAGCAAACAUGUCAAUAUGCUAAAACAAUUACAGACAUAUAACUUAUGUUAUCUAUUUGAUUAUUAAUCAUGACCAUAACCUUUAUUGGGCCAGACUGAGCUCGAUUGUAAGUGGUACGACAUUAUGAUUCUGAAUGGGGUCGCGCCCUAUGAAUGCCCCUCUCGGGCUAUGGUAGCUGACUAGAUGUGCUAAGUGUAUGCAUGUGGGUCAGGCCACCAGGUUAGUGUGGUUACCGGGCAUGUGGCGGCACAGGCAAAGCCAAACCUAUGAGACGGCCGGUGUAAGUUGAUGCAUAUGAUAUUUGCUUUCUAUUCUCUGUGACUUUACAGUAGGAACCCGAUUAUUAUUUGUUUGUUUCCACAGCCACAGAUAGAGGUAUGGUAGUUAUUUAUUUUUCUAUUCAUAUUAUACUCAGUUAUUCGUUUAUUUACUGUUCUUUUACUAUUUUUGUAUUUGAUAAAUCUAGUGGUGUAGGUCUAUCAGAUCGAUUUUGAACCCACUGUAAACUAUUGAUUAUAGUUCUCAAGCGCUCCUUUAUUGUUUCUUUUUCAUAGCAUUCAGCACCAGUUAUAGCAGCAAAUCGAUGUAAGGAGAUCGUAAGUUAGAAAGCAUCUCCUACCAAGUUGUGCGAUAGCUAGAGGAUGACCUUAUAGAUCCAGUUCCUAUACAGCAGCUUGUAUAUGAUAUACCGAUGAGACCAUUAAGAGAUGUAUAUCUUGCAUGUUGUGAGAUAUUGGGGUUGUCAUAUACGUACAAUUCAUUUAUGAUAUUAUAAGACAAUGUGAUUGUUUUUAUAUAUAUGCUGCUAUAAUUGUUGUAUUAUUUAUUUAUUUUGAUAUCUACUUAGUUGUCAACUCUUAGAAAUUGUUGUAUACUAGUUGUAGACUCCUAGGAUUAUUGAUAGAUUGUGGUUGUUCGCUUCAGGUGUACGAGGUGUACUUUAUACAUCUGGCGGAUCUAUCGAUACCCUUGGGGGCUUUUGCUGUGAAUCCUAGACGUGACCAAAAAGGUGGAGAGCACCAAGAGGAAGGUCUAAGAGGAAAGAGAAGGCUCUUCUCUUGCAUGUUUGGUUUAUACAGGAUAACCCAAACCAAACACGCCGUACGGAAAAAUGGUAAAACAUGUGCAACCAUCCGAAAGUGUCAAUGAAAGGGAGGAGCCCGAGAGAUAUCAACUCCCUAUCUACUACUUGGGGGAGUCUGAGAGCAAUCGACCCAACUUACCUGCCGAAUAUCGGAGAGGAGUCUGAGAGAAAUCGAUUCUCCAUGAGGUGCAAGGAAGCAAGUGAAAUUAAACUAAUAAGUUGGUUAAAGUUAUGAGAGGAGUUGUGGUGCAUAAUGAAACCAAUCAAAUAGAUGGUUAAGAUAUAUAGGAAAAUGAAUAAACAUAUUUACAUUGAUCUAGUGGCAUCUUGUAUACAUCGAGGCAUUGUCACGCCCGGGUACCAGCGGAAGCAUAUCCGGUCGCGUGCACAGACCCGCCGUGUACACCACCACUCAAGUAUACACAAGGCGUCUACAAACCAUAUAGUAAAAGCAUAUAAUUCUAACCAGGUAAUCAGAGCACGACUUUUAAACUUAUACAAUCCAAACCUUAAUACAUGAAAGAAAAAUAAAGUACAAUUUACAAAAAAAACUUAAUAUACAUCUCUGUACUAAACUACAUAAACUGGUGGAGGUCGUCUAGUACACGUCCAAAAAGGCUCUAGCUAGCCGCAGACCCCUCGCCAAGAACCCUAGCCUUUUCCGGGGUGGAAGGUUCUGUAAAAACAACAACAAAGAGGGCGUGAGAACUAUUAAACAAUAGUUCCCAGUGGGUAAGCCGCCGAGAGUGGCGAAGUACACCACUAGGUCAACUGUGGCAUGAGUAGAUAGCAAUAAAUAAGCGAGUAAAUGCAGAUAAUACAAUAAGCAAUUAUAUGCAACAGAUAUGGAAGUAAACUACUCAUGCUAUUUGCUCAACCAUAAAUAAAUAACAAUAGAUUGCAGGUAUCAGUUAUCAUGAUAGAUUCUAUCAAUCAUAUUACUUGACAAUUUAACCAAACAUAUAUCAGAAUGUAUGCAAGAUAAUUCACUUUACUGAAAUUACAGAUGAUAUCAUGUAAUUACCUUGUUCCAUAGCAAGAAAGAGACAUAAUGUCAUUCAUUAUGUUGCUAACCAAUCAUGAUGUCAACUUCUAGGUUGUUCAUCACUAAGCUCACUUUAGAUGUCAACUUUCUAGUCUGUUCAUCAAUAAGUUCACUUAACCCAAGACAUAUAGUAACUUUACUACUCUGUCCAGCUAAGGUUAAAGUACUUGACAUAACCCAAUUUCCAACGGACUUACACAAGGUAAGUUCAAGCCGCGCCGUGCCUAAUGGCCCCGUGGUAGUCAACAUCCCCACUCUAGGAAUGAGCCUCCCCCACGGCAUUCCAUUUCGGCGCUCACUUCGUACAUUUGCGAGCAUCUGUCGCUAAGCUGUUCGGGAGUGCUGGCUUGGGGGGGAGCGACCCCGCAAGCGUGUGCAAACGCGCACAAUGGCAUGCAAGCCGUAGUCCACAGUACCAGUCUCACAACAACAUCAUGUCCCUGACAUGGAAUCUCAACUCAAGCCACUCCGGAACGCGGGGCUUGGGGGGCGCGACCCCCGCAAGCAUGUACGAAAGAGCAUAAUGGCAUGCUAGCUAUAGUCCAGGGUACAAAUAUCUCAACAGCAUCAUGUCUCUGACAUGGAAUCUCAACUCGACCCAAGGUCGGCACUGUAGUACCCAAUCAUAAGUCACUAUCAACAACUUGUUGACAAGAUUCUACCAGUCGUUAAUAUAACUUGACAAGUUAAAGCUUUACAUCACACUAGUGAUUCUAUCAGGCUAUACCUGGUCAGUCACUCACAAUCUCUCACUACUCCUUACACAUAAGGAAAGUGGUUUACUAAGGUUCUGUUCAUAGACUCAUGGCACAUAACCUGAAGUUCAAUAUAAACUUCUAUUACUUGAAGCAAACAAAUAUGAAACAAUCACCUCUACUUGACUAUACAAGUAUGUCAUCAUAUUUAAAUCUAGUUAUCUACUAGAUUAUAUUCAGUUGUAUAUCAUUCAAUUAUGCCAUCAUAUAAACUUCUAGUUACUUACUAGAAUAUAUACCACAAUAUGAAUCUAUCAUGUGAAUGUAGAAACUAACAGAGUAAUACAAGCAAGGAAUAUAAACGAUAAAAUACUUUUCACAUGAUCUCCAUGCCAUUCAUUCUACAAUUAGGAAUGCAUAUGCAAACACAAGCCUUUACCUGAUCUUUCAGAGUUUAGCCAUUAUACUUGUUAUAUAACAUUGCAUAGCUCAAUCCUAAGUACAUCAGUCUCUUUGUUGUUCAACAGAACUAAUUGGUCCAUUCACGAAUUUACCAUUCUAUCCUCGUGGAUAACAUCAAGCCAAAUUGCAUAUGCAAGCUACUAGUAUCAUGAAUCCAUAGUACUUAACAGGUAACCAUGUAGAAUGGACAAGUCAUGAAUCUUUCAUUACCAUUUAAAGAUGCUAUCAUUUCCGAUAUGAUCUACAUAUCAGUGCAUGUCUCAAUGCCUUAAACUAUACAUAUAUUCACAUGAAUAUGAAAUAACUUCAACUCAGAUGUCAAAGGAGACAUAGAGGGAAUUCACCCAUUUCGGGAAGGUCCGACCCACCUAUCACCAAGCUCAAUCCAGCCAAAAGGAGUCCCGAACCCUGCUCAACGGAGCCUCGACGCUGCUGAAAACGAAACACGAAAAGCGCAUCAAAACUACGGCCGAAAUGUCCAAUUUCGGUACAAUUUGCACUUAGUACAAAGUAAUAACUUGAAUCCCUGUUUUGGGUUCAGUUAAUACCUCAAAUUAAGCUUCUAAAAGCCUUUACACAUCAGCCGGAGAUACUCCGAAAGUCCGUUGCAAGCCCGCUGCGAACAAUUUCCAAAACGGCAUCAUAGUCGUCAAAUAUCAAUAGAUAUAGUCGGAAUCUUGAAAAUUCAGUUUCCUCACAGCAAUUUCAGCUUACCUUUAGUUGGAACACCUUCUAAACCAGCCUCCCAGGUCACCAAAAGAGCUUAAUGUGAUUCGCAAACCUGCUGGGAAGAGAAAAGCUCAAACUGCAUCAAUUCGCUCGAUUGAUCCGCGUAUAGGCCGAAAUAACUUCAUAAAUAGCGGAACAUCUCCAAUAAGCUUCAAAGUAGCUUAUCCCAGGUCUAAGGAGGUUCAAUCACAGCUAAUUAACUCAUAUUUAAUAGCUGAAUUCUCAGUUUAAGUCAGUUGGAAGCAAAAACUCAAAAUCACUAAUCAAAUCGACGAAUAGAACGCCGAUAACGGAAAAAUCGAGUCGUUUACCUUCUCAAGCUUCCAACCAGCAACUCACUGGUUUGGUGCUGCGAAAAACCUUCCAAAAUACCCUCUCACACGUCCACAAAGGCUCAGUGACACUCGCAAGCAGCGAAGAACAAGCGAGGCGACGAAAUCGAGCUAAAUCAUUGAUUUCUAUGUAGAGAGAGAAAACUUCUAGAGAGAGAGAGUAAGAGAGGUGCAAGGCUGCUUCUCAGAGCUCUAGCAUCAUCCACAAGGGUCCAGGGGUCGUGCUGGGGUAAUAUGGAUAGAGACAAGAUGUGAAAUUACUUAAAUAACCUUGCUGCCACGUUUCUGCUAGUCUGUACCGGUACAAGGUGAUGGCUGUACCGGUACAGCAAGCAGAAAAACACUGAUUUCGCCAGAUCAAUGCACUUUCUUACUUUUAACCCUCCAAUCACUCUCUAACUUGUCCAAAAACUUGUCCAAACCCUUUAGAAUGUGUAGGGCAGUUUCAUUUACCUUUUCCCACGUUCGAACUUCGUAAUUGACCAAAUUCGAAGCAUUGCAAUUGAUAAUGCAUUUGCGAUGCACUUUUCCAUUUCUAGUUACUUACUUACUCUAGUAACUUAUCAAAAACCUUUCAAUAGUCUUGCAAAAGUCGUAGACCAGUUCCAAAAGCCGAUCCAACCCUCGAACUUACCAAGAGGCUCAAGAUUCAGUAUAUUACAGGCAUUGUAGUUGUAAUUGAAGUUAUUGCAUUUAUUUAGUAGAAAUAUCUGUUGUUAUCAUAAAUUAUCUACUAAUACUUUGUUUGGACCAAGUGAGUAUAGAGUGCUACUUUUGGCAGCUGCACUCACUAGGAACUAACUGUAAUUCUUACGCUUUUAUUGUUUAUCCUUUUCUGGAGCUUACAUUGUCGGUGAGGUGCGUGACCAAGGCAAGGGUGUUGCGGAAUAGUGGAUCUAGAGAGAAGUUUAGAUAUACCAUUUAUUUUGGACAAUCAAACAUUAUAAUAUUUUGGGAUCAAAACAUGUAAACUUUAAUAUAGUUUAAUAUUUGUGAAAUGGUUUCAAUAGUUAUAGAAGCCAACUGCCUCUUGUGCAAGUGACAAAGGGCUUAGUGAUUGGUACCCGAAGUCCCAUGUUCGAAGCCUAAUCACAUUUUUCGCUAAGUUUAUUUCUAAAAGAAAUAAAUAAAGCGGGAGCAUACUACGUACGUACCUUUCUCCAAAAAAAAAAAAAACUUGUAGAAUUUAAAAUUGUUUAAAGUUGAAUCUUUUAAAUUAGUAGUUGUAUACUUUGAUAUUGCAUAUAGCAUAUCAUAUAUGAUUGUAUGGGUUGGUAUGUGAUUUCGCUUCGUGCGGAUAGGAAAAGUCUUGCCCAUUCGGCCGUUCUGUUGCAAAUGACUGAGCGGGCCUAAUUGGUGGUCUCGUGGUGUGACACACACAACCAAGAUGAUUAGAAUACUAUCUCAAAAAGUUAAAUAUUAAUUAAUUAACUAAAGUAGUUAAGUGAUACUAUAUAACUAUAUUAAUUACUUUUCAUAUGCUGAUAAAUAAAUUUAAAUCCAAAUAUAACUAUUCAAGGAGAGCAAAAGGAGUUCACAACUGGUGGGUACCACUAAUACUGCAAACGACAACCACCAAACCAUAACUCCGUCUAAGCGCAUACCUCCGUCUCCAAAUACUAUCACUCCAGAAUAGCUCGUCAUAAUAUAUCUGACUAUUCAGGAAUACGCUAUUCAUUUUUACUAAUAUUAUCUGGAUGCAUCUCUUUGAUCUCGACUGUAUCUGGCCAUCAUAGUAUACAUCGAUUAUACCAACUAGUUUAUUCAAAUGUCACCUAGUACAUCGAUCCUCACACGAUGUAUGCUGCUACCUCAAUACGUUACCCCUAUUCGAUUGUCAUGGUCUAUGAAUCUCAAGGUUAGAUUUUAACCCUAUCUUCUUGGCAGUUUUAGAUCAUAUUUCGGCUAAGUAAACCCGAUGAACAUUGACUCACACAUAUCCUACUCUAAAUCUCCACUUCAAGACUGCAAUAACUACAUGAUUGCAAAUAAUCAGUCAAUUGAUUUUCCUUGUCCAUAUGAUCACAUAGAGCUCAUAACUAUGCCCGAAGAUCAAAAACAACACUAUAGUACCGGAACUCCGGUACUAUAGAUAGUAUAGUAGCCUAACUCUAUAUAUAUAUAUAUAUAUAUAGCAAGUAGAUCAUACUAGCAUAAUUAAUUAAUUGCAAAUAUCCUCAUAUUUUCUCAUGCAAUUAAAUUUGAACAUAAGAAACAGACAAUGUAGAAAUUUAGCAAAGAUGAUAAAUUUUAUUUAAAUGGCGUAGCUCGUAGAGACAACCCAUACUAAACACUCGUCGAGAUUACAGUGGUGUUAGUAGCCUAAAAUAAAAUCAUUAUGGAGGCCCCAUAUAAGGUUGUCCCCAAGGGCCACUAAACCUAACUUUAAUGAUAUAAUAAUAAUAAUAAAUCAUAAAUAUGGACACUUUGUGUGCUAUAUCUAAGAUUUGAUGGUCAAUAUGAUAAAAUUAAUGUCACGCCCCGGAUUACACUUUCCCCGGGCACGCCGACAAAUCCGCCGUAUACAAAGGAAUUUCCCCUGUAUACGAAGCGUUAGCUGUACCUGUAAAUCAAACACUACUACGAACAGUAGUAGAGAGCUGCUAGAGAAAACAGAAGCUAAACAAACUGAGUUUCAUAUACAUAGUCCAAAUCCAAAAUACAAAGCUACUCGCACUGGCGAGUUAAGUCCACUAUGUACAUAAACUCGAAACAAAACAUCUACCUGCAGUAGGGGCACCUCUAGCUCAGCACGUCGGGUAGGGCUCUAACUCGCGACGCCCUUACCUCGAUCCUGAUCCGCGGAAGGCGCAGCAGCCGAAACCUGUGGCUCNCUCGUUUCUGGGCGACCCUAACAAUGUUCUGGGCGCCCGAAUCUGGCAAAACUUCAGUUUUGCUUAUUUGAGUGCGCCGAGUCCAAUUCUGCAUCCAAUUCGUGCAGAAUUGACUCCGACUCAGUCCGACACUCUCCAGAGAUGUCGACCAGUCUAUAAUACUGAAGCCAAUCCUAUCCAAAGCUCAGGAACACUACAAUUAAAUCGACUGUCACUAACGCAAGUGGCAAAUGAUCUGGCGGUUAGUACUCGAUCGAGGUCUCAAGUUCGAAUUCUAGUUGAUUCAUAUUUCGAGCUCAAUUUAUUUUUUAAAAAAAUAAAUGAAAUGGGUAGCAUGCUACCUUUCUUUUUAAAAAAAAAUCACUAAAAGGUUAGGGACCACAUUUGAGAAAGGAACUCAGUGUAAACAAAUCUAGUGCCCAAAGAGGUGAGUUUUUUUUUUUUUUUUUAAGAAAAGUAGUAUUCUAUCUGUUUCGUUUAUUUUUUUAAAAAAAAUUAAUUAAAAAUAUGAAGUAAUUAAGAUUCAAAUCUAGAAUUUCAGAUACCAAUCAGCAAAUCUUUUGCUAUUUACGCUAGAGACGGUCAAUUCAAAGAGGUGAGUUGUGCCUCCAACUUGGAGCAUUGCAGUUCAUGCAAUGUCUUUUUUUAACUGCCGCAAAAUGUUGGGCGUUGAUUGGCAUGUGACAAAUAUUUUAGUUUAUAUAUAAUUCAAAUAUUUUAGUUUAUAAUUAAAAUAAAAUUUACUAUAAAGUGAUGAGCUUUUAAAUUGUGUUCCUACCUUAACUUUUGGUUGCAUAAAAUUAAUUUAUUUAUGCAAAUUUAGUUUGAACAUUUUAAGAAUUUAAAUUUUAUCAGGCUAAGUUCAAUCCAGUCUACUUAUUUAAAUUUAGUUUCGAGUUACUUUUUAGAAUACAAGUUUCCAAAUUAGUUAUUAUUUAAAAGCAACAAGUCACAUAAUAUUGAGACAAAUUCAGAUUUUUUGUGUUAAUAAUUCCCUAGUUAUUAUAUAAAAUUAGUCAAGUCAUCUAAGUUAAGAUCAAUUCAAAUAUUAGUGUCUCAUACCAUAGAAUUUUUCCUGUUGUUGAAUUUUUAUAAAAUUUUUAAAAUAAUCAACUUGCCGCUACUGUAAAGAUUGUCAUUUGUUUUAGAAAAAGAGGUGACACGGUGUCAAGAACUACUUCCAAAGUCUCUAAUAAGUUUAUAUAUAUAUUUGUAACGACCCAGCCCACUAGCGACAAUAACUCGCUGGGCCCAACCAUAGCCCAAAAUGCUUAAGCCUAGUUAUUAUUAUUAGUGUCUAAGUCUCUUAUAAAGACAAUGACAAUCUCAUUCCCAUCCGAUAUGAGACUAUUAGGGUGUCACAGACUCCUCCCGUUAAGGUCCUGACGUCCUCGUAAGUCCAAUCACACAUACAGCCCAAGAUCACCAGGCGAUGUGAGACUCGUCUCGCUAGCCCGUCAUCCAGACCAUGGCUCAGCCGAGACUCACCACACAUGUCCAGCUGGUGAACCGGCUCUGAUACCAAAUGUAAUGACCCAGCCCACUAGCAACAAUAACUCGUUGGGCCCAACAACCGGCCCAAAAUGCUUAAGCUCAGUUAUUAUUAUUAGUGUCUAAGUCUAUUAUAAACACAAUGACAACCCCAUUCCCAUCCGAUGUGGGAUUAUUGGGGUGUCACAGACUUCCUCCGUUAAGGCCCUGAUGUCCUCGUCAGUCCAAUCACACACACAGCCCAAGAUCACCAGGCGAUGUGAAACUCGUCUCGCUAGCCCGUCAUCCAGACCCUGGCUCAGCCGAGACUCGCCACACAUGUCAAGCUGGUGAACCGGCUCUGAUACCUAAUGUAACGACCCAGCCCACUAGCAACAAUAACUCGUUGGGCCCAACCAUAGCCCAAAAUUGUUAAGCCCAGUUAUUAUUACUAGUGUCUAAGUCUCUUAUAAAUACAAUGACAAUCACAUUUCCAUCCGAUGUAGGACUAUUAGGGUGUCACAGACUCCCCCCGUUAAGGUCCUGACGUCCUCGUCAGUCCAAUCACACACACAGCCCAAGAUCACCAGGCGAUGUGAGACUCGUCUCGCUAGCCCGUCAUCCAGACCCUCGCUCAGCCGAGACUCGCCACACAUGUCCAGCUGGUGAACCGGCUUUGAUACCACUUUAAUCUGUCACGCCCCGGGGUCCCUUUUUAGUUUAAAGUAUAGCGGAAAAGCGUCUGAAAUUUUUUUUUGAAAACCUAACCCCAGAGUAUGCCAGAUCCGCCACAAAUACAGGAGAUCCACUGUUCACACAGACAGAGUCUCCCCUGUAUUUGCACGGCGUCAUACAAGUACAGAGUUCAAACAUGAUACAACCAUAACCAGAUGAGCAUACAAAUAACCAACAGUUAUACAUUCCUACACCAUUCACCACAGUUUCACAUUUAUACAUUCAAUAUUUAAAAAUAAAUCCACAUCUAUCAGUUAAAAUGUUUCCAACCACAGAAAUAGGUUUUGAAAUACUAAGAUACAGAAUCCACAGAAAACUUUUUGAAAACUGUUCCCUAUACAGGAACUUUUAUCUUUUAAAAACGUUACCACGAGGGGUAGAAAUCCAUUCAACAUUUGAAAUCCACAAAUUCCCUUUUUUUUUUUUAUUACAUCAUAAAGCCAAUGAAAAUAUAAUGUUCAACUGAAAUAUCAAAAACUGAACCAUAACUAGAUCUAAGUUAUUUAUUUGGAGAACCGACCAACCGGGUCACAUAUGUAAAUACAAGAACAGACUAACCAGGUCGCAGAUGUCAUAACCAGAUAAAGUCUACUCUACUCCUACACAAUGAUACUACAUAUGGAAACAACUGAGUAGAGUAAAUAUGAAAAUAGCAUGGGUGCAAGGCUCAACGUGUAUAAGGUAAGCAGUAUAAACAACAAGGGUAAAGGAAACGUCACCGAACGUGCACUACUGUACCGACGUCGGAUCGAAGUACCCACUUGUACGUGUCUGACGAAAAUCUCUCGACUAUGAAGACGGUGCAACCGAACCUACGAAAGGUCCACCGGGUUAGAACCUAACCCACUACUAAGAAACCCUCAAAGCAUAACCCCACAAAUAAACCCACGGGAAUCGGUUUCCCAAAAUCGAUUACCGAACACACCGGAAGUCCCGAACCACGCACCGAAAAUCAACGAUUGGUUUCCGGAAAGGCUUGGGGCCUUGGACGAUCAGUCCAGAGGUUAUCCUCAGCCUACACUUGCUGCCAACAACAGCCACAUCGAAGCAAAAAGCAUAAAAGCCCUUACCGCUACAUAGAAUCACAUCAUUUUAUGUGAUUUCUAGGCUUUUCUGGACCGUGCACGCAAACCAGAGAUCGAUUAAUCAGACCGUCGCACUCGUUGAUAGGUUUCAGUGUGCCGGAGGCCGUGCUCACCUCCGACAGAACUCGUUGGGCCCAACAACCGGCCCAAAAUGCUUAACCCCAGUUAUUAUUACUAGUGUCUAAGUCUCUUAUAAACUCCAUUCCCAUCCGAUGUGGGACUAUUUUGGGACUAUUGGGGUGUCACAGACUCCCCCCAUUAAGGCCCUGACGUUCUCGUCAGUCCAAUCACACACACAGCCCAAGAUCACCACCAGGCGAUGUGAGACUCGUCUCGCUAGCCCGUCAUCCAUACCCUGGCUCAGCCGAGACUCGCCACACAUGUCCAGCUGGUGAACCGGCUCUGAUACCAAAUGUAACGACCCAGCCCACUAGCAACAAUAACUCGUUGGGCCCAAACCACCAGCCCAAAAUACUUAAGCCUAGUUAUUAUUACUAGUGUCUAAAUCUCUUAUAAACCCCAUUCCCAUCCGAUGUGGGACUAUUGUGGGACUAUUGGAGAGUUAUUGUUGGUAGUGGGCUGGGUCGUUACAAUAUUAUUAUACGCUAAAAUACAAAAAUUUUGUUAUAAAUAUUUAUUUUUUUAUUUCUCUUUCUCGAUUUUCAAAAUUCUAUAUUUUUCUCUCUUAAAAUGUUAGAAAUAUUUCCAGGAAUACGAUGUUAUUGGAGAAGGCAAAAUGACCAAAUUAUUAUUAUUUCUUCGAUAAAAAAAAAAUAAUUUUUAAAUAUAUUUUUAUCGUUCUGAAUACUAUUUUCGGUAUAAAUUAUAAAAAGUGGAUGGAAUAGUAAUGAAAUCUUGACAGAAGGGGUCUAAAUGCAAUAACUUAAAAUGUUGAGAGAAUAAAAUAUAAAUUUUUAAAAGUUAGAAAAAAAAAUUAAAAAAAUUGUAUAUUUAUAAAAAAAAACUUUUGUAAUUUAGUCUAUAUUAUAUUUAGAUAUGGAGCCUAAUGUUUGUAUUACAUAUUUCUACACCAUCGAUUGUCACUGUAAUUUUAUAGUUUUGUUGGAGUAAAAACAAAAAAUCGAAAUAUUUUCGGAUUUUCAAGACCUUUCAAAAACGCGAAAGUGGAUGGUUCUGGAAAGGCGCGCCCAAACUAGGGCUCAAACGCUCGGUGCAGGGAACAAAUUUCGGAUGCGCUCACGGUAGGUGUGGACACGAGUCGGUCGCCGCGACGCCGACGCCGACGCCGACGCUGGUUCGACGACACGUGGUGGAAUUCGAAGGGCUGCGGAUCCGGGAGAAUUGGGGCAUCGUCGACCGACACGUGUCGGUUUCGCUCCGGGAAUAAUAAGUGGGACCCGUGUUGACCGGUCAGGACGCGUGCGUGUCGGAGCGGCGCCUCUUUUUUUUCCUAAUUGAAAUUCUGCGGAUGUUUUAAAUGCGGUGUCGGCCGACACCUACGCGCCGUUUCCGAACUUUGGCAGUUGACUCUGCCGCUCCCCCCGACCUUUACCAAUUAAUGCUGAUCAUCAUCAUCAUCAUGAAUCACCGUAAUAAAAAUAUAAAAUUAAUUUCACACAUAUCCCUACAAAUAUAAUAAAUUAUAAAUAUAUUUUUAUAAAUUUUAAUUUUUAUUUACUGUCCCUACAAAAGUACUAAUAUUUUCAAAUAUAUCUCUGCCGUAAGAGUUCGUUAGAAAACUUUAAUUAACCAUAGAUUAAAUAGUUAAUUGUGAUUAGUUUAUUAGAUAACUUGACAUUUUUGUUCCUGUUGUGUCUUUUAGAGAGGCAUACUUGUGAUGGCAAAAUUGACAUUUUAUUUAAAAUAUAAACAGUUUUAUAACUGUAACAAAACAGAGGAAUAUAUUUAAAAAUAUUAAACUUUUGCAAGAAUAAUAUAUAAAAAUUAAUCUUUAUAAGAAUAUAUUUGUAAUUUACUAUAUUUGUCGCGACGUGUAUGCAUUUAACCCUAAAAAGUAAUUUGCCAAUAUUUGUUUACUUAUAUAUUUAUGGACAAAAUGUAAGGAUACCGUCCAUAUUAUUGGUCAGCGAACUUUUGACGAUAUUUUAUUUUGAACCCCCUUUUAUUAUUAUUAUUAUUAUUUUUGUAAAUGAGCCAGUUUUAAAUGUAAUCCCCAAAAGUUACAAAAUACUUAAGAUAUCUUCAACAUAGAUAGUCAAUAUUAUUUUUAUCAAUCCACAACAAAAGAACCCAUCAACCGCACAUUGAAAUGUUCAGUGCUUUCGUAUUCUUAUUAGGGUAAGUUGGAAUUUUGGAGUGACCAGUCCAAGUCACCACACUCAUCUUAAUUUGAAGCACGUACUUUGUCGACACACACCAACUCCGUGCGAAAGUGAUUUCCACCGAAGCACGAAAUUGGUGCAUCUAUAGCUGGUUGAUAUAUAAUUUGCUUCUAAUAAAGUGGGUGUGCUACUUAGUUAAACAAGUGGCAAAGGGCUUCGUAGUUGGUAUCCGAGAUCCAAAUUCGAAUCCUAGUUGAUUCACAUUUUCAGCUAAGUUUAUUUCUAAAUGAAAUAAACGAAGCAGGUAGCGCACAUGCUACCUAUCUCUCUCUCAAAAAAAAAAAAAAAAAAAAAAAAAAAAAAAAAAAAAAAAAAAAAAACUUGCUGGCCUCAUUUUCCACAAAAAAUAGUACUGCGGAAAGAGACAUCAAGUAGCUAGGCCUUUAGUCUGAGGGGGUACUGAAGCCUUCAGCUUCAUUCACUUAUUAAAAACUAUAGCUUUAAUUAUGUUGGCCUUUUUCUAAUUUUCCUUUCAAGUUGGGGCCAUCUGAUGUUCCCUUUCUCAGCACUUUUUAGUCAAAUUCUUAUACAAAGUCCUAAUCAAUGGAGGGCUGAGGGAUCCAAACACCCUCAUUAUAUAGAAAUUGAAAAUCCCAAAAGAAGUAAAGAGUUUUGCUUGGUUGGUAUUAACUAUUAAGAGGGCGUGACUUCACGGCAGACAAUUUGUGAGAGGAGUGGAUUUCGGGUUCAACAAUUGAUGGAUCCUCCCUCUAUGGAAGUGAACUGAAAACGAUUGGUCAUUUAUUUGCUGGAUAUAUGUAUACUUGUUUUUUAUUCUGUAAGUACUAGAGCGAGUUUUUUACUCAAAUGUGCUAUCGCAUAUGGCUCGUGAACUUGGAAAGAGGUUAAGGGAACUUAAGAAGAACCUAACUACUCUAUUGGCUACGUGGUGGGCUCUCUGGCUCGAAAGAAGAAAAAAAGAACACCACGUAUUAGGGAGAGGAGCCGAAAACCGAUACAAGGUGAUUGGAGGGUAUUCGGAUUCGGAAGCAGCUAAGACAUUGGGAUGCAGCUUGACCUUGAUUGAUUUUGGAGUAGUAGGUCUCUCCUGUGCUUGCUUAUUUGGCCGAUUUUACUUGGUGCUUGAUUGACCAAUUUUACUUUGUACUUGUUUGACCCCUUCCUCCCUCCUCUACCUCCCCACUCUAAUUAGCAGUGGUGCUCUAUUCUUGUUUUGUUUUUCAAUCUUUGUUUAUUUUCCUUUUCCUCCUUUUUCUUUUAUUACUAUUAUGUUAGGCUUUCAGAGGCCAGAUUGUCUCAUCUUUUUUAAUUAAAUUUUUUUGCUUAAUGAAUGAAGUGGACAGUUUGUUACCCUUUUUAAAAAAUUAUUGUUUUAUUAUGCAAAUGGUCAGUGUUUACUAUCAGUGACUACAAGUAUAAAAUAGUUUUAUUCUUCUCUAAUCUUAAUUUUUAAAAGAGACUCCAAAACUUGAUUCUCUCUCACCACCCGUACGGACCACCUCAAUGCUCCUUAAUUAAUUAGAGCUCCAACUCGGCUCGGGUCACGACACGCAAGAAUGCACGAUCGAAUACAAGAAACACUCCUUAAUUAAUUAGCAUGGUAAUAAGAAUCCGGCUUCUUGACUGUACGGAACACCAUGCUUGAGGGAUCUUGCUCCAAGAGGCUUCAAUUAAUUAGCGCACGAAGAAUAGUCUCAGCCGCACCAACCUUUUAAUUUAAUUUGCAUGGCUCUUAAUUGUGUCGCAACUUCUUUAAUUUGGCCGUAGCAUGUAUAUAUAAUACAUGUCUCCUAAUUAGAGUCUAAUUCUAAUUCAAUUAGAAUUAUACUCCUAAUUAUAAUCCAUAUAUGCCAAAUUAAAUCUAAAUAAUAUCUAAUCCCAAUUAGAUUAGGAUUUAUCCUUAAUUUAGAUAACUACAAAUCUAAACCAAAUAUAACAAUUUACUAUCAGUGACUACAAGUACAAAAUAGUUUUAUUCUUCUCUAAUCUUAGUUUUUAAAAUUUUACUCUUUACAAGCAAACUGAACCAAUCCAAUCUCUUUAAUUCAAUGCAAAGAUACUGCAUUGAUCCUCCUUAUUAACGGGCUACGUAGCAUUUCUCAACCUAAAAUAAUUGUUUGCUCUAUCUUUCCUAUACUUAUAAAAUCUGAUUUAUCUUAAAUAAUAAGAUUGUAAGAACGCUGAUUUCAUUAUGAGUAGGGCCAGUUUUGAUAAAUUUUUCCCUUUUUUUCUCUAAUAACCAAUUCAAGCAUUUCAAAAUCACCUCUCAGUAGGUCAAAAUUUAUUUAUUUCAAAAUCUUUUUUAUUUUCAGUCGUUUCAUAUGUUUCGCUAUGCUCAAUUCAAAUCAGAAUAUUGGGUUUACUUUUUUAAUUUUCUUCAUUAUUCAUUUUAGAACUGUAAGUAUUUUGAAACUUUUAGAAGAAGGAAAUUUUUUUUUUCAAUUUUCUAACUCUUCUUUAGAGUUCUUUAUAAAUGGGUUUAAAAAAAAGGUGGCCCUUUUCAGGGAUUGUAUAAUGAUAUAAAUAACUAAGCUUCCACAGAUUUUAUAAUUCUAAUGAUGUAAAGCUCUUUGACUCACAACUAAGUUAUCUCAAGAAAAUAAAGAGUUACCGACCGUCCCUAGAGCAAGUAAUAAAGGGUUUGAUGGUUGGUACCCGAGACGCAAGUUCGAAUCCUAAUUGAUUCACAUUUUUAGCUAAGUUUAUUUCUAAAUAAAAUAAAAAAAACAGCUAGCGUGCUACCUAUCUCUCAAAAAAAAAAAAAGAAGAAAAAAACAAAGAAAAUAAAGAGUUACAAAUUAGGACAUAAAUUGAAGAAUAAAAAAAAAAAAAAAAAAAAAAGGCAAAAUUUGUAAUUCAACCCAUCAAUAAAACCGGUACGUCAAAUAUUCCGAAGCAUCUCAAAGAAAUAUUUACAUCCAUAUUAGAGGAAAUCUCCAUACCUUAAAAUAUUUGUUAAUAAAUUUACUUACAAGCGAACACAAAAUCACGUUUUUACGCGCAUUUAAAAGUUAACAAAUAUAUAACAAAGAUCCCCCACAUAUUUUUCCUCCCACCAACAUUCACCAUAGUUAAUUUAAAUGACGUGAUUAUCAAAUGAAGAGGAGCAUCAGAAAAGAAAAAGAAAAAAAGAAAAAAAGAAGAAAUCAUCACACGCAUCUGAUUGAAAAGCAUGCAUGCGUCCCUUGAUAUCAGUAGCAUCAAUUAUCAUCAAUUACGUGCUUUAAGAUUCGAGCCAGUGCUAUCCAAUAAUCGAUAGAGGGAGUGCGUCUCAUUAAUAAGGGUCAAACCUUUUUCUUUUGUUUUUGUUUUUGUUUUUGUUUUUGUUUUUUUUUAAAAAAUUUUAAUUAUAUGAGUAUACGCAUCUCAUUCCACAACCCAACCAAAUCCACCCAGCUACGUUGACUGCGUUGACUCGCCCUCCCCUUCCGUUCCCUGAGUUUGACCAGUUUGACUCUCGUUUUCUUUGAAGGUCAUAACGGUCUCAAAUGCGCCGACGAGGGCCUUCACCUUGCUCUUCCUCACCCCCAGGAGCUUACUCCUCGCUUUCUCUAUCACGUCGUUGCUCUUCGGCGCCUCCUCCUUCCUACUCGCCGCUCUCGCGGCAGUUUCCGCCGCCGUCGCCUUCUUCUCCUCUUCUCGCUUCUCCGUCGCUGCCUCGGCCAUUGUUGUCGUACUUGGCUCCACCAAUAUUGUGGACUUCUCUGUUUCAGCUUCCACCACCAAUGUGGGCUUCUCUGUUUCGGCUUCCACCAAUAUGGGCUUCUUCUCUGUUUCAGCUUCUGCUUCCGGCUUCAGCUCCACCCCUUCCCCUGCUUCUGCUUCUGCUUCUGCUUCUGCUUUCGGCUUUUCAAUGUCUUCUACUGCCGCAGCGGCAUUCUCUUCGAACCCUUUAGAGCAUUCCUCCUCCGCUUCUUCUUCAUGCUUCUUCUCGUCACCAUGACCGACCUCAACAUCCACACUCACUUCAUAUGGGUCCUCUGUUUCAGGAGGAGAAGCAUCGGAGGCCGCCGCCGCUUCCGAACUACUCUUCGGCUCGACAGGGUCAGGGAGCUCUUCGACCAAGUGGUCUUCUAUAGAAGCAAUGCUCAUGUUCUCACUCUCCUCAAUCUCACUCUUCAUUUCUAUCUCCUCUUCACUCUCUAUAACCACCGCAUAAUUAUUAUUAUUAUUAUUAGUAGUAGUAGUAGUAGCAGUAGCAGUAGUACUUGUUUUCAAAAGAGAGCCAUGGUUGGCCUCUGUUUUCCUCGUGCCCGUCCCGGGGCUCCUCACCCGCGACACCGCACUCAGUCUCGCACCCUUCGGAGCAGUAACCGACGUUUUAUCCGAACCAGGCCGAUGAGAAAUUGUAGUUUUAUGCGAAGAGGAAGAAGCUUUAGGGGUUUUCUCCUUACUGUCCUUGAGGGUUGUUAAUGGCGCCUUGGUGGUGCUCUGUUUCUUACGAGUGGAGGCAGAAGAAAAAGUAGUAGUAGUAUGUUGGUGGCGGCUCGAGCUUACGGUGGGACGGAGAAAGGAGGCGGCUGCGGUGGAUUGCGACGGGGGAGGGGGGCUGCGGCCGGGGGAGUUUGGGAGAGAGGAUUGCUUCGGCGGUCGGCGACCGGAGUGGGGUGUGGGUGUGGUGGUGGUGGUGGUGGUGGUGGUGGUGGUGAUGCUCUUAUUUCUUUGGUGUGUUGGUGCUCCUCCUCCUCCUCCUCCUCCUCCUCUUCCUCCUACUCCUUCCUUUAUUGGCUUUGAUGUAGCCAUGAGCUAGGUGAUUUUCAACUAUGUUACACACACAAUUUUUCUUUUAGAAAAAAAAUAGUACACUACUACGUGCUUCGUUUAUUUAUCAAACAAAUUUAGCCAUAUAGAGAAGUUGAUUAAAUAAAAGUUAGGGUUCUUACAGAACAAACAAUAAAUCAUGAUACAAGGUAGGAAUACUCAUAGGAAUCUCGUCGUCUGCAUCAUUAAUACAAAAGAUUUAAAAAAAAAAAAAAAAAUUUGUGAACAUGUAUAAGACCCAUGAUCACCAUUUAAUUUUCAUAUAAUCAAGCUAAUAGAAAUGUGUGAACAUAUAUCGUGUGGUUCUUUGUGUCUAAUCUCUCCAAGUUAUGAAUUCUCUGCACAUGUUUCUUACGUUUGCAUCUAAUCACUUGAUUAAAGGUGGUUGGAUUUUGAUUAAUUUAUUUAUGUGACUUAGAUGAUUGAAUUUAGUGCAUAAUUUCAUCUAACCUAAUCUGUUUAGUGGAACAUACCAAUGAUCAUUGAACAAUUAUUGUUGCUUUUAUUUUUUUUAAUUCAAAAGAGGAUACAACCAAGAAUCACUAAACAUAAAUUGAAAAUUUAAAUAAUCUUACAUUUAAAAAAGAAAACAAAAGGAUCAAUGGCUUUUGGUGUACCUUGGAUUGGAGUGCUCAACUCAUGAUUAUCUUCUCCAUUUGUUUAAGGAAACCUGAGGUUGAAGAAAUGGGAGAAGGUGGAGGGAGGAAGUUUUGUCCCAUUACUAUUAUAAUAUAUAUUCUCAAAUGGGUUUUCUUUGCUUGAGAGAGAGAGAGAGAGAGAGAGAGAGAGAGAGAGAGAGAGAGAUGUGGAGCCCCAUAUUUAAAAUUGGUUAUGAAGAGACCAAGUCAAAUUAAUUAGAAGCAGUUGUAAGCUAUUGGAAGCGGUUUGCAUUGCUAAUUCUAGAGAUUUGGCUCAAUAAAUAAUAAAUAAUAAUAAUAAUAAUAAUUGUUCAUGUUGCAAUGUUGGUUACUUGAUAUAUUACUAAAUUUGAUGGACAUUUUCAUGCUUGGUUGAGUUAAUUAUAUCACAUCUUUACAAUUUGAAUAAUUGUCCAUUUGUGGUUAUGCCACAUAUCAAGCAUUUUUCAAGUUUUUUUUUUAGGACAAAAUUUAAACCAAAAAGGUGAUUGUUAUGCUGGUUACCUGUUAUCUUUUGCUUGCAUUCUAUAGGUUUUCGAUUUAAAUUAUGCUUAUAAUUUGAAUAGAGUGCAUAUUUAGUGUCUUCUACCUCUGUAAAAUUUGAGUGAUUGUGCAAUUGAGAUUUAAGGAUUUGUAUAGGCAAUAGUCUUUUUUUUUUUUGAGAGAUAGGUAGCACGCUAUUCGCUUUGUUUAUUUCAUUUAGAAAUAAACUUAGCUGGAAAUGUAAAUCAACAAGGAUUCGAACUUGGGUCUCGGGUACUAACCACCAAACCCUUUGCUACUUACUCUAGAGACGGUCGGUUGUAUAGGCGAUAGUCACCUAAUGAGUACAUUAGGAAAAUACGUGUAAGAAUAGGGAUGUUUUCGAAUUUCAAUGAGCUUUUACUUUUGAUUGCAUUGGGAAAUAAAGGAGGAAUAAUUUAGGAGAAUUAAAAAUACGUUAUGUUGGCUUAAAUGGACUAGCAUCCUGUCCUGUAGCGGAAGAUUAUAUUGGGCCGAGUCAUGUUUGAAAUGGCGUGAGGCUGAAUGAGUCGAGUCAUAUUCGAAGUGGUGUGAGGCUGGUUAGGCCAAGUCAUAAUCGAGACUCAUGGGCGUUGUAUCUGUACACUUUAAUUGAAUUGGUUACGUAUUUCUAACAGCUCGAGCUAUUAGGAUUAAUGGUUAGCACAAACGAUCCGAUAAGUAGUAUCAGAGCCAGAGGUCACAGGUUUGAUUUUCGCAUACUGAAAAUAUGUGUAAGUACUGGAGAGGGGAUUGUUGGCUUAAAUAGGUUAGCAUCCUGCCCUGUGGCGGGAGGCCAUGUUGGGACGAGUCAUGUUCAUGUUUGAAGUGGCGUAAGGCUGGUUGGCGUGAAGCUGGUUCGGCCAAGUCAUAAUCAAGACCCGUAGACGCUGUAUCUGUACGCUUUGCGUAUUUACAAUCCAACACGUUAUGCUCCCCUUUGAUCUCCAAUUUGCUAAAAGUUCGCCAAAAAUACUCUCUAAUCUCGAUCUGUGCUGAGUGGAGUGAUAACUGCUAAAAAAAACACUUUCAAACCGGGUUAUUAAUGGGAUCAAAAUAAGGUUGGCAUGAAGCUGGUUGGGCCAAGUCAUAAUCAAAACCCGUGGACGCUGUAUCUGUACGCUUUGCGUAUUUACGAUCCAACACAUUAUGCUCCCCUUUGAUCUCCAAUUUGCUAAAAGUUCGCCAAAAAUACUCUCUAAUCUCGAUAUGUGCCAAGUGGAGUGAUAACUGCCAAAAAAACACUUUCAAACCGGGUUAUUAAUGGGAUCAAAAUAAUGGGUUUAUUAACAUUCUAAGAAUUAAACUACUUAUUAGUAGGAUACUAGGAUCCAUAUUUACAGAUGUCAAUGGAUAUGGAUAUUUAAAAUUUUAUCUGUGCGUGAAUUCGAAUAGUUCAGGUUUAACCAAUAUUAAAAAGGAAUACCUUCAGUUACAGAUAUAAAAAGAAAAAUGUGACAAAUUAAAUUCAGAUAUAGUUUUUAUCUAUAUGACCAGAACUUGAACCCAAGUCAAACCUGAACCAAUUUUAUAUUAUAUAAUAUAUAGAAAUUUAAAUCAGUACAUAAAAAUUUUAAAUAUCCGUAUGAUAUGUUUUAAAAUUAAAUAAAUUAUACUUUUGGUCACCAAAAGUACAUGAUAUUUAAUUUUAAAACAUAUCAUACUUAAAUUUAAAAUUUUUAUGUACUGAUUUAAAUUUCUAUAUAUUAUAUANUCUAUAUGACCAGAACUUGAACCCAAGUCAAACCUGAACCAAUUUUAUAUUAUAUAAUAUAUAGAAAUUUAAAUCAGUACAUAAAAAUUUUAAAUUUAAGUAUGAUAUGUUUUAAAAUUAAAUAAAUUAUACUUUUGGUCCUAAAAGGUACAUGAUAUUUUAGUCCUCAAACUUUAAUUUGUUAUAAUUUUCAUCUCGAACUUUCUGAAUAAUUCCAAUCCAGUUGCACAACCCAAUUCACUAAACAUUGACAAAAAUUAUUUGAUGUAGAGGUGAUAUAAUAUUUUAAUUAUUCUCGCAUCAUUAAUCGCGAUUCUUUCACAACACUUCUACAUUAAUAAUUUAUCAAUAUUUAGCCAAUUGAAUUGGAUUGUAGGACUUGAUACAAUAAUUUAGAAAAUUCAAGUUAAAAAUUACAAUAAAGUAAAGUUUGGAACCAAAAUUUCACAGCUCUCAAAAUUUGAGCACCUAAAGUGCAGAUUUUUCUUUAAAAUUUGAUAAAGAGAAAUGAUUAUUUUCAUAUUCGGAUUUUCGGGCUUCAGUUCUUUUAUCUGGUUUGAUUCUAGUUAUGAAUUUUCAAAAGUCGAUAGGUUUGAGUUUAGAUUCAGAUUUCAAUUUCGAUAGUUGAAUUCGGAUUUGAAUUUUUAAAAAUUCGUCCCAAAUCCGAUCCUUUAACAUCCUAUUUAUAUUCGGAUUUUAAUAUAGUAAGAAACAAAAUUUUGCAAAUUUGAUUUUUGAUUCUAAAUAAAAACCAACCCAUUAACACUCCCAUACAAAACAAUUUGGAAAAAUAUAAGGUAAACAAUGCCAAACACAAGAGUACAACACAAGAAAUAGAUUUCUUUAUGUAAUAUAAAAUUGCUAACUAAAAACUCUGUGCGUGUAAUACAAGGAACAGUUAGCAAUAUUCGAUGGGAAUAUGUCAUAGAUAACAUUGUUUUUUCCACUCAAAAAAAUAAAAUAAAAUAAAAACAACAUAGAAUUCCACUGUUUUGUCUUGUAUGAGUGGGAUGUUUUAUUUAUUUACCUUAAACAUAUUUUGUGUAAAAAAGAAAGAGGUGUAUUUUGAUAAGGCUAGUAGAUAAAUUUUAACUGUUUAAAUCUAAGAUUUAUAUAUUUUUUAGAAUGUACAAGUAAUAUUGCCCUUUGAAAAAUGCUAUAUGUACAUCAUAUAUAGGGGUGUACAUAUUACAUCUUUGGAUUCAAGGGUUUAGAAAAAAAAAAAUUGGAUAGUUAUUAAAAAAACAAUUGAUAAGAUCAGUAGAUGAAUCCUAACCACACAAAAUCUCUGGUAAAAAAAAAAUAUUUAUGCCUCUUAUCGACCGUUCCUAGCGCAAGUGACAAAAGGUUUGGUGAUUGAUACCCGAUGUUCCAAAUUCGAAUUCUAGUUAAUUCACAUUUUCAGCUAAGUUUAUUUCUAAAUAAGUAGCAUACGAUCUAUCUCUAAAAUAUAUAUAUAUAUAUAUAUAUAUAUAUAUGAGCUAAGGCUACUAUAACUAUCUAUAGUACCCGAGACUUCGUACUAUGUGUUGGUUUUUGCGAAUCUAGGGCUCUAAAAUCAACGAAUCCACACCGUUAAAAAUGGAUCUAGUGUAUUUAAAGUUUUCUAGAAAUAACAGUAACAACUUAUAUAUUUUCAUUAACAUAGUUACUUAUGGAUCAAACUAUCUUCAAAAUUGUCAAUUUUCAUAAUAUUAUUAAGCGAGCUUUGGAGUUUAAACGUUAGAAAUCUAAAUUUCUUUCAAAUUUGAUAGAAAAUACUUAAACUAUAUAACAUUAAGGUUAACACUUUGAUCUUGAAUUUAAAGUCAUAUGCCAAAUUUAAAGUAUCAAUUUUCCAAAACCGCUCCAUUUGAUAUAAUUUAUUUACUAAUUAAACGAUAUCGAAAAAAGGUAAAAUUUAUUCCUAGAGAAAUCCUAUACCCUAGAUCAAUAUUAACGGUGGUGAUUCGUGAUUUGAGAUCCCUAAGAUAGAAACAAAUACUAUAUACGCGGAGACUCGUACUAUAUAUAGUAUAUAGCCUAACCUAAUAUAUAUAUAAAUAUAUAUAUAAUAUAUAUAUUAUAUAUUAUAUCUUAAUAUAUAUAUAUAUAUAUGCCCCUUUUAAGGUAUUCAAAUAGUAUUACUAUUUUGUAUUUUAAUUUUUAAAAUCAAAAUUUUUGUUUUUAGGGAGCUGUGCAUUAGCUGAUCCUUUUAUUCUGCUGUCAUCAUCAAACUAAAUGGCUAUUUUAAAGAGUUUUAAGGGCUUGUUUUUUUGUUUGUUUCUUUUUAAUUUUUUAUUGAAAGAGCUAGCUACAGAAGUUUUCAAAUAUUACAAAUACUUUUGGAGAGUCCUCUCAAAAGGUGAAAAUGGAUACAUUUCAAUUCAUCUUUCCUCCAAAUAUACUAUUAAUGUUCCAGAAGAGAUGCAUAGACCCACUUAUUAGCCUACAUAUAUUAGCUAAACUAUUAGCAAGAUCUAUUACAUUCUCUGUUUGUGUGUGCUGAAUCAAAACGAUCUGAAAUUUUGAGCCUAGCUUGGAGUAGGAAAUCGGCAACAAUAUUAUUAAUUCACCGAUCGUUCCUAACACAAGUGACAAAAGGCUUGCUGGUUGGUACCCGAGAUCCCAAAUUUGAACCCUAAUUGAUUCACAUUUCCUACUAAGUUUAUUUCUAAAAAAAAACAAUCAAAGUGUGUAGCAUGCUAUCUUUCCCUCUUUUUUUUUUAAAAAAGCUAUAUGAUAAUUGAGUAACUUGGUAACAUGCAUUGGCCCUCCUUAACAUGAUUAAGGGCCCCCUCAGCUCUUGGAUUAGUCACAUACAGAAACUUCCCAAGUAACCCUAAUAAUUUUGUCAAGAACUGUGUUAUAGCUUUGAUUCAGUCUUAUAUAGUUAUGAGGUUCCUAUAUAUAUUCUCUAACAUUAAAUUCUAUUUGGAGAUAUUUAAAACCAAAGGUACAAAUAUAAAAAGAAAAAUGAGCUCUGAGGGGACCCAAUCAGGAAGAACUUUUUGUUGGGUUUGUAUAAUAAGUGGUUAACAAAAUUUCAACCUUUGUUGACUUUUUAUAUUUGGUUGCCUACAAAUUAUUAGAUAACAAAACUAAAACUUUGUAUGCUGCUAACACAUAUUGCUUAUAUUAGAUGAUUUUUUUUUUUUUUUCUGAAAACGUGUUAUGUAUUGGUAUGUAGUGGGGCGUUAGGGUAGAUCAAAAAUAGAUCUGAAUUAGAUAGGAAGGCGGAAAAAAGUUGAUGCUGUAGGGCGCAUGAACAAAGUUUAUGCGGCAGGGCUGAGGUAAUAAAAAUAUGACGUGAGAGAGGGAGCAUGGGAUCGAAUAGUCGUGCGGGGGAGGAAAAUAAACCGGGAGAAAAAAUUAAAGAAAGUUGUGAUAACUCAUUACCCAAUUUCUUUAUAACUUUUGUCUUAUUGCACGAAAAAUUGAUCGAACGGAAUCCUAUUAUAAAAUAAGAUUCCAAUUUUUUUGAAAAAGUAAGAUAUGUGCAAAAUUUUUUAACUAAACAAUCGUAAUAAAUUUAAUUUCUAAAAGUCCCACAUUUUAUCUUUUAUUUUUUUAUCAACCAAAACAAAGCCGUGAACGAUUGGGCACAUAAGAUAAAGAGAUAAGAGAGAUAGGGUCUCCUUAUUUGAUCCUGGGGGAUUGAGAGCCAUUAAUUAGUUAUUAGUACUGUUACUAAAGUUUUAUUAUUUUAAUCGUAAAUAUUAUAUAAUUUAAUAUGCUGAUGGAUGGAUUGCUUUUUUUAUUGUUAGUUGGCUUGCAAUAUUUUCCAGCCUAAUAAGAAAUGAUAGCUUCUUCAAAGAUCGAAAAAAAUAAAAUAAAUAAAAGCUACUUCUAAGUAGUCCACCAAAAUUUAGAAAUUCUUAUCUCAUGCUUAAUUAAUUCAGGAAUAAUCAAAGGAUUGCUUAAUUAAUAUUAGUCAAAGAGAGAUCAAGAGAAGAGAUAGGAGUUCUUAUUUUUUAUUUUCUUUCAUUCUGUUUUUUUGCAUUCCAAAUGGAAAAAAUGAGACAGAUAGAUGUUUUUAGAACUUGAUUGGAAGGAGAUUAAUGCUUGAUGAAUGUUCCUAGCACAAAAUUAUUACCAUGUUGAGUAUUAUAAUUUUUGGUUUCUUCAAUAAAAAUUCAUAACUAUCGUGAAGUUAAAAAGAGUGUGGAUCUUGAAUGACUGAAGCAAAAUACUUGAUAAUCUUUACCUAGGGGCAAAAAAAAUGAAACAAAAGACAGAAAAAAAGGGAAAAAAAAUUUACCCAAUAAUCUAUGGACAGUUGUGUUUUCAUCUACCUACCUGAUAUAAUUACUUCUUCCAUCACCUCUCUAAUUAGUGUGACCAAAAGCGUCAUGAUUAUUCCUAAUCUAUAUAUAAAAAGUCUAGAAUGCAUCAGUUAUAUUGCUGAUGUGGCAUGUCCAACUAAUGAGAUUGUUUUCUUGAGUUCAUCCAUCUAUACUUCUCUCUCGAAAAGAGGAAAAACUCAAGAAUGCAAUUACUUAUAUUGCCGACAUGGUAUACCAAACCAAUCAAAAAACUUUUUUGACGUUCACCCAUUCCAUCAUAAUUUUUUAAAAAAUAAUUUUAUUAUACUUUUUUUUUUCAAAAGUAAAGAUGUGAUUGGCCGAAGAAAGAUGAUAUAGUAUAAGUGUUAUAUAGUAAACUUUCUCCGAAAAGAGAGAUGUUAUUCACUGGUUAUUGAUGAUGUGCUGUAAAUAUUACACCAUAAACAUUCUCGCCUAUAUGAUCCAAAACCAUAAGUCAAUUUUAGAUACAUAUUUUUAAGCUUCACUACCAAUGAACUUUUGUCUAAGCUUUCUAUCCUUGAACGUUUAGGUUAGAAAGAUCUCAAACUUUCAAGAUGUUUCGCUUUUAGUCCUUACUGGAGGAAAAAAAAAAAAAAAAAAUUUAUUGUUCGUGCUUCGUUCAUCUGCAUCUAUAUAUUCAUGCACGAUGAAUCCAUCCAUUUCAUAAUUUCAACCUCGUGGUUUAGCUCCAAAUAGAAAAAUGAUUGUAACUUAAUAAAUAGGACGAUUGAACAAUGGGAUGGAAUCAAGAAUUGAAACAUGCAUUGUGCACGAACAGGAAGAAGCACCAGAUGUAGGAAACACUUACUUCACCUAUCAGUAACAAAGACCUAAGUUAAAAACCCAAUAAUUUCCACCAAAAAAACAACGCUAAAUAAUUUCAACAGAUUAGAGUGUUAAAUAUCGAACUUCAAAGUUCACCGAUCAAAAUUAAACUUGACAAAAAGUUCAGGAAUUAGUAGUGUCAUUUACCCACUCUUUUUGAGUAAAAAGACAAGAAACUUACAUUACGCAUUUAGCAUGUUAGUUUAGUUACUUUGUGGAAUAAUUCACUUAUAUAUUGGGGGUAGUAGUAGUUAACCGAAAAGCUAAACAAGGACUAUAGAGAAAGCAAGAAAAGAUAACAAUACCAUAAUGCAUACUGAGAUGCUGUCACAAGUAGCAGGCAAAGUAAAAAAAUUCAUUUACAUACUACGUAAUGUUUAUAAUUUGUGACCAUCUCACCCUUCCUUUUUUUAACCAACCAUGCAAAAAGAUAGCCAAAAAAUUGAGAUAGCACACCCUUCAUAAAUUUCGCAAAAAAUUUCGCCGAGGGGUUCGCUAGUCAUCUAUAUUCUUCAUGUAUUCUUUUGAUAAUCUGGAACUAUUAAUCAACUGCUGCUCCUUGACUAGAGAAUGCCCCGAUUCAAGUAAUGCCUUCACUGUUUGCUGUCAUAAGUAAGCAAAAUCAAUCUGUUCAUAUGAAAUACUAACUCUUCUGUUGGAAGAACGUAUAAGAAAGUAACUGUUGAAUCAAAUUUUACUUGCUUUACAACACUCUUUGAUAGCCACAAUUGACAUGAUAUUGCUGUGCUAGUCCUCGAUCACUGGUUUUAUAAGCAAUUGAGAAUCCAAAAGCAUAGAUUGCUGAGUAUCUAAAUUUAGUUUGAUAAUUAUCAAAACCAUUUAAUUUAGUUGCAACUGAUGAUCAUAGAUGCCGUCGUUUUACAUGCAGUUCAAAUAAACAAUGACACAAAUCAUUUGUAAGAUAACAAAAGAAGCAAUUUCACACAAACAAUAGAUGUGGUUCUCGUUCUACUCUACUCUCAUUGUACCUCCCAAGAGGAGGACAAACAGAUUUGGGGCAGUAAAUGAGGCAUUUUUCAUAAUCCAAGAGAGAUUCAGGCCAGUAAAUGAAAAAAAAAAAAAAAAAGGAUCUAGCCCGGCUCUUCCCCAAUGCUGGUUUAUAUAUUAUCUAUUUACAAAGUGCCAACCUAGAUAUAGAAUUUGUAUAUUAAAUCCUAGUUGUUCUCUAUCUGCUCCCAGCCUAAUUACACCAACACCACCUCCUGGUACUCUAUUCCCAGUCCCUCUCCUACAAAGCCUGCUUCCAAUCCAUUCCCUCUCCCUUUUCCCUCUAACAAUCCAUGAGUCCACAAUGCUGAUGUGUCCAGCCUCUGAGAUCUCUCGACACUCCCUAUCCUAUGCUUUGCCUACAACACUAAAGCACCUCCCCUCUGCAACACCAAAGCACUUCUCCUCCACAUCUGAGACCUCUCCCACUUCCCCUAUGCUCCCUCUACCAGUUCCCAACAAUACCUCUGUUGCUUCUGACGAUUCGAGCACGUACUUACUUUCCUCUGUAGGAUCUCUUGAAGCUCGAAAGACCCAAAUGGAAGCGGACGUGACAAAUCAGACUUGUCAAUGCUAUCUAUUUCAGGUUAAAGAGAACAUCAAGUGUAAUUUUUAGAUUCAACCUUUUUGUUCUGAUUGACUACAGAUGAUAUGAACAAAUUUGUUGUUAUAAAAGAGCUACUUUUAUUGUUUCUUAACUAAUCAAGUAAAUUUUUUAGAUCCAAACUUUGUGUUCUAAUUGAUUACAGAUGAUAUGAAUGAAUUUGUUGUGGUUCUAAAAGAGCUACUUUUAUUGUUUCUUAGACAAAUAGGUAAUAUUUACAUUUUCAUGCCAUUUUUUGUUAAACAAAAAAUUAUCAAAGCCUUGGUCAUGUUAUACUUAAUAGGCCGAAGAAAAAUGUUUUCAUGAUUUGAUACUUUGGAUUGCAUUCAAAUAUAAAUUGGGAUGUGGCGUUAUUGCUUUCUUGUUAAAUGCUCACAAAUGAUCUUUAUAUAAAUGCACCAAUAACUCUAGUUGCUUUCUAAAAUCAAUGAAGAUGCAGAUGAUGAAGUGCAAAGAAUUCCUGAGGCGAGUCAAGUUGACUCAUUUCAGACAUCAUCUUCAAUUGUGGCAGAAACGUCCAUGCACAAUGCAUCCAGCACUUCAAACUUUCUCAAAAAAUUUGAUAUUCAUGCUGCCAUGAAGAGAAAAAGUAAUUUACUAGUGAGAGGCCGGGCAAUCCUCCUCCCUUGAAAUCAGCCUUGUAUCCCAGCAGCCAGAGUACAUCGACUUGUUUAUAUGUUGUGCUCCCGUUGGUUCAUUGUAUUGCUGGAAUGGUACAGGGUUCAUGCUCUUUUUUACAUAAUGUGUGUGAAGGCCCAAUAAUAGUGUUGCCAUGUGGUGUGUCCACAUUGGCGCAUUUUUUAUUUAACCCGGUCCACUUAAGAUGUGGAUUGGGAUUUAUCCUAAUAAGUUAAGGAUAAGAAUAAAUUUUAUGUUUCUUAUUAAUCCUUAUCCUAAUGUCUUUGUAAGAUUCAGGAUAUUUUAGGGAUUCCGUUAUUCUAUAAAUAUGCCCCAUUUUUCUCUCCCGUUAGGGACGAUCGAAUACGAUCUAAUUCGAAUCUUCCUUCUUCUCUCUCUUCUUCCUCUCUGGGAUUUCCACCUACGUUCCCGGGUUUUGAAGUGUGGACAUAGAAGAGGACUCUGGUAGCCCUCUUCGAUUGGCAUUCGUCGCAUCCCAUCCGUAUCCGACGCACCCGAUUCGUAAUGCGAGGCGUAGGCGUAGGAGAAGGCGAGAAACGUGGGAGAUCUAGAAGCAUCUACACCAGAACGAUCCAAGAAGGCUAGUAAAACAAGUAAUCCGAUCUAAUUUCGGUUUCUGAAUACGUUGACUAUCCAGUUUGUAAGUUUCCGCUGCCUUCUUAUUUCCAACAAAUAGAAUUAUCGGCCCUUUGGAUACAAAAGAGUUUAAGACUUGAGAAUGGCAUCUUCAUGGCUACUUGUACAAUAUAGGAUCUUCGGUCCCAAACCCUUUACUCCCAAUAUAUAUUUGGCACUGGUAAUUCAAAUCAAUGGGCUAAUCCUUUUUUCCUUUUUUUUUGUGUUGUUUGCCCUUUCUUUCGGUAUGGUUGCUAAUAGUUUCUCUAUAGAAAAUUUUCACUCAUCUUUCAGCAUAUUGUUUUCAUGGUCUAUAUCACAAAAUGUCCUUUGAAUUAGCACCUAUUCAGAGUCCGAUAUCAUAUUAUGCAUUACUUAGAGAUUAACAAAUGAAGGCUCUAAAAUCUGGAUUAAAACAACAUAUAAAAAAUCCAGACAAACUUUCUAAUCUAGUAUAAAUAUUUACGUCUCAUGCUGUAAUAUAUAAUUCUUCUUGUAAGAUAUUCCUAUACAAUACAAUUAUGUGGGGGAUUUGCUGGGUAUUUCCAAUCAUGGUUUUGGAACGAGAUGCAACCUAUGUUGGCAGUUAAUCUCCGGCAGUGAAUAACCAAAAUGUUGUCUACUACUUUAAACUUCAAAGUGUAUAAAUUGAAGCUUAAACAUACAAAACUUAUCUAAACUAUGGAUUAUUUCGAAAUGGCUACUCAACCUUGCAAAAUUUUAAUUUCGCUACCCAAUCUUUUAAUUUGUUUGAUUUGAGUCAAUCAAGGGCACUUUGACAUCAAAAUUAGAAUGCAUCGUUUAUUUUUAUAUGUUUACUUAGUAUAUGCAAUUCUCGUAAUUAUAAAUUCAUUAAAGUAAUUAGUUUAAAUUUUGAAAUUAAAGUACCGUUGACUGACCCAAAUCAAACAAAUUGAAUGGUUGUGUAAUAAAGUAUGUUUUGUACAUUUUUACCUAAUUUAAGUAAUCUUUUGUACUGAUAGGGUCUACCACAAAUAUGUAGAUCAAUAUGGGAAUUUUCGAAUAUUUUAUGUCACUUAGUAGAAAUUACAGAAAAAAUUUAUGAAGAAAAUGAUUGCGUAUAUACUAUGAAAUUGAAGUACAAAAUGUAAGUAUAUGUGUGCAGAAAAGUAAUUACCUUGGGAGGACUAAAAGUAGGAAGUUUGCCUUUCUUUCUUUUGUCGAGAAGUUUUUCACCAAGUUUUUCAAAUCCACCCAUAUCAGUUACCCACUGCAAGUUGUAAGGUCAACAAAUAUAUAUAAGUCUUCCUCAAGAAGUUUUCCAUAGUUGAAACUGAACAAGCUUAAAGAAGAGAACUCAAAAUUAGUCAUGAAGAACACUACACAUCUACAAAAUAAUUAAAGAUGGUACAGAUACAAUUUCUAAAAUAUUCUUUAUUCUUAUUACAAUAAAAACUAAUUAUUCUGACAGCUUAAAUAAAAAGGUACGGGAUGAUUAACGACUGGGAAGAAAAACUAUAAUAAUUCGAAAUUAGAGUGAAGAUUUUGAGUCUAUAGUUAGACAUUUGUCAGAAUCAACUAACAUCCUAACUAUUAGAUCCAAGCAAAAUUUGCCCAACAAGCGCAACCUGGUUUUUAAUAGCUCAGGGCAAGUCAAGCAGGCCUAACACGGUUCACAGGGCUGGGCCUGGGUUUUUAAGUUUCUUCAGUUAACCUAGCCUAGCUCGAUAUUUCUCAUUUGAUGCACAGCCCCGCUGUUAAAUUUGGAGCAAGUCCAAGGCCACAGUAGUAAUACAAAUUAUAGGCCAGCCUAGGCAAAUUUACUCCAGCCUGAAACUAGGUAUGGCUUGUUGUUUGGUCAUCUUUGUUAUUGAGUUAAAAAUUAUCUUACAAAUGAUGGAAAUGCAUAUACUAAUGACAAGUUUCAAUACUUACUAUUCUUUCAUAACUAACAUUUUAGUUGAUAUAGAUAAAAACUGGCAUCUAGAUACAUGAACUCUGGCAAUAAAUCAAACUCUUUCAAUAUGUGCCUACCUUUAAAAUUGCCUGAUCAUAUGUUUUAGACCUCAGAGCUCCAUAGAAAUCCAAAGCUGCACAAGGAAAUAAGAAGUUUAACAAAUAGAUGAAGAGAGGUUACCUUAACACUUUUACCUGAAUGGUUUGGUUUCAAUAUUACCAAAGUAUCAUAUUACAAAGUAAAAAUAUGGAUCAAAGGCAUUAUCAUAUUACACAGUGGAAAUAUGGAUCAAAGGCAUACAAGGAACAAUCUAUGUUGUACAUGUUCCUUCAUUCGAAUACAGUCAGUAGAAGACAAGCAACUGACAAACUUAGAAUGCUUAAAUUCCAGCGAUAUGCAAGCAUAAACUCAGACAUUGCUUCACAAUGAUGGAAAGUUUGAUUCUGCCAAUAGUAACCAUCAAUCUCAUCUUAUCUAAAUAGAAGGUUAAAAUACCUAAUAUAAUAAGUGGCAGAAAAAGAGUGAACCUUCUGGAUCUUCUCAUUGUGAUCAUCAUUUAGGAUUGACAUAACGUAGUUCAGUGUUAUUGACAUUAUUUAUUAGAAGAUGUUUUUUCCUAAGCCAUUAACCUAAAUGUUCCAUAGAUCCAAAAGUGUUCAAGAAUAUUUGACAGAAUUAUAAACAAAGACUGCGGUGUCUCUUCGAUUUAUCUAUUCUAAGUUUCUUUAAUAAUUUGCAUAAAGAAAUUUGUGGAUCAUAAGGGUAGAAAUUGCAAACAUUGGUUUUCCCUAUUUUUCAACUAGUAUAAUACAACUUAUUAAAUCAGUGAAAAUCUUGUGAAAAAACUUUUAUAUCUACAGAGUCUUAAGCUUAAUUCAUGAAUUUUUAGAUAUUUGAUGACAUUGAGGGUUAACUCCAGAAAAUAUUAGUAUUUCCAAACUGAUGAUCCCCAAAUUUUUUUUAAGUAUCCUAGAUUACACUAGAUUCUUUUUCAAUAAUUAUCCAAAAACUACCGUGAGUUGAAUCAGAUGAGGGUUCGAUUGAGUUAAGACUAAUAUUUUUCAAAUUUAACCCUUAAUUUUCAUCAUUCCAGAUUCUUUACAAGUAAAAAUACAAAUACUACUAUGAGUUGCAUCAAAUGAGGGUCCAAUUGAGUAAGACAGUAGUUUAAUAGGUCUUCAGCCUUUUGUCCCACUACCAUGAGCUCAAAACUUCCAAUACCCUGAGUAAAGGAGUAGUAAAAUGUUUUGGUUGCAAAAAUAUGUGACACAUACGCUGUUUGUUGGUAUGGUAUUGCCUGCAACUCAAAAUAUGCAAUUUGAUUCUUUCUUGAGAUCAAAGUUCUUAUUCAGAACAUAGAACUUUCUGACGGGCAAAGUAGAUGUAACAAUUAUUCUACCAAAUCUAACAAACGAAGCGACUUUUUCUUUGUGAGAUUAUUGCUAAAUUUCAAUCUAUUACAGCUAUUUAGCUAUUACGAGUACCAUUGACCAUCAUCGUUAUGCAUCAUCAAUGAUUUGCCUAUGUUUUCUUUAUCUAGUCUUUAAGUUUGAAGGCCGAACCAUCACAUACAAACUUGAAAAAUUAUUCAGCAAGUUAUUGUGAGCUUUCUCAGUUCCUCGUUCAAAAAAUACAUUUGAGUCCAUAUAAAAGUAUUUCUAGAAGGCAUUCGAAUACAGCAAGUAUUUCUUGUUUUCAAUGAAACCUAUAAAAUCAUGACUUCUAGGAUGCAGACUACAGCACAUAAUGAACCUUGUUACUGUCUCAAAUCAUUACCAACCAGAAAAUUAUAAAUAAGAAUAUUUACAGAGUAGGCAUUACAGCCAAGACACUAGAAUAAUGAACAAAAAUAACACUGAUAUGCAAAAACCAUUUGACAGAGUUAAUGAUUUCCAUCAAAGGUGAAAGGAACCUCUUCUACGCUUUGCCCAAGGUAAAAGCUUGUAAGAAGAGUGGCUGAUGACUACAAUAGAUGGGAGGCAUCUUACUUAUAGACAAGGAUUUAAAUGUUGUAACACAGGGUCGUGCCGAAAACUUGCCGGCACGGUACGGUACAAUGCAUGCCGGGCCGUGCCGAUGAGUGUCGAUCACAAAAAAUUUAUGUGUACCGAUACGUAAUAGCAUGAAAUAUUUAUUUUCUUUAGCAACAAAAUAUGUCAAUUAUUUAUUAUGUAUUUUUAUCAAAUCUUUUAAACUUUAUUGAGAAAAUUACUUACUAAUUUCAAUAGAGAGUUUUGAGUUGUGCCAUCAGUACGAGGGCUGUAUCGUGCCGAUAUCUUGCUGGGCACGAUAUGGCACGGUAGAUACGGUCCGUGCCGAUGGGCACUUUAAUCCUUGCUUAUAGGCCACAGGCACAAUCCUAAUUACAUGAUUAAAAUCCCUAAAAGUAUUUAAUUAAAACCCCACUCUUGAAGAAAGAAAUAAUCUUAAUUCUAAAUAUAAUCAAACCUAAUCUAAUUUGAAGUCUGAAUAUUAUAAGAAAUUCCUAGCCAUAAACAGAUCAUGGCUGUCAAUUUGUUUGCAAAUUUUUUUACAAAACAAGCAUUUAAAAGAAAUACUGUUACGGAAAAUAAAAGAGUAAAAUUACCUUGGUUGGGAAAAGUGUCCACGACUCUUAUGACUUCCUCUCUGGAUAUUUCAUCUUUAACAUACAUAUGGUUAACAAUGUUAAUAAUGUCCUCACGGUCUGGCUGCCUGAUUACACAUAGAAGUAUCAGAAAUAAAAUAAGCACAAUAGAAUUUCAUAGAACGAAUCGUGAGAAAGUCAUAGGGAGCAACAAAAAGGACUUGAAUAGAACAAUUGAGGAAGAUCUUCUAGUUACUAUCUUCUCGCUACAUAUGGAAGUAUGUAAAGAAUACUAUAACAAGUAAAUGCUAUUGGAUAUCAAGGGAUAAUUAUAAGAAAAAGUUGUAUGAAACAGGAUGUAUUUUGUUAGAUUAUUAGCAGUUGAUUGAAAUCAUGCCUAGGGUGCCUAAAGGAAGUUUUAAAAAGCAUGAUGCUGUAUAAGUAAUUUGUUUUUUUUGCGCAAGUUUCUAUAUAUAGUAGAAACUAUUCAGAGACUGACAAAUCAAGAAUAAAAAAAAUAACAAUUGAAGUAACCAAUUGCUGGUUUCCUGCCAUUUUUCAAGUUUUGACUUGGCAAAAAUUGACAGUAAGCCUGCGUUUGAAAACCAGUUAAGUUACCUGUCUUAGGCAAGUAACCUCAAUUUAUGCAACUAAAAAUAGUGAGCAGUUUCAUUAAUUGAUGAUACAUUUCAACUAAGGUGACUGUUUGAUUGUUAGGUUUCUUUACAACCUGAAUAUUGGUAACCAACAAAACAUAGUGCCCACUGUCCGUACUUGCCGAAGUAUCAUAGUCAUGGGGUUCCAUCACCAACUCAAAUCCAAUUCCAAUAACAUUACAUCCAACAAACACAAGAUAAUUGUUCACAAAGUUUUCUUUUUGUCAUGCAGUCAACAUUUUUUAAAGUAUAUCAAAUAAGUAUGUGUCUGAAGGAGUUCUGCAUCGGAUGAGUUUAACCAAAACUCUGCAAUUUUCUCACAGCAUCAUUACAAAAUAUGCUUUUACUUCCUGUUGCAUUUUCUCUAUCAUGUGUUGUGACACGUGAUUUACAUAACUGUUAAUAUCACCCCUAAGAUUCAGAUAUUACCUUCUCAUUGAAAUCUAUUGCAGAUAGCCUGUUAAUUCCACUUAAAGUUGUUUAAUCAUUCGGUCCUUACUUGAUGACAUAUAAUCUUGGGUUUCCAAUAUCACAAUCAACUUGCGGAUGUAGGAGGAUUGGGUAUGAUUAUAUUGAUUAAACUAUAAAAGAAUUGAUUAUAGGAAUGACAUGACACUCGAAUUUUCUGUUAUAAUAAUUGAACCAGAGGCAGAUGCUAGUGCAUGACAAGGCACAUACCAAUAGAAUUUCUCCAUCCGUCCAUCACGAAUCAAAGGAGCAUAAAGAGUUGAGAAAUCGUUUCCAGUUACUAUGAUGGGUACUCUAUGUGUGACAUCUGAUUCUCUCCACUUCUGCCCAAUGCUUACUCUAGUAGGAUUAUCUGACAGAUUCAUCAGGGUUCCAACAACAAUUUGGUUAUUUACUGUCAUUUGUGUGUUUCCUGGCAAACAAAAUAAAGGAGUCAAAGUGUCACAAAUUGCUUUAACAAUCCUAGUUGUAAGGUUCCAUAUAUGGCUCUUAAGACAAAAAAAAAAAGCAAUUUCAAGCCAACUCAAGUCAAAAAGGUCUAAUAGAAAAGUGGAGUUAAAAAAUAUAUUUGCUUAAAAAGGUUAAUGCUGGAGUACUUUAUUUAACAAAAUGGAAGGUGCAUCACUGUUUGCUUGUUCUUUUUAUUACUAGAUAUACGUGCAAUACUAAAAGUUAGGAAUUAUUAGAUUUAUUGCACAAAUUGCACAAAUCACUCACCAAAUCUUCCCAGCCCAGCAUCAAUAUCAUUGAUCAUCAAACAGCUCAUCUUUCCCUGGAUCAGCCAGGAGUCGUGAGAGCACACAACAAAAUUCUAUAUAACACCAUUGUAAUUCUCGAGUAGCAACGGUGAAGGCAAAUUAAUAGUAGACAUUCAAGUUUAGUGGGUAAUAACUAUAGCAUAGAGUUUAUAGCUGAAACAGCACAUGUAAAUCAAUUUGUUUUAAACUGCAUAGAAACAAUUAUUUAUCGCCCCGUUUUUUCAUUUCGUGUGUUUUUUAUUUUCGGGGUUUUUUUUCGGGGGAUGGCGAGGGACGCGCGUUGGUGCACUUAGGUAUCGUUUGGUUUGAGGAUAAGCAAAAAGUGGGUAUUCCGGGGAUAGUUAUAAAUUGAGGUAUAAGCGGGGAUUAGAUCAAUUUUGCGUUUGGAUGCAAAUUGGGUUAUUCCUGAAAAUAAAAAAAAUAGCGUUUGGUUAGGUAAGAUGGAAUAAGAAUUAAAGUGGGUAAUUAUAAAUAAAAAAUAAUAAUAUUAUUCUUUUCUUUAUAUUAGAAUUUGAAUUUUUAUAUUUUAUAUUUAUAUUUUUAAAUUUUAAAAUAUAAACUUUUAAAUUUUAAAAAUCAAAAUUAAAAUUUAAAAUUUUAAAAUCUCANUUCAACAAAUUAAAAUUUAAAAUUUUAAACUAUAAAACUUAAAAAAAUAAAUCUUAAACUAUAAAACAUAAAAAUUUAAUUUUAAAAUAGAAUUUAAAUUUCAAAUUUUAAAAUUUUAAAUUUUGUAAUUUUAAAAAUUAUAAAUUUUAAUUUUUAAACUUACGAAAUUUAAAUUUUAUAAUAAAUUAAAAAUUCUCUCACUCACUCACACUCUCACACAAACACACACACACACACACACUCUCUCUCUCUAUCUCUCUUCACGGGUGGAACAAGCUGGGUUAUCCUAGCUUAUUCCACCUUGGGGUGGGAACACUAGAGGUGGGAACGCUAGUGUUCCCACCCCUUAACGGGCUAUUCUAGAAUAGCCCGUUAAGGAGGGAAUUAGUGUUCCCACCAUUUUUUGUUUGUGUUUGGGGGAUAAGGGUGGAAUAAACCCUUUAUUCCACCCUUAUCCCCCAACCAAACAUAGCCUUAGUAACUAUUUGUUUAGCAAAUGAACCUAUAAAUAGUUAGCUUAACAUCUUUUGAAGCAAAGCCAUUAGAACAUCGUAAAUCUUAAUGCAAGUAACCAAGGAAUUCUUACUUGGUUUUGAAUCACUUGUGAGGCUGUUCUAUACCGGUCACGUAUGAGCCUUCCCGGUUCUCCUGCAAAAAUAAUGGGCAAAACUAAGACCGCGCAAGCAUAAUUAUAUGAUAUCACAGAUAUCGCAAGCAAAAUUAAAGCUUCGUUUACUCUUCAAUAAUAUUGAAUUCACUAGGCUAAGUUAACAGUCUUAUACAAUUCAUGUCAAAGAUGCAUCUCAAAUUAGUUCAAUCUCUAAAUCUUACGGAAAAUCAACUAGUCAUUAUUAGUACUUGCAUGCUUGUUAUAGUUUAAUGAACAAAUUUUCAAAGCUGGGAUAUCUUUAAAAAGUUAUGCCAUUGAAGGCAUUCUACAAUAGAAGAACUCCGAUAAUCUAUUGAUGGAAGAAAAAUUAAUAACAAUGAUGCCGCCAUUAAUCUGCAUUUAGAAAUAUAUAAAAGAAGCAUCUUAACCUGCUUUCUCAGAUUCAAGCUCCCCGGCAGACAUAAUUACUGGUUCAAUUCCCAUCACUCGAAAAAUAAGCUCAGUUUGAAAUGUUUUCCCUUGUCCUUUUCCUCCCCAUAUACCUACAUCACAUUAGUAUUCUUAAAUUUGCCAAAUAGAGAAUCCAAAUGGUACUAUAAUACACAGGAACUUUGUAAGCUCAAGAAAAACAUGACUUAGGUUUGAAAAGUCUUGAGAACUAUCGUUAUAUUAGAGAUCUUAUGACCAUCAAGUGAACAACAAAAGUAAUCAAAAACGAGUUCUUAAUUGCAGAUGAGUUAUAAGGGUUCCUCAGUAGAAAGAUAAUUGAUUCCAUCUCAAAGUUGUCAGAUGAGAGUCAAGAUGAUGAAAACACAUAUUCUCUUACCUAAUAUUAGAGGAACCUUAAUGUUGAGAAGAUGAGCAAUAUAGUUCUUCACAAUGUGGCAUGCUGCAAAAGAAUAAAAUGUUAUUACAAUAAUGAUGGCAUAUUAAUAACAGAACAGGGCACUUAACAAACGGCACACUAGAGGAAUUUAGGUUUACAGGCUUUUAUUAAACUUAAUUGAUAACUUGAGAGAAUUUGACAAGCCUAGAAUACAUGCUACCUCAGAUCUAUGUGUUUAGAGAACAUUUCAUUAGCUCCCAGAGAAAAUCCUCUAAACUCAGUAUCAACCGGAUCACACUGUUAUCUUUCCUUCCAUAAUACAAAUCAAACGAUAGCCUAUGGAUCAGGAGGGUCAAUUAGAAAGGAGUCUAAAAUAAGUUGGGAUCAAAUCAACUUGUCCACUUGCAUUAGAACCAAUUGGGCGAAAAAAAGGGACAUACCUUUAAAGAAGGGACCUACAUCAGAUAAAUUGUCAAAUGCAUGUAUCAAAUCUUACUUUCACGAUUGAAACAUAAAAAGGCCUUAUCACUAAUUCUUGUUAUUCACUAUAAUCAUGACCUUCAAUUACCAAAAAUUACAAUGCAUAUUUGAAGUUCAAGAUGCCACAAGAGUGGAGUCAUCUAAAUUUUCAUGACCAGACAUCACAUUGAGAGAUUUGGUUCCAGAUUACAGUGAUGAAAAAAAUUUGUCAAAGUUCAUCCAUUUAAAUUACAUUGGCUUGUUGAUACCUCAAAGUAUGUACUCGGCAUUGUUUGUACUCGGCAUUGUUUAAGCCAAAAAAUUCGAAGAAACAGAAAAUAAAAUUUUCUCGAUACUAGGGGUUAGUCAAGAUGGAGAAAUCAACAAAUUUUGAUAGUCGUAUCCUUUCUGGACAAUCAAAUAAGUAAAAGAGUCACAUGAAUCAGUUCCAUAUAAUUCGAAGGAUGUACGCUAAACAAUAAAGCAAAAAAAAAAUCAUUUCAACACCUAACUCUAUAAUCUUCAAAUAUGAAAAACAUCACAACAUGUAGAAGAUCAAAAGGCAAAAAAAAAACAGAGAAAAGUUCUUUCAGCUUCAUAAUACCUCACUAAAUUCAAGGCUUGCAAAAUCCAAGCCAAGUUUAAAGUGCUUACCAAUUUUAUCCUGUAGAAAAUAAGAAAUGUAUUUUGUCAAAUCUAUUAAUCAAUGUUGGGAGGCAACAAAAAUUAUCAAGAGAGAAAAAUAGUCUAUUGAAUAAAAUAAUGCAGUGAAAAGAGGUAAAACAAAGCAAAUAUAAUAAAUAAAAUUUUCUCCAAUUAGUGAAAUACAUAUUCUCCUUUUGAGGAAAUUACAACCUAAACUACACACUUUUGUAGAUAACCGCCCAUAGUUUCAACUUUCAAAAGUUAAUAUUAAAUAUUAAAGUAUUUAAAUACCGUUCUCUAUCAGCUUAAACUUUUAGAGAACAACGGUUGUUUCGUAUUAUUUAACAUGGUAUCAGAGCAGGAGGUCCUGAGUUCGAAUUACGCCAGGCUCCAAACAUUAUUAAUUCCUCCUAUUUAAUUUGUCCGUAUCAUGGCCUACAAAAAGUCUCGAGCCCAAACAUGAGGGAAAGUGUUAUAUAUAAAAAUAUUUAAAUACCGUCCUCUAUCAAUUUAAGCUUUUAAAGUACAGCGGUUGUUUUGUAUUAUUUAACAAUUAAAACAAGCCACUCGUUUCUAUCAAUCACCCAGCCCACAAUUUUGUGAGUUUUUUUAUAAUAACUAUUAGCACUUGACUGUCACAUCAUCCUUACGAGCUCAUAUUUUACCCAUAUCUUCGAAACCAGUGGAGGGGCAUUUGAGGUUUUUUGGCUUUCAUAUGAUGAAUGGCUGCAAGAAAAACUGAUGGAAAUAAGCAUAGAUGGCUGCUUGAAAUGGACACAUUGUUAGGGUGUAACUUUAUUUUUUUUUAAUGAUUUUUCGAAGCUUGGGCGGUCCAGCCCUAAGUGCUGACAAUUUUUAUAAACAACCCACCAUCAGCAGGAAUCAACUUAAUAAAAUAGAGGGCUGAAAAUGUCCUCUCCAAAAUCCCAGCAGGGCUAGAGGUUAAUUCACGCAUGAUACGAUUUCAAUAAUAGGUGCUAAAUUAUUAAUGACACAACAAGCGAGAUUAAGAAGCUAAUAUUAUGCAACGAUGCAAAAGAGAACAUAUUGUUUUGGUUGCUCAUUGCAACUAGAGAACAUUUAUAGCAAUUGCAAUAAAUUAGGUUGACACUAUCCUACAAAAGAAUUUCUUAUGAAUGCACAAGACAUCGUAGUUGAAACUUGAGGUUGAUUGGUUAAGAACCAGCAAUGAAGAAAAGAACAUGUACAAUUAGUAAGCUAUAUAGGCAAAAAGCAAAAAUUUAUGCAGCACAGUAUUCUUGAUAAAUGUCAUUUUACAUGUCAUCAUCCAAGCUGUCUCCAACAAAAUGAAGCAGCUAAAGCACAUCUCAAAGAUGAAAAGGCCCUGAAAGAAUUUGUGUAAAACCGCUAAAAAAAAGAAAAUCCACAACAAGAACUUAUCAUGAAAGCAUGAGACCAAUUGGCAAGUAGGGCUACAUGAGGUCUUGUUAUAUUCUAGUCCCAUAACUAAUGCUCAACAAAUUCUCCCAAAAAAUCUCCUUGGAAAUAUUCUAGCUGUUCGACAAAGAAUACAACUUUUGUUGAUGAAAGCAUGAGGCAUGCAGGGAUUGCUAUAAAAUUCAAAGUAAAAUGGAGGAUUUGGCAAAAAAAAUAGUGUAGAAAGUGAGAACAUCAUUAUAGUUAAGUGUGAUAUAGUGUAGUUAAUUACAAACAAACAGGUACGGGUGAUUAUUAAGAAGUAAACUUACAGAUUUUUCACAUAUGUUCACAUAUUUACGCUGCAAUAAUAUCUUAUUUGCAUUUAUACUCUUCAAAAACUGGUAACUUCAUUACAUGCCUCAUACCAAGUAUAAAAUAUGUAUUCUAUCUAAAACAGCUAAAAUUUCUCAUAUGCCAGAUUUCGGGCCUUUCUCUGCCUACAUCUUAGAAAAGAAUCAGGUAAACUAGCUUGCCCAAAUAAAAGUAAAAGUCAUUCAAACCUAUGUUUUUAGAGUAGUGCUUCUAUACUCGUUAUUUUUCGAUACCGUUCAUUCAUUUCUAUUCUACGGCUCAGAUUUAAUUUUUUUUAAGUUGUAACUUACAAUAACAUGUCACUUUAAGAAAGGUACCAAUUAUCAAGUACCCUAAAGAGGGAUAUUCUGGUCUUUUAAUACUUGGGUAAUUAUCACGUAUUAAAUAAUUUUACCUCAACUAUAUUAUCAAAACCCUUUUUCUCUCUGUUUUCUUUUUCUCUCUCUAUCUUUCCUCUCCAUUCACAGAUGUUUCGUUGUUUCAAAAUUUUCUUAAACAUAUUAAAUAUGCUAAAUUUAAAUAUUUACCAACAUUAAAAAAUUUUUAAAUAGCGAUACAAAAAUAAUGUCUAAAUUAGAAAAUUACUAAAAUGUUUUAAACAUAUUAAAUAUGUUAAAUUUAAAUAUUUACCAACUUUCAAAUUUUUUUAAAUUAACAAUACAAAAUUAAUGUCUAAACUAGAGGAAUUUAAAAAUUUCUUAAACAGAUUAAAUAUGUUGAAUUUAAACAUUUACCGACAUUAAAAUUUUUUAAAAAAAGUAAUAAAAAAUUCCUCUAAUUUAAAUUUAAUAUUUUUAAAUUUAAAUAUUUAAUAUUUAAUAUUUCAAUUCAACAUAUUUAGAAAUAAUACUAUUUCUAAAAUUCCUAAAAUUUAAAUUAAUGCCUAAAUUAUAGGAAUUCUAAAAUUCCUAAAAUUAAUGCCUAAAUUAGUGCAAAAUUAAUGCUUAAAUAUGAAAUAUCAAUCACUUUCUUAAAUUAAUACUUAAAUUAGUGCAAAAUUAAUGCCUAAAUUUAUGAUAUCAAUCAAAACUUUCUUAAAUUUUGUGAUAUUUAAUUAAAAAAAUACCCUCUACAUGAAGUAACCUUUUAACCUGCUAUAUGUUAAAAUAACACAUUACCCUUUAUUGAUCAACGGUUAAGAUCUUUUUUAUUUUUUAUAAAAUAAAGUACCAAAUCAUUUCUCAUGUUUUUAAUAUAUAAGUAUUUAAAAUCAUAAAAACUAGAAGCAUAAACCAUGACGUGCCUUAGCUUGUACAUUUUUGUGUCAAUUCCCUUUUCCUUGUGAUUUUGUUUUCUUGCUUAUGAAUGAAGCAGGUUGAGUUGCUUCAACUUGAACCCUUUCAUAAAGAGCGGAAAAAGAAAAACAAUACCAAUCAAGUACAUAGUUUGUUAGGGAAGUUCAAGCUGAGUUCAAGUCCACAUAAUCCCGACGAUGUGACAAAACCCAUUAACUCAAAAGCUUAACCCUGUCGAAUUUGGCCCAAUAUUCUGUAUUAAUUCUUUACUACUGUGCUCCUCUACUUGUUAUUCCAUAUGUAGCUAUUUUCAAAUGUGAAUUUGUAACAGAUCAAAACCAUGGCACUCCAUAUAAGGCCAGCAUCAUAAACAAGAAGAACUCAAAAUUAACAACCUUAUUUUCGAAGUAAAUGAUCCAAAAGAACAAGAACUCACAAGAAAAACGGGGGCUAUGUAGUAAUCGCCCUCGAGAUACUCGAACGACCGCGUCGCCUUCUGCCGGUAAUCAAACACGAUAUCCGCUGCACACAUAAACAACCAAACAAGAAGCAAACAACUACAUGAGAAAGCCCCAAUUCCAUCUUAGAUGAAACGUAUUAGCCCUAAAAUCCCUAAUAAAAUUAAAACAAAGAGAAUCUUACAAUCCUUCCCAAGGAACUGUCCCACAAAGAGAUCAUCAAUCACGCCUUGCCGAGCCCCUACUGCGAUGUUCAUGUUAUCCGACUCCUUUCCGAGGCGAUACAAGUAAUCGUUCCCCUCCGAGUCCUUCGAUUCCCACGAGGAUUGCUUCGAAAUCCUCGUCUCGGGAGCUUCUUCCGGAGAAGAAGAUCCAUCGGGGGCUCGAGAGGAGGAGGAGGAGGAGGAGAAGCAGAGGAGAGGGAAGGGUUUCGAUUUGCUGACCUUUGGAAAUUUAGGGUUUCGGGGAUGGUUUUGGCGCGAAGAGAAUGAGGGGGAGGGGGAGAGGAAGAGGUCGGGGUUGCAGUGGAGAACCGCCAUUGGAUGGAGGUUGAGAUGGGAUGCAGAUGAGAGAGUUUCUUUUGUGACCGUUGGGAUGAUAUCUCCAACGGCCGGAAGAAACCAGGGUUUCCUGAUGGUGAAAAUGUAAGAAGCCUCCUCAACUUUGGCGCGUUUUGCAACGUGCCCCUAAACAUUUUGCACUGUUCUUAAUCUCUUACUUAUUAGUGUUUGAUUCUCAAGUAAACCGAAAAUAGUUAAAAUUAUCUCCGCUAUUCUACUAAAUGACCCCUAAAUGUUUCGGGCAUCCGAAACCUCCUAUUCAUGCUAUUUCGGAUGGUCCCUAUUGCACCCCAUCUUUCGAAAUCCUUCACGGUCAUAUCCAAAUUACUUUCUAGUCGCCCAGUUCCUGCAUCCGAAAUCUUUAAUGAUUAAAUUUAAUAAAUCAUCAUGCUGACUCAUCAAAUCCACCGACUUAAAUACCAACUAAAUUUUGGAUUGCUACAGUAAUUCUGAGCAUCUAGAACCAAGGCCCAAAUCCUAUUCGGAUACUCCUUCGGCAAUAUCGAGCGUUCUAAAGUGAGUUUCGAAUUCAUCUCACCUUGGAACAAUGCUUCUAGGCACCCUAAUCCAAUUUUGAGCGUUCAAAAGUGGGAAAAAAAUUUGCGAGUGAGCCGAGAAAGGGUACGACCAGAUCAAUCCCGGAUCCAGCAAACGUCGACGGCCAGUGACAAGAUCAAACAAAGGCCGAUUUAAUAAGGUAAGUGAGGUCAUAAAUUCGCCAUGGUAGAAACCAACACAUGUGUUCUGCAAGUAGUAAUUGCAAUAGUUGGCAUCGAGUUCGGAUGGCAAGUUUCAAGGAUGAAUGUAAUAAAGCAAUCACCAAAAGGAUGAAGAUGGCAGGAGUAGGGUGGGAAAGUAAAGCAUACAAGAGAAUUGUACAAGAAUAAGCAGGAAAAAAGCAUUAAGCAAGACUAUUAUAAAAAUGAGGUAGAGGGCAAGAAAAGUAGGCUCCACCAUAGAAAAUGAGAGGGACCCACGAUAAAGGAAAAGAGAGAUUGUGACGAACCACUUACUUGGUGGGACGUGGAUAGUGUUUUAUAUCCAUGGGAGUUCAAAGAGUUUUUACAGAUAUCUGAAAUGCUCAUAGACACUAUUCUACAAAUUAAUUCUAAUUUAGAAAUUACUCUUGCAAGAUACCAAGCAGUGAAUGCAAGAAUAAGAAAAAAAAAAUGCUCUACCAAAUCAUGUUCUAAUCAUAAUUACAUUGAAGAUUAUCAAGGAGCUUAAUUUGUGGACUAAUGUGUAUCUCCGCACACCUUUGCAGUGUGUGUGUUCUUUUUCUUCUUUAUUUCGUCUUCUUUCUCAAGUUUCGUUAUUUUUUUUCUCUGUUAAUACAAAGUAUGAUUUUUUGCUUGGUUUACUUUAUCGAGAAAAUCAUGUUAAAAUAAUGGCAUAAGCUUAGCAUGUGAUUAAGGAUCAAAUAGAAAAAUUAGUUAAGGUUGAAGAUAUAAUAUGAUCCCUUAUGACAAAAGUUACAAAGUUAUUAAAUAUGAAGCACUGCAUAGCUGCAAAUCAGGAGGAAGUGUUGCUAGACCAUUGAUACUCAUGUAAGUGAAAUGUAGAGGCGAGUACUCUAAAAGCUUAAGUUUUUAUAAAACAGUGUUUAUAUAUUUUUAUAUUUAAUACUCUUCCCAAAAUUUUUAUAUUUAAUACUCUUCCUAAAAUUUUUUUUUGGAAGGCUCAUAAUAUGAAUUUGAAUUAAAUGAGAGAAAAUUAAUAAUACUAAGAGCUUGGGUGGCUCGAACUCAAGACCUCCUAUUCGGAUGUUAUGUGAAACAAUCAUUAUGUUCUAAAAGCUUAAGUCAUUAGCAAACGGUGUUUAUAUAAUUUUAUAUUUAACAUAUAAGCUUCGAAAAAUCGUAGAAAUGCUUCUUAGAGAUUUUUAAAAAAAAAAAAACAGUUCUGUUAAUGAAUCACUAGAAGAUGGCACAAGACUUUGAUUUGUUAAUAAAAACUAAAGUUAGAAAAUAGAAAGAUUUUUAGCUACGUUUAUUUCUAAAUGAAAUAAACCAAGCGGGUAGCAUGCUAUCUAUCUCUCAAAUAAAAAAAAAAGAAUAAGAAAAUAGGAAGAUUCUAUCACAACCUAGAGAGCUAUCCUUAUAUGGCUCUAACUCUGUUAAUUUUGCAAUAAUAGUAUCAAAUCAUUACAAGUAAAAAAGCUAAUUUUAAGCAGACUCCAAUCUGAAAACAAUCUGAGUAUAAGAGGUUAAAAGGAAAAUACUACCAAUUGAAGUGUUUUAUGUGAGUAGGAUAAGCCACGAAACAAAAAAAUGCUGCUACGUAGUGUAGAAACCUAGACGUUACGGACACUGAUAUGGAACACGAGACAUAACACGACUCGGACACCGCGACUCGACAACUUUCAAAAAAUUAGAACACUGACACGGCAUGAACACCAUUAAUAAAAUAUAAUAUUAUUAAUAUAAUAAUAUGUUGGGAAUUCGGUACUCGCCCCGGUACCGGAUCUUGUGAAUCCGCAACCCGCUCCGAUACCGACUGCUGUGAAUCUGGCACCGAUGGUUGGGAUUCCGUAACGGAAACGUCAAAUCGGAUUUUUACCAUAAACCCGUCUCCUCAGCAAAAGCUGAUACAAUCAUAAAAGAGAGAAAAAAUCAAAACAGAAAAUAUGCGGGUAAAAUAAGAUUAAUUAAAUAAGAGAAUAUUACACCUGACUCCUCUUCUGCACAGAGUAGCUACAACCUGAGCCCUCUUUCUUGAAUCUCUCCUACCAUUCUCUCGUCUUCUAUAAUUCCACAAAGAAGACAAUCAUCCACGCGCAUCCGUGCACUAGGUGCAUUCAACUCAUUAACUCUCUCUCUCUCUCUCACUUUUUCUCUCGGGUACGACACACCUCACAAGAGACUUUUUUUUUUCUCUUGACCGUACCCAUCCCAGAAAGAGAGCUACAAUGCCUAUUUAUAAUGCUCAACUUAAAAGGUACCCCAAUCCUAAUAUAUUUAGGAUUCAUACUUUAAUUAAUAUCUAAAUCUAUCUUAAUCAAUCUCUAAUAGAUUUAAAUAUUAAUCCUAAUCUAGUUAGGUUUAUCCUCUAAUUAAUAUUUAAAUCUUAAUUUAUCUCCAACAAAUUUAAAUAUUAAUUCUAAUCCAAAUAGGAUUCAAUUACAAAUCUAACCAAAAUCCUAACAAUCUCCACCUUGGUUGGAUUUGUAAUCUUCAACCGUCACGUCGAGCUCACCAUGCAAGCUCCACCUUGAGCUUGUCUCCUCCGCUCGAUGUCGCCGCAUCCGCCGCUCCGCCUCGAGCGACUGCACCUCCGCGAACUUUUGGAACCCAAACCGUCUUUGCUUCCGUUCUGACUAUGCUCCCGUUCAGAACGUGUAAGUUCCCAUACUUGUUCGCCUCGCACACGACCCGAUCUCGUUUUUGGACCCUCAUAGCUCCACCUGAAGCCGAAAUAUCGCAACCCUUCGAGUCCAAUGCGCGUAACGAGAUCAAAUUUCGUUUCAAUCCAGGAACGUAUCGCACACCUGUCAGCGUCCUCACGACCCCAUCAUGCAUUCGGAUCUUCACCGUGCCGACUCCCAAAACUUUGCACGUCGUCCCGUUCCCCAUUAGAGCUUUUCCACCUUUGAUCGCCUUAUAGGUUGCAAAAGACUCUUUCUCCGGGCAUACGUGAAAAGAACACGCCGAAUCGAGCACCCACGCGUCAUCCGAAAUUUUCGCACCUCCGGUCGCCACAUAUAGCACAUCAGAAUCGAACAUCUCCGACUCUGCCGUCUGUGCCGUCGCUGAUACCGUCUCGUCCUGGUUCACGACAGUUUUCUCCUUCUGUCGCUUUAACUCCUUCAGAUCAUCCUGAAGUUUUCUACAGUUGCGCUUUAUAUGCCCUUUCCUGUGACAGUAAAAGCACUCCACCUCAGAUAUCGGCUUCUUCUGUCGAUCUCCGGUCGCUGAUGUUGUCGCCUCCUUCUUCGCUCUCACCACCAAAGCUGUAUCCCGGCUCUGUGUGCCGGACUCCUGAGUCAUCUUCCGCAUCUCGUUCGAGAGAAGCGCCGCCGUGACCGCCUCCACGCUUAUGGUCUCCUUGCCAUAAAGCAACGUGGUCACCAGAUGCUCAUAUGUCGCCGGUAGCGAAGAUAGUAAAAUCAGCGCCUUAUCUUCGUCAUCCAGAUUGACUCCGAUGCUAGUCAACUGGGCCACCACCUUGUUGAACUCGUUCAGAUGAUCAUGUAGGCUUACCGCUUCCUGCAUCCGCAGCGUAAACAAUCGCUGCUUCAGAUAUAACCUGUUCGUCAAGGAUUUGGUCAUAUACAGAUCUUCUAGUUUCUUCCACAACUUCGCUGGUGUCGUCUCACUGGCUACGUUGUAAAGAACCUCAUCUGCUAAUAAUAGAUGAAGCGUACUCAGCGCCUUCCGCUCCAUCUUCGUCCAUGCCGCAUCCGUGACCUCCGCCGGCUUCGCCUCUUUUCCGUUCAACGUUUCAUCUAACUCUUGCUGUACGAGGAUCGCCCGUACUUUAAUUUGCCACAAUCCGAAAUUGUUCUUGCCGUCGAACUUCUCGAUUUCGAAUUUCAUGGCCAUCUUCGUCGAUCUCUCCCUCGGAUCAAUAACCUUUAGCUCUGAUACCACUUGUUGGGAAUCCGGUACUCGCCCUGAUACCGGAUCUUGUGAAUCCGCAACCCACUCCGAUACCGACUGCUGUGAAUCCGAUACCGAUGGUUGGGAUUCUGCAACGGAAACAUCAAAUCGGGUUUUUACCAUAAACCCGUCUCCUCAGCAAAAACUGAUACAAUCAUAAAAGAGAGAAAAAACCAAAACAGAAAAUAUGCGGGUAAAAUAAGAUUUAUUAAAUAAGAGAAGAUUACACCUGACUCCUCUUCUGCACAGAGUAGCUACAACCCGAGCCCUCUUUCUUGAAUCUCUCCUACCAUUCUCUUGUCUUCUAUAAUUCCACAAAGAAGACAAUCAUCCACGCGCACCCGUGCACUAGGUGCACUCAACUCAUUAACUCUCUCUCUCUCACUUUUUCUCUCGGGUACGACACACCCCACAAGAGACUCUUUUUUUUUUUCUCUUGACCGUACCCAUCCCAAAAAGAGAGCCACAAUGCCUAUUUAUAAUGCUCAACUUAAAAGGUACUCCAAUCCUAAUAUAUUUAGGAUUCAUACUUUAAUUAAUAUCUAAAUCUAUCUUAUAUCAAUCUCUAAUAUAUUUAAAUAUUAAUCCUAAUCUAGUUAGGUUUAUCCUCUAAUUAAUAUUUAAAUCUUAAUUUAUCUCCAACAGAUUUAAAUAUUAAUUCUAAUCCAAAUAGGAUUCAAUUACGAAUCUAACCAAAUCCUAACAUAAUAUAUUUUUAUUAUAUAUAAAAUAUUAAUUUUGGUAAAAUAUUAUUAUAUUUCUUCAUACGAAUGAAAGUUAGUAAAAUUUUCAUUGAUAGUUUAUAUAUUUUAAAAAAAAAAUUUCCACCAUACAUAAUUUAUUUAUAUUGUCAAAAAGAAAGCUAAAAUAUUUAUUAUCGUAUAUUACAUAUGUAUAGAAAAAGUAAAAUAAAAAUAGGUAUAUAUAUAUUUUUAGUUGUAUGCGCUAUAUAUCGGCAUUAAACGGGCGUCCAAGGAGUGUCCACAUUGAAUACGUGUCCGACACGGUCGUCCAAGGAGUGUCCACAUUAGAUACAUGUCCGACACGGAUACGCACAUGUCUGACACAGACACAUGAGAUUGUAGAAGUGUCGUGAUAUGUAAAUAGAAACUCAGUAACUAUAUUCUUUUUCCUUCACCAUCUUCUCUUCUUCAAAUUACUAAACCUCAAAAAAGGGGGAGACUGCCACAGAAAAACACAAUAAGGAACAGAACAAGUUUCUUAUGAAAGAAUUCUACUAAUAAUUAACCAUAGGUAAAAAUAUUGAUGAAUGGAUCAAGUUCAAAAAACAAUCAGUGAAAACAUCAAAUAAUUGGAAGAAAUUCAGAUAAAGCAUCCACGAGAUAAAGCAUCCACCUAUAAUAGUUAUAUAUGUUUUGGUGCUAUAUAUGUAGACAGAAAUAAAGCACGGGAGACAAGAACUACAUUUCGGUAGUUAGACAACCUACUCUGCCAAAAGUUUUACAACAGAAUAGGGCACUAAUAGCAUUUCCAGGUAGUAGUAAUACUUGUACCACACAAGCUAAACAACCUAAGAACUAGAAACUUGAACACUAGGAAAGAUGUAUGGUUUUCAAAAUAUUUAUUUUCCCCAAAGUGACGCAAUACUCGAUAGUAGGAUCCCAUUCACUUCACAUUAGCAAUAACUAUCAUCUUCGAUAGCUUUUCGAGAAGCUCCUUCAGGGCUGAGGGGCAACUGAUCCUCAAGUGCUCGAAUCCGUCGGUCUGCACGACCGCACUCAGCACGUCAGGACAAGCCAUAAAUUCGAGACAAGCCGUUUUGAGCUGACCGCAACGGUGCUGCUCGGCCAAGACCAACGUGGUGGCCGCCGUGCUUAUGUGGAUGUCUGCACACAACUCGUCCUCGCAAAUUAACUUCAGCCUCUCCAGCCCGUAUCGGUCCGCAGCAGCAAGCAAAUGCUGAAGCAUCACCGUCGAGGACCCGUUACACGCGAGCUCUUCCGAGCGAGGUAGCGCAUCCGAAUAGACGAAAUGAAGCAGAGCCUUAAACACCACGGCUUCCAUGUCCUUGAUCUCUAUGGACUGCAGGUUCUUUUCCUUCAUCUCGCCGAAUAGCUCGGCUUUAAACACGGGCGACCGCGCGGCGAGCAACCACCGGUGCGCGGAAAAAGCCUCGCCGCCGACUCGGAAGGUCACAUCCGUCCCCUCGCCGCUCUCCAGCAGGCGCUCAAGGUGCAGGUGCAAGUCCGACGGCCGCGGCUUGGUAGAGCAACUGUUGGGCACUUGUAGACGCGACUCCUUGAGCACGGUGACGGUGCAGUGGACUACGAGGCAGUCGUCUUUAAGGAAGUUGGACUCCAGCCGGCUUCUUUCGAUGAAGCGGCUGAACCCCCUCUCCACGCCGCGCUUGAAGGACUUGGGCUGCCGAUCGGUCGGGGUCGACGUCGAGGGCUUGCCGGCGUGGUCGAGGAGGGUUAGGUUGAAGACGGCCCUAACGUCGGCGGCGUCGCUUUCGAGGGCGAGGAAGAGGGAGACGCAGUCGGCGGCGUCCUGCGUGUACCCGUCGGGGAAGAACUUGACGGACCAGUCGUGGGCGCCCACGGUGAAGAUGCCGGAAGAUAUGGGCUUGCCGACGCCGAUGCCUUUGGUCAGGGAGUAGCCGGUGACGGUGAACCGGUGGGAGCCGCUCCCCGUCUCCGUCACCCAUGUCGACGACGUCUCCGAGGCGGAGGCGGAGGCGGAGGCGGCCAUCGCAGAGAUCGGAAGUUUCGGGAAGCUUCGGGAGUGGACGAGGAUUGGGGUUUAGGUUUUUAUACGGUUUACAGGCCUACGCAACUUCACUUGGUUGGGCGGCGAAACUGAAAAGUCCCACGUAAGACGAAUUUAAAUUUAAAAUAUAAAUAUAAAUUUAAUUUAAAAUUAAAUAUGACAUUUUUAAUUAAUUAUAAAUUAAAAUUUUGAUACUUUUAAUUUAAAAUAUAUAUUUAAAUUUUAAAUUCGCUAGAAUUUGAAAAUUAUAAAAAAAUAUUUAAUGUAUAUGUAUAUAAAAUAGAACCAUAUAAUUAUUAUAGGCAACAAUUGCUUUAAUUUAAAUUAAAGAUAUGAAAUACUUUUGAAUAAAAUAUAACAGAUAAAUUUACUUUUUAAAAGUUUACAUUUUUGGAUAAAUAUGAUUCUCAAAUUUAUACUGAUUUGAUAUAACUAUUGAAAUAGUUAUUAACUGACCAAUUUUUUAGCAAAAAAAAAUAUAUGUCGCAUUCCAUUUGCGGAAAUAGAAAAAAAAAAUCAUACUUGUUUAAAUUUCAGCCACCUGGAAGAUAUCUACUAUAUAAUAUUUUAAUAGACACAUCAUAAAAGAAUAUUUCAUACUCAUCAAAAAUGAAAAUCUCUAUGAAACGCACAUUAAAAAUAUUCAUAGUAUCUACUAUAUAAUAUUUUUUACAGACGCAUCAUAAAAGAAUAUUUCGUACUGAUCGAAGAAGAAAACCUCUAUGAAACACACAUUAAAAAUAUUCACAGUAUCUAUUAUCUCUCAAUAACUAUUUAUAUUUAAAUCAUGAAUUAAAAAUUAGCUUCAAAUUUUGAGUUUUAUUCAUAAAUCUAAAUCUAAAUUCAUUAAUUUAAAAUUUAGAACUAAUUUAAAUUUUUAAAAUUUUAAUACAUAUUAAAAUAAAUUUGUAUAUUAUAAAACACAUAUGAAAAGUAUUUACGGUAUGACUAAAUUGAAAAUGUAUAGAAUUUAUUUGAAAGCAAAUGAAAGUUAGAAAAAAAAAAUCAAUCGGUAGCUAGACUCGUACCAACAAUAGCUAUUUGAAUUCAAAAUAUAAAUAUAAAUUUAGUUUAAUUAAAUAUGACAUGCUUUAUACGUGCACUAUAACUAGCAUUAUUUGAAAAAAAAUAAAAGGUCUGCUUAAAGGAGUCCAACUUAUUAUUAUUAAUUUAUUAUUAUUUGCAAAAAAAUUCGUGUGCUCUAGAUUGUGACUAUAUAUAUAUAUAUAUANNNNNNNNNNNNNNNCUAUAUAUAUAUAUAUAUAUAUAUAUAUAUAUAUAUAUAGGCCAUGGCUAUUAUACUAUUAUGAGUAUUGGAGCCCUCGUACUCAUAAGUUGUUUUCAAUGAUAGAGCUUCCGAAUUGACGAUCCACUCCGUUAAAUAUGAUCUAGAGUAUUUGAAACUUCUAGAAAAUAAUUUCGUAAAUUUUCGAAAUCAUAAUAAAGUCCAUCAAGUGGGCAUAAAAUGAACGGUCUAAAUCGAACGACGUCCUAAAAAAGGAUGAUCGAAUCCUUCAAUUCAAGAUCGGAGUUAUUGACCUUUAUCUAUGUAGUGAAUAGAAUUUUCUAUCCAAAAUUCAACAAAUUCUGAUUCUUUUACACAGUUAAACUAGCAAGUAUCCCAUACCGACUGUUAAAAAUUGUCAAAUUUGUGAUCUCUUGAUCAUAAGGUAAAUGAUGUCGAAAAAUUAUAAAAUUUGAUUUCUAUAAGUUUUAAAUACUGUAAAUAACGUUUAACGGUGUGGAUCGUCGAUUCGAAAGCUCUAUCAUCGAAAAUAACUUAUGAGUACAAGAGCGAUCGUACUCAUAAUAGUAUAGUAGCCGGACCCAUUAUAUAUAUAUAUAUAUAGAGAGAGAGUUUUGCUAGAAUACUAUCAGUAGUAAACGACUCGAUUUACUACCAAUUUGUUUUCGAUGAUAGAGCUUCCAAAUUGAUGAUCGGCACCGUUAAACAUGAUCUAAACUAUUUAAACUAUCUGGAAAUCAAAUUUCACACAUUUUCGAUAUUGUUCUCUUGUCCAUCAAGUUAACAGAAAAAUGAAUGGCUGGAAAUGAAUAUCCUUCAAAAAGUGAUGAUACAAUUUUUAUAUUUGAGAUCUAUAGUCUAGAUCUUAUUUUAAAUAGUUUAAAGAAUUUUCUAACAAAAAUUUAGUUGAUUUAAACUCUUCUAUACUGUUAAACGAGCAAACGCACCAUAUCGGCCAUUAAAAUUAUAGAUUUUGUGACCCUUUGAUCGUUCAGUUAGUGAUACCAAAAAAUCAUGAAAUUUGAUUUCUAGAUAAUUUAAAUGGUUUAGAUCAUGUUCAACGGUGCCGAUCGUCGAUUUGGAAGCUCUAUCAUAAAAAACAAAUCGGUAGUAAACUGAGCAGUUUACUACCGAUAGUAAAAUGAUCUAACGGAUAAAAAUAAUCAAAAGAAUAAAUAUGACAGCAAAUUAAAUACUUACAAGCAGUAAGUAUUUAGUACUUUUAAAAGCAGCGUAGCUAGACUAUAUAUAUAUAUAUAUNUAGAUUAUGUUCAACGGUGCCGAUCGUCGAUUUGGAAGCUCUAUCAUUAAAAACAAAUCAGUAGUAAACCGAGCAGUUUAUUACCGAUAGUAGCCCAGUCAAACUCAAGAAUAUUAUAUAUAUAUAUAUAUAUAGAGAGAGAGAGAGAGAGAGAGAGAGAGAGAGAGAGAGAGAGCGCGCGCUAGGCUGGUAUACUAUCGGUAGCACGGAGGCCUCCAUGCUACUAAGUUGUUUUCAAUGAUACGGCUUUCAAAUUAACGAUCGGCUCUAUUAAACUUGAUCUAUCGGUAAUUGCUUAUACUUUCCGGCAAUUGAAGGAUUACGAAAAAAAUUACCCUACGCAUGACUUGGAGUUAGCUGCGGUGAUUUUUACUUUAAUGUUGUGGCGGUAUUAUUUAUAUGGCGAGCACUGCGAGGUUUUUACUGAUCAUAAAAGUCUCAAGUAUCUGUUCACCCAAAAGGAGUUGAACCUGAGGCAAUGCCGUUGGUUGGAGUUGUUGAAGGAUUAUGAUAUUAGUAUUCGGUAUUACCCUGGUAAGACGAAUGUGGUGGCAGAUGCGUUGAGCAUGAAGUCAGUGCAGAGCUUGAGCAUAUUGAUUACUCAGCAGAGGAAUCUACUUGAGGAGCUGCAGCGGUUGAGACUCGAGGUAGUAUCCCCUGGGUCUACUGCGAGACUGAUGUCUAUGGUCUUGUGGCCCACUCUAUUGGACAGAAUCAGGGAGAAACAGAGUGUAGACUCUCACUUGUUGAGGAUUCGAGAGCAGAUGGAGAGGGGACAGGCAGAGGGUUUUGUUGUGGACAGUUCGGGAGUACUCUGGUACAGGGACCGACUAUGUGUACCUAUAGAUUCAGAGAUCCGAGAGGAGAUUUUGAGAGAGGCUCACUACUCACCUUAUAUGGUUCACCCCGGUGAAACCAAGAUGUAUAAGGAUUUAAAGGCACAUUUCUGGUGGAAUGGAAUGAAGAAAGACAUUGGCAGAUUUGUGGCUCAGUGUCUGACUUGCCAACAAGUAAAGGCAGAGCAUUAAGCACCUGCUGGCAAGCUUCAGAGUCUGCCAGUGCCCGAGUGGAAAUGGGAGCAGAUCACGAUGGACUUUGUUGUGGGAUUACCUAGAGCAUAGGGUUGUUUUGAUACGAUUUGGGUAAUAGUGGACAGACUGAUUAAGUCUGCUCACUUCUUACCAGUACAGAUCACCUGGUCCAGGGAGAGACUCGCUCAGUUAUAUCUGGAUGAGAUUGUUAGAUUGUAUAGUGUGCCUACUUCGAUAGUAUCUGAUCGAGACCCGAGGUUUGUUUCGCACUUUUGGAGGAGUCUUCAAACAGCCUUGGGUACACAGUUGCAUUUCAGCACAGCAUUUCAUUCACAGACGGAUGGUCAGUCAGAGAGGAUCAUUCAGACUCUGGAGGAUAUGCUGAGAGCAUGUGUCCUGAAUUUUAGAGAAGGGUAGCAUCGACAUUUGAGACUGGCUGAGUUUGCGUACAACAACAGCUAUCAAGCGAGCAUCCAGAUGGCUCCGUUUGAGGCGUUGUAUGGGCGCAGGUGUCGAUCCCCUUUGCAUUGGAGUGACGUGGGUGAAAGGAAGACUCUAGGGCCUGAGAUUCUGAUAGAGGCUGAGAAAAAGGUUGAAGCUGUACGACUCCAUCUUUUGACAGCCCAGAGUCGACAGAGGAGCUACGCCGAUACUAGGAGACGAGACUUCGAGUUCCAGGUUGGAGAUCGUGUGUUUCUGAAAGUUUCGUCGUCUAGAAGGAUACGCAGAUUUGGAGUGCGUGGAAAGCUUAGUCCACACUUUGUAGGUCUUUUUGAGGUAUUGGAGCAAGUUGGACCAGUUACCUACAAGAUUGCUCUACCCCCAUGACUGGCCGGUAAUCAUGACGUUUUUCACGUCUCGGCUUUGAGGAGGUACGUGUUUGACCCCUCGCACGUGAUUGACUUCACUCCGCUGGAGCUUGGCGAGGACUUGAGAUAUGAGGAGCGACCAGUGCGAAUUCUUACUCGGGAGACGAAAGAAUUGCGCAACCGGGUCAUUCCUUAUGUAAAAGUGCGGUGGAGUCAUCACGAGGAGCGGGAGGUGACGUGGGAGCCAGAGACAGUGAUGUGGGAGUCCUACCCUUACUUGUUCAAUGCUGAGGAUUGAGGUAUGCGUUAAGUUUCGAUGACGAAACUUUUUGUAGUGGGGGAGGAUGUAAUAUCCCUGGUGGUCAGCAGCUGUGGAAUUUCUGCAUCUGAGGCUUGUCGACACAUCUGGAGAGUGUCGGAACAAGUCCGAGUCGUUUUGGCACAAAAUAGACGCAAAACAGACUCGUUCCGAGUCGAGAGCAGGUUUUUAGCAUUGAAAUCUGCAAAUUGUAGGUUUUCAGCAAUACGUACCGGUACCACACAGGGGAGUACCGGUACCCCAGUAUAGGUUUUCCGACUACUGCUCUCAGGUUGCAACUUCUGAUGUGGGGUAUCGGUACGGCGUCGGCCUGGUACCGGUACUCCAGGGUAGGUGAGGGGCUUUUUGGUAAAUUGCUACCUCGUGAAUGUCACCCUUAUCCCCUCCUUUUAUGUACGUGUAGAGAGGUUAAGAGAGGAUUUUGGCUACCCAUUUCCUCCCUCUCUCUAGGUUGAGCUGUACGCACGGAGGAGGCUUCGGGUGGAAUUCAGAUCGAUGCCGACGUCGCGCCGGGGAGCCGUUCGAGCGCGUGGACGUCGUAGUUGCAUCGUUGGGAGGCUGGGCCAGCGUGUGGUUCCUCUCCUAUCGACUUCUCGCCGUCGCGGAUUAGCGUUUUGAGGUGGGUUGAUGUUAAGUUACCGGAAUUUUCGGAUUUCCUCCUAAGUCUCAGUUGACAGCAUGUAUUAUUGGGUUUUGUAUAUCAUGUUUAAUAGCUCGAAUUUGUGGAUUUGCAUAUUCUUUGAAAUCUGAAUUUGGAGCAUAAUUAUUGGUUUAAAUAAAUCAUAUAUGUUGGACUUCGAUUUUACUUAGGAGAAAACCAUAAUUUCUAUAUUGUCAUUUUUCGAAAAACUAACAGAUUUAGCUUUAGGAGCUGUAGUUAGUUUGUAUCACCGUAGUUUGUACGCAGUGGAUAUACAGAAUAGUGUAGAAUGAGAUUACACUCGUACUGGGAUGCCGAGUUUAGUUUUACAGUAGUGUCUAGACUAUUCCGAACUGUCGGGUGCCGUUGUGGUUGACGGUGGACCGAGAUUUCAGUAUUUUGCAUCAGAUUGUGCUGAGGGCAUAUUUAUUAUGGUUGUUAGACCAGUUAGACCCUUCUGUUUUGACUAUAGCCUGUGAGAGCCUGAUUGAGCUCGGCAGAGAUACGCUUGCAUAUUCGGUUAGGUAGCGCCCACGAGUGCCACUCCAGAGUCGAGCAUUGUGUUUUUGCGUUGUUGUCGGUUUGUCCUGGUUGGACUUGCUCUCCACUGACGACCUAUCGUAGUGGUAGUUAGUAUAGCUUCGGCAGGCGGGACGGGUGUGUUCACAGUCCCUAGUGAGAUUGGGUCAGAGAUUGCAUUUUCUACAGAUAGUUAGUGUUAGAUCGUGAUAGUAUAGUGACAUAUAGCUGUAGAUUUCUUCCAGCUUCAUUUACUAUCUUUGAGCAUACUUUCUGUAGACUUAGUGAGUGAGUCGUUGAGGUCGAUGGCGGUACCCACUGAGGACUACUUCUUUGUGCAGUAGUUCUCACACCCAGUUGUUGAACCUUUUUGUAGAGCCUUCUUCUUCGACUGCUGCUGUUGCGGAUACAGAUCGUGGAAAGGGAGUCGCAAGUUAAAUCCCUUCUCGUUUUGCUGCUGAUCUAGAGAUAUACCAGCUACAGGUAGCGUUGGUUUUUGGUUCUUGUACAUACUGAUGUUAGAUCCUCGCUGGAGCGAGUGUUAUGUAUUUGGAGACUAAGUAUGUAUUCUGAACCGAUGUUAUUUAUCUAUGUUUUUUAGUUUAGCAGCUCUAUACUACUAGUUGUAGUUUUGUAUGAUUAUAGGUACAGGUACAGCUAUCGCUUCGUAUAUAGGGGAAAUUCUUUUGUAUACGGCGGAUUUGUCGGCAUGCCCGGAAAAAUAAGUAAUCCGGGGCGUGACAAAUAUAUUUCCAAAAUUGGCCCUAUAUAUGCCAUGUAAGCGUCGUACAAGUGCCAUGUUAGAAAUGAAGUUUUUUAAGUUAAAUAUGGUGAACCAUUCAUCGUGUUCAAACAUGGUGUUUGAACACGGUGUUUGAAUUGACACGGUGAAUGGUUCAUCAUAUUCAACUUAAACUCUACCUCCAAUAUGGCGAUUGCGUAAUGCUUACGUGAUAGAGAUAGAGUUAAUUUUACAAAUAUAAAUUUUAUGAGACUAUUUAUAAAAAAAAAAUUAAUUAAGGAGCUAAAUACAAAAAGUGCCCUAACAUAGUUAUACAAAAAUAUAGAAAAUAAAAUAUGGUUGUCUAUUAAAUGUAAAGUUACUAUCUAAAUCAACUAUCAGAUAUCACUUCAAGUUAACUAGGCUAAUUUGCAUAAAAAUUCAUUAGUUUUGCAAUUUUGCAAAGGUGGACUACAAUUUUGGAUUUUGCAGAUUUGAAACGAAUUUUUGAAAAACUAACGAAAUACUUUUAUUCCUUUUUUUUCUCUUCUUUUUUUUUGCGCUCUUUUUUUUUUUUUCUCUCCGACCAUCAUCACCUCCUCUAUCGCCUCCGCAGCCCAUGGCGACGAUAACGAGAGUGGCACUGCCUUCUCUUUCUCCACCUCCACCUCCGCUGGCAUCAGCACCGAUGUCGGCACCGGAGGAGAAGAACUUGGAGCCGCCUCCACCUCCGCCGGCACCAACGCUGUAGUAGGAGAACUCGAAGUGGGCUCAGAUGAGGGCGGAGUGGACGGAAGCGAUGAGAUCGUGACCGAGGAGGUGCUCGCCACCCAUGAGAAUGAUGACGAAGACCCGCCCAUCUCUUCCGUCCACUCCGCCCUCAUCCGGAGUAACCUAUUGUAACCUAUAUGAAUAUAAACUUACUUUAUAUUUAUUUAAAAAUUAUUACCUUACAUUCAACCGUAUUAUUAAUGAUCUGAUAUAGAUAAUUUACUUAUUAAAAACUGAUUAGGGUCACUAGGCCAACAACAUACACAGCCCGCGAACAAUUCAUUAUCAUUACCAUUCUUCAUUGCAUAUAUAGAACUUUUAUUAAUAAAACAUUAAAAAUUGAACGAUAUCGAUCGAGCUUAUACUAAUUAGGGUACAAGCACGAAACUAGACAAGCAUAAACUUCAAUUGUUUGAAAGAGUUUAAUUAAGACUGACACAAAAUUUCAAUCUCCUAAAAUUUGGGAGAUAUUGCUUUUGACUAAAUUACAAAACACACUUCUUUACAUAAGGCUCUGUUUCAAUUAUCUCACUGCAUUAAAAAUUACAUCAAUAAUUUUCUGCACUUUAUCAUUGUUUCACAUAGGUCCAAAAUUAUAGGAUAAUUGCUGAAUUCAGCUAUAAAACAUGAUAGAAACAAAUUGAUUGAUGAAGUUACUUAUGAUUGGUGCAGUAAAAUCAUAUAUAUGAGUAAACUUAUUAGAUGAACUAUGAUUUUUUAUAGUGUUAACAAAAUAAGCACUACAACAGAAUUAGAUUAUAGAGACACAUUUUUAGGACACUUUUGUGAAAGUAUUUUAUUUAUGCCAAAAUUUAAAAAAAAAAUCUAUUUAGGACUAAAUAUAAAAUCCAAUUCAAUCAAAAAUUAAAAGUUCCUCUACUCAACCAACCCCAUCCAGCCCACUAAGCCUAAUUACAAAUAGAAAAGGAAAAAAAAAAUUAAUCACUAUCUCUCUUUCUCCUCUUCCACUGCAGCAGCCGAUGAGGUAGGGUUCUGGUGGGCGGAGUUCGGCCGCGAGAAUCUCGCAGGGACCGUAGAAGACUACGAUCACUACGUGUCACUCCGUCACAGAUUGCUGGAGGAGUGGGUGUCAAACAUCAAGAGGUUGUUGGAGGAGUGGGUGUCAAACAUCAAGGCAGCGCACAAAUAGCGACCACACAUAUAGCAACACUUUUAAAAAUGUCACUACACAUAUAGGCAGGCCCUACAUAUAGCGACCACACAUAUAGCAAUACUUUUAAAAAGUGUCGAUAAUUUAGCAAGCAACACUUUUUUGAUCUAUACCGAUAUUUAAAAAUGUCACUACCUACCGUUUUUAUUGUAGCGAAGAGACCUCUUUUAUCUAACUAGUUUUUUUUUUUAUUUUUUAAAUUGUGUAUUAGAUAGAUGUUGAAAUAUAGAACAAUGUGAUGUAUUCUCUCAUUUUAGUGAAGUUUUUCAACCUAAUUCAUUGGUUAGCUGAACUAUUGAAUCUUUUUAAAACAGUGGCAAAGCAUAGAAAUGCAAUCCAUGCAUCUUUUUUUAGUAUAUAGUAGGGAGAUAACUAAGCCAUGGCCUGAAGUGCAAAGGAAACUUUUGUAAUUAAGCUUUGUCCUUUUUCCCACUUAAUUGAUGACCACUUCAAUGUACUAUAAUAAUAAUAUCGACCACAGACCAAUCUCCUUUCAUUCUAGUGCAGAAAUACUUUAGCUAGGGAUACAUUACUAACUCUUUUCACUCCAGUGCAGAAACACUUUAGUUGGGUGUACAUACUUAAUUAGUUUGUGCUUAGCAAGCUGCAGGCAUAGAGAGUUUCAGAAAACAAUAUAAUGGAAAUGUACACUUAAAAGCUUCGAAUCAUAAGCGAGUAUACUAUGUCAUAUUUACACCAUACUAUCAACAACUGAUAAAUCAUAUUUUUUUUUCAAAAAGAAAUAUAAUAAAAAUAUUUUUUUAAUAAUUAUAAUGGAAUGGGUGAAUAAACUAAGGAACUAAUCUGGUUGGUUAGGAAUCCCACAUGAGCAAUAUAACUUGUAUGUUCUAGACUUUUUCUUAAUUCAUAGUAGAUACUUAAUUGAGUAUUGGUAUACAAAUUAGUUCAGCAUAAAGGAGAUCAAAUUUCAAAACUUAUUCAGUGAGAGCAUCACAUGGUCUGAGGAAAUCUACAGAUAGAACUACAGUAAUUAAGAUUAAUGAGUAGUAAUUAUAUGGAAAAAUAAGAUAGAUAAUUAACCUCGUAGCAUGUUAAUUACUUUGCAAUUUAACACUGUGCCAAGCAUGAAUGCGUGGUGUGUUUCAAACAGUUAUAAUGCUUCUACUGAAGUAGAAUAUUUGAAUCUAAGGUUAUAAAUCGUACUAAAUUAAUUAAGAAUAAUUCCUAAAAUACUCAGAUCCUUCUUACUCAAAAGGUAGGAUUUUAUUUUGGCGCUUUACUUAUUUGCUCAGCUAGCAUCUCUAAGAGCUCCGUCAGAAUCGACGGGCAACUUAUCCUCAAGUGCUCGAACCCGUCCGUCUGCAUAACGGCAGUCAGUACGCCGGGAGAGGCCACAAAUUCGAGACAGGCUGCUUUGAGUUGGGCGCAGCGGUGCUGCUCGGCCAAGGCCAGCGUUGUCGCCACCAUGUUUACGCUGAGGUCCCGGCACAACUUCUCUUCGCACACUAACCUCAGCCUCUCCAUUCCAUACCGAUCCGCAGCGGCGAGUAAAUGCUGAAGCAUCAAAGUCGAAGUCCCCGGAUCUUCGAACUGAGGCAGCGAAUCCGAGUAGACGAAAUGAAGCAUAGCAUUGAAUGCCACGGGUUCCAUAUCCUCUAUUCUUAUGAACUGCACGCUCUUUUCCAUCAUGGGGCCGAAGAGCUCUGCUCUGAAGACUGGCGACCGCGCGGCGAGCAAGCACCUGUGGGCGGCGAAAGUCUCCCCGCCGACUUGGAAGGCGACGUCGGUUCCCUCUCCGCUGUCCAAGAGGCGGGCGAGGUGACGGUGCAAGUCGGAGGGCGGAGAUGCGAUGGCGGGAAGACCGUCGGGCGCUAUCACAUGCAGUUUCUUCAGCACCGUGACGGUGCAGUCGACCGCCAAGCAGUCGUCCUUCAGGUACUGCGACGCCUCCAGAUCGGUUCUUUUGACGAAGUUCUUGUAGCCCCAGGUUCUGGCGGUCGUCGUGAACUGGCACGGCUUCUCGCGCGCUGAUAUUGUGAUCGGCGGAGGCGCGGGUCCGCCGCUGCCGUCCGUGUCGUGCUCCUGCGCCGCCAAUGUGAGGUUGAACUUGGCCGUGACGCCUGCGGCCGGGCUGGCGAGCCUCACGAAGAAAGAUACGUAGUCGGUGGUGCCAUCGGUUUCGCCGUCGGGGUAGUACCUGACGACCCAGUCGUGGCCGCCGACGGCGAACGCGGCGGAUUCGAAGAACUGGCCGACGCCGAUCCCCUUGGUCAGGGAGUAGGCCGCGAUCUUGAACCGGUGGGACCCACUCGCCCACUCCGGCGCCAAAGUCGAGGACGUGCCCUUGUAUGGCACAGCAGCAGCAGCGGCAGCAGCGGAGGAAGACGUCAUCGCCGUGGACGUGGAGAAAAAGAAGAAGACGAGGGGGGCUCUGGGUUUAGGGCGUAUAUUAAUUAAUUUAUUUGCUUAUUAGUUGCCUUGUUAGGAUAGAAAUUACACACGAUUGUUUCGGGGUAGUUCAAGUAGGUCAAGAUACGCACUUCAGUAAGGGAUGCAAACCGAUCUGGGUUGGUGGAACUCUUGCCCCGAUCCGCCAGAUGGGGCAGUAAAUAGGAAAAAAUAAACGGAUUUGAGACGGAAAAACGGGUAAAUUUUACAAUUUGAGACGAAUUCGUGACAGAAAUCGGAAAAAAUUUUGACUCGCCCCGAAAAUUAUUUAUAUUUUAAAAAAAUAUUUCUAAAAGAUAAUGUAUUUAUAAAAACGUUUAAAAUAUAAAUAAGUUAAUUCUCUCAUUUCUAAUGUAUUUGAAACUUUUGAAUUUUAUUUUGAAUUGUGAUUGAUAUUUUUUAUUUUUAUAAUUGAUAUUGUUAAAUUAUAUAUAUAAUAUUAUUAAAAAUUAUUAUUUUAUAUUUUACAAAAUAUUAAUAAUAUUAUAAUCUAUAUCUAUAUCUAUAUCUAUACUACUUAUAAAUGCGUGAGUUUUGAAUUUUUUUCCUCUUUCCCAAAAUGACCAUCCCUAUUAAUAUAAUUCCAAUCAUAUACUAAUAAUAUCAUUCAUUCAACUUUAAUGGAAUAAAUUACAGUCGUACAAUUUUUAUUUUAUUUUUAAAUUAUCAUAAAAUAUAUUAAUUCAUAGUCGUUCGAUCUAAUCUGACUGACGAAUUAAGUAUCUGUCACUUUUUUUUUACCUAAAUUGCCUUUAAAUAGUAUGUAUCAAAUUUCACUUUUUACACGUGUCAUAUCUCCUAAUAACUGCCGCCAACAUAAUAUCAUAUUUUAUCACAAAUAAUAUUCGCAUUUCUUAAAUAUUUUCUUUUCAAAUAAUAUCCGCAUUUCUUAAAUAUUUUUUUUUCUCACACGUAAUAUCCGCUACCUAUAUAAUAUCCAAUCACAUAGUACCUUCCGUAUAUAAUAUUUAAUCAUAUUUUUUUAAAGAUGAAUAUAUAAAAAUUAUCUCAAUUUUACCUACUAAUAUUUAAAAUAUGAGAUAUUUUUUAAUAAAAUAUAACAUAUAAAUUUACAAUUUAAAAUUUUAAAUUUGUAGAUAAAUGUGAUUCAUAAAUUGAUAUUGAUUUGAGAUAAUUAUUAAAAUAAUUGUUGACACGGACAUACCAUUUUUUAGUCGGAAAAAUAUUGCAUUCUAUUUGUGAGAAUAUAAAGAAAUUUAUACUUAUCUAAAUUUUUGUCGAAAAAUAUUUACUGUAGAAUAUUUUUCACAAGCGCCCCAUAAAAUAAUAUUCCAUACAUGUCAAAAAAUAUAAAAAUCUCUAUGUAACAAAUAUUGAAAAUAUUUUGUAUCUACUAUCUCUCAAUUAACUAACUAAAAAAAAUUAGGUUUGAAAAAUAAAAUAAUUUAAAUAAGUUUAUAAAAUCAACUUUAAAUUUUAAAUUUGGUUCAUAAUUUCAAAUGAGAAUUAAUAUUUUAAUUCAAAUUUUGAAAUUAAUUAAAAUUUUAAUAUUUUGGGUGUGUAAACAGUAUUUCAAAUUGAAAAUAAUUAAUUAACUUAAAAAUAUAUCAAAUUUGAAAAAUAGAUGGGAUGAUAAAUAAAUUAAUAUCUUUAAUAAUUAUUUAUAUUCAAAUUAUGGAUUCAAAAUUAAUUUCAAAUUUUGAGUUUUAUUCAUAAAUAUAAAUAUGAAUUUAUUAAUUUAAAAUUUAGAAUUACUUUAAAUUUUUAAAAUUUGGAUACACAUUAAAAAAAAUUAAUUUUAGAAAAAAUUUAACUGUUAAAUAGAUUUAUACUACCAAUAAUUAUUUAAAUUUAAAAUAUAAAUAUAAAUUUAAUUUAUUUAAAUAUUACGUGCAUUGCAUGUGCACUAUAACUAGUUUUAUAAAAAAUAUUAAUUGGCGGGGCGGAUUCGCGCCGCCGGUGGGAGACGGGUUACAGGCGAGGCAGAUUAUAGGAUGUAUUUUUUAACCCGUCACGGAUUCGGGGCAGAAGGCGGGGCAAAAUUUUGCUAGUCGGGGCGGGAGGCGGGGCAGGGCUCCAGCCCCAAAUUCACCCCGUUUGCAUUCCUAAUUUCGGUUCAAUUAGUAGUUAGACCAGCUCAAUUGGUAUCGAGGUCUUGUGGGUUAUUAUUUAUUUAUGUAAUACAUGUUAAAAUAAUAAUAAAAUAAUAAGAGUCCAGCCAUGUUGCUUCCUAAAUUAUAAAGAAGUUAAUUCUUUCAAUUUUUUAACAUUUAGGUCAAUUCUUUUGACUAUUUCUAAUUUUUAGAUUAAUAUUAUUUUCUUAGAGAAUCACUAAACUCUAUAAGAAAAUCACUAAACUCUAAUGUUGCGUUAGGUUUGGGUACAAGUAAGAACUGCUUAUUAUAACGAAUAGGUACAAGUUCAGAUAUAAGCAGAAACUAAGCUGAUUUUAUGUUUUUUUUUUGAAAAUUAGAUUGUAGCUAAAUAUUAUUUGAAUGGUUAGAUUAGAAAUGAGGAAUAUGAGUUAAAAUUUUAAAUUAAAAAUAUUUUAUCUAAUUAAUAAACAUCAAAAUAUUAAUUAAAAUAAUUUAAUAACUUAAUAAAUUUAUUUGCUAUGAAUAUUGUAUAAGAUAAUAAAAAUAUAUUAAUUAAUUAAUUAAUUAAUUAUAAAAAUAAUUUAACUUUUAAUUAGUUAAUAAAUUAUUUUAAUUAGAUAACUAGUGAAAAAAAUAAUUAGAUUAAUAAAAUAUCAAUGGUUGAUCAAUAUAAAUAUUAGUUGACACAUUGAGGAUGUCUCUGGGAAAGGCACCCGCAAAGUAGCCAUGGCCAUGGAGUAGGGGCUGGCAAAUGAGCGAGCCGGCUCGCGUCGACCACAUUCAACUCGAUAUUUGACUCGCUCGAGCUCGACUCGAAAUUAAAUGAGCCGAGCUUGACAAAAAAAAAAGGCUCGAAAUUUAUUUUAAGCCGAGCUUGAGUAUUACUCGGCUCUUUCGAAUUAGGCUCGAAAAGCUCGAAAAGCUGAAUAUAUAUAUAUAUAUAUAUAUAUAUAUAUAAUAUAUAUAUUAUAUAUAUAUAUAGAAAUUAGGCUGGAAUACUAUAAUAGUAAAACGUUCUUUUUGCUAUCAAGUUUUUAACCAUUGGAUGAAAAAUUGUAGGAUCGGGAUAUAUUAGUCGUUAGAGUUGAGUGGUCCCCCUAGGGUUGAGUGGUCCCACUGGGUUAUAGUAUUUAAUCCAAUGGUUAGAAAUAAUGAAAAGAGUUGAUCCAAAGGCUAAAAAACUGGUAGCAACAAUAGGAUUUUGCUACCAAUAGUAGCCCAGUCCAACUCUAUAUAUAUAUAUAUAUAUAUAUAUAUAGAGUAGAGCUACUAUGCUAUCGAAGUAUAGAGAUUGGCGCUUUCGAUUUUUUGAUUCUUAGAUCAAUCCUUUAUUCGUUUCUUAUCUUUGGAUUAAUAUUAUUAUUAUCUUGUAGGGACCACUCAAUCCAAGAGUAUUAUUUAAUCCUAGGGAGACCGCAAUCAUCCAACCAUACAUUUUUAAUCAAAGGGUCAAAGUUCAAAAAUAUCAAAUCCUCUAUGUUUUCGAUAGCAUAGUAGUUCUACACUAUACUAUAUAUAUAUAUAAUUAUAUAUAUAAUAUAUAUAUAUAUAUAUAUAUAUAUAUAUAUAAUAUAUAAUAUAUAAAUAAAAUAUAUAAAUAUAAUAUAUUUAAUUAUAUAUAGGCUGAGUGAAUAAUCUGAGUUUAGUUAAAAUUGGGCCAAUAUUGUUUGGCCAUAAAAACAAACCUAAUAGACAAAUAAAAAGGCAAAAUUUUACUAAAUUUAUAUAUUUUUUCCUUUCUUUCUUCUUUCUUCACAGAGCUCUAAAUUUUCAAUAUGUUUCUCUCUUUCUCUUUUUCUAUCUCUCACCCUAAGUGGCCAAGCCGGAAGCCCUCUAAGUUACCAAGUAACAUCAUAUGUCUGCCUUUGCCUACUUUGCUAUUAAUUAUAUGCUUGAGAAAAAUAUACAGAAUAUUUUUAAAGUAAAAAAUUAUUAUUCAUAUAAAAUUUUAAUUUUAGUUAUAUAUGAUUGGAUAGUUUAAUCCAAUAUUUAUCUAUAUAAUUUAUUUAUUUUUGACUGCAUAAAUGAAAAUGAAUAAUAUAGAGAUUGAAGGCGGAAGAAAAAACAUGUAAGGCUGAAAAAAUUAGAUAUUCAACUCAUAAAUUAUAUUUUUUCAUAUUAUAAUACUAUAUUUCAUAUAACUAUUUUGUACUUUGAACUAUUAGACAUAUUUUUGUAUUAAAUUAUAGAUAAUGUUCUAUACAAAUUAAACUAUUGAUCGUAUAAUGUUGAGAAUUUCAAGCGGCUCGUUUAGGGCUCGAGCUCGCUUGACUGGAAAUUAGGCUCGCUCGAGCUCGGCUCGAAGUAAUUUCAAUCCAAGCUUGAGCUUAAAUUUAGGCUCGAAAUUAAUUUCAAGCCGAAUUUGAGCCGAGGUAAGCUCGCUCGAGCUCGGCUCGUUUCCAUCCCUACCAUGGAGAGUCAGACCAUCAAGCGACAUUUUUUUCAAUUUUUUUUUACAGUAAAAGCCUGUAACAACUCGAUCCGUUACUAAUAACAAUUUGUUGGAUCUAAACCGCUGAUCCAAAUAUUUAAGCCCAGUUAUUAUUAUGUUGCCAGGCCUCAUAUAUUUCUAAUUAGAAUUUUUUUUCCAUCCGAUAUAGAAUUAUUGGGCGUUACAAAUUCUCCAUGUUUAUAUCCUAACAUACUCAUCAGAUACAAAGCCAAUCACACACAUAUAAACUAAAAGUACCAUUUUCGAAAUCCAUGCUUAAAGCAAAUACUUGAAGGUCAACCCGUGCAUAAAAGAAACAAUACAAAAAUAUGAGAUUCUAUAAGUGGCUCCUAUAGGUUCAAAAGAUGACUUCCACCAAACACAUGGUGUAAUACUUUGCACCGCAUAACACUUAGCUCUCACACCUCCGGCCGGUAUUCAGCUCUAAUACCAACUGCAAUGAUCCGACCCAUUGACAAUAAUAAUUCAUUGAGCCCAAACCAGCAGUCCAAAAUACUAUAGUGGAGUUAAGAGGUUUAGUUCUAUUAUAUCUUACUAGUUAAGGAUCCCGCACGAUGCCGUGGGUAGAUGUCACGCCCCGGGGUCCCUUUUUGUUUGGAAAAACAGCGGAAACGACUGAAAAUUUUUUUUUUUUUUGAAACACCUGACCCCAGUGUAUGUCAGAUCCACCACAAAUACAGGGAAUCCACUGUUUACACGGACAGAGUUUUCCCUGUAUUUGCACGGCGUCGCACAAGUACAAUUAUACAAACAGAGUAUAACCAGAAUACAACCACAACCAUAUGAACACACAAUCACAACUACACAUGCAGACGUUCAUACAUUCACCAUUCACAACGCGACAGUAUUCCAAUUUUUAAACAAAAAUCCAGAACUAUCAUUUGAAAUGUUUCCCACACAGAAACUUUUAUCCUUUCAAAACGCUACGACGAGGGGUAGAAAAAUAUUUGAAAACUGUAUCGAAUAUGAAAACUCUUUUCUUUUAAAACGAGCGCUACCACGAGGGGUAGAAAACCAUUUUUUUUUCUUGAAAGCUCAUAGAUCUAUUUUUAUUUACGAAAACCCAGCAGAAAACUGAACAUUCAAGUACCGAAUGAAACUGAACCAAAAUUAAAGUUUACUAUUUAUUCAAGCAAGGGAAAAGAGAUAACCAAACGGGACGGAGCUCUAUCGCGCGCUAGACUCGCUCCUCACCUGCCGUCCCACUCGGACCUGCGACGUCACCUGUAAUGGGGGCGGGGGGUGAGAACAUGUAAACAUGUCUCCCCUCCCAGUGGGUACCGCAAGCCGACGAGGGCGAGGGUACGCACCAGCAAAGGAGGCUAAGCAACAGUAAAGGUAAACAACUACAGUAGCUACUAUGAUAUAAGAACAGAAAGUACAAGUAAGGAACUGAUGUACGAGUAAGGAACUACUGCUACUGUAUGUAUGCAUCAACUGGUGGAUAGUCCAAGGAUACAAUCUACAACCCUGCCUUUGUUGGUCCGGAGACCUCAGGCUCAUGUCACAAUCACUCAACCCUGCGUAUACCCAGUCUCGUAACCUCUGAGCUCACGGGUGGGCCAAACGCAACACUUUUCGCGGAAAAGAACACCCCCUGCCGGUGGAUCAGACCGCUGGUGUUCGUGAAAUGCCGAACGAGUGGUGACGAUCGAUGCUGAUAUGCUCAAUAGCCCAACCGUCGGCAACCAGCCGACACCCGACCGAUAGGUCAUCAAGUACAAAGGAACCGACCCGAGAUUGGUCAAAGUACGUAAAGUAGUGAACGACCAAAUAGGUACCGAUGCAACAGGAGAACACGACCAAUCAGGUCACAAGUAUAGUAUAUACUAAUGCCAACUACUCUCUACCCUACAUCAGAUCUACGCAUAGGACAACAGACCGACAGAGUAAACAAAAACAGUAUGGUGCAAGGCUCAAUAUGUAACGAGUAAACAAUAUGAAUAGACGAUGUAAAAGAUAGGGUAAAAGGAGGACAUCACCGAGCGUGCACCGCUGUAACCGACUUCGGAUCGAAGUACCACCUGUACUAGAAGCUGAAUGGUCUCGCUAAGUCGCAGACGAAGCGACCGAUCCUACGAAGGGUCCACCCGGGUUAGAAGUCUAACCCACGAAUAAAUAACAUGACCAAUCUCACACAAAUCCCAAAUCAUAACCCCACUGAAAUCGGUUUCUCAAACGCAACAUCCGAAUCAGCCGGAAGUCCCGAAAACCGUAUCGGAACUCCACCGUCGCUCACACCCGUCGUUUCUGAACCUUCGAGACGACAUGGGUGACCACACAAGGCUCAGCGACGCUACAUGUCAAUCACGAGGCACCGUCGUAAGAAUUCCGAUCGAACGCGCGUUCUAUCGGCGAUUUCGCCGAAAAACCUCCCGGAAAUGAACGAGUAAGAUUUUCCGCAAAAGGCUUGGGGCCUGGACGAUCAGUCCAGAGGUAUCUUAAGCUUUACCUGCUGCCAACAGCAGCGCACGACGAGCGAAACGCAAACGGAUCCCUAAUGGCCCAUGAAAUCACAUCAUUUUAUGUGAUUUCAUGGCUCUACGGUGCGUACCAGCAAACCAGGGAUCUACGGAGGUUGCCAUCAGCACUUGCUGCAAGGUUUCGGCAUGCCUGAGCCGUGCUCACGCUUUCGGAGCACUGCCGGAAGCAACCAAACGCGCGCACGAGCGACGCGACUCUCAGCGAUCAGUGGGCACCAGCGCGAAGAUCGCACACUACUCAUUAACCAGGGCACCGUUAAUCUAAAUGGAGGUGAGCAUCGUGUUCAGGCACGAGCCGACGAUCACCGUGCUCACCUCCGAGGUGCAAGGGAGUCGUCCGGAUCACCGGACAAUGACCGGAACCGCAAAACGACGUGCUGGAACUAAGGUACACUACUCACCGAGCUGUGGGAGCUAGGGAUGGCCGCCGGCGAUCGGACGGCGGCACUCCGGCGGUGAUGGAGCAGCAGGUCGGGGAGGUCCGGGAAGGUGCUGGCCGGCGCCGGCAGCAGCCGGUGGCGGCGGCGGCGGAGAUCGGGCCCACCGACUUCCUCUCGGUUUGGAGCUUGCCGGUCGGCGAGGCGGCGACCGGGGGAGUCGGGCGGGAUGAUCCGGCGCCGGGGACCGAGGAGAGGUGGUGCCCACCUCCGGGGGCAACGGCGGCGCUCGGGAGUGCGCGGCUCCCAGGGUCGGCCCUCACAAGACCCCGAGCGGCGGCGGGAGGCCUUGGCGGCAGCCGGCGAGGGCGCGGGGACGGCCGGCGACGCACGCGCCGGGUUGCUGGAGGUCCGCCGGGGUCGACAGGGAAGCUUGGCGCAGGGGGAGGUGGCGGUCCAAGGCCGAACCCCGAGCUCGGCCCGGCUCGGUUCAGGGCAGACCCGACUGGCUACAGCUCUUCCGGCGGCUUCCGGCGACGCUCAGCGGGUGGCCGGGGUCGCCGGGAAAGAGGGCACCUGAGGUGGAAGGAGGCCGGGGCUUGCCUCCACAGGCAGUGGAGACCCUCCCACAAGCCCUCGGUCUAAGAAGAUGGCCGAGAGAGGAGGUAGGCCGGUUCGCAGGCAGUUUCGGCGGCCGGGCAGCUCGGGCGGCGGCCGAUAACGUGAGCACGGGCAGGGCAGGGUGGUGCUGUGGGUGACAGGGCGCUGGGUCAGCUGGGGAGUUCUAGGGUUAGGGUUAGCUCCAAGAAACCCUAGGGUCAACAAAUAUAUAGGUAUUGCGACUUUUGCGGAAAACCCCCCUCAAGCUGAAACGGUUUAAACCGCAGCCUCCUGCCAGCGAGUGCUUUAUGCACGGCAGCCCCUCCGAGUUCAAAAACUCGCAAAUCGGCGGCAUAAAAUAUAGCGCCUUUUCGGCGAAUUAUCCGAUUAUUCAAAUCAGCCCCUUCGCGGACUUUUCGCGAUUCCCGAGAAUCCGUCCCGUCCGGAUUUCGAUCGGAUCACACCAGCUGCGAUCAGCAGCUCAGAGGCAUCGAAUCUAGCAUCUCGUUUCGUCGAAAGAUUUCCGAUUUGCGACAAAACCUUCCUUCUAGUCUCACCAAAAACCACAUAUAGACAAUUAAUAUGCAAAAAACCACUAAACCUUUUUCUCGAAAUCCGUGCCUCCAAAUUCAAUUCUGUCAGUGCAAAGGGUCCGGAUAGUCGAGGCGUUGAAAACGAGCUAUUGGAAGGCUAUCUUCGGAGUCCGAUACGCGUCGAAAAUUCACUUUACUCCGCGCCUCCUGGAAAACCGGAGUUUACUAUUCACUUAAGUCAGACUUCCGGGUCCGCUAACUUCUCCGUUUUAACAUCGUUUUCUCCUGAAAUUUGAGGUACACAUAAUAUUAUAUUACACAAAAGAAUCAUCAUCAACCAAAAGGUUUAUAUCAAAAAUCAAAAAUCUCAGUUAUUACAGUAGAUAAUUAGAUUCAAACUUUAAAUAAAAUUCAAAAUUAUAAUUUCUGAUUAUAAAAUUUUAAUUUUAAUUUUGAUUUUAAAUUUUAAAUUUAAAUUUAAAAUUUAAAAUUUUUAUUUUAGGACUAAAGUGAAAAACAUGUAAAUUUAGGAACCAAAAUUAAACAUGCAAAAUAAAAUCAAGUAGGUGCUGACAUGAGAAAUUCAUUACUUUUAACACAUCUUUUUGAACGGCUGGGACGUAAUAUAAUGAAAUCAGGUUGGAAACUUUAUGGAAAAAAAAUAUUGGGGAACAAUAAAAAAAAAAUAGUGCUAAGUUGGGACCAUAGUGCAAUAAAUCAUGUAUGUGGGCCUCACAUCUCCUCCAAUAGGUUGUCAAUUCAUGUAUUUUAUUAUUUUAUUUAUAUUUAAUUUAUAAAUUUGAAAAAAAAAAAUAUUGGCGAAAAAUAAGAAACGUUGCAAAGUUGAGAACCAACGUUGCAAUUAAUUAUGUAUGGCCCACAUCUCUCCAAAAUAAGAAGAGGACUCCUUCAGGGUUGCUAAUUCAUGUAUUUUUAAUACUAUUUUUUAUUUUAUAGAUUUGAGAAAAAAAUGUUGGAGACCAAAAUAAAAAAUAGUGGCAAAGUUGGGGACCAAUGGUGUAUUAAUCAUGUAUGUGCGGCCGCGCACAACUUUCCAAAGAGAUGUCACGCCCCGGGGCCGAUUUUAAAAGCCUUUAAAAAACAAAGUUGCGAAAAACUUGCCAUUUUUUUUUUUUUCAACCUGGCCCAUGGCCCACGCGACGUACAGACCCGCACAAAUACAAAAGUUCCUCUGUCACGAUCGAACAGAGUCUCCUUUGUUUUGCACGGCGUACUAGCCUAUACACACAAGAUCUCAACCACAACCUAAUAUUAUCCAAUCAACAACCAAAAUAUGAUAGCAUUUCCAUACAGCUAACAAUCCUUAGAAUGAUGCAUGCCUCUAAGCACUCCUAGGCGCUGGAAUAAUGCAAUGCACAAUACAACAAACAUCCUAUUUAAAAGUGCCCCCACCACGAAGCUUUUUUUUUAAACUCUAAUUUCAUUCAUUCAUAAAAACCCAUUCGGAAAACCUUUAUAAAACUGUUUCCAACACGGAAACUCUAUUUUGAAAACCGACUACUCUCGAGGGUAGAAAACCAGCGAUGCAUAACUACAAGAAAACCAAAUCUCCACAGAACCAAAACCACAGAUCAAAAACUCCAAUCUACAUGUAUAAAGAACCAACACCACAUUUCACAUACAUUCAAGCAUACAUAAGAUCAGCUAACUGAACCAUUAUUAAGAAAAACUACUAAGUGCGGAAAAGAGAUAACAAGGGUGAGCGUCACUACUGCCGUCUAGCUAAGAUCGUCCUCUCAUCGAGCCCAAAAUCCAACUCCUCGUCUCUGUCACCUGUGGGGAAAUGGUGGGGUGAGAAACCGCAACCAUGUUUUCUCAGUGGGUACGACAGGCACGAAGGCAAGUCGUAAUCACCGGAAACCAAAGGAGAUAAGAUAAACAAGUAAUAUAUCUGUAAGCUGAUAUGAAUAGAACUACAGUAGCUUAAAAACGAUAAAUAGGCAAGCAAUAAAUAAACCUGCUACUGUAUAGAAAAAUGCAAACGAAUGCCUCAAUGUACUGAACCAGAAACUGUACCAAUCUGUGGCCUGCUGUAUGGCUCCGCAGACCUCACGCUACCUGUCACUAACUGCACCGACCUGAUCCAUCCCGCCCCGCAGGACGACCCAUCCGGAUAAGUACACUCGAUCGGUGGCCAACCGAUCGGUGUCAUGAAUACCCCCAAGGCCGUGACUAACUCAUGCUGGUAGCUCAAACAAAAACAAACCCGCUAAAGCCGUGCCUAGCCGAAGCCAACAACGAGGGUGUAUAAUGCCAAUGAAACAGAAGCUAGGGCGUACAACCCCGAACUGAAAUAGAUACCAGGGCGUACAACGCCGAACCUCGAUCAACCAAGAUCGAAACACACGACAAGAGAGUCGAUGUGUUGCCUGGACCCAAGUUCCACAGAGACUACGAAAUACGAAUGCAGCCUGCUCUACAUGUCAUCCACAACUAUAACAAUGAAUCAAGGGAUGCGAAUAACAAACGAUAACAAGCAAUCAAUGUAGAGACUAAAUACACGGAAUAGAAAAACAGGAGAAGGAAGUGAAACGCUCUCACCGAUACCAGCUUAAAGCACCCACCUGUCACUCGUCGCGUCAGAACACUGGGUACGCACAAGUCGACCGACCCACGAAGAUCCCACGGUCAGUAACCAACCCACUCACCUGAAGUACACUAUCUCACAAACUCCCACACAGACCGGUAUCGUUUCCCAAAACCGAUCAUCGUAACUCACCGGAAGUCCCGAAAACCACACCGGGACCGUCGCGACCCACUAAGUGUCCGAACUCACCGACUCGUGCCACGAGUCACCCGCUGCCCCAAAGCACUCCAAUUUGAUGCCUUGCACAAACACAGAGGUAACACAACAAUAAACGANNNNNNNNNNNNNNNNNNNNNNNNNNNNNNNNNNNNNNNNNNNNNNNNNNNNNNNNNNNNNNNNNNNNNNNNNNNNNNNNNNNNNNNNNNNNNNNNNNNNNNNNNNNNNNNNNNNNNNNNNNNNNNNNNNNNNNNNNNNNNNNNNNNNNNNNNNNNNNNNNNNNNNNNNNNNNNNNNNNNNNNNNNNNNNNNNNNNNNNNNNNNNNNNNNNNNNNNNNNNNNNNNNNNNNNNNNNNNNNNNNNNNNNNNNNNNNNNNNNNNNNNNNNNNNNNNNNNNNNNNNNNNNNNNNNNNNNNNNNNNNNNNNNNNNNNNNNNNNNNNNNNNNNNNNNNNNNNNNNNNNNNNNNNNNNNNNNNNNNNNNNNNNNNNNNNNNNNNNNNNNNNNNNNNNNNNNNNNNNNNNNNNNNNNNNNNNNNNNNNNNNNNNNNNNNNNNNNNNNNNNNNNNNNNNNNNNNNNNNNNNNNNNNNNNNNNNNNNNNNNNNNNNNNNNNNNNNNNNNNNNNNNNNNNNNNNNNNNNNNNNNNNNNNNNNNNNNNNNNNNNNNNNNNNNNNNNNNNNNNNNNNNNNNNNNNNNNNNNNNNNNNNNNNNNNNNNNNNNNNNNNNNNNNNNNNNNNNNNNNNNNNNNNNNNNNNNNNNNNNNNNNNNNNNNNNNNNNNNNNNNNNNNNNNNNNNNNNNNNNNNNNNNNNNNNNNNNNNNNNNNNNNNNNNNNNNNNNNNNNNNNNNNNNNNNNNNNNNNNNNNNNNNNNNNNNNNNNNNNNNNNNNNNNNNNNNNNNNNNNNNNNNNNNNNNNNNNNNNNNNNNNNNNNNNNNNNNNNNNNNNNNNNNNNNNNNNNNNNNNNNNNNNNNNNNNNNNNNNNNNNNNNNNNNNNNNNNNNNNNNNNNNNNNNNNNNNNNNNNNNNNNNNNNNNNNNNNNNNNNNNNNNNNNNNNNNNNNNNNNNNNNNNNNNNNNNNNNNNNNNNNNNNNNNNNNNNNNNNNNNNNNNNNNNNNNNNNNNNNNNNNNNNNNNNNNNNNNNNNNNNNNNNNNNNNNNNNNNNNNNNNNNNNNNNNNNNNNNNNNNNNNNNNNNNNNNNNNNNNNNNNNNNNNNNNNNNNNNNNNNNNNNNNNNNNNNNNNNNNNNNNNNNNNNNNNNNNNNNNNNNNNNNNNNNNNNNNNNNNNNNNNNNNNNNNNNNNNNNNNNNNNNNNNNNNNNNNNNNNNNNNNNNNNNNNNNNNNNNNNNNNNNNNNNNNNNNNNNNNNNNNNNNNNNNNNNNNNNNNNNNNNNNNNNNNNNNNNNNNNNNNNNNNNNNNNNNNNNNNNNNNNNNNNNNNNNNNNNNNNNNNNNNNNNNNNNNNNNNNNNNNNNNNNNNNNNNNNNNNNNNNNNNNNNNNNNNNNNNNNNNNNNNNNNNNNNNNNNNNNNNNNNNNNNNNNNNNNNNNNNNNNNNNNNNNNNNNNNNNNNNNNNNNNNNNNNNNNNNNNNNNNNNNNNNNNNNNNNNNNNNNNNNNNNNNNNNNNNNNNNNNNNNNNNNNNNNNNNNNNNNNNNNNNNNNNNNNNNNNNNNNNNNNNNNNNNNNNNNNNNNNNNNNNNNNNNNNNNNNNNNNNNNNNNNNNNNNNNNNNNNNNNNNNNNNNNNNNNNNNNNNNNNNNNNNNNNNNNNNNNNNNNNNNNNNNNNNNNNNNNNNNNNNNNNNNNNNNNNNNNNNNNNNNNNNNNNNNNNNNNNNNNNNNNNNNNNNNNNNNNNNNNNNNNNNNNNNNNNNNNNNNNNNNNNNNNNNNNNNNNNNNNNNNNNNNNNNNNNNNNNNNNNNNNNNNNNNNNNNNNNNNNNNNNNNNNNNNNNNNNNNNNNNNNNNNNNNNNNNNNNNNNNNNNNNNNNNNNNNNNNNNNNNNNNNNNNNNNNNNNNNNNNNNNNNNNNNNNNNNNNNNNNNNNNNNNNNNNNNNNNNNNNNNNNNNNNNNNNNNNNNNNNNNNNNNNNNNNNNNNNNNNNNNNNNNNNNNNNNNNNNNNNNNNNNNNNNNNNNNNNNNNNNNNNNNNNNNNNNNNNNNNNNNNNNNNNNNNNNNNNNNNNNNNNNNNNNNNNNNNNNNNNNNNNNNNNNNNNNNNNNNNNNNNNNNNNNNNNNNNNNNNNNNNNNNNNNNNNNNNNNNNNNNNNNNNNNNNNNNNNNNNNNNNNNNNNNNNNNNNNNNNNNNNNNNNNNNNNNNNNNNNNNNNNNNNNNNNNNNNNNNNNNNNNNNNNNNNNNNNNNNNNNNNNNNNNNNNNNNNNNNNNNNNNNNNNNNNNNNNNNNNNNNNNNNNNNNNNNNNNNNNNNNNNNNNNNNNNNNNNNNNNNNNNNNNNNNNNNNNNNNNNNNNNNNNNNNNNNNNNNNNNNNNNNNNNNNNNNNNNNNNNNNNNNNNNNNNNNNNNNNNNNNNNNNNNNNNNNNNNNNNNNNNNNNNNNNNNNNNNNNNNNNNNNNNNNNNNNNNNNNNNNNNNNNNNNNNNNNNNNNNNNNNNNNNNNNNNNNNNNNNNNNNNNNNNNNNNNNNNNNNNNNNNNNNNNNNNNNNNNNNNNNNNNNNNNNNNNNNNNNNNNNNNNNNNNNNNNNNNNNNNNNNNNNNNNNNNNNNNNNNNNNNNNNNNNNNNNNNNNNNNNNNNNNNNNNNNNNNNNNNNNNNNNNNNNNNNNNNNNNNNNNNNNNNNNNNNNNNNNNNNNNNNNNNNNNNNNNNNNNNNNNNNNNNNNNNNNNNNNNNNNNNNNNNNNNNNNNNNNNNNNNNNNNNNNNNNNNNNNNNNNNNNNNNNNNNNNNNNNNNNNNNNNNNNNNNNNNNNNNNNNNNNNNNNNNNNNNNNNNNNNNNNNNNNNNNNNNNNNNNNNNNNNNNNNNNNNNNNNNNNNNNNNNNNNNNNNNNNNNNNNNNNNNNNNNNNNNNNNNNNNNNNNNNNNNNNNNNNNNNNNNNNNNNNNNNNNNNNNNNNNNNNNNNNNNNNNNNNNNNNNNNNNNNNNNNNNNNNNNNNNNNNNNNNNNNNNNNNNNNNNNNNNNNNNNNNNNNNNNNNNNNNNNNNNNNNNNNNNNNNNNNNNNNNNNNNNNNNNNNNNNNNNNNNNNNNNNNNNNNNNNNNNNNNNNNNNNNNNNNNNNNNNNNNNNNNNNNNNNNNNNNNNNNNNNNNNNNNNNNNNNNNNNNNNNNNNNNNNNNNNNNNNNNNNNNNNNNNNNNNNNNNNNNNNNNNNNNNNNNNNNNNNNNNNNNNNNNNNNNNNNNNNNNNNNNNNNNNNNNNNNNNNNNNNNNNNNNNNNNNNNNNNNNNNNNNNNNNNNNNNNNNNNNNNNNNNNNNNNNNNNNNNNNNNNNNNNNNNNNNNNNNNNNNNNNNNNNNNNNNNNNNNNNNNNNNNNNNNNNNNNNNNNNNNNNNNNNNNNNNNNNNNNNNNNNNNNNNNNNNNNNNNNNNNNNNNNNNNNNNNNNNNNNNNNNNNNNNNNNNNNNNNNNNNNNNNNNNNNNNNNNNNNNNNNNNNNNNNNNNNNNNNNNNNNNNNNNNNNNNNNNNNNNNNNNNNNNNNNNNNNNNNNNNNNNNNNNNNNNNNNNNNNNNNNNNNNNNNNNNNNNNNNNNNNNNNNNNNNNNNNNNNNNNNNNNNNNNNNNNNNNNNNNNNNNNNNNNNNNNNNNNNNNNNNNNNNNNNNNNNNNNNNNNNNNNNNNNNNNNNNNNNNNNNNNNNNNNNNNNNNNNNNNNNNNNNNNNNNNNNNNNNNNNNNNNNNNNNNNNNNNNNNNNNNNNNNNNNNNNNNNNNNNNNNNNNNNNNNNNNNNNNNNNNNNNNNNNNNNNNNNNNNNNNNNNNNNNNNNNNNNNNNNNNNNNNNNNNNNNNNNNNNNNNNNNNNNNNNNNNNNNNNNNNNNNNNNNNNNNNNNNNNNNNNNNNNNNNNNNNNNNNNNNNNNNNNNNNNNNNNNNNNNNNNNNNNNNNNNNNNNNNNNNNNNNNNNNNNNNNNNNNNNNNNNNNNNNNNNNNNNNNNNNNNNNNNNNNNNNNNNNNNNNNNNNNNNNNNNNNNNNNNNNNNNNNNNNNNNNNNNNNNNNNNNNNNNNNNNNNNNNNNNNNNNNNNNNNNNNNNNNNNNNNNNNNNNNNNNNNNNNNNNNNNNNNNNNNNNNNNNNNNNNNNNNNNNNNNNNNNNNNNNNNNNNNNNNNNNNNNNNNNNNNNNNNNNNNNNNNNNNNNNNNNNNNNNNNNNNNNNNNNNNNNNNNNNNNNNNNNNNNNNNNNNNNNNNNNNNNNNNNNNNNNNNNNNNNNNNNNNNNNNNNNNNNNNNNNNNNNNNNNNNNNNNNNNNNNNNNNNNNNNNNNNNNNNNNNNNNNNNNNNNNNNNNNNNNNNNNNNNNNNNNNNNNNNNNNNNNNNNNNNNNNNNNNNNNNNNNNNNNNNNNNNNNNNNNNNNNNNNNNNNNNNNNNNNNNNNNNNNNNNNNNNNNNNNNNNNNNNNNNNNNNNNNNNNNNNNNNNNNNNNNNNNNNNNNNNNNNNNNNNNNNNNNNNNNNNNNNNNNNNNNNNNNNNNNNNNNNNNNNNNNNNNNNNNNNNNNNNNNNNNNNNNNNNNNNNNNNNNNNNNNNNNNNNNNNNNNNNNNNNNNNNNNNNNNNNNNNNNNNNNNNNNNNNNNNNNNNNNNNNNNNNNNNNNNNNNNNNNNNNNNNNNNNNNNNNNNNNNNNNNNNNNNNNNNNNNNNNNNNNNNNNACUAACGCUCAACUCUGAUAUCGUCUCUUCUCGUAUCGGUUUCCCAAAACCGAUCAUCGUAACUCACGAGACCCGAAAUUCACACCGGACCGCGGUACCCACUAAAGUGUCCCGUAACGUCACGACUCGUGCCUAGAGUCCAGUCCGCUGCCCAAAGCAUUCAAUUUAGGAUGCCUGGCAGCAAACACAGAGGUAAACAACAAUACGAUCAUUCGCCGGAUUAAUCGUAACGAUCCAGAUUCCCGGAAGUGUCUAUUUCGACACCGGAACCGACCGUCGCUGCACCUAUUCAUCAUCGAACCCAGCACAAAAGAUGAUGUCGACCAGCCAACAAGGCUCCAGCGACAAAACACACAAGCCCAAACAUCCGUGAUGAAGAAUUCCGAACCGAACCGUCCGUUCGCGCAAUUUCGUCGAAAGAACGCACACGAAUCGACCUACCCGAUUUCCGCGAAAGCUAACUGGACCAUGACAUUCAGUCCAGCGAUCAUAACAACCCCCACAACUCACCCACAUAGCCACGCAAAACAGAAUUGACAUAAAGACAUCUCUAAUUACAUAAAUAUCAUCAUUUCUAUGUAUUUGGCGAUCUAAGUGGCUCGCUUCACUACGCAACCGAGGAACUUUCCGAAUCCGCAGGAGCACGGUAUGACAUCCGAGUACAGUGAGUCCGUGCCUCACGAUUUCCGGAGCACAGCGGCUCGGCUGUGGAGCGCGGGACACUCGAAGGUUCAGCGAAUUAGCGCGCGUCAGGGAAAUCGCGCCGUAUCAGAAUACCGGACACCUCUGUCCAUAGGAAAUGGUGACAAUUGUGAUCGGCACUGACAGCACGAACACCGUGGCCUCACUCCGGAGGCAUCAGGACAGCCUCGAUCGUGAUCAACGUGCGCAGGAAGCCAAACAGGCAGCCAAAAAGGCUGAACGGACGACAUCGCCAAAACAUGGCGAAACGGGCCUAUCCGACAGAAACCAAGGUGAGCACGAUGAUCUUCAACCUUCCACGGAUCAUCGUGCUCACUUCCGUGGAGAUCGGGGAAACUCGGGAAGCCAGAACAGUAGGCCAUCCCACAAAAGCCAUUUCGGGUGCCGAGCAAGUUGCUCCGGCCAGGUCCGCGCCGGCGCGCGGCUGGGGGGGCGGAGGCCAGGAUGGGUGCGGGGCGAGGAAGGAGUAGGUACUUCACCUCAGACAGGCGCUGACAGCGCGGCGGCGACGGCGGGCAAGAUGAGCCGCGGCACGGGCUAGGGCACGGGUUCCAGGAGUUGCUGGGCACGGGCGGACGGCAUGGGAGCUCCGGGACGGCGGAGGCGGGCUGCAGGAGGUCGGGAGGGCCGCACAGGUGGCUCAGGGUGCGGCGGCAGCGAGAAAGGAGCCGCACACAGCUCGGCUCGGCUCGGGUUGGCCGCUGUCACGCCGACCGGCGGCGGGCGGCGGCGCGCUGGGGCGGCGGCGACCGGCGGGAAGGGGCCCGAGCACAGAGGGGUGUCGCUGGGAGGAGUUUCCAGCGGUGGCGGCGGCACAGGCACUGUUCGGCAACCCAAGCUCGCUUGCAGCUCGCCUGGGCCGGCAUCCUGCCGGCUUGGUACGGAUUGUUGCGCGGCGGCAGGCGCGGUCGGCGGUCGCGCGGGAUGCUUCGCCGAGCAGCGGGGCGACACCGAGGGAGGUCGAGAAGUGCGGAAUCUCGGUCUCCUCACAAUGCAAGAGAGGUAGAGAGGGAGAAAGCAAAGAGAGGGAAGAAGAUGGGUAAGGCUCGGACGGCGCGGGCUCAGCCGGCGCGCGGCCGGGGUGGCAGCAGCGGCAGGAGAAGGGUGCAAGGUGGCUGGGGCGACUAGGAGCUGGGCCGGCUAGGGAUUAGGGGUAGGGGAUCAUAAACCCUAGAACUGAUAAAUCCAAGGUGUAACUUUGCAAAAAGGUCCACCAAACCAGAAUUUCAAUCGAGAUCCUCGACAGUAGCGACAAAACGCAUGAAGUCCCUCCACGUGCGAUCCCCUCGAAAGAUACAUAAAAUAUCGCGACAUUCGCGAAAAUACGCGUUUUGCUAACUACCGGACCUCUCCCUCGAUCAACGCGGCGAUCUCAGCGCAGAUCGCUCGUCAGAUUUGCAAACGGAUUUGAAUCCAGUGCGAUCAGCACGACGGAGACAACAAAGCUGCGGAUUUCGUUUCGUCUUGUUCGAUCCAGCCGGAUUCACAGAAAAAUCCAACCUUCUUCGAUAGAAGUAAACCACAUGUAAAUACAUAUAAAACAUGUAUUUUUGGAUUUUCUCGAAAUCCGUGCGUCAAACUCAAAAUCCGUCAGCGUCAGUAGUUCUAGAACAGCUGAACCGGUCGAAACGAGCUAUUGGACUGCUAUGAACAGAGUCCGGUACGAGCCAGAAGCCAACUUCUCACCACGGCUUCUCCGGAAAAUCGAGUUACUAUUCACCUUAAGUGAAACUUGAAAAUCGCGUAGAAUUUCCGUUUUAACUCGUUUUCGCCCGAAACUUGAUGAGUGCUUUUGUAAUUAAAUUACACACAAAAACAUCGUCAACUGAGAGUUUAACUACACUGCAAAAAUCUCAGUCCUUACAAGAGAGGCCUUCUUUAGAGUUGCCAAUUUAUGUAUUUUUAUACUUUAUUUUAUAGAUUUGAAAAAAAUGUUGAGGACCAAAACAAAAAUGGUACAAAAUUGGAGACCAAUGGUGCAAUUAAUCAUAUAUGUGGACCCACAUCUCUCCAAAAUAAGGAGAGGCCUAUUUAGGGUUGCCAAUUCAUAUAUUUUAUAGAUAGAUAGAUAGAUUAUUGAUUUAUAGAUUAUAGAUUUUUAUAUUUUAUUUUAUAGAUUUGAAAAAGAAAUGUUGGGGACCAAAAUAAAAAAGUGCAAAGUUGGAGACCAAUGGUGUAAUUAAUAAUGUAUGUGGGCCCAUAUCUUCCCAAAAUAAGGAGAUGCCUAUUUUAGGAUUGCCGUUUCAUGUAUUUUUAUUAUAGAUUAUAGAUAUAAGGCGUGUUUGGUUCGCUUAUUUCUCACCCUGGAAUCGGAAUCGGAAUGAAUAAAUCUGUUUGUGGGUGUUUGACACGCGGGAGUUCCAUUCCGAUUCCGAUUCCCGAGUGGGAUGGGAAUCCUCCAAUCACCUCUUUUUUCAAUCCGGCCUAGGAGGCCGGAUUGAAGGUUGAAUCCGGACGGAAUGGAUAUUUAUUCGGAUUAAAUUUAUUUUUUCAACUUUUUUUAAUUAAAAUAUGAGUUAAAAUUUAAAAAUUAAAUAUAUAAUUUUAAAUUUUAAUUUAAACUUAAAUUAAAAAUUAAAAUUUAAUCAAGUAUUUCGAAUCUAACUUAUGAAUUUGAAUUUAAAUUAAAUUUUAAUUUAUAUAAANAAAUUAAAAUUUAAUCAAGUAUUUCGAAUCUAACUUAUGAAUUUGAAUUUAAAUUAAAUUUUAAUUUACAUAAAAUGUUAUUCAAAUUUUCUUUCAAACUUAAAUCAAAUUUAUGGAUUUGACAUUAUUUCAAAAUUUUGAUGUAAAGUUUUAAUAUUUUAAUUUUUAAUUUGAAUUUAAAUUAAUAUAUUAUAAAGAUAAUGUUAGUAUAUUAAUUUGAUUACAUUUUUUAUAUCCACCUGAACCAAACACCGACAAUGGGAAUGAUUUAUUUCGAUUCCGAUUCAGGUGAUGAACCAAACAGAAUUAGGUAAUGAGUCAUUCCGAUUCCGAUUCCAGCUUAUUUUGAUUCCGAUUCCGAUUCCGACUUCGAACUAAACACGCCCAUAGAUUCUAGAUAUAUGACUACUCCAAAAUCCUGGGUCUCACAUUCUUUCUUUGCCGCCCCACUCCCUACCCCCCAGGCUCUAGUUCCUUUGCUAGGCUUAGGUAAACGUGGUUUGAACCCAACAAUUUAUUAUUGCUAGUGGGUCAAAUUGUUACAUUUGGUAUCAAAACACACCCUUUUAAGCCUUGACGUCCUUGUCAGGUGUAGGCACACAUGUUUUGGAUCCAACGAAUUAGUAUUGCUAGUAGGUCAGAUCAUUACAUGUAGCAUCAGAACUUAGUACCAAUAAAAAAUGUGAGAGCUAAACGCUACGCAAGACAAAAUGUUAUACCACGAGUUUGAUGGAAACCACCUCUUGAACGCACGAGCCACCUCUAAAACCUCAUAUCGUCUGAUAGUUCUAAUCUAUAUGUUUGUGGUUGGGCGUCACACCAUAAUAAUAAUAACUAGGCUCAAGUAUUUUAAACAGGUGAUUUAGAUCCAAUGAGUAAUUAUUAUUAACGAGUCGGAUCGUUACAAAGCCUACAAUUAGAAUAAUUUUUUUUUUGAAUAAUUUGUUAAUGUAUUCUUCACCUAAGCCAGAGUCUUUGUUAAAGCCGAACUCUACCAGAAAAGAUAACAUGUGUAAAAUAAGUGCAAGAAUAAGCAUCAAUAUCUGAACUGAAUUUCAAUUAGUAAAAGCAUAUACAUCAUUACCAAAGAAAAAUGAUGUUUAAAUAAGCAUAAGCAUAAAAUGGAUUUAUUCCGACAGAGUACUCUUUAUUGAUGCUUUAUUGAUGCUUCAAGUAGCUUGUACAUUUCUCAUAAAUUUCCUGGAAGAUAACAAACAUCUCAUGUUGAACCCUCCGACGAUCUUAUUACUUAAUGAGGUGAAUAAAGAACACCUCAUCUUCUGAACUAACUAGGAAGGAGCCACUUUCAAUGGCAAUGUUAUUAUAACUGCUAUACACUAGGCAUCCUUCACCAUCUCUAGAAAAAAGAAUAAAUUCAAUUGAAAAUCAGUAACCAAAAUUGAGACCUAAUUGCUUGGUUCUGCAAUCAGGAGAAAACUGAAAUAAGAAUAAAUUGAAUGUCCAAGAAGAGGAAAAGUGGGCCUUUACAACAGAAGCCCGAAUCGAUGUCCUCUUCACAAUUACAUUAUGAGACACCUGGAUAAUGAAAUCUGUGAGAUAAGAUAAGAGAAAAUAUUAGAGAAGAAUAGAAACAAGGAUAAGACAUUGCAAACGAACAAUAAACCUGUCAUCUUCCUUUGCCAAUGAUCUUCUUUAAGUAUAUGAAGUGAAAAGCAGUUGAAGUUAAAACAAAUGAACUGCCAUUUUAAGCUUGUUUUGCUUCCACUUUGGUAGCUUGUAGAAGGCUGCCUUCGGCAUAUUAAACUUCUCUUUGAACUCUUCUGAAGAUAAAUAAGCCUGAAGUGGAAAGCGAGAGUAAGAAUCUGAGAGAUCAAAAGGAUAUUACAACAAGUAGGCUACUUAUUUACCUCUCGUUUAGUUAUAUCGAUCUCUGAAACAGGAUCGGUCGAUGAGGUCUUUAGACGCUCAUAAGGAAAUAUUGGAAGGCCUUCAUCAAUGUCUGCUUCAUUUUCCUUUGCAUCUUCCUCUAUGGUGAGAUCACUAACUCCACUAUUCAUUGUGGUCUCUGGGUUUGAGAAAUAUAUAAGCAAAGAUUCGGGAUUUCCAUAAAUCCUUGUAAGUUUUAACAUAUAUGUUUCCCUGCAUAAUUAUCUAUUUACAUAUCUACUUCUGCAAAAUCUGAGGUUUUUUUCAAUGUAUGCCCUUCUAAGACUUAAUUACUUACACGUACACCUUUGUAAUCGUAAAAACAAAUCAUCCCCUCUUUUCUAGAACAAGACCAACUUGUCCCCUUGAAAUAGGGCACAUUUGUUAAGUACACUCAUAGAGAGAGAAAGUGGCCAUGCAACUAUUGAUAGGAUAUGGAUGGUAAUACCAUGGAAGCUCCUUCAUGUUAUGAUUGGAUGGUCUCAAUAUUGAGAGCAGAGAUAGUUGGUCGAAGGCUUUUGUUAGUUUAACACUGUACACUAGUCCAAAUUAGUUUAAACUCUGCUCAAUAAUUGUUUUCAGAUGUCUUGCUCAAGAACAAUAGCUGAUGAAUCCGUUACAAAAUUUAAGAACCUCUCUCAGUUUGCAUUAUUCAUUUUUGUCUGAACUCAACACAUAGUUAGACGAGCUCCAAUGAUUGUCAAACUUUUCAAAGAUCGAAAAUAGUUUAGAUCAUGUGUAACAGUAUGGAUCUUCAAUACAAAAGUCCUAUUUAAUUUUGACUUAACAUAAUAUAACCAUCCAAAUACUCACUACCUCUUCCUCUCCCUCCCUAAAUAUAUGAUUUUGCAUGGAUCAUGCAUGUAAAAGCCCUUAAAUAUUAGAAGAUUAGAGUCAAGUACCUUUGGAUGAUUUUGGUGCAACACUUUCUCUUGGAGGUUCAAAAGUAGCAGUCAGAGCUGCAAUUGCUGCUGAUCGCGAAGCAAGCUUCUCUGAGUCUGGAGCCACAACUUUCGGGUGAAGCUUGUUUACAGCUGGAGGUGGGGUUGAGAGAUUCCUGGGAUUAGGGUUCUCAAAUGUAGCGGCUAGGGCAUUAAAUGCAGGGGAUCUCCCCCUUAGACGAAGUCUGUCGGGACUGAAUGACAUGCUUCUCGAGCGCUGAGAUUUGUCGGGUAUGCUGGAUCUACUACUUCCAUGUGUAGGUAUCCGCCUCUUAGGUUUCUGAGAAAUUCAAUCUAACUUAUAGCAGUUCUCAAAAUACCAUUACGAAGCAAAAUAGAAAGAAGUAAUAAAGAAAGAAGAUGGUGCAGAAAAAAGAUAGUACAAUAAAUACUUACAAACUAUCGGUUAUUUUAUCAGAAUAUGCUUGUAACAAUCUUUCGAUGAGUCGCAUAAUUCAACUUACAAACCAAAGAAUGCUGCAGCAUAAUUCAACUUACAAGACAAAAAGUGCUGCAUACUGAUGGAGAGAGUCGUGCUGACAGACUGAGAAAGAAUAAACUUUGGAGUUCAAGAUUGAGAUGUGCACUACUUUUAAUACUUAAUGGACAUUGCUUCCUAUUUUCAAAUUCAAAUAAGUCGGUCGUUUUCUUUUUUUACAAGUGCACAUAACUCUGUCGUUUUAAUUUCAUUAAAGAUAGUAUGAGACCUGGAUAUUAAUUUUAUAAUAUUUGUGAAGCAUAUUUAUCUUCUGAAAAUUGUAGUUUAUUCGUGAAUUGUCAGUUAAUGAAAAUGGAAUGGACUUGAGGCUUGCUACUCAUCUCUAAUGAUGGCUGCUGCUUGCAUUUUGGUUCCUUAGGAAUUAGAAUGAAUGGUCCAAAUUGAAAAAGCAAUGAGCCAACCAUAAAUAUAAUUGAAAUUGAUAUAAUAAUAAAUUAGUCUCAAUGCCUCAACUUACCAUUUAAUUUGUAUUUUUAAUUGCCCAACAGUUUUGUUGCAAGCUGCAGCUAGAAGAGAAUUCCUCAAAUUGGACUUCUGCUUUUGGAGUUGGAAGUCCUCUUCAGAUUCUCACCACAGCCAAAGAUUCAAAUUUAAGAAUUUUCGAAAGCUUCAUUUGUGCUUCUCUAAAUAGAGAAGCUAGUGUCCGACAAGUACUUAGAUAUAUACAAAUGAAGCAGUGCAUCUUCUUGACAACAAGAGAAAAAAGAAACUAAUACAAUCUAACGAAGAAGAUUUAGAAUCAUCUUCAAUAUAAAGCAGUAAAAGGAAUCUCAGGACUCUCAAUAGUCCACAAGUUAAUCAACUCAAAUGGCUUAUAAUCGCAUAAAUCAAAAAAAUUCGAAUAACUCGGAGUGAUGGUCUGAAGCUAGAAAACAAAUCAGCAUGAGAUUAAACUGAUGAAUCAUGUUGCUGGAAUGUUCUUUCAUUAGAUUUUUCAAAUAUAAAUAUCGACUCACAAUGUUAUAAGUAUGCUUUUCAUUAUUUCAUAGAAGAAGAUAAUAAAUUGAAUCAGGUACUCUCUUAUAAUCUCUCUCUUUCUCUAGUUCAGUUGAGAUCCAGGAAUCUAACUUGUAAAAUGUGUUUAACUGUUGAAAAUUUAGCAGUUUUUUUUUUCUGAGUUGCAUAUCUUCAUUUCCACUUCAGGAAAAAAAAGUUGCACUUGAUAAAUUGCUGCAGUACUUAUAUGUCUUCUCCUUCAACUUCCUUAUGUUAUGAGAAGAUGUCUAAGUAGCUAACUUCCUUUGUGAGUUGGUAUGUUUAAAAAUGCAAGGCUUAGGCCUCAUGUUAGCAUCGUUGUUGUUAUUGUUUUUUAUAAAUGCUAAUAUUAUAUAAUUUAAUAUAUUGGCGAAAGGACUUUCCUCUUGUUGUCAAGAUUGAGUAACUUACAUGACACUCUAGCCAAGUGAUGGCUAACAACUUAUUUAGAAACAUUGGAGGAAAAAAGAACAAGGUGCUUCAAAUUUUUAUUUUUUGUUGUCAAAUAAAUCAUUUGGGUGUAAUGAUUGCAAGCAAUCCAUUGUCCCAUUUGGGUGUAAGAAGCAAUAUAUGCAGAAUGUGGGAAGAGAAAAGGAGAUGAAGAAAAGUCGAAGGUGCAAGAACAGAUACGAUGCUUUUUGGAUGGAGAACAAUACACAAAAGAAAGUUAAAUGCAGGGAAGAUUAAUAAUUGUUCCCAGUUAAUUGUGACUUGACACGCAACAUUCCUUGUUGUUAUAAUUGGCUAAUAUAAAAGCAUGAUAAAUUGGAACAAGAAGAGGAACAACACAAUUUGACCAAGAAUCUGCUAGCUUCAGUAAUAUGGCAAUACUUAGAACUAACCUCAACAGUUGGAGUGACUCCAUUUUUAAUAAGGGCAAGCUUCCUUUGGUAUGAAUUACCAUGCAUCUGCAUCGAAAAAUACAAAUGGGAACUUCAGAGCAAGGAAAAUAGUUAUUGCACUUUAGGUCAAACAUUUGGACUUCCAAAUAAGUUCAAAUCAGAUUCUAUUGGACAUUCGAACCAAAGAUUUAAGUGCCAGUUGGCAAAGGCGUUGUCCAUGGUGCCAUACUAUGCCGACAGGAUGGAUCAUUGUUUACUCAUUAUAAGCAUCAUGCAUGCAUUUGGAUUGAAAGUUUCAAUUAAAUUAAGAGAUAAUUUGGGGUAAUUUGGUUUCCCGUAAAUUUUAAUCCUUAAUCUUUUGUAAUCUAGUGACAGUUUGAAAAAUCCUGUUGAAUUUGGCAACUUCAUUAGUAGAGUGCAAAAGAUAAUUGAUAGAAACAUAUUUAAGAACAAAUAGGAUAUAUUGCUACAAAAAAUCAAAAUAUUCUAUGCAAAAGUUUGUUGCACAUGGAAUUGUAUGCCAUAGCCCAAACGCGUGCCAACUCGUGCCAACAAGUUCUUGUCAUGUCCCCAUUCCUGGGUACUUAGAACCUUGGCUGGAAAUUGGAACAACUGCUUUUUAUACCGAAAGCAAUUGAAUAUGCAAAGCACAUUUCAUAUUCAAGGAACAUCAAAAAGGAAUUGAAGCACACAAACUUCGCACCAAAAAUACCAUAUGAUUCUUGUGAUAACACGAAAUUAAAGAAAUGUUACUUCAUAUAACUUACAGACGAUUUUGCGGAGUCCCAAGUGAAGAAACGUGUAAAAAAUGGGGGUUCAAAUCCUUCCAUUACAAUGAAUAUUGGAGUUUCUGGAGAUAGUUUCUCGUGAAGAAAAUCAUGUUCAAUGAAUGCCUGGAAAGAACAAAAACCAAGCAAAAAAAGUCAAAUUAGAAGUGUUAGUUUAUACAAGCAAACAAGAAAGAAAAGAAGCGACUUUUGCUAUACCUCUGAUAUUUUAAGUGCUUGACGUUUUCUAUUCACGUCAACCUGCUGUCCAACCCAAACAAAAAUGGCUGAAUGACAAUCCAGAAUGAAUAUAUCUUCUGUCAUUAAGUCAUCUUGGGUGAAAUUGAAUAUCUCUUUGACCUAGAAAUUUAUGUGUUUGGAAUUAAAAUGUUUAUAAUUAGCAAAAACAAAAAAGAAACAUCAGCCAAUAUGUAGUUAAUUCUUAUAAAGAAGAUUAAACACUGUUUGAAGUUUGGCAUUACCUUUAGAUUGCCUGCGUUAAAAAAAAGGAAGAAAAGGAAGAAAAACAAAAAGAAUGCAUUAGUGCAUAUACAUAACUAUAUGCUAACAAUUUAGAGAAAAAGACAGAUAUUGGAAUCUUUACCAUUUGGGAAGUCACAAGAGAGCAAAUGAGGAUCGCCCUCCAGAUCUUUUUCAAUCUUUUGAUUGGUGUAUUCACUUUUGCCACCAAGUAAAUCCCAGAAAUGUUCAGUUUCUGCCCCUUCUUUUUGCACUUUUGGCUGAAUAUUUGGCUGUGAAAUCCAAAAAGGCUACAGGAAAUGAUUAAUCAAGAAAUGCAACAUAUCAUGUAGUGCUUCAGUGAGGCUCAUCACGCACAAAAAAAAAGAGAAAACACUAAAAUGCCGAAAAUUAUUGAUCCAUCCCGUAAAGAACAACUUUAAGCGAAAAAGCCAGUAAAUACUCUUAAAGUAUCAUAAAAUUGUUUAAUCACAUACAAGGUAAGUCUGUUUUAAACCAAAAGUCGCAUAAGAUAGAUAAAGGUAAUAUUGCAUGGGAAUUUGAUAGAUUCACGUUUGUUAGCUUAGUACAAGACAUUAUUUACAAUUUACUAGCUAGAAGGAAGAAUGUGCAAUUGAAACACUAGUCCAAAGUUAUAUGAACAGUAAAGUAAACCCAACUAUCUUUGUUGAACAGCUUCAUUUGGUUCGGGGUUAAGUAAGAACUAGUUAUUUAGGGAUAGGCAUAAGUUCAGGGUCAAGUCUGGAAUAGACUAAUUUUGCGUUUGGAUGAAAACUGAGUUGUUCCCGGGAAUAAGAAAAAUGGUGUUUGGAUAGAUAAGAUAGAAUAAGAUGAAUAGUGGGUAGUUAUAAAUAGAAAAAAUAAUAAUAUUGCCCCUUAUAUUUGAAUUUAAAUUUUUAAAUUUUAUAUUUAAAAUUUUAAAUUUAAAUAUAUAACUUUAAACAUUGAAAAAUUCAAAAUAAAAUUUAAAUUUUUAAAUUUUAAAUCUCAAAUUAAAAAAUUUAAGUCCUAAAUUUUAAAUUUAAGAUUAAUUUAAAAUUUAAAAAAUUAAAAAUAAUAAUUUAAAAUUAAAAAUUAUAAAUAUCAAUUUUAAGCUUACAAAUUUUUAAAUUUUAAAAAUUUUAAUUUAAAAUUUUAAUUUAAAAAUUAAAUUUAAAAUUUAAAAUUUAAAUUAUAAAUUUAAAUUUAAAAUUUAAAUUGGGAUGGGAUUAGUUAAUCCCACCCCAAUUCUAUGGGGGGGUGGGGUUUGUUAACCCUACCCCGAAAGGGUUAUUCGGAAACCCUUUUGGGGUGGGGUUAACAAAUCACGCUCCAACAAAAAAGUGUUUGGGGAUAAGGGGAGGGAUAACCCUUUAUUCCCCCCCCUUUAACCCCGAAUCAAAUGGCCGCUCAAAAGAAUAAUGUUUACCCUCAAAACAUUCUAUAGUCCAUGUACUAUCAGAUGUCAAGUAUACUACCAAAUUACAAUUUAAUAUUUCUUUGUAUAUUUUACAUAGUAAUCGAGCCACCUGAAGAUUUCUUUAACUUGAUUACUGUGAUCUAUAGAUCGUGAGUUGUUCUUUAUCACGCAAUUGAAGUUACACUAAUAGUAAAAAUGAGCAACGCGGGCUGAAUGUUUUGGAAAUUUCUAGCAGCCCCGUCAUCUUUCUUCACCUUCACUUUUAGUUAUUAUUUUUGAAUGAUACAUUAACUAACAAUGGUAAUUAACUAACAAUGGAAGGCAAAGAGAAAGAAGAGAUUGAUAAAAUUGGCAAAAAAAUUAAAAAUAGUCUGCGGUCAUUACAAAUGAACGAGAAAAAAGAAAUGUGAAAUAAGCAAUGUUAAUUUUCAUCAGCAACACAAGAAACUCUAUUAUACACUCAUUACGUGCCUGCAAAAUAAAUUAUUUGCAUGUACAUAUAGUAUCAAGUUCAAAUGUUCAUUAUACUAUUUUAAUUGAAGUAGAUAUUACCUUCAAUCAUGACAUAAUCUGAAAUAACAUACUCAGAAUUAAAAAACACACACCUUAAUGUGAUCAAGUUGUCUCUCCACAAGCUCUUGAUUCUCUGGGCUAGUCUGGCUUCCAUACCAAGUAAAAACAGUAUCGCCAUUAUGCAAUAUAUAACAAUAGGAUGAGUUCAACGACAAACCAACCUGAUGAAAAUAAAACUUAUGAUCAGUAAUGACAGUCCACCGGAACGAAGUGUUGUUACAGUCUUUCUAAACUAGUUAUUGUAAAAAGGAAAUUUAAAAAUACUUUGUCCAAGUUAGCUAGCUAGCUAUGAUGUGUGAGAAGACAACUUGGAAGUAAGCAAUAAGCCACACAAAGCAACAUGCAUAGCAUAAAGCCAUAAAGCAUAUAAUUGUUGUAUUUACACCACUGCAAAAUUAGCUAUUUACAUAUAUAUUCCAACUAAGUCUUGAUCCUCAUAAAUGCCCAUCAAAACUUAUUUCUUUGCUAGUAUACAAUAGUACUAACAGAAGAGCCAGUCUCAAGGGAUAUGUGUGAAAAUAAAGAUAUUCCAGGGUAUACGUGCAAAUAGAUGAUUUCAAGGAAUAUUCUAGGAAUAUGUACAAGGGGCUUUACAAGAUGAACCAAAGAGCAUCACGCUGAUUCAGGUAAGACAUACAGGUUCUACUUGAAUCGCUUGCAUAUUGUCUGGUCCAGAGCCUUGGACUUUGAAAAGUGCAAGCCCAUCUUCUGCAUAUGUCUCAUCAACAAUUUCAUUUUCAGUUAUGAAGUUCUUAUAUCCAGAGCUAAUACCACCCUGCGAAAAUUCAAAUUGCAAACUAAAUCCUUACAAAAAAAAAAAAAAAUCAAUCACAAAAUAAAAGCACCAUAUCAUUUGAUACUAACCUUGUACACAAUAAAGCUCUGAAAGAUUGAAAAAAACUGGAUAGUCUCCUUUCCUUCAUAUAAGCGAGUCUGUGUUUAUACCAUAGAGCAUUGUAAUUCUUGCUAUUUAUGAAGGACAAUAAUGCAAAAAAGUAAACUAAAUAUCUUGGCAAGUUCCUAAGAAAUACCCAGCUUCUUGGCCUAUGAAUAACUACCUGAACAGCCUGCGACUUCAUAGACUCGACCAACUUGUUGGCAAGUAAUGUUGCUUGAACCUUAUCUUCCUGUGUCCAAAUUUAGAUGAGUUAUUUAUACAUCAGUAAUGCAAAGCACUCAAAGAAAAACAUUAGCACAUUCAUUGUCGAUCAUAAAUCUAGUAUGCUUUUUGAAUUUUAGACAUGUAAGACGAAAAAUUGGAAGAGAUAAACUGAAUAGGGAUAGAAAAUAUGUUUCAAUAAUCAAAAUGCCUCUCUCAGCCACUCCAAACCAUGACAGAUUGUGCAGGCACAAUCAUAUGACUUGAUGAGUUCCAACUCAUCAAAAUACGUGUCCGCAACAGGUAAUCUAAAUUCCAUGCUAAUAUCUCUAAAGAGGUUCUAUCUCCAGUUAUUCUCCUUACUGUUAAAUAGGUACUUACUGCGGUAAUCUACAAUGUAAUGUCUCUAAACAAAUAAAGCUUCUUUGUCAAAUAAUCUCUUAUAGAGAAGAAAGAACACCACAUUGAGGCAACUAACAAUGCCAUAACAGACCAUGCUCACUUGUUCUACCCUCCAGAAAUUCAUCACAAGUUAUAGUUUUAUCUAUUCAUAUUUAGUUCUAUUUAUGUCCAUUUUAUGCUAGUGAAGUUUUAUAUACCAUCGCAAAAGGAAAAAUUAAUACAGAACUUCCACAAAGGCCUUCAUCAAUCAGUUCCAAUCAGUUAAAAACAUUUCUACAAAGGACAUAUAUGAAGUUCUCUCCAUUGAGGUUGAAAGAACAUUCUGUGACUAGUUUUUAACAGGAUCAAUCUUCAAAUGACUUCUAUGGAGGAGGAAUUACUCUUAGGAAUCAGCAGAAUUGAUGAAGGAAAAGGACUCUUUUUCCUUGUCCAAAAUCUAAUCCUUUGAUCUUUUCAGUUUAUUGAAGUGGAAUAGGAGUGAACAAUAAACAGAAAUAGAGAUUAGCAUAAGAAACCAGCUGCAAAAUACAUGUAAUUAACUAAUGAUUGGACUAAACAAAUGACAGUGCAACACCAAGCCCAGUCCAAAAUUAACCUUUUACAAUUACAACCAUACAGUGAAAAUAUUGUUCUCAGAUUAAAGAUUAGAAAUGACUCAAACCACAUAAUAUAUUAGCAACUACGGUGUUCUAAGUCUAAUGUAUAAUAAUAAGCUAGAUUAAAGGUGCUUGUUUACCUCAGUGCUCUUCUUCCCAAACCAAGUGCCAACGAGGUGCUCAUCUUUGUUUUCACCAGGAUAUGUAUACUGAAAAAUAUAACAAUCACCGCUGUAGAACUUAGACUGGUCAGAUGAUGAGAGUAGAGUCUUUUGAUCACCGUCCACACGCCAAACCUAUUAUCAUCAUGAAAAGCAAAACUUAGCAUCACAAAACUCAAGUCCACUUAGCAAUCAAAAUCAAGGUAAUUCUAUUACUACAUAUAGAAACUAAAUAAUUAAAAAAAGCUAACCAACUCCUCUCCUGCCCACAAAACCCCCCAACCAAAAACCAACCAAAAAAACACACCUAACUACAGGUGAUUUGCAAAUAGGUCAUUGAACUACAUUUUUUUGGAUUCUAAACCCCCAACUGUCAUGUUGCUUGAUUUUAGUGUAACAAACUUCUUUACAAUAAUUAGAGGAUAGAAACAAUUUAGGAUGAAAAUUUUUGAAACAAAAAAUUAUAAUAAUUGGGGAUCCCAAUCCAAAAAAAAAUGGAGUUACAGGACCUAUUUCCAAAUAAUUCAUAGUUGGCAGGAGUGUGGAUACAUUUUAGUUAGAACAAAAUCUAAGGAGUAGAAAACUGUAGCUAGCAUAAAGGCUGAAUCCAUAUGAGAGCACCUGAAGAUUGCCAGUGCAAUCGAUAUAUGGCUGAGGUUCUUCUUUUAUAGGAUCCGAUUUCACAAGACCCUUCACAUUUAAUCCUUGGCGUUUCAGAAGUGCUACCAAAGUGUACAAUAAUAUUAAAAGAGAGAGAGAGAGAGAGAGAGAGAGAAAAAGAAUGCAAGCCUAUUCAAAAUAUUCAAUAGUGCAUAUAGGGCCCGUUUUGCACCCAAGAUUUGAUUAGAUAAGAUAAUAUGAGAUAGCUGUAUUGGACUAAAAGGAGAAUAUAAUAUAAAUUUUCGAAUCCGAUCCCAUUCUAUCCCAACCUCUAGGGAGGGAUUCCAUAAUCCCAGACCAAAGAUUGUUUGACCCAACUAGCUUUGACAAUUUUAACAUCUUGUAACUUUCUAUGCCUACAAGUCACCAAACCCUCUUUUUCAUGCAACGCCACUCUCUUAUCUUAUUGUAUCCGAUCCAACCUUGGGUGCCAAAAGGAAACAAUAUGUUUAAAACAAAUGAAUUUAUUCUGCAAAUACUGACCUGCCACCUUUCCUCUUCCUUCUUCUGGUGCAGUUACGCCAGCUGGUUGCGGCCAUGAAUCAAACUUAGAGCAAAACAUGACAGUCUCAGACCCUUCAGUUACUCGGAUCACAUGAGCUUUAGGUUGGUCAGUUUUGUUAAGUAAUUCCUGCUUAGAAUUGUAAUACACAUUUAAUAUUGCAUUAAGCAAAACUGCAAAAUGAAGAAAGGAAAGGAACUUCACUUCCGUAAGAAAUGUAUCAGUUAUUACUUCGGCUGCAGUGACUGCACUUUUCCUCUCCUCGAGAGAUGUACUUUUGCCCACCCACACAUAAAUUUCGAUACCACAAUCCAGCAAAUAACACUUGUUCGUCUCUAACAAUUCUCGCGUCAAGGAAUCAGAUUCCACUUGUGUCGUCUCUCCUUUGUCAACACUUAAAAACACAACAUAUUCAUAAAAAAAAUCAUCUGAAAAACUCAAAAGAAAAAUGAUGCAUUCAUGCAUUUUUGACAAUACAUACCAGAGAAGUUUUCCUGGUGAGGCCUCCUCAUUUCUAGCUUCUCCCAAAGCUGCCUUUCUUGGAAGCGGAGCAAAGCCACCAAAAAAGCCCCAAAAUUCUCCAGCCUCGACAUCAGCCAUUAACUUUCCAUCCUCUAAUAAUAAGAUAAGAGUACAAUUGAGAGUAAGUUUAACUUAAUAGAAGCUGUUGGAAUAAAAAGAAGAAACACACUCACCAACCGCUGCAACCUCACAUUUCCCAUCAUGAUAUGCAUCUUUAAUAUACUGGACAACUUCGAGGGCUUUUGCUCGCUCUUGAAUAGAAGAGUUGGAUCCGUUAAAUUGAAAAAUCUUAGACUUGGUAUCCAGUAUGAAUAUGUCAUCAUGGUUAAGCGAUGACCGUGCAAAUGGAACCUAAAGAUAUUGCAAGAUUAAGAAAAUCAUAAUCAAAUUCUGCCUGAGAAACAUUUUUAGGAUUACCUAAAGAUUAAGUCCUCAAAGUUUGACCCUAGUUUUAGUCUCAUCCUCAAAGGUUCGAUUGGAACAAUGGUCCCUAAAAUUUGCCCCUCAUCACAAUUACGUUGACCUAUUAAUCAGCUAUCUUAAGGAAGAUGCAGCAUCAGUCUCAUUACUGGACUAAAAAGGUUUGCCAGUUACAAAGAUCAGUUUAAAUGACUAAAUUGUUACAAUUGAAACUCUCAGGAUGAAACCAAAAUUGAUAUCAAACUUCAAGGGCUUAAUUUUCAUGUAAACUUUGUGUUUUUCCAAUAGAACUAAUUCGCAGAGAUACAAAGCACUUGCCUCUUUUACAUGGACAGCGUGUUUCCCUCUACAAACAUAUAGACGAGUCUCAUGGCUAUUCUCAUUAACUUCAACAUGGUUAAAUCCAGAAGCCAUUCCACCUUGUUGUGGAAUGAUACAAGGUUUAAAAUAAGACAAAAACUUCUCGCUCUCAUGGCCUUGAAUCUCGCGGUAUUGAACAGCACGCCCACCAAGGACAGCAUCAAGUUCCACAGUUUUGAUGGCCGCAGCACCCGCUUCAUCCUAUUUAGUUUGACACAACAGAAAGCGCAGGCUACAAAUUCUGUAUUGCUAUAAAAUGAAAUGAAUGGCAGGGCAUAGAAAGCCAACCUGACUUGUAUCUUUGCCAAGCCAAUAAUGAAUAUCGUGACGCAAAGCACCAUUCUUCGAGGCGGUUGUCUGCAUCAUUAUUGGAAAAUUUUAUCUAAUUAGAUACGAAAAAUGAUGAUUGCUGGAACUUUUCACAAAAAAGUUAACAUUCUACACUGUUGUAAAUAAGAGUAGAAGUUAAAUUUAUAGGUCACAUAUAUCUCCAUGCACGUGUAUAAACAAAAAGGAAUAUCUUGAUAACAUGCUACCAGCAUGAAAAUGAUGGUAAGAUGCUCCGGUGACACUGAAACUACAGGAUGCAUCCCAGUAAUGAACAAACUUCUCUAACAACCAGUCCUCUAAGAGAUAUCUUAUCCUCGAAUUUUGACACCUUACUACUUACUGUAAAAAGUUUAUUUUUUAUAUAAAUUGUAUUAUUUAAUGAUUUUGGUUUGCACACAGCCAUCAAUUCAGCAUUGCCUUUCCCCCAAAAUGGGAGAUAUUUCUGUCAAUUUUGCACUAAAUGACGCAUUAGAAUUAAGGAACCAAUUUGGCAGCAGAGAGGAUUCCAGACAAUAUGAUGCAUCCUAUAUCUAUGAGAUAUAAAUCCUUCUUGGUGGCAUGUUUUAGAGGAAAUUCCAGGUUAUUAAGAGGUAAAAAUAAAAUAUACAUCCUGCCCAAAUCUGUGCCAUCCGAUGCCAUGGCUCAGUCGAUGUGCCAAUUGCAUGCCACUAGCACAACGUUUUUGUCCCAAUAGAUCAUACCAUGGCAAUGUUGUGACACCCCCAAUAAUCUCACAUUAGAUAGGAAAGGAUUAUGAUUGGAAAUAUAAAAACCAAAGAGUCUAAUACUGACAACUAGGCUUAAGCAUUUUCUGCCGGCGGUUUGGGCCUAACAAGUUAUUAGUGGUAGUAAGCUGCGUCGUUAUCUGUAGUAUCCCUAGUGUUUGGUUGCCCGUGAGAUUUCAGCAUCUGAGGCUUGUUGACACAUCUGGAGAGUGCCGGGAUAAGUCGGAGUCGUUUUGGCGCGAAAUGGACGCAAAACGGGAUCGACACGAGGCGAGAGUGGAGUUCUGACACUGAAAUUCGCAAAGUGCAGGAUUUCAGUGUUGAGUACCGGUACGGUAUCGGGCUGGUACCGGUACUCCAGUGUAUUUCCAGAACAGAAUGCUCUCGGGUUGCGCCAAUUGAUGCUGAGUACCAGUACGGCAUCGGACUGGUACCGAUACCCUAUGUGCGAGUUUGCGGGCUGAGGUCGAGUACCGAUAACCAAAUUGGAUACCGGUACUCCAGCUGUAAUUUUGAGUUGGUGAGGGGCCUUUUGGUCAUUUGAAGUGGCGUUAUUAUCAACCUUAUCCCCACCUCUUUAUAUAUGUGUAGAGAGACAGAGGAGGAGGUUUUGGAUUGUUGCUCUCUCUCUCUCUAGUUCUUUAUCGUAUUCGAGGUGGAGGUCGCGACUCGAGCUCGGGAGUUUAUCGCCGUUGAGCCGAAGGGUCAUUCGAGCGUGUGGGCGGCACGGUUGCGCUGUUGGAGGCCAGGCGAGCGUGUGGUUUCCUCUCCUUUUGACCUCUCACCGUGGUUGGGUGAGCUUUACGAGGUGAGUUGAAGUUUACCGAAAUCGUCGGAAUACCUCCGAAGUUCUUAUAUCGUCGACAUGUUUUGUUGGUUUCAUUUUCUUGCUAGUACUCGAAUUUAUGGAUUAGAGUUAAAAUCUGAAUUUGGAGUUAAACUAGUAGUAUAAUUUUACAUGUUGGACUUGGAAUUGACUUAGGAGAAAACAUUUAGAUCCUACACUCUCAUUUCUGAAAAUUACCAGAUUUAGCUUUAGGAGUUGUGGUUCUUUUGUAUCGUUGCUGUUAGUAUGCAAUGGAUACCCAAAUUAGUGUAGGAUGAGGUUACGCUCGUGCUGGGAUGUCGAGUUUAUUUUUAUAGUAGUGCGUAGACUGUUUCGGACUAUCGGGUGCCGUCGCGGUUGACGGUAGACCCAGAUUUCUGUAUUUGCAUCAGAUUGUGCCAAGAGCACGUGAGCUUUGGUUGUUAGACCAAUUAGACCCAUUUGCUUUGAUUAUAGUCUUUGAGAGCCUGAUUGAGCUCGGCAGAGAUAUGUUUGCAUACUCGGUUGGAUAGCGCCCACAAGUGCCACUCCGGAGUCGAGCUUUGUGCGUUCGCGUUGAUGUCGUAGUGUCCGGAUUGGACUUGCUCUCCACCAACAACCCAGCGUGGUGGUGGUUGGUGUAGCUUCGACAGGCGGGACGGGUGUGUUCACAGUCCCUAGUGAGAUUGGGUCAGAGAUUGCUUCUUUCUUAUAUCUACAGAAUAGUGGUUAGCGAUAGUAUAGUGGUAUGUAGCUGUAGAGUUUUUCCAGCUUCCUUAACUAUCCUUGUGCAUAUUUCUUUUCUGUAGUCUUUGUGGGUGAGCCGGUGAGGUCGGUAACGGUACCCACUGAGAACUAUUUAUUUUUACAAUAGUUCUCACACCCAGUUGUUAACCUCUUUUUUUGCAGAGCCUUCGUUUGCGGCUGCUGUUGUCAUCGAUUCUGAUCGUGGAAAGGGAGUCGCGAGCUAGAUCCCUUCCAGCCUUACUGCAGUACUAGAAGAGUACCUUCCACAGGUAGUUUUGGGGUUUUUGUACAUAUGGUCUUGUUGUCUGGGUACUCGCUAGAGCGAGUGAUGUAGUAGACAUUUUGUAUGUACUGGAACCCCGCGAGGUUUUAUAUAUAUGUUUUCAGUUUAGUAGCUCUUUACCUUGUGGUUGUAGCUUGGUUUUGUUUACAGGUACAGCUAUCGCUUCAUACACAGAAAAAAUUCCUAUGUAUACGGCGGGUCUGUUGGCGUGCCCGGGGAAACGUGUAAUCCGGAGCGUGACAUUAUCUUUGGUAUUAGAAUUAGUUUGCCCGCCUGUGAUCUUGAGUUAAGGGAUGGCUAGAGAAUUUAAUCUAACGAAGAGGUCAUAGUCUAAAAAAAAGGAGUUUGUGACACCCCAAUAAUUCCAUAUCGGAUAUAAGAGACUCUAAGGCCAUGUUUGGUUGGGGAUUAAGGGUGGAAUAAAGAAUUUAUUCCACCCUUAUCCCCUAAACACAAAAAAAUUUGGUGGGAACACUAAUUUCCACCUUAACGGGCUAUUCUAGUGUUCCUACCCUAAAGUGGGAACAAGCUGGGAUAACCUAGCUUGUUCCACCCGUGAAGAGAGAGAGAGAGAGAGAGAGAGAGGAUUUUUAAUUUAUCAUAAAAUUUAAAUUUUGUAAGUUAAAAAAUUAAAAUUUAUAAUUUUUAAAAUUACAAAAUUAAAAUUUUAAAUUUUAAAUUAUUUAAUUUUAAAAUUUAAAUUUUGAUAUUUUAAAUUUUUUUAUAUUUAGAAUUUGAUAUUUUGUAUUUUUAAAUUAAAAUUUCAUCUUAAAUUUAAAGUUUAAAAUUUAAAUUUUUAAUUUUUAAAAUUGUAAAUUUGAGAUUUUAAAAUUUUAAAUUUUAAAAGUUUAUAUUUUAAAUUCUAAAAUAUAAAUAUAAAAUAUAAAAAUUAAAAUUCUAAUAUAAAAAAAGGGAUAAUAUCAUUAUUUUUUUAUUUAUAACUACCCACUUUAAUUCUUAUUCCAUCUUACAUAACCAAACACUAUUUUUUUUAUUCCCAGGAAUAACUCAAUUUUCAUCCAAACGCAAAAUUGAUCUAAUCGCCGCUUAUAUCUCAAUUUAUACAUAUUCCUGGAAUAGCCACUUUUUGCUUAUCCCCGAACCAAACGAUAGGCUUAGGCAUUUUGUGCUAGUGUUUGGGCCCAACAAGUUACUUAUUAGUGUAGGCUGGGUCAUUGCAAAUGCCAAACCAAGAUGCCCUAUACCACUGGCACUAGAAUCCUUGGUACUAUAUUAAAAUUAGAAUUUUCUUUUUCUUUUUUGUCCCUUUUUUUCUUUUAGCAUUAGGGAUAAUGGCAUAAAACAAAACACACAUUUUAAACAAGUUAUAUUAUAAAAGAUUAAAUUGCAAAUACUCUAGAAAAAGGUAACUACUACUCAAGUUAGAGAAAUCAUAAGUCUUAAAUAAUUUUCCAGGAAGAUCAAAUCCACCCUUAUAACUCUCAAUUCGAACUUUAGCAUGUGUUUUCAAUAAGUGUUACUGUAGAGUAAGGAAUAGGAUUUUUACUUGAGAAAAGUUCCUUGGUUAUAGAAUAGCACCAUCGUUGAAAGUAAAACAACAUCCUUGUAGAACUUCAUAUAUAACCAUGUUAUCUGAAUUUUAGUAUACGCCCCUCAGAAGUGCAAGCUUCUUACAAGAAUACCCUCAUCUCAAAUCUCAAAGCCAUCCCAUUCAUGGGGAGAAUUGGUUUUGUAUUAGAGAAGAAGAUUCCACAAGGGAAGAUUUUGUAAGCACAAAGGGUACGUAUGUAAGAAAUUAACUUCUUGAAUUGCAUAUAAGAACAUUCAGAUCUUGCAAAAAUAUGUAUGUAGAUUGAUAGCCUUGUAGGGUUCUAUAUGUAAAUACCACGAAUUGAAACAAUGACAACAUCAUAGCAAGUAUACAAGAAUAAAAUAAAUUAACCUCUUGAAUAUAAAUAUUAUAGUUUAAUAAUAUUACCUUUAGAAUCACAUAUGAGUCUCCCAUAAAAAACUUCCCAUGAGAAGAUUUUGGGACAAGCACAGGACAAAAAUUUUCAAUUCGCCAUAUUUCCAUCCCUCUUUAUUUUGUCAAGGAAACAAAUGUAGCUCGAUAUAGAGAAAGCAACACAAACAUUAUGAUAGAGAAUCCACACUAUUUUAACAAAGAUGGUGAUAAGUGCAUUUAGCAUUGAGCUAAAUUUAUAGACGCCUACACAAAUAAUUUAAUGAAAUCUUAGUUCAAGUAAUAAAGAGCAUUAUAUAAAAUUUCAAGAUCCAUGUACAGUUGCCUCUGAUUGACAUAACAUAAGAUUGACAGCUUGUGCGGAAGAAUAAAAUUAAUGGUUCAUAUUCUAAAUCAACAUGGAAAAUUGGGUUGCACCAACUUCUAUCUACCUGUGUUAGAGUAUUUGGCCAACCUUGUCUUGCUUUUUCGUUUCUUUAUGGUGCGAGUAACUUUUCAUUUGCAUAUCUCAAUGACUUUUCAAUAAAAUUUCUCUACCUUCAAAAUGUUUGGCAAAAUUUAUGCCACAAGUAAGGUGACAACUAUAGUUUUUCCAUCUUAACUGCUGAAAGGUAAGUCUUUCACCCAUGUUCACCAACAAACGUGUACUGAAUAAUAUACAAUUUUAAUUAUGUCAAAACAAAAGUUCCUAGCAGAUCAACAGAGCUUAUAGAUAAAGAGCCAGAAGCAAAAUAUUCAACUUAUACUAUAACAUAAAAAUUGACAAAGGAAAGGAUACGCUUUCUGUCCUGCACCAUGGAAAGCAGGAUCGAGAUCCUUCAUUGACACAGCCAUCUUCCGAAACAGAAUCUGCUACGGCUUCAACUUACAAGUCGAUAAGCUCUACAAUAGGAUCACACAGUUCAUUACUCCAGAACAUUCAAAAACAUAACUGACAUUAUCACAAGGAUUGUAAAAGGAAAAAAAAGAAGAAGAAAGAAACAAAUUGGGCUGAACAAAAUGAUUGGCACAGUGCAAAAAAGUUUGUCUUUCAUGCGACAAAAAAAUGUGAAUUGUACAACAUGAAAUGCAGGAUGAUGAUCGAAAAAAGUAUCAUAGUGCAAAAGGCUCUCUCAAAUGCUGGGUUUGUGAUUUGCACAAUCAUCACUAAAUCACACAAUACAACACUCGACCGCAACUUACGGAAUGUCCUCACUACAAAUUUGUUGAUGGUAAGAAUGACACUGAUAACAAUUCCAUUGCAAUGAUACCACAAAAAAAAAAAAAAACAAAGAAAAAACUUCUUAUACAAUAAUUAGUCGAUUCCCGGUUGAAAACGAAUGUCAGGUGAAUUGCCUGAGUGCACAAUUUUAAAAUCAAUGUGCCAAUCUUACACACAAUGGCACUAUCCAACUUUAAAAAAUAAUACUAAUUAAAUAAAAAACAUAUCACAUAAAAACAUAUCACCAAAAAAAAAAAAAAAAAACAACUCCACAAAAUAUCAAUGUGGAUCUAAAGAACCCUGACCCAAUAAUUUUAGUUUCUUUUAUUAUGAAAAAUGAAGUCCGAGACUAAUGGUCGAUCAUGUAUCCCAAUAAUAACGCAUCUGAAUAAGGGCUUGGAAUGUUAUGGAUUCGAGUCCCAGAUGAGAGAGAGACUGAAAAGAUUGCAGGGGCCUAACGGGCAACUUUUUUAUUGUGAAAAUAAGCAUCUAAAAUUUUUAUUUAUAAAACUAGAUCUAAAUGGUGAAUGAUUUGCUGUUUUUAUAAAGCGGUAAUUUAUUCACCGCUUUCUACGAGCAGUAAACCAUUCACCGUAAAAGAUUUUACGUAAUUUAUAUAUUUUCCACGUCCGAACUCUAAAAUUUGUAUAUAUUAAACUGUAAAAAUAAUUUUAGUAUUUUAAGAAAAGCGGUGCACAUUUAGAAACCGAUAAUUCAUUCAACCUACAGGAAUAAUUUUGUAAAUAAUUUAUUUGCAGAACUAUUUUUAUAAUUAUAAUAUUCUUUAAGCCUAUUUAUAAAAGAAAUUCGGGUCUAACAAAACAAAUAGAUUAAAAUAAUCCCUUUUACCCAUAAAACAAAGCAAAAUUACUAUCCCCAAAAACAAAUAAUUAAAAACAAGACAUAGCGAAAGCCAUGCAAAAAACAACAAAAAGAUACAACAACUGGAGAAUAAUCUAAUGGGAGGGCUUGUACCUCUCUUCCAGCUUAGUCCCAACACAAGAACCCUAGAAUUUGGAUGGUGAACACAGGAGAAGGGACAUGAAAAAUGCCCUUAAAAUGGCCGGAAAAGAGGGAGCAAAAAAUUAAAAAAAAAAAAAAAAAAGGGGAAAGAAAACGAAAAGGAGAAACACAGAUUAAGAGAAGGGUAAAUGUCUAAAUGAGGGCCGAGAGAGCUUAUCCUUGGGGUCCAAUGGAUGGUAACUUUCACUUUUCAUUAUUUGAUGAAGCAAACAAAAGGCAAUAAAAAAUAAAAAUAAAAAAAAUAAAAUAAAAUAAAAUAAAGAAGGUCUGAAUAAUAAAUAAAAUUAAAAGUGUGUGAAAAAUGGAGGAUUAAAAUUUGAAAAUAGUGGUAAAUUCGGUUUCAUAUCAAUUGAGAACAUAUUAUUAUAUGGACCCUGUCUGCCACAUCAGCAAACAACAACCCCAUAUAUAUUAAAUUGUUGAACUCUUAUUAAUAGCACAUAAAUAGUGUCUACUAUUGAUUUUUUUUAAGUCAUUUGAUCUAUAAUAGUACCACAAUCUUUUAAUAAUAAAUCCUAUGUAUUCAAUAGCUAAAAAGAUAGUAGUAACUAUUAUUUUCUAGCCGGAUAUAAAUUAUAUGUAAAUAUAAAUGUAAAUUAUUAAAAAUGAGUCAAAAAUUUUAGAUGAUUUAUUUGCUUAUAUAUACUCUUUGAAAAUCUAUUGUCAAGGAAUUAAAUAAUGCGUUAUUGGUUCAUUGCAUGAGAAAUAGAUUUGGAAAAUUUUAGUAUAUGAACUAUUUGGUGAUUGCAAAUCGCAUGUACAGUUCAAAAUUUUGCUUAAAAAAAAUAUUUAAAAGUUUGAAUUAUGCGACGACAACGGUCCAUGAUGGACCAGGUCCAGAUAAUUAUUGGCCGCUCCGAGUGCCAUUUUCGCGGCCCACUAUGUACACGUGGAGAGAUUUGAUAGGCUAUUCCUGUGUUUGGUGUUCUGAAAAGUGGUGGGGAUGGUUGGAGGAAAGGAUCAAACUUGUGUGCGGCGGGGAGGAGGCAACGCUUUCGGUCGUGGACUGGGUGAAAUUAGCGGAUCGCGCAGAGCAGGAAACACCCGCACAAAUGACUCCCUCGUGCGACACGUGUCGUUGUUAAGUAAGUUUACUUUUCUUUGUUUGGGGAAUUUUUUAAGACCAAUUUGCAUUAAAAAAAAAAAAAUCCACAGGUUUUGAAUUUUUACAAAAACGACUCACUUUUUUAAAUUUUAAAAAUUUGAUCUGAAAUUUUAAAAAUUUGACCAAAAUAUUUUUUUUCUUUUUUUCUUUUUUUUUCUUUGGUUAAUCAUUCUUCGCCUAUUUCUUCCUCUCAUUCUCCUCAUGCUUCCUUUUAUUUCAACCUCUACUCCAUUGCCCUGACGUCGAUGCCACGCCCCUCUCUUCUAUCUCAUCCAUAUCUCCAUCAAAACUAGCUCAGAUAUGGCAUAUAUCGCAAAGAUGAGACUAUGGCGAAAGGCGUGGCCAUCGAUGGCGACAACGACAACAAUAAGGGUGCCAUAAGCUUUGAAGACGACGGGAAUGGAGAGCGCAUUGGGGUCAGCGCAGCAGCUACAGCAAAGGGUGAGGGAAAAGAUGCGAUAACAAAAAAGGAUGCAAACGGUAAAAGAAAAGGGAGAGAGAAAAAUAAAAAGAAAAAAAAAUCUCUAGAAAGGCCAUCAUAUGUCAUGUCCUCUGCAGUCUGCAAAAAAAAGUCAACAAGAAAAGAAGAAAGAAUAAGAAAAUAAUUUAGCGCUACUUUUUUUUGAGAGAAAGGUAGCAUGCUACUCGCUUCGUUUAUUUCUUUAAGAAAUAAACUUAGCUGAAAAUAUGAAUCAAUUAGGAUUCAAACUUGGAAUCUCGGGUACCAACCAUCUGUUGGCCUAGUGGCCCUAAUCUUUCAUUAGAUUUUGAUGAUAACAAAUAAUUACGAUUAUUGGACUAAUCUUUUAUCUUGAGUUUUGUGUUUUAGAUCUCUCUAUCUUCAAAAGGACUCAAGAUGGCCAAUCUUCUAGCACCAAGCUUCACCACUUGAAGCUAUGCUUGCUUCCUUUGUCAAAUAGACAAACUCACUCUCUAUAUUCUUAAUUUGAUUAAUAUCUUUAGAGUGAGAAUUUUUUAGCUAAGUUUAAUCUACUCCUCUUAUCACUUUAUAGCUCAUUUGAACAAAUCUCUAACUUGUGAUAAGGUGCAUAGGAUUUUAUUUUAUUCAAAAUCUGCUCAAAAUUAGUUUUCUGUCAAGUUACUAUUUCUGGACUCUGAUCUGGGCGUCCUAAAGUGGAUCCGAAUCUCAUGCGUUUUUGGAUCCUGCCUGUUUACUGUUCGAGUGGUCCAGAUAUUCUUUCACCUAAUGUGGGCGCCCAAAUGUCUGUUUAGGGCAACCGAAUUGUUUGACUUGAUAGGUUGCGUCUUCCGGACAGUACGACGGAUCGGCCCGAAAAGUUCUGACACUGCACGGCGCAGGCAACGCGCGUGCUGGAAAUCUGGGCGCCCACAUCUUCUGGAAGCCAAAAUGAUUCCGCUCAGAGAAUGCGGCGCACGCCGUCUGUCUUUGUCAGAAAAGUCAGCGCGCGUGUCCUAGGCGCCCACAAAUUCUGAUGGCUCGAAUGUACGAAUCCAGAAAAGUAGCGCACGACUGACAGGCAGCUGGAAGCGCAGUGCGCGUGCACAACUUCUGGGUGCCCGAAAUUAGGUUUAGGGCGCCCGAAAGUGUAACGGUCUGGAGCUGGCCGAGGCUAUAAAUAGAUGGCUUUGAGGCCUUUCUCAGCCUUUUUUAGACAGUUGAUUUGAGCUUAAAAAUUUCAGUGUUUCUAAUACUCUUAGCUUUCAAUUCUCUCUCUAAACUUAAGUGCAAUUUGUAGUGAGAUUUAAUCUUGUAAAAAGAGAGAAGAGCAAAGUCUUGGAGCUUGAAAAGAAGAAGGUGUUGGUGUGAAGGCUUGAUGCUUGCCCGCAAAAGCAUCAUCCAGUGGAGAUCCAAUGUUCUCUUGUGUUGAGGAGUUGGCGGGGACAUAGGCAAAGUGCCGAACCUCGAAACAAAUAGAUUGUGUUCGUCUUUGAGUUUGCAUUUCUCUAAACUCUUCCUUUAUUAUUUGUUUCAGGUUUUCAAAUUUCUUGAUUAUUUAGCUUUUUAUUUUAGAAACCUAAUUCACCCCCUCUUAGGUUGCCAUUUUGAUCCUCACCAUCAAACCCUUUGCCACUUGCAUUAGAGAAAGUCGAUACAAUUUAGCACUAUUGGAGACAAAAUUGCAUUGUUUGAGAAUAAGUUGUACUAUUUGAAGUUAAGUUGCACCAUCUAUAACCAUUUAUAACUAUUUUGCCGGUUUAAGAGGUUUCGCUCUAUUAUAUCUUAUAUAUAGGACUUCUAAAUUAUGGGGUCUCACAUUCUCCUCCACUUUAAGUCUUGACAUUCUUGUUAUACUCAAACUGCCAAGUACCAGGUGUGAGACUCGUCUCACUAGCCAUAAUGGCUCGGCCAAGACUCAUUCACACUUUCAGUUGGUAAUUAGCUCUGAUACCAACUAUGACAUCCAACUUUCCAGGGGGUCACCUAUCCUAUAAUUAUUCUAGCCCUAACACUCUUAACUAUCUUAACCUUUUGAGCAUAUCCAUCACCCAAAAUGUUAUAUCCAGGUUAAAAGAUUUCGAUCUAUUAUAUCUUAUACAUAAAACUAUUCCAAAUCUUGGGGUCUCAAUUUGAGACUUAAGUUUACUAUUAAAAGUUUCAACUUAGUCUCAAAUAAUUUUAAAUUGUGCAACUUAAGUCUCAAACAGUGCAAUUUCUAUUUAAUGUUGUGCAAUUUAGUUUCAAAUAAUUAUAAAUAGUGCAGCUUUAUCUCAAACAGUGCAACUUAGAUUCAAAUAGUAUAAUUUUUGCCUUAAAUAAUGCAACUUUAUUUUCUUCUUUUUAUUUUCUACUUCUUGAAGUUUUCUGUAACGGUCAUGACAUAUAAUGACCUUCACUAGAGAAAUUUUUUUAUUUUUCUUAUAUUUUUCUUUUUUAUUAUUUCUCCUUCUUCCUUUUCUUUCACUUUUUGUAUCUUUUUUCAUUACUGCACCUCAUCCCUUGUCCUCUGCCACAACCGUCGCUCCCCCAGUACCAACUUGCUCUCCCUCCCCAUCAUUCUUAAGCUGUGUUUGGUUGGAGUAUAAGUAAGAACUGCUUAUUUCAAGAAUAGGUACAAGUUCAGUUAUAAGCAGAAAUUAGACAAAUUUUAUGUUUGGAUGAAAAUUGAGUUGUUUUUAGGAAUAAGGUAAAUAGUGUUUGGAUAGUUAUAUUGGAACAAAAAGAAUAAGAGUUAUAAUUUUAAAUUAAAAUUAUUUUAUCUAAUUGAUUAACAUCAAAAUAUUACUUAAAAAAUAAAUUAAUAUCAAUAAUUAUAAAUAAUAAAUUAAUUAAAUAAUAAUAAAUUAUAAAUAAUUAUAAAUAAUAAAUUAAUUAAUAAAAAAAUUAAUUAGAUAAUAACUUAUAAAAAAUUUUAAUAAUUGUAAAUUAUAGAUUAAUUAAUUAAUUAAUAAUUAAUAAUUAAUUAAUAAUUAAUACUAAAAAAUUAAAAAUAAUAAAUAUUAAUUAAUAAUAAUUUAUUAAUAAUAAAUUAAUUAGAUAAUAUAGUAUAAAUUAUAAACUAAUAAUAAUUAUAAAUAAUAAAUUAUUACUAAUUAUAAAUUAUAAAUAAAUUAAUUAAUAAUAAAAAUAUUAAUUAAUUAAUUAUUAAUAAUUAUAAAUAAAAUAUUAUUAAUAAUUAUAAAUCAUAAAUUAUUUAAUUAAUAUUAAAUUAAUUAAUUAGAUAAUUAUAAAUAAAAAUAAUUUAAAUAACUUAAUUAAUUAUAGUUAAUUAAUAGUAGAUCAAUUAUUAAUUAAUAAUAAAUAAAUUAAUAAUAAAUUAUUAUAAAUAAAUAAAUAAAUAAAUAAUUUUAUUAUUUAAGCAAUAAAUAAUAAUUUAUAUGCAGUGUUUCUGAACUUUGGAUAGGAUUGGCUUCAGUGUAAGUGACUGGUCGGCGCAUCUAGAGAGUGUCGGACUGAGUUUCUCCGCGAAAUGGAUGAAGAAAUGGACUCGGCGCACUCAAAUAGGAAAACUGGAGUUUUGCCACAUUCGGGCGCCCAGAACUGGUCUUGGGUCGCCCAGAAGUUGAGUGCAGUUUUGAUCAGAACUGGAAGCCAAUUCGGGUCCAUAUUUCGGGCACCCGAAUGAGGGCCCGAAAAUUCACCUCGUGAGUAUCAUUUGCACUGACACGUGGCUGGUGGUUGGUGAAGUCCGCCGGAGCCGGAUAUGGGCACAGCACACCGCGGGCGGAGACUCCGAAGAGGAAGCCUUGUGUAGCCUGGAGGAUUCGGGCACCCAUAAUGUAGGUCCGGGUGCCCGGAAAUGCCAGUUUCUGCAGGGGUACCAGCUUUGCAGCAAUUGUUCCUGAGGGCUAUCUCACCACUCCAGCACCCUAUAAAUACCUGGUAUACGUCCCCUUUGAGCUCUUUUCAUCUAUUCUUCACAGAGAUCCUUUAUCUUGCAUCCUAAUCUCUCCAAACUCCUCCAUUUGCAUCAAAGUACCACAACUCUAAGAUUUCAAGGUGCAGAUUCUGCAGUCUCCCAGCGACGACCUUCAGUGUUUUGGCUCGUGCGCGACGUAGGGAGAUCGGAUUGCGACAAAACUUGGUUUGCUGGAUUUUAGACUUCUAGAGGAAUCCACGAAAUCCUGAAUUGUGGGUUUUGGUUGAGGUUAGCUUGGUCGUUUACCUAUGUUUCUGGACUGUUGGCAACAUUGAGCUAAAAAUGAGAUUUUUGAGCUUUUCUUGAUGCUAUCUUUGUAGGCAGUGGGAUUUUGGACCUGAGACACAUCACCCAUCAGUAUUUGCUGGAUUUGGGACUGUCCUCACCUGAUUUAGAGAUCGUUAGGUGAGUUUUGACAUUGGAGUGGGGAGAAAUCUAAGCUUAAGUGCUGAAAUUGGGAUUUUGGUGGAUUUUAGUGGAAUUGAUGUUCAGAUCUUGAUUGUGGAUCUUUGUUGGCUGAGAGCAUGUGCGGCUGGUUCCGACAGGGUGUCCCGCAGCUGAGUGACCUUCUUGCUGCCAGAAAAUUGAUCUCGAGGUGGGUUUUCAUCGGGUUACUCCUAAGUGCAUAUAUAGUCGAAGUGUAUGAUUUCCGUUUCGUCUACUAUUCAGUUUGAUUGAAUUCAUCGAUUAGCUUUGGGUUGAAAUCUGAAUCGUAAAGCAUGCUGAAUGAGUUAAUAAAUUAUACAUGUUGGACUUAAAAUUUUGACUUAGGAGAAAACCAGCGUUUUGACCCGUCAUAUGAUUCUACUGCCUAAUUUAGCUCUAGGAGCCGUGAUUUGAUUGUAUCACCGCUGUUUCAGCAUGGUGGAUACCCGGGGUAGUUUAGAAUGCAUCUACGCUCAUGCUGGGAUGCCGAGCUUAUUUUUAUAGUAGAGUUUAGGCUGUUUCGGGUUGUCGGGUGCCGUCGGGGUGGACGGUGGACCCAGAUCCUUAUUUUUGGUCUCAGAUUGUGCCGAGGGCACAUGGGUUUGAUUUCUAGACCUAUUUUAACUCUAACUACUUGACUUUGGCUUGUUAGAGCCUAUUUGAGCUCGACAGAGAUACGCUGCAUACUCCGUUUGGUAGCUCCCAUGAGUGCCACUCCGGAGGCGGGCGUUGUGCUUUUGCGUUGGUGUCGUUCGUGCAGGUUGGAGUUGCUCUCCACGGACUUGUUAGUGUGGAUGUAGCUGGUUAGUUGCAACCUGGCGGGACGGGUGUGUUCACAGUCUCAGGGACGGGUAUAAUUACAGUCCCUAUUCGAGAUUGGAUCUGAGUUGACACUGUUCUACAGUUGGUUAGAUUAGAGCAUGAUAGUAUAGAGGUAGAUAGCUGUAGAUACGUUCUAGCUUUCCUUACUAUUUCUUGCUUACCCCUGUAGACUUAGUGGGUGGACCGAUGAGUUUGACAGUGGUACCCACUGAGGACUACUUGUUUUUACAGUAGUUCUCACGCCCAGUUUGUUUCCACUGUUUUGCAGAGCCAUCGUCUGCUGCUGUCGCUGAUAUUGAUCGUGGCAAGGGCGUCGCGAGUUUGAGCCUUUCCAAUCGAGUUGCUUAGCUAGGGGAGGACCGCUGCAGGUAGUGUAGUUUUGGUUUGUACAUACAGAUGUUGUACAGUCGCCAGUGCGAGUGCUUUUGGUAUCUUGGAUCUUAUGUAUGUAUAGAACCAUAGUUUAUAUAUGCAUGUUUUAUUCUUUUCUCCUAGCUGCUCUAUACUACUGUCUAUAGUAUUGUAUGAUUACAGGUACUUUUACUUUUCGCUUCGUAUACAGAAAAAAUACCUAUGUAUACGACAGGUCUGUUAGCGAGCCUGGGGAAACGAGUAAUCCGGGACGUGACAGAUUAAGUUGGUAUCAGAGCUUAGCUGUAGGCCGUUGGGACCUAGGAGCCCUAAGUUUGGCAAACCUUAGGAAGGUAAGACACAAGAGGCGUGAUUUAUCGCGAAAGUCAACGAUUUGUUGUUCUAACUUCUCCUAGAGUGGAGUGAGUGAUUGGAAGAGUUCCUGUUUUGGCCUGAGAAAUUAUGUUUGCUGGAGACGACAUAAUUUUGAGGAGAAACAUGGGCCGCAUUCUAGACUUUCGUUUGAUUGGGUCGAGAGUGUUUUUGUUGUAUCUGACCCCUGUUUUGUUCUUUACAGCUAUGUAUCGUCGCCGAGGUCGACCGUCGCUCAGAGAUCGUGCCGCACCGCCUGAGAUGCCUGAGCAGGCAGAGCCAAGUACGCCACCAGAGGCGAGUGCACCCCCUGUUGUGGAGCAGAGGGCCUGACCGGAGGUGGGUGCACCUCCUGAUUUGAGUGCACAGUUAGCCGCCCUGACUGAGAUGACGAGGCAACAGGGAGGAGUUGUUGGAGAGGUUGUGUGAGAGGGUAGCUCCGUCACCGAGUACAGUAUCGAGAGCACCUGAGCAGGCCAUUCCACCUCCGACUACUCCAGUGACAACACCAGCCGCAGCUAUACCCCCGCCAGUGGAGCUUCCUACAGCGCUAGUUGCGGCUGCUAGGGGGCCAGUACAGUUGACUGAGGCCGAGCAGGAGCGGAUGACAGAGAAGUUGGCUCGUUUUCGCCGUUUUGAUCUACCGACCUUCGACGACAGUUGCACUGAGAUCUGGGUUGUUAAGGGCUGGGUCAGUGCGAUAGAGAAGCUGUUCGAGGAUCUAUUCGUGCCUGAGAGAGAGCAGGUGUCUUUGGGAGUACACUGCUUAGCUGGCGAUGCUCACGCCUGGUGGAGGAGAGUGAGGCGAGACUAUGGAUUAGUGGCGUUGCAGAUGAAGUGGGAUGAGUUCUGUGAAAUGUUCUUUGGGAUGUUUUUUUCCAACAGCAUGAAACAGAAGAUCGAGGAGGAUCUCAAGAGGAUUCAGCAGGGUGAGCGGACAGUUCAGGAGUACAUUCGGGAGUUCACGCGACUCCUGAACUGUGUCCCGUUUGUGGCUCGAGACGAGGUGCAUCGUGUUUAUCUGUUCGAGCAGGGAUUGAGACCCGAGAUCUUUCAAUUGGUGCAGGCGCAGAGGUUGAGGACCUUGGACGCGUCGAUGGAGCAGGCUCUUUGGGUAGAGAGGGGUGAUGCCUCCAUUCUGGAGAAGACUCAGGCUGUGGGGCAGAGGCCGUUGCUACACUUGCGGUCAGCCCGGGCAUAUGAGGUCAGCUUGUCCUCGUGCACCAUCACCAGCACCAUCCAUGGCAUCAGCACAGCCAGCAUCCCAGCAGUCUUCUAGAGGAGCACCGAGUUUUCGCCAGGAGGACAAAUCGUCUAUGCCGCGUAAGACUGAGCGGCAAUAGCAGGCUCCGAGUGGCAGAGUUUACGCAGCUCAGGUGGAGGAUUCUUCAGCAGCCUACCGAGCGGUGGUAGGUAUCAUUUUGAUUUUCGGCAUUCGUACUCGUACUCUUUUUGAUACCGGUGCCUCGCAUUCUUUCGUUAACCGAGCAUUUGUAUUGUUGUAUGGUCUAGAGUUAGGGUCAUUGUCACAGGCACAAGAGGUGCGAUCCCCGACCAUGUUUUACAGGUUGUAGAGUGUUGUUGGUCAUAUCCGGUGCAGUUAGAUUCUUGGAUCAUGCCCGCAGAUCUGUUGGUGUUAGGGCAGCUGCAGGACUUUGACGUAGUGCUCGGUAUGGAUUGGCUGGCGCGGUACUAUGCUACUAUCGACUGUGGAGCGAGAACUGUGACGUUCCGCGAGCCAGGCCAAGAGGAGUUUAGUUUCAGAGGUUGCAGUAGUACUUUGUUUGCCACUUGGAUAUCUUCGGCGAUGGCUUGACAGCUGAUGAGUAGAGGAUGCAUUUCUUUUCCGGCGACUAUGAUAGAGGUGCCUACGGCAGCGCCGGGACUCGAGGAUAUCCCUAUAGUCCGUGAGUUUUCGGACGUGUUUCUCCCAGAGUUGACGACAAUGCCGCCGGAGAGGGAAAUAGAGUUUGUGAUUGAUGUAGUUCCUGGAACUGCACCAAUGUCAAAGGCACCUUACAGGAUUUGAUGGAUAAGGGGUUUGUGAGACCCAGUGUGUCACCUUGGGGAGCGCCGGUGUUGUUUGUAAAGAAGAAGGAUAGUUCGCUCAGAUUGUGUGUAGAUUACAGGGAGCUGAAUAAGGUGACCAUCAAGAAUAAGUAUCCUUUGCCGCGCAUUGAUGAUCUGUUUGAUCACCUGCAAGGAUUUUAUGUCUUCUCGAAGAUUGGCCUCCAGUCAGGUUACUACCAGUUGAGGGUGAGGGCCGAGGAUGUUCCCAAGACGGCUUUUCGGACUCCGUACGGGCAUUAUAAAUUUAUGGUGAUGCCGUUUGGAUUGACGAAUGCCCCUGCCGCAUUCAUGGAUUUGAUAAACAGAGUGUUCAAGCCGUUCUUGGAUAGGUUUGUGGUAGUCUUCAUUGAUGAUAUUCUGAUAUACUCCCGGAGCGAUGCCGAGCAUGAGGAGCACUUGAGGACUAUGCUACAGCUUCUGCGAGAGAAGAAGUUGUAUGCCAAGUUAAAGAAGUGCGAGUUCUGGUUGCGGUAGGUUACUUUCUUGGGCCACGUGAUAUCUGCGGUUGGAGUGACAGUGGACUCGAAGAAGAUUGAUGCUAUUCGGGAUUGGUCCAGACCGACGACGGUGACAGAGGUGAGGAGUUUCCUUGAACUUGCAAGUUAUUACCGUCGAUUUGUGGAAGGCUUUGCGAAGCUUUUCACACCACUCACUCGACUGACUCGUAAAGGAAUUAAGUUUAUCUAGAGUGAGGAUUGCCAGAGGAGCUUCGAUGAGUUAAGACAGAGGUUGACGUUAGCUCCUAUCCUUGCUCUGCCAGUGAUAGGAGAAGGAUUUGUGAUUUACAGUGAUUCAUCGCACAGUGGUUUGGGCUGUGUGUUGAUAUAGCAUGGUAGGAUAAUUACUUAUGCUUCACGGUAAUUAAAGGAUUACGAGGAGAAUUACCCAACGCAUGACUUAGAGCUUGCCGCAGUAGUCUUUGCUUUAAAGUUGUGGCGGCAUUACUUGUAUGGCGAGCACUGCGAAGUUUUCACCGAUCAUAAAAGUCUCAAGUAUCUGUUCACCCAGAGGAAGUUGAAUCUGAGGCAACGCCAGUGAUUGGAGUUACUGAAGGACUAUGACAUUAGUAUUCAGUAUCAUUCCGGCAAGGCGAAUGUGGUGGCAGAUGCGUUGAGCAGGAAGGCAGUGCAGAGCUUGAGCAUGUUGAUCGCUCAGCAGAGGCUGUUACUCGAGGAGCUGCAGCGGCUGAGGCUCGAGAUAGUGUCCCCUGGAUUUACUGCGAGACUGAUGUUUAUGGUCUUACAGCCCACUCUGUUGGAUAGGAUCCGAGAGAAACAGAGUGGAGAUCCACACUUGUUGAGGAUUCGAGAGCGGUUUGAGAGGGGACAGGCAGAGGGCUUUAUUGUGGACAGUUCGGGAGUACUGCGGUACAGGGACCGACUGUGUGUACCUAUGGAUUCAGAGAUCCGAGAGGACAUUUUGAGAGAAGCUCAUUGUUCACCUUAUACAGUUCACCCUGGUGGAACCAAGAUGUAUAAGAACUUAAAAGCCCACUUUUGGUGGAAUGGAAUGAGAGGGACAUUGGCAGAUUUGUGGCUCAGUGUCUGACUUGUCAACAGGUAAAGGCCGAGCAUCAAGUACAUGCUGGCAAGCUUCAGAGUCUGCAAGUGCCCGAGUGGAAAUAGGAGCAGAUCGCGAUGGACUUCGUCGUGGGGUUGCCUAGAGCUCAGGGUGGUAUCGAUGCUAUUUAGGUGAUAGUGGACAGACUGACUGAGUCUGCUCACUUCCUACCAGUUCAAACCACCUGGUCCAGAGAGUGGCUCGCUCAGUUAUAUCUGGACGAGAUAGUGAGGUUGCAUGGUGUGCCUACUACGAUAGUAUCAGAUCGAGACCCGAGGUUCGUCUCGCACUUUUGGAGGAGUCUUCAGACGGCCUUGGGCACUCAGUUGCAGUUCAGUACAGUGUUUCACCCACAGACAGAUGGUCAGUCAGAGCGAACCAUUCAGACUCUUGAGGACAUGCUAAGGGCAUGUGUCCUGGACUUUGGAGGAGGGUGGUAUCGACAUUUGAGACUGGUUCAGUUUCCGUACAACAACUGCUAUCAAGCGAGCAUCCAGAUGGCUCCGUUUGAGGCGUUGUAUGGACGCAGGUGUCGAUCCCCUUUGUUUUGGAGCGAUGUUGGUGAGAGGAAAACGCUUGGGCCUGAGAUUCUGAUUGAGGAUGAGGAAAAGGUGAAGGUGGUGCGACAGCACAUUUUAGCAGCCCAGAGUCGGCAGAGGAGCUAUGCUGAUACCCGGAGGGAGACGAGACUUGGAGUUCCAGGUGGGAGAUCAUGUGUUUCUUAAAGUUUCGCCGCCCAGAGGGAUUCGCCGAUUUGGAGUACGUGGAAAGUUCAGUCCACGUUUUGUCGGCCCUUUUGAGGUUUUGGAGCGAGUCGGGCCAGUGGUUUACAGGAUUGCUCUAACUCCACGACUAGCCGGCAUUCACGAUGUUUUUCACGUCUCGGCUUUGAGGAGAUAUGUGUUCGACCCCUCCCACGUGAUAGACUUCACUCCGCUUGAGAUUGGCGAGGACCUGAGAUACGAAGAGCGACCAGUGCGGAUUCUGGCUCGUGAUUUGAGAGAAUUGCGCAACCGGGUCAUACCCUUUAUAAAAGUGCAGUGGAGUAAUCACGAGAAGCGGGAGGCAACUUGGGAGCCGAAGACGGUGAUGAGAGAAUCCUACCCCUACCUUUUUUAUGCUCAGGAUUGAGAUAUGUUUCAGUUUUGCGGACGAAACUUUUUGUAGUGGGGGAGGAUGUAGUGUUUCUAAACUUUGGAUAGGAUUGGCUUCAGUGUUAGUGACUGGUCGACACAUCUGGAGAGUGUCAGACUGAGUCAGAGUCGUUUCUGCGCGAAAUGGAUGCAGAAAUGGACUCGGCACACUCAAAUAGGAAAACUGGAGUUUUGCGAGAUUCGGGUGCCCAGAACUGGUCUUGGGUCGCCCAGAACUUGAGUGCAGUUUUGAUUAGAACUGGAAGCCAAUUCGGGUCCAUAUUUCGGGCGCCCGAAUGAGGGCCCGAAAGUUCACCUCGUGAGUAUCGUUUGCACUGACACGUGGCUGGUGGUUGGUGAAGUCCGCCGGAGCCGGAUAUGGGCGCAGCACACCGCGGGCGGAGACUCCGAAGAGGAAGCCUUGUGUAGCCUGGAGGAUUCAAGCGCCCAUAAUGUAGGUCCGAGUGCCCGAAAAUGCCCGUUUUUGCAGGGGUACCAGCUUUGCAGCAAUUGUUCCUGAGGGCUAUCUCACCACUCCAGCACCCUAUAAAUACCUGGUAUACGUCCCCUUUGAGCUCUUUUCACCUAUUCUUCACAGAGAUCCUUUAUCUUGCAUCCUAAUCUCUCCAAACUCCUCCAUUUGCAUCAAAGUACCACAACUCCAAGAUUUCAAGGUGCAGAUUCUGCAGUCUCCCAGCAACGACCUUCAGUGUUUUGGCUCGUGCGCGACGUAGGGAGAUCGGAUUGCGACGAAACUUGGUUUACCAGAUUCUAGACUUCUAGAGGAAUCCACGAAGCCCUAAAUUGCGGAUUUUGGUUGAGGUUAGCUUGGUCGUUUACCUAUGUUUCUGGACUGUUGGCAACAUUAAGCUGAAAAUGAGAUUUUUGAGCUUUUUUUGAUGCUAUCUUUGUAGGCAGUGGGAUUUUGGACCUGAGACACAUCACCCAUCAGUAUUUGCUAGAUUCGGUACUGUCCUUACCUGAUUUGGAGAUCGUUAGGUGAGUUUUCACAUUGGAGUGGGGAGAAACCCAAGCUUAAGUGCUGAAAUUGAAAUUUUGGUGAAUUUUAGUGGAAUUGAUGUUCAGAUCUUGAUUGUGGAUCUUUGCUAGCUGAGAGUAGGUGCGGCUGGUUCCGAUAGGGUGUCCUGUAGCUGAGCGACCUUCUUGCUGCCAGGAAAUUGCUCUCGAGGUGGGUUUUCAUCGGGUUACUCCUAAGUGCAUAUAUAGUUGAAGUGUAUGAUUUUCGUUUCGUCUACUAUUCAGUUUGAUUGAAUUCAUCGAUUAGCUUUUCGCUGAAAUCUGAAUCAUAAAGCAUGCUGAAUGAGUUAAUAAAUUAUACAUGUUGGACUUGGAAUUUUGACUUAGGAGAAAACCAGCGUUUUGACCCGUCAUAUGAUUCUACUACCUGAUUUAGCUCUAAGAGCCGUGGUUUGAUUGUAUCACCGCUGUUUCAGCGCGGUGGAUAUCCGGGGUAGUUUAGAAUGCAUCUAUACUCGUGCUGGGACGCCGAGCUUAUUUUUACGGUAGAAUUUAGGCUGUUUCGGGUUGUGGGGUGUCGUCGGGGUGGACGGUGGACCCAGAUCCCUGUUUUUGGUCUCAGAUUGUGCCGAGGGCACGUGGGUUUGAUUUCUAGACCUGCUUUAACUCUAGCUACUUGACUUCGGCUUGUUAGAGCCUAUUUGAGCUCGACAGAGAUACGCUGCAUACUCGGUUGGGUAGCUCCCACAAGUGCCACUCCGGAGGCGGGCGCUGUGCUUUUGCGUUGGUGUCGUUCGUGCAAGUUGGAGUUGCUCUCAACGGACUUGUUAGUGUGGAUGUAGCUAGUUAGUUGCAACCUAGCGGGACGGGUGUGUUCUCAAUCCCAGGGACGGGUAUGAUUACAAUCUCUAUUCGAGAUUGUGUCUGAGUUGACACUGUUCUACAGUUGGUUAGAUUAGAGCAUGAUAGUAUAGAGGUAGAUAGCUGUAGAUACGUUCCAGCUUUCCUUACUAUUUCUUGCUUACCCCUGUAGACUUAGUGGGUGGACCGAUGAGUUUGAGGGUGGUACUCACUGAGGACUACUUGUUUUUACAGUAGUUUUUACGCCCAGUUUGUUUCCACUGUUUUGCAGAGCCAUCGUCUGCUGCUGUCGCUGAUAUUGAUCGUGGCAAGGGCGUCGCGAGUUAGAGCCUUUCCAGUCGAGUUGCUGAGCUAGGGAAGGACCGCUGCAGGUAGUGUAGUUUUGGUUUGUACAUACAGAUGUUGUACUCUCGCCAGUGCGAGUGCUUUUGGUAUCCUGGAUCUUAUGUAUGUAUAGAACCACAGUUUAUAUAUGCAUGUUUUACUCUUUUCUCCUAGCUGCUCUAUAUUACUGUCUGUAGUAUUGUAUGAUUACAGGUACUUUUACUUUUCGCUUCGUAUACAGGAAAAAUACCUAUGUAUACAGCGGGUCUGUUAGCGAGCCCGGGAAAACGAGUAAUCCGGAGCGUGACAUUAUAUAUAUUAAUUAAAUUAAUUAAUUAUUUAAUACUACAAUUAAAAUUAUUUUUAAACUUUAAUUUACCUUGUUCUUAUUCGAGAACAAGCUUGUUUCAGAAAAAAGGUGGAACGACAGUUCCAAUCUUAUACCGGCUUAUUCCAGAAAUCCGAAAACUACUGUUCUCGGGUACCGAACGCACUGUUUGGAAACAAAGGGAAGCAAGAGCUUAUUCCCCCUUGUCCCGAACCAAACACUACCUUAGAGUCUACAGUAUCCUCGUUGUCGUUGCAGUCCACGACCAUGCCCUCCAUUAAGCCUCAUCUCCGCAAUCUAUUCCAUAUCUGAGCCAUCGUUCACAGAAGUGUAGGAGAGGUAAGAGAGAAAAGCGUGGUGUCGACAUUUGGGCGAUAGAGAAGGAGGAGAAAAGAGAGAAAGAGAGAGGAGAAAUAGAAGAAAAAAAUGGCAAGGAGGUAGGAGAUGAAUUAAGUGGAGAAAGAUGUACGAAAAAAAGAGAGAGAAAGAGGAAUAAGAAUAUUUUGGUUGGUUUCUUAAAUAUGCAUCGAAUCUGCAAAAUUCAAAAAAGUAAUCCCUUUAUGCAAAAAUUGAAAACAAGUGGAUUUUUUUAGGCAAAAGGCCAUUUUUAAUUGAAUUAACAAAAAAACAACCUACAAUUUAGCUUGUCACUUACUCCUUUAAAAUUAUAUUAACUUAAUUCCUGUCAUUUUGUUACCAUUUUUAAAAUCUGAAAAAUUGGAUGGUGGUUGAGCUUGGAUGCAAAACUUUCUAAAAACUUUUUAAAUGUGUUUAUACAGAAACAAGUCAGUAAAUGAUAUUUGCAACUAUUCAUAAAGUAAAAUUACAUAAAUUAAAUAAAUUAUCUUACAUAGUGUAAUUUUGGUAGCUUUAGUUAACUCAAUAUAUUUUUUUUCCUUUAUUUAAGAUUUUAAUUAGAUAGAUGUUGAGAAACUUAGUAUUAUGCUAAUUUAAAUUGUUUUGACUUUCAUUAAAAUUAAGACUUUGAUGAGGAUGAUGAAGCUAAUGCUACACUUUAGGAGCUAAAUUGUUAAAAUUAAGAUUUUUGGACUUGAGGAAGAAUUAGAAUUAAGCUUUAAUAAAUUAGAGUUCAAGAUCGAAAAGAUGUUGUGACACCCUAGAGCUUGGAAUGGUUCUAUAUAUAAAAUUAUAAUAGAGCUACAACUUUGAACCCGGUUAUAAUAUUUUGGACGGUGGCUAGGAUUAAGAGGUUAAUAGGUAAUUACACUACUAGAAAAUUAAUCAUUAACGGCUUUUAUUUAUGCUACUAAAAGAUUAGCAGUAUUUAUAAUGAAUGGUGUUAAUAUAAAUCAAUUGGUGUCAUAAAGAACAUACUGCUAAAAAGAUUGUUAAAUUCUAAUUUUAAAUUGUUUAUUACUGGAAUACAAUGGUAUUAAUACAAAUACCAAAUGUUGGAAACUAAUUUUAUUUUAGAUUUAAUUUUUAAAUUUAAAUUUAAAUUUUCUAAGAGGAAAAUAGCAUGCUACCUACUUCGUUUAUUUAUUUUUUUAAAAAAAUAACUUAUAUGUAAGUGUGAAUCAACUAGAAUUAGAACUUAGGAUCUCAGGUACUAACCACCAAGCCGUUUGCCACUCGUGCUAGAGACAGUUGAUUAUAUAUAUUUGAAUUUUUAAAAUUUAAAAUUUUAAUUCUAAAUUUAGAUAAUAAAUUUAAAUUUUUAAUUUUCAAAUAUCAAAUUUUAAGUUUCAAAAUUCACAAUUUGAAAUUUAAAAUUUGAAAUUUGAAAUUUAAGAUAAAAUUAAAAAAUUAAAAAUUUAAAAUUAAAAUUUUAUAAUUUAAAAUUUUAACAUUUUAAAUGCUAAAUUGUAAGUUUAAUUUUUAAAUUAUAAGUUUCAAAUUUUUAAAAUUCAAAUUCUAAAUUUUUAAACUUUUAAAAUUUUCAAUUUUAAGUAUAAAGUGGGAUAUAUUAAUAAUUAUAUAUUGAUUGGUGAGGGUAUUUAACAAUAAGCGCUACUACUUUAUUAUAUUUACUAUCAUUUUUAUAAAAUACUGAAAACUUCAGCGGUAUUCACUAAUUUACGCUGCUAAUUUAUCCUAUUUUAUAACAUUAAUAAUAAAUUGUGCUAAAUUAUUAAAUAUACUAGUGUUGAACCCGCGCUUCGCCGCAGACAGUUUUAACAUCAAUAUUUUGAUGUGAAUUUUAAUAUAUAAUAAUUAUGAAAAGUGAGAAAAAAAUAAAAUUAAAUAUCAAUACAUAUAUAUGUAAGAAAAAGCAAAAGAAUAGUAGCCAAGAAUGAAUUGCUAUGCAAAAAAUAAGAUGGAAUAAUAACAAAAUAUGUAAUUAUGAACUCUGCAAAAUAUAUAUUUAGCUUGAAUGAUUACUAAUUAUUUUAAUACAUAUAUAAGUAUUUUGGAUUGAUAACAAACUAUGUAAUUUUUUUAUUUUUAAAGAAUAGUAGCCUUUUUUUUAUUUUAUUUUAUUUUUUAAAUCUUUUUGUUUGUUUUUUUUUUUAGUGCCCUUCUCUUCUUUUUUCUACCUUCUCUUAACUUUUUUUUUUUUAUGUGUGCAACCUGUGAAGUGUGUGCAAUGGUUUGUUUUCCCGAAAAGUGAACAAAGGAAAAACGAAAAGAUUUAAAUAAAUAAAUAAGAAAGUGUAGGCGUUGGGAAUUUGUUAGGGGUGCAAUUUUUUUAUCUUUUUUUUAUUUUGUAUUUUUUUUUUUUUACUAUAAUUCCUUAACAGCGAGUAAAGAAAUAUAUAGUACAAUAGAUAACAGUUCUCAGAGAUAAAAAUGUUCAUGCUUUCCGGGUACCCUCAGGUACCCGGUUAAUUACGCCAUUUUUAGUACAUGCAGACCACCUCUGAUUAAACUGGUCAUAAAAAAAAACCCCUCUUCUAAACAAUAAUAUUAAUAUAUUUUUUUGUUAAACCGUAAUAAUAAUAAUAAUAGUAUGUGCCAAUCAGGUGUGUAUUAUAUACAUUUAUUUAACACCUAUAUAUAUAUAUAUAUACACUAAUCUAUGAAUCCCCAAUAUUUUGCUGAUGUGGCGUGACCUCCUUCUCCCAAAACCUCUCCCUCCUCAUCUCCCAACCCCCAAGACCCCUCAUCUUUCAAAACCGCUCUCUCCUUAUCUCCCAACCCUCGAGACCCCUCCCCCUCCUUAAUAGAAUCAUUAAUUAGUAAAAUAAUACUUCAUAUUUAAUUAAGAGAUUAAUCAUCAUUAUUAAUCAAAUUGCUCAUAAACUGCUAUAAUACUAAGCACCUAAUUAAUUCAAUAAACUGUCGACCCAUACUUAUGUCUCAUAUGGGGCCACGCAAUUGAACCUAGAUAUACUAUAAGAAUAUGCCUGUAACAUUAAAAUUUUGCCAAUUAAAAGUAACAGUCAUUUAGAGCUCGUGGCUAUUAUUUAUCUAAUUAGUGUUCUUUAUUUUUAUUUGAAUAGGGAUUUGGAUUUAAUUGACUUCUUUUUAAAGCAUCCGAGAGAGCCCCUUUUUAAUUUUUGUAUGCAACGUGCAUAAAUUUGCAAUUACAAUUGCGUUUUACGAGUAGUUAUCUUGGUGUGCAUUAUGCAGGUGAACAUCACUCCUUAAUGCAGAUACAUAUUAUCUUCAUUGUGCCCGUGAGGAGAACCUCUUCUCCCUCGCCCGCCACCUCACUUCCCUCGCCGACCUCGUGUCGAUGCGCACCUAUUCUCUCCUUUGUCGCCCCUCUCCUCUUCUCCUUCCUCCUCAAUCGUCCUUUUACUGAUUUGUGUGCUCUUUUUCAGACUUUUGUUUGCCAAUUAGUUUAAUUUUUUUCGCUUUUAAUGCUCAUUUAAAUUUGUGCUUAUUUUAGCUUUGUCAUUGAGAUAAUAUAUGUCAUAAAAAUUAACUUGGUAUAAGUUUAUUGUAUAAACUUAUUACCAUUAGUAAUAGAUUUGUUUUUUUUUAAAUGCAAAUGACAUUGUAUUCAAAUGAUAUUGUUCUUUUGAGCAUUUUGUCAAAUAAGUGUUCCUNCGCCGCGGAGCUCGUCCUCGGGCUGGAGCACCUCCACGGACUGGGGAUCGUGUACCGCGAUCUCAAGCCCGAGAACGUCCUCAUCCAGGACAACGACCACCUCAUGCUCGUCGACUUCGACCUCUCCACGGAGCUCCCCUCUCCCCCGCCAGCCGCCAAUCGAUCAAAACCCCCUCCUCCUCCUCCUCCUCCUCCUCCGCUCCCCUCUGCCGCGAGCAGGAAGAAGGAUAAGAAGAAUAAGAGGAAGAAGCGCCCCCUCCUCAGUUGCUUCUCCUGCGACGCGAGAGUGUCCCCGGAGGAUCCGUCCCCGUCCCCGUCCGCUUCCUCGUCUCCGUCAAGGCUAAGAUAGAGAGCAGAAGGGAAGAGAGAGAGAGAGUAUGGGUGAGGAGGAAAGAGACAGAAACAGGAGCCAGCUAUUAUCUUGGGAAGAGGCUAAACCUCGGGAAUAAGAAUAUAUCUUGGGAAGGAGAGAGGCCUUGGGAAGAAGGCAAGGUUUCUUGGAAAGGAGAGAGGCCUUGGAAAGGAGAUGAGAGAGAAAGGAAAAACAAAGAAAAAAAAAUGCAAGAAAAAUGCAAGGUUGCCAUGUAUACUUUUAAAGACUGUCAAAUUAUGUAUUGUUAAGGAUAUAACAAUUAUCAAAUAAUACUAUUAAAUAUAUUAAUUAGCAUAAUUUAAAUAAAUAUUGCGGAGUAAAUGUCACUAAAUCAUGAAUUUGUUAUUGUUUGAGAAAAAAUUUAAAUUUAAAUUGAAAAUAUAGAAGGACAAAAAAUAAAUUGUAAUUUGAUUGCUACUUUCCUUAGAAGAUUAGGUAUUAACAAGGAAAGAGAUAACAAAAGUAUUAUUGUCUUAUUCUCAAAAUUUUUGAAUCUAUUAUCAUAUUCUAAAGUAGAACUCUUUAUGAACCCUAUGUGAGAAGCUGACACGUAGCUUUCUAUAUGCUUGUCACGUGUCAAGCUCAAAUAUAGAUUUUCUAUUUUAGGAAAAAUAAAAUUAGAUUUUUUAAGAAAAUAAUAUCAUUUACUAUAUUAUUAAAAAUCACCUAUAAUGAAGGGGAUUUUAUUUCAAAGUCACCUAUAAUUAUGUUGAAUUUCAAAGUCACCAGAUAUUUGAGAAAUUCACGGAUAUUACAUUGGCAAGCAUGAAUAUUACGCGUGAGAAAGAAAAUAUUUAUCUUUAUUUUUAUUUCAAAGUCACUUAAUUAUGUUGAGAUAUUUGAGAAAUUCACGGAUAUUAUGUUGCGAAAGAAUUGGCGGGUGCGGAUAUUACGCGUGAGAAAGAAAAUAUUUAUCUUUAUUUGGGACUAAAUUAUUACAAGCUCAAAUAUAGAUUUUCUACUUUAGGAAAAAUAAAAUUAGAUUUUUUAAGGAAAUAAUAUCUUUUACGAUAUUAUUAAAAAUCACCUAUAGGGGAUUUUAUUUCAAAGUCAUCUAUAAUUAUGUUGAAAUAUUUGGGAAUAAAUUAUUACUUAGUUAAUUAUUUGAAAUGAUUGGUUGAAAAUUACUGGACAUAAAAUAUUAGUAAAAAAGGAUAGAGACAUUUUUCCUAACGUGGCUUUCUAUAUGUUUGUCACGUGUCUUCAUAUUUAUUCUAUUUACUAUGUUAUUAAAUUCAAAUAGUAGGUGGAUUAAUGAGAUAUUUGAGAAAUUCACGGAUAUUACGUUACGAAAGAAUUGGCGGGUGCGAAUAUUACGUGUGAGAAGGAAAAUAUUUGAGAAAAGCGUAGAUAGAAAAUAUGAUAUAAAUGCGAGGGUAAUAUUGUCACAAAAAAUAACAGAUACUUUUAUUUUCAAUCAUUAGAUAAGAUCUAAUGGCAAAAAAUUAAUAUCUUUUAUUAUAUUAUUAAAAAUCACCUAUAAUGAAGGGGAUUUUAUUUCAAAGUCAUCUAUAAUUAUGUUAAGAUAUUUGAAAAAUUCAUGGAUAUUACGUUACGAAAGAAUUGGCGGGUGCAGAUAUUACGCAUAAGAAAGAAAAUAUUUAUCUUUAUUUGGGAAUAAAUUAUUACUUAGUUAAUUAUUUGAAAUGAUUGGUUGAAAAUUACUGAACAUAAAAAUAUUAGUAAAAAGGAUAGAGACAUUUUUGGAAAGCCGAAAAAAUUCAAAACUCACGCUUAAGUAGUAUAGAUAUAGAUAUUGCAUAUCACUUACCUACUAUCACUCCUAUAAUUUUUAUUUCGUAAUUUUUUCCCUACUGUCACUCCUGUAAUUUUUUUCGUUCUUAAAUGUUGAUGCUUUAAAAUAGAACAUAUUAUUUUCAUUUUAUUAUUUAAAUACGAAGCAAGUAUUAAUUUUUUUUCUUGGUUGUCUUAUUGUUCUCAGGAUAUGGGACUUGGGUAUGAUUCUAUACGUGACAUCACUCCUCUUGGAGACAAAUGGAAGAUCAAAGUCAGAGUGAUUUGUCUAUAUACUAUACUUGAAUUUCAUCGUCCAGAGGUGGUGAAUAGCCUAGAGUUAGUUCUUUCUGAUCAAAAUGUAAGUACGACUUUCAUUUUCAAAUUGAACAUACGUUUGCUUUAUUUUUACUAAAAGAUACUAUAUAAUUUGUUUAUUUUCUAUUAUAGGGAGAUAGGAUACAUGCAACGGUAAGAAAAGCUUUCCUGAACAAAUUUAAAGGCCUUUUUAUAGAAGGAAAAAUUUAUAUGAUCAACCAGUUUGGAGUGGGGCAGAGCAGCGACUCAUACAGGACCACUAUACAUCCUUACAAAAUUAAUUUUUAGUAUUCUACGGUUGUACGUGAGAUGGAAAAUAUUUUCACAAUAUCAAAGUAUGGAUUUAUAUUUACCUCUUUUGAUGAAAUACUUGCUAAUNUUGGCAAGCUUUGCUCGAUAACCUCAGGAUACAAGCCUCAGGCUAUACGCGGCUCUCGGUUGAGAUGAGGCACCGAAGAGGCCUUUUGGCCUCAAUGAUAAGUGAAAUUCACUUUUGAUUUUUAGCGCAUUGAAGAGGCAAAAUCGAAUAAAAGAGGACUUUAAACUGUUCACGAAUACAUUAAUUUAAUGUGUGUAUUUGUAGCAGUUGCCUCUCAAAUCAACGUGACAUUUGUAGAGUCAGGAAUAUAAUAGGGGGGGGAAUUUUCUUCAAAGCAGGGGCUUUGAACUGGUGCAUGGGUGGCUUUAUCUUAAGUCUAUUAUGAAGGUGGUGACACCAUGGUGGAAACUCAUGACCAGUUUAUGUAGACUUAUUUAGUUGGAGGCAUCUUCCCCUUUUUAUCCUGACGCCAAGGUGGUCCUGUUUAGCUCCCUUUUGCAUGGUUGGGUUUUAGAUGCCUGGUUUUGAGUGGCCCUAACUGUAAUAGGAUAUUAGACGCCUAUUUUUAUCAGGGCGACAUUCCUAAUAGACUAGGGUUAUAAUGGUUUAGACUCUAUUAUGAAGUAGUGAGUUUUUGAGAUCCAGGUGAGUUGGAACCAGACGUAUCGGCUUUGGCUGAGCUGAUACAGCGUUCAAGUGCAUCUUUUCAGUGCUCUGUUGGUAAAAUUAGAUCUCAGAUAAAUGCAUCUGACUUUGCUUUUUGAGGUUGAUAGGUUGUUGCAGUUGAACGAGUGGUUCUCGCUUAUGCUUUGUAACAAGAUUCUGGGCUCAGUUUUGAGAGUGGAACCUCUGGUGUCAGAGGGUUAUUAUUGGUGUGUUUGACGGUUUUGGAGGUAGUUGCCUAUCAGUGAAUGCUGUUAGAUAUCAGGAUCCGGGUUCUGGAGUGAAAAGUGGACUGGUUGUUCCAGGUUGGCUGUUAUGGUAUAUGCGAUCUGUUAAAACAGAGGAGUUAACAUUGGCUAUGGUAAUUUGGUUGUAUGGGUGGUACAUUCAGGUAAUGAACUACGCGUCCAGCGGUUAGCGUUUUCGCUAUGAUUGGUAGCCACUACGAGUUGUGGACAGAGAUGUUCUGGGACAGCGACGGCAGGAUGUUCCCUGGGAUCGCUAGCUACAAGGGUCGUUGGUGGGCUAAUGAACAGAGUAACUCUGGGUCCGUGUGGAUAGUAGUUUAUUGGUCUGUUCGUUCGAUUGGGUUCCAAACGUGCUAUUCGGUUCAGCGUUUGAAAAUGCGAUAGUAUAUACCACUGUUAGGUUCGGCUGUUGGUCCGAGUUCAGCGAGUUGGUGAUUAAGAUUUGAAGUACUGUUGUCUGGCUCUGAUGGUUGGGUUUGUUUGGAAAAUCAGCACCUUCCGUGUUAAUUUCACGAUGCUUGUAGGUUUGAGCUUGAUCUCAGUUUUUGGGAAAUAGCCACUGCUAUUCAGUUGACACGUUUUGGACGGUUCCUUAUUGGGUUCCGAGCGAUGCACCAGUUUCUACUGAUAGAGAGAUCAAAAAGGGUGUUUUGUCGGAUCUCUUGUGUAGCUGGGUUAGGUAUUCAGGGUUUACCCUUCUACCAUAAAGCAAGGAGAAAGCUGUCAUAUAACAGACGUCGGUUAUAUGAAUAGUUUUCUUUUCGUUUUAUAGGCUUCUAGGUGAUGGUUGUUGGUCAACCUUCAUGUUGCUCUAUUUCAUAGUUCGGUGAACUAUGGAGAGAUGACUUGGUCUUCGAGUGUAGGUAAUGAUAGCUUUGUAGCUGAAAUGUUCAACUGUAAGCUUUAAUCUUGCUGGGACCUUGUAGAGCUUAGAUCUGGUUGAUGUUGAUUGGGUGUUGUGUGGUUAAACCCACAAUCUUAUUGGCGUGUGUUACAUACGGAAUUGCUUUUGAACUGUGGUUUUGACACAGUUAAACUGAGACCCUCCUUCUUACUUGCUCCAUUUCCAGUUUUCUAGUCUUGUCGACUAAGGUUAGUCGUUAGUUCCUCCUAUCCAUCCGUAGUGUUGGGAUGGGUUUCUAGCCGCCUUCGUUGUGAUUGUUACGUCAGCAACUUUGCUGGCGAUAGGUUUGGAACCCGAUGUGGGAUCAUCGGGGUGAUUUCAGCGCUGGCAUUGACCAGAUUCAUGGCAGAGGUAUCUCUGUAAGCGUCUUCGAAAGCACAGGAUUCAUCUCUCUCUCACCGGACCCGCAGUCGUCAAUACUGUGAGCGGAUCCGGGCUUUUAGAGUGAACCGGGAAGUACCGGAGUGGACUGUCCUCACCAUUGUGGACCCCUUAUAGCAGGGUGGUAAGCUACAGGCUUUUUCAUGUGGCGGUGAUUAGGGUUGAAUCUGUGGUCGAACACGCUUGGCAUUGGGUGUGCCCUUAUUGGUACGUGAGGCUCAAAUGGGUUGAGCUUACGUUGGGUCCUGUAUUCGGGUUUAGGGCGUGAGUGCACGGAUGUGUGACAUCAGAAGGAUAACCAGUUGGAUUGGUUACCAAGUCAAAUAAACCAAGUCAAAUAAAUGAAAAGUUUUGUUGGACACUUACCACAACACCAACAUUGGAGCGAGACUAUGGUGAAAUUAGACAGUGCGGGGCCCCAGGGAAAAGUCAAAUUUUGUUUCGCCUUUUCGCAGACUUAAAAAAAAAAACUUUUGGACUGGGGUCUCAUACGGUCUAGGUGGUGUUUAUGUCCCUUAGGUGACAAGUGUGCCUGUCUCAGAGGGGACAUAAACGUGCCGCAGCUAGUUUAUGUGUCAUGUUAGUCCUAUGUUGGUGUUGGUCUACUUAUAUUUCUAUUAAUAUGUAAGUAUGUAAGUGGUAAGUGUAGUGUCAAAAUGUAAGUUCCAAAUUUGUCUUUAGGUGUUUUUAGAAAACAGCUAUUCUGGAACCAAUGGCACUGACGGAUUUUAGAUCUGAUGCAUGAUUUUCGAGAAAAUCUGAAAAUACAUGUUUCUUAUGUAAGUGUGCAUCAUUUUGGCCUAUAUGAUUAGUUGGAGAGAGAUCGGAUUUUGUCGCAAAUCGGCAAGCAAAUCGGGUGAAACGAAAUCGUAGUUUUGAUGCCCCCGACAUGCUGAACGCAAUGGUGCUGUCGGAUCGAAAAUCCGACGGACGGAUCUCCGGGAAUUACGAGAUGUUCGCUGAGGGGUCAAAGUGGCAAAUCGGAUAAAUCGCGAAGAGACCCUAUAUUUUAUGUGCCGAAUUGCGUGAGAUCGGACAUGGAGGUGCAUUUGUGUAAAAUACGCGCGCUGUGAGGGACUUGACUGAGAAUAUUACCCCUGGGAGGAUUAUUUUGCAUAAUGCACAUGUGUGUAUAGUGGUUGCACUGGGGUUUCAUGAGGAAACCCUAACUGUUAGCCUUCUCCUUAGCCAAACUAACCUUAGCCGACCCCUCUGCCAUCACCUGAACCCCUCCCCGACACCACCGCGCGCGUCACGGCCGCCGGUGAGCAGCCCCGGCCGCCGGAAAAGCCAUCCCGACCUUACAUUCACCUUCCUCUCUCUCCAUCUUCCUCCCUCAUCCUCUUUCUCUCGGGUUAGAGCUAGGCCGAGGCUACAUCACCUCCAGACCCUUCGCCGGCAUCGCCCCGUGCCCCGGCGAGCCUUCCCGCCGGCCGUCGCCGCCUUUCUGCGCCGCCGCUGCUGGUUCUGCAGCAUGCGACUACCCCAGCCCGAACCCAGGCCGAGGCAGCCCCAUCUCCCUCUCCUCGCACCACUGCUGCCAUAGCUCGGCAGCGCCGCCAUCUCCGGAGCCCCGGUGACCCCGUGCUUCGUCGCCGUCGUCCUUGCGGGCCGCCGCCGCCUCCUCUGUCAACCGCGGCCGCCCCAGGUCUGCUCGGGCCGAGAUGACCCCGCGCUGCCUCCGUGCGCCGCCGCCGCCUUAGGCCGUGCGCGCCGCCUUCCCCUCGGCCUCCGGCGACGGGUCGUCGCCGUCCCAAGCCUUCCCCGGACGCCGCCGUGGCCGUCGCCACCCUGUGAGCCCGAGCCGAGCCCGUGAGAGCUAGGGUUGCUCCAGCGCCGCCGCCACCGCCAUCCGCCACCGACCGGCGUGAGCACCCCCUCUCCUGGUUGGGCCGCACUCGCCCACCACCGGCGCUCCCGCCGCCGGAACCCUCUACUGGCCGGGCUGGGCCCUUGCUCUCCACGGGUUUGGGAAGCUAGGGCAUCAAGGCCCGCCGUCGUCGCCGCCUCCCGUCGCCUGUUGACGCGAGCCCCGGCCUCCUCUGACCUGGGGCACUUUCCCCUGGCCGGCCUGCCCGCUGUCCGGCCGCCGCCGGCCACCCCGAGCCCUGCCUAGCUCUGUAAGCUGGUUUUCAGCCUUUCUGCACAUGUUUUUCUGUUCUAGUCACUGUUCCGACGACCCGAGGCUGUUCCGAUGCCUCCGGAGGUGAGCACGGUGAUCGUCUAUCAGUGCUGAUAGCAGUGCUCACCUCAUUUAGGGUCAGCGAGCCCCUGGUUAGCGAGAUAAGCAUGAUUUUCAUGUUGUGUGCGCAGUUUACUGAAUUUCGCGUCGCUCGUGCGUUCCCCACAGUGGCCGGAAUUGCUCCAAAAGGUGAGCACGGCCUCCGGCACGCCGAGAUCUGUCAGUAGGUGUCUCGGUUUCACUGAAUGACUCCUAGUUUGUGUAGACGGACCAUAAAAGCGUCGAAAUCGCAUGAAAUAAUGCGAUUUCGGGUAUUCGAAAGGGCUUUUAUGCAAUUCUGGUUGCUACGGCUGCUGUUGGCAGCAUGGGCAGGCUGUGGGUGAUCUCUGGACUGAUUGUCCAAGGCCCCGGACCUUUGCGAAGAUCGAAAAUGUAUUUCCGGUGCGUUUGUCGGCAAAAUCCGCCGACGGAACGCGGUUUUGGUUUAGAAUUAUUCCGACGGUGCUUCGUGAGCNAGUUGGCUUCUUGUGCGUAUCGGACUCCGUUCAUAGCAGUCCAAUAGCUCGUUUCGAAGGAUGCAGCUAUUCUGGAACUAAUGGCGCUGACGGAUUUUGGUUUUGAAGCACGGAUUUCGAGAAAAACUGAAAAUACAUGUUUCUUAUGUAAUUGUGCGUCAUUGUGGCCUUUUGGAAAGAGAAUGGAUUUCGUCGCGAAUCCGUGGUCGAUCGAGAUGAAUCGAAUGUGUAGCUUUGUUGUCUCCGAGGUGCUGAUCGCACUGGUGUGAUCCGUUCGCAAAUCCGAUGGACGGAUCUGCGGAGAUUGCACGUUGAUCGAGAGAGGUCGGUGUUGGCAAAAUUGUAAUUUCGCAAAAGAUGCGAUAUUUUAUGUGCCGUUUUGCGUGGGAUCGUACAUGGAGGGGUAUUCUCGCGUUUUACACGCACUGUGGAGGACUCGUUAUGAAAUUUUGAGUUUUGGAGGACUUACUUGCAAUUUGUCUCUAGUAUAAGGCUAAAAGAGUUAGGGUUUUCAUCUGAAACCCUAACCCUACACCAUUCCGAGAAAACCCUAGCCUCCUAACCGCUUCACCUCCUCCCUGCCCACCCCAUGCGCGCGCCUUGGCCGCCGGCAAGCCGCUGCGGUCGCCGGAGGGACCUCCCCGGCUUCCCUCUCCACUUUCUCUCCCUCUCCAUCUCUAUCCCUCUCUCUUAUCUCGGGUUGUGAGGAAGCCCGAGACUGCCGCCACCUCCAGACCCUCCGCCGGUGUCGCCCCGUGCUCCGGCGAGCAUCCCCGCCGACCGCCGCCGUCGCCAAGCGCCGCCGCGGCCGCUGCUGCACCCGGCUGCUGCCUAGGCCGAGCUUAGGUCGAGGAUGACUCGCGGCCUCCCCGCGCGCAGCCACCGCCUGCACCCGUUCCGGCCGCCAUCCCCGGACCCUCGGCGACCACCCCGGCGGGUCGCCGGCGCUGCUGCGGGCCGCCGCCGCCGCCGCGGCCACCCUGCAGCCAUCCCAGGUCUGCUCGGACCGAGCAGACUUGGUAACUCCACCCCAGCGCCGCAGCCGCCUUGGUCCACACCCGCGGCCUUCUCCUGUGUCCCACCGACUUUCCCGGCCGGUUGCCGCCGCCCUUCGGAUCGCCGCCGCCGCCCUGAACCUUGCGCGCCGCCGCCUAGGCCUGCAGACCGAGCCUAGCUCGAGCGGCAACGCCCGAGCCGCGGGCCGCCGCCGCUGUCGCCAGCCGCCUUACUCCUCCUCCUCCGGCCUCUGUGGACCUGCCGCCGUCGUCCCCGACCUGCCCCGGCCGUCGCCGUGGCCGCAGCAACCCCCGAACCCGUGCCCUAGCUCGUGCAGGCAUGCCUUGCUCCGCCGACGCCGCCGCCGCACCCCGCCGCCAACGGAGGUGAGCAUCGUGUUCCUCACCUCCCCCGCACCCAUCCCUGGCCCCCACGCGCGCCGCCGUGCCGCCGGAGGCCGGCCGGAGCAACCUUGCUCCGGCCAAGCCCGAACUAGGGCUUAGUUUGGGAUGGUUUACUGUUCUGAGCUUCCUGAGCCUCUCCGAUCUCUGCGAAAGGGAGCACGAUGAUCAUAGAAAAUUUCUGAUCAUCGUGCUCACCUUAGAUUCUGCCGGGGAGACUCCGUUCCGCUGUUUCGGCAGUGUCGACCCUGUCGAGCCUGUUUGGCUGCUGUUUUGGGUUUGCGCACGCUUAUCCGGCGAUCCGAAGCUAUCCUGAUGCCUCAGGAGGUGAGCACGGUGAUCGUGGGUCAGUUCCGAUCACAGUGCUCACCUCACUUUGGAUCAACAGUGGCCGGUUAGCCCUGUUUGGAGCAAUCUUUCCCGACUGCGCGCUAUUCGCUGAACCUUCGGGUUGCUCCCGCGCUUCCCACAGUGACCUGUUGCGCUCCAGACCGUGAGCACGGCCUUCGGUACGUCGAGACCUAUCAGUAUGUGUCUCAGCAGAACUUAGAAGUCCUCGGUUUGCGUGUACGGGCUAUGUUAUCGCCCGAUUUACAUAAAAUAUUGGGAUUUUAUGUAAAUUCAGGGGCUUUUGUGCAAUUGUGAGCCUUGGGUCUACUGUGGGUAGUGUGUAGACAUGUGUGGUGUCCUCUGGACUGAUUGUCCAUGAUCCGUUAGCUUUUGCAGAAAUCGAAGAGUCGAUUUCGAUGCGUUUUUCGGCGAAAUUCGCCGAAAGAACGCGGUUUCUGUCACGCCCCGGGGUACCUUUUCAGUUUAAAACAAAGCGGAAAAGUGUCUGAAUUUUUUUUUUUUUAAAUCUGACCCCAGAGUAUGCCAGAUCCGCCACAAAUACAGGGAAUCCACUGUUCACACGGACAGAGUCUCCCCUGUAUUUGCACGGCGUCGAUCAAAUACACAGUACAACCAGGAUACAACCACAAUCAGAUGAAUAUAAAGAUAAUUAUACAUUCAUACAUUCACCAUUCACAUCACAGUUUUACAUUCAAGGUUUAAACAGAAAUCCACAAAAAUCUUUUGAAAACUGUUUCCUACACAGAAACUUUUAUUCUUUUAAAAAGGCUACCACGAGGGGUAGAAAACCUUUUAUUUUACAAAAUCCAGAAAUCCACAUUUUCAAAUGUAAAUAAAUACUGAACCACAUAAACUAACUAAACUAUAUAUCAACAGAAAUACCAAGGAUAAUAACUAACUCGAAAUAACCUGGGUCGGAAGAUCUAACGACCGCUACGUACGUGCCUCACGUCUCGUCUCAAUACCCAUCGCCUGCGAUACCUGAAAAAAUGGUGGGGGAGGUGAGAACAUGUAAACAUGUCUUCCCUCCCAGUGGGUACCGCAAGCCGAUGAAGGCGAGGAGUACUCACCAGAUCAGGAAGAGCUAAACAACAGCACGGGUCAGUGAAAAUACAGUGGGAACAAUAGUAAACGAAAGAGAUAUGUAAGAAGCUGACAAGUAUAGAUGCAGGUAAAUAAAACAGUAGCUACAAUAAACAGAUAAGGAUGUACUGGAAAUAAACACUACAGCUACUGUAUGCAUGCGUCAACUGACGAUAACCUCAAAAAUACCCAAUCUCGAUGCCCUAUUGGUCCGAGGACCUCAGGCCCAUGCCACACUGCUCAACCUGUUCCUGACCCUCGCAAUGAAGCGCCUGGGCCAGAAACAGAUACCUGACCCUCCUGCGGGGAAUAAACCCCCUGGUGUCACAAGCAAAUACACUCGCAAUAAAGCCCCUGGCGAUCAAUGCGGAUAUGAGCAAUAGCCAACCGUCGGCAAUCAGCCGGAAAAGAACUACCCUCUUGCGGGGCAUACAGACCGUGCAGGUCAUCAAGCUAGAAAGAAGCACAAGAACUGACCACUCAGGUCAACUAGGAUGGAACGACUAAACAUCAUCUCAAGUGUAGGCAACUAGCCGACUAAUCAAGCCUCAACAGGGAUGCAACGACCGUAAAGGCCAUCCUACCAAAAGUAUGCCGAUACGUAUGAUCAAGAUAGUCAACUACUGUAUAUAUGCAAGGAUCAACCGAACAAGUCAUAUGAGUAUAAAAUCGAGAACUACCAUCGCCCAUAACCCGACAAUCACACACAUCAGGGUAUACCGAACUCAAAGGUCAUCAAGCAACAAGAAUCCAGAAUAGGUCACAGACUAGGUCAAAAAAGGGCAAACGACCAACCAAAUCACAGACUAUAGUCAUCCGUCGACAACUAGUAGACAAUCCCACCCCUCAGGGUAUACCGACCGAAUAGGUCAUAGAACAACAGAAAUCAAGAGAACCGACCAACCAAAUCACACAUAUACGGAACACCAGAAGUCAACUCGACUCCUAAGUCACUAACAUCACACAUGGUCAAAGAACCGCACUACAAGAAUACAUGAUAUAAUGAACAGAUAGAACCAACUACUACGACCAACAAAAGAACAUGAUAUAAAAAACAGAUAAGUUAACUACACUCCUACACAUGAUACUAAACAUGGAAACAACUGAAUAGAGGAAUGCAGAUAUAAAUGCAACGUGCAAGGCUCAACACUUUAUAUCAAGAGAUAUACAUAUAGUAUAAACAUAGAUGACAGAUAAUAACAGGAGAACAAAGGUAAGAAACCAUCACCGAACGUGCACCACUGUACCGACGUCGGAUCGAAGUACCCACCUGUAAAAAUGUCGCGCAUGUCUCCUGACUCCAAAAGAACGUCAACCGGACCUAAAAAGGGUCCACCGGGUUAGUAUCUAACCCACAACUAAGAACCACAGUAAAACCAUAACCCCACAAACAAACCCACGAAGAUCGGUUUUCCAAAAACCAAAUACCGUAACUCGCCGGAAAUCCCAAAAACCACACCGGGACGCCGCCGGGACCCACUAACUGUCCCGAAACGCACCGACUCAUGCCACGAGUCACCCGCUGCCACAAAACACUCCAAUUUAGAUGUGACAUGGCAGCAAACACAAGCAAACACAACCAAACAACUAUCACCGGAUAAUUGUACGAAUCCGGGUUCCCGAAAAUGUCUAUUUCGACACCGAAACCCACCGUCGCCCACCCGUCAUUUCUGAACUCUCGAAAUGAAGCGAGUGACCAGCCAACAAGGCUCAGCGACUACACAAUAGCUCACGAAGCACCGUCGGAAUAAUUCUAAACCAAAACCGCGUUCCGUCGGCGGAUUUUGCCGACAAACGCACCGAAAAUACAUUUUCGAUCUUCGCAAAGGUCCGGGGCCUUGGACAAUCAGUCCAGAGAUCACCCACAGCCUGCCCAUGCUGCCAACAGCAGCCGUAGCAACCAGAAUUGCAUAAAAGCCCUUUCGAAUACCCGAAAUCGCAUUAUUUCAUGCGAUUUCGGCGCUUUUAUGGUCCGUCUACACAAACUAGGAGUCAAUCAGCGAAACCGAGACACCUACUGACAGAUCUCGGCGUGCCGGAGGCCGUGCUCACCUUUUGGAGCAAUUCCGGCCACUGUGGGGAACGCACGAGCGACGCGAAAUUCAGUAAACUGCGCGCACAACAUGAAAAUCAUGCUUAUCUCGCUAACCAGGGGCUCGCUGACCCUAAAUGAGGUGAGCACUGCUAUCAGCACUGAUAGACGAUCACCGUGCUCACCUCCGGAGGCAUCGGAACAGCCUCGGGUCGCCGGAACAGUGACUAGAACAGAAAAACAUGUGCAGAAAGGCUGAAAACCAGCUUACAGAGCUAGGCAGGGCUCGGGGUGGCCGGCGGCGGCCGGACAGCGGGCAGGCCGGCCAGGGGAAGGAAGCACCAGGUCAGAGAUGGAAGCAGCAGGUCGGGGAGGUCCGGGGAAGGUGCUGGCCGUCGGCGGGAGGUGGCCGGUGGCGCGGCAGCGCAGCUCAAAGCCGCCGAGUUCCUCUCGGGUUCGAGUUUCCCGGCGGCGCGGCGGCGGCCGGAGGGGGUCGGGGCUGCAAGGAUCCGGUGCCGGAGACCGAGGGGAAGGUGGUGUACCCCUCGGUGGGCUGUGGCGGUGCUUGGGAGCCGAGCGGGCCCGACCUCGGCCCGCCCGGGUCUGGGCGGCUACAAGAGCCUCGGGCGGCGGCCGGCGGUGGUCGAGGGUGGCCGGGGACGCGCGCCGGAGGUAGUCGGAGGGUGAGGAAAGACGGCGCGACCGAUCUGGAGUGGCGGCGGCGCGUGGCCCUCGAGCCCACCCGAGCUCGGUCUGGGCUGACCGAGGUGGCCGCAGGGAGCAGAGGCGGCGCCGGCGGCGCACGGGAGCGGCAGGGGCCGGCUGCGGUGGUCGCCGGACGGUCGGCGGAGACCUCCGCGGCCGUCGGGAAGCGACGGCAGGGCUAGGGGGCGGCGCGGCUCCAAGGUUGGCCCGGCUCGGACUGGGCUGACCCGGGCUGGCCGUAGCUUCCCCCAGGCGGCUCCGGCGGCGCGCGCGGGCGGCGACGGCCGGCGGGGAGGCUCGUCAGGGGACAGGGGCAACACCAGCGAUGGCCUGGAGGCAAGGCAGCCUCGGCCUGGCUCCAACCCGAGAGAGGGAGAGAGAGAGAGAGAGAGAGAGAGAAAGAAAAAGGUUCCGGCGGCGGCUGGCCGGCCGGGGCUCAGUCGGCGGCGGCCUGGGCGUGCGCAACAGGGCAGGGAAGAGGGAUGAAUGUGGCAGGGGGGCUAGGGUUAGGGUUUCUAGUAGCAAACCCUAAAACACCUUUGUAUACCUAGCUCCAAAAUGCGGAAAAGCCCCUCGAACUUCAGUAUUUGGUACUAAGUCCCAUACAGCGCGUGUAAAACGCGAGAAUACCCCUCCACGUGCGAUCCCUCGUAAAACGGUACAUAAAAUAUUGCGACUUUUGCGAAAAUACCGUUUUUGCCACUACCGACCUCUCCUCGAACAACGCGCGAUUUCCGCAGAUCCGUCCGUCAGAUUUGCGAACGGAUUGCACCAGUGCGAUCAGCACGACGGAGACAACAAAGCUACGAUUUUGGUUCACCUCGAUCGACCACGGAUUCGCGACGAAAUCCAACCUUCUUCCAAUAGGAGGAAUAACACACAAAUACAUAUAAAACAUGUAUUUUUGGAUUUUCUCGAAAUCCGUGCGUCGAACUCAAAAUCCGUCAGUGCCACUAGUUCCAGAACAGCUGAACCGGUCGAAACGAGCUAUUGGACUGAUAUGAACGGAGUCUGAUACGCACCAGAAGCCAACUCUACUCCGUGGCUUCUCCGGAAAACCGGAGUUACUAUUCACUUAAGUGAAAACUAAUAAUCGCGUAACUUCUCCGUUUUAGCUCAUUUUCUCCUGAAACUUGACGAGUGCUUAUGUAAUUAAAUUACACACAUAAACAUCGUCAACAGAGAGUUUAGUUGCACUGUCAAAAAAUCUCAGUCCUUACAUCAUCCCCCCCUUAAAAGAAGUUUCGUCCUCGAAACUUGACCACGUACCCACCGUAAUCGAACUCUGACAUUGCCCCACCGACACGGUAACACCUUUGGAUACUGGUCAAUCACAAAUCUAGAAUUGGACAGAUCAACCUUAGAAAAGGGGAGAAUAGGACUGCGGUUCCACAAGAACAAGACGAGGGGAACGUACCAAACCAAAGUCUGCGGACCAUAACACACCGGGAUCAACACCAUCCUGUAACCUUGGUCCGAAAAGCCUCAACCGACUCGACCACGUCACUAAGUUCACGAGAAAGAAUCACGAGCCAACACCACCAAACCGGAGUCAAAAAAAUUUCGACUAGCCAACAAUAUCAACUUGCUCACCACGAGCGAAGACGAAACGUUCUCCUAAAACUCGAGUCGGUAGAAACAGAAUCUGAGACUACAGUCUCCCACUAACCGAUCACGCAACUGCCGAAGUCAAGUCCACAUCCACGGAAAGCCGCCUUUGACAUUCGACAGUCUUAGGUCCCACAACCUCACCUUUCACCUGACCGAAAAGGUCGAAGGCUGACAAAACUAAUUGAGCUUGACAAACCGCUUGCUCAAUUAGAACUGGUUCGACUAAACCAAUAAACUCGCCAUGCAAGUCCAAAACUUGGUGCACAGGAUUGCAAAUCGCACUAUACGAUACAAACCAUCGGUGAUGCUCAACACCUGUCUCUACGAGACCCUGUCGCUGCCGUCCUACAAGGGACCCUAGCGAUCGGUGUUUCGAGCAACACCAGAUAACUGUCUCAUUGAGAUCCUGGCGCACCUGUCACCAAUUAACCGGACAAGCAUACAAUUCUAAAGUCGCACAGUAGGCUGAAAUACAAUCCUUACACCAUAUCACCUACUGUGACAAUCAAAGCCAACAACUAGGCUCAAGUCACUCAACCAACAAUUUUGAACCUCAAGACAACAGACCGAAACUACUAACCAACAAACCUUUUUGCGGUGAUGAUAAAUCAACUGCGCAAACCUGCCAAGAGAAUACAAGGCCCCACUAUGUGGUCAAAGAUGACCGAUACCCAAUCAUCCUUACAAGACUAUUUCUCUAGCUUUCACACAAAACAGUCUAGAGAACACAUCGACCCAAUCCAUAAGUCCCAAAUGGGAAGAUGGUAUUUCGUUCCUCUUUCGACAGUAUAUUGUCUGCAGCCAAUAUACUUAUCAAAAGAAAAGCGAAAUAUCCGAAGAUCCACUACCAACAACCAGUUGGAAGUACAACGCGAUAAAGUAUCAAGCCACUUGAUACCUCUCUACUGAACCAGAAGUUCACAACCAAUACUAUCGAAACAUCAACUUUACAAGUCGACAUUCAAAAUUAGAACGACCCUGGAACAUCUUAAAUCUAGACCAACUACAACCAACCCACAACACACCAAUUUGGGUGUUAGAAUAACCGCAUACGAUGUAUGCCUUAACGAAAACAUGACACCAAAACUGUGUCAAUCCGAUUCUAGUAGGAAGAAAGAACGAGUUCAAGGUCAAAAGAUCCGAACCGCUGAUUCGAAUCAACAAUCAAGGAGGAUAGGUAGGCAUCACAACCCUACCCAAAAAAUCUGCGGAAGCAACACUAACAAUGCAGUCGCCUAAACGACCGCUACCAAACCCUGGGCUACACCCUAGUAGCCCCACUGAAGUCGCGACCGUAACUGGUCUAAGCACCGUCUCCGUGGAGACACUCGCAACAGCUCUCGUGUCCUAAGUAAAGAGAGUGGCCUGGGCGUCGGCAGUCAUGACACUCGCCUAGGCCCAGAGAUCACUGGCCUUUCAAGGCCCCACCUGAUAGGAAUGGCUACACCUGGGGGACGUCGCCCCACCACUCGAUGUCCGAAAAAGUACCCCGCCACUACACCCGACUUAGACACCAGCUUGUGCGAACCGUAACACGUACAUAAACACCAUGCACUUCGAGUUUACCAAACUCGAAUGCAACCCAGGACGCAAGUCCAAACCCCGCACUCACGUGCCUAUAUACCGUGGUCUUCCUAUUGGUCAACCUAACCAAUGGUUCAGUUUCAUUUACUUUUCAAAACAACCUGUGAAUGGUGUUGUGGUUGUAACCCUUUGCUCUGAUACCAUUUUAAUCUGUCACGCCCCGGGGUCCCCUUUUUGUUUGAAAUACAGCGGAAAAGCGUUUGAAAAUUUUUUUUGAAAACCUGACCCCAGAGUAUGCCAGAUCCGCCACAAAUACAGGGAAUCCACUGUUCACACGGACAGAGUCUCCCCUGUACUUGCACGGCGUCACACAAGUACAGAAGUACAAACAGUAUACAACCACAAUCAAAUGAAUAUACAGAUAGCUAUACAUUCAUACAUUCUCCAUUCACAUCACAGUGUUACAUUCGAGGUUUAAAGAGAAAUCUACAAAAACCUUUUGAAAGCUGUUUCCUACACAGAAACCUUUAUUCUUUUAAAAACGCUACCACGAGGGGUAGAAAAUCUUUUAUUUUACAAAAUCCAGAAAUCCACCUUUUCAAAUGUAAAUGAUUACUGAACCACAUAAACCAACUAAACUAUAUAUCAACAGAAAUACCGAGGAUAAUAACUAAAUCGAAAUAACCUGGGUCGGAAGCUCUAUCGACCGCUACACACGUACCUCACGUCUCGUCCCACUACUCAUCGCCCGCGAUACCUGAAAAAUGGUGGGGGAGGUGAGAACAUGUAAACAUGUCUCCCCUCCCAGUGGGUACCGCAAGCCGAAGAAGGCGAGGAGUACUCACCGGAUCAGGAAGAGAUGACCAACAGUAUGGGUAAGUAAAAUGCUGUAGCAACGAUAAUGAACGAAUGAGAUAUAUAUAUAUAUGAAAACAUAACUACCGCUACUGUAUGUACAACUGCAAGCAUACAAGGAUAUCAAUACUAUAGUAGCAAGACAACUGUAAAGAAAGAACUAGAAGUACAUAUGCAACAACCGCUACUAUAGCUAUAUGCGUCAACCGGACGAGAAGUCCAAAAGUACCCAAUCUAAACCGCCGUGUCGGUCUAAGGACCUCAGGCAAAAGCCACUAUCUGCUCACACCUGGCAUGUAACCCUAGCACAAAGAGAACACCGCUGGGCUCACGGGUCGGAUGUACGACCACUUUUCCGGAAAAGAACACCCUCCUGCGGGGGAUCAACCCGCUGGUGUACGUGAAAUGCACUCGAGCUGUGGCGAUCAAUGCGGAUAUGAUCAAUAGCCAACCGUCGGCAAUCAGCCGACAAUCACUGCCCCUCUGGGCAUACCGACCGUGUAGGUCAUCAAGCUAUAAAGAAGCACAAGAACUGACCACUCAGGUCAACUAGGAUGGAACGACUCUACAUCCUCUCAAGUGUAUGCAAGUACUGACUAAUCAAGUCAACUGGGAUGGAACGACUCAACAUCCUACCAAAAGUGUGUCGAUACUGAUCAAUAAGUCAACUACUGUAUAUAUGCAAGGAUCAAUCAACAAGUCAUAUGAGUAUAUAAUCUAGAACUACCAUCGGCCAUAACCCGACAAUCCUACCCCUCAGGGUAUACCGACCUCAAAGGUCAUCAAGCAACAAGAAUCCAGAACGGACAGACUAGGUCACAAAAGGUCAAAUGACGGAUCUGUGAAGACUAUAGUCAUCCGUCGACAACUAGUCGACAAUCCCACCCCUCAGGGUAUACCGACCGUAUAGGUCAUCGAACAACAGGAAUCAAGGAACUGAUCAAGUAGGUCACCAUUACGGAAUACCAGAAUCGACCGACUAGGUCACUAACAUCACAGAUGGUCACGGAACCGCUCUACUAUAAACAUGAUAUAAGAUAUGUAGAACCAGCUAGUAGAGCAACAAGAGAACAUGAUAUCAAACACAGAUAGACUACACUCCUACACAUGAUACUAAGCAUGGAAACAUCUGAAUAUAGUAUAAUUAAACAACGUGGAAGCUAGGCUCAACAUAUAGUAUAAGCAUAGAGACAAUAGUAAGAGGGCAAGGGUAAGAAACCAUCACCGAACGUGCACCACUGUACCGACGUCGGAUCGAAGUACCCACCUGUACAACUGUCGCGCAUGUCUCCUGACUGCAAAGGAACGUCAUCCGGACCUAAGGAGGGUUCACUGGGUUAGUGUCUAACCCACAGCUAAGAAACCGUAAAAGCAUAACCCACAAACAAACCCACGGAGAUCGGUUUUCCCAAAACCAAAUACCGUAACUCGCCGGAAGUCCCAAAAAUCACACCGGGACUCCGCCGGGACCCACUAACUGUCCCGAAAGGCACCGACUCAUGUCACGAGUCAUUCGCUGCCACUAAACACUUAUUUUAGUGUGACAUGGCAGCAAACACAAGGAUACACAACCAAACAACUAUUGGUGGGUAAUUGUUGGGAUCCGGGUUCCCGGAAGUGUCUAUUUCGACACCGAAACCCACCGUCGCCCAUCCGUCAUUUCUGAACUCUUGAAAUGACGCGAGUGACCAGCCAAUAAGGCUCAGCGACUACACAAUAGCUCACGAAGCACCGUCGGAAUAAUUCCGAACCAAAACCGCGUUCCGUAGGCAGAUUUUGCCGACAAACGCACCCGAAAAUACAUUUUCGGUCUUCGCAAAGGUCCGGGGCCUUGGACAAUCAGUCCAGAGGUCACCCCCAGCUCACCCAUGCUGCCAACAACAGCCACGACAAAUCACAUUGCAUAAAAGCCCUUUCGAUUCCAAGGAAUCACAUUAUUUCAUGUGUUUUUCGGGCUUUUAUGGUCCGUCUACGCAAACCAGAGGUCAAUCAGCCGAGCUAAGAUACCUAUUUACAGGUUUCGACGUGCCGGAGGCCGUGCUCACCUUUCGGAGCACUGCCGACCACAAGGGAAAGCGCACAAGCAGUGUGAACUUCAGCAAAACAGCGCGCACUGUCACUUAGUCGCGUCAAACACGCAAACCGGGGAACCGUUGACCCCGACGGAGGUGAGCACGAUGUUCAGCACGAAGUAAGGAUCAUCGUGCUCACUUCCCGGAUUAUCGGAGUGUCCUCAGAUCACCAGAAAGGUGACAGGAACUCUAAACUACAGUGCUGUCAACGUAAACAGUGCUUACCGGACCAGUGGGAGCUAGGGCUCGUCGCCGGCGAUCGGGCGGCGGGCACUCCGGCCAGUGAUGGAAGCAGCAGGUCGGGGAGGUCCGGGGAAGGUGCUGGCCGGCGGCGGGAGGUGGCCGGUGGCGCGGCAGCGCAGCUCAAAGCCGCCGAGUUCCUCUCGGGUUCGAGUUUCCCGGCGGCGCGGCGGCGGCCGGAGGGGGUCGGGGCUGCAAGGAUCCGGUGCCGGAGACCGAGGGGAAGGUGGUGUACCCCUCGGUGGGCUGUGGCGGUGCUUGGGAGCCGAGCGGGCCCGACCUCGGCCCGCCCGGGUCUGGGCGGCUACAAGAGCCUCGGGCGGCGGCCGGCGGUGGUCGAGGGUGGCCGGGGACGCGCGCCGGAGGUAGUCGGAGGGUGAGGAAAGACGGCGCGGCCGAUCUGGAGUGGCGGCGGCGCGUGGCCCUCGAGCCCACCCGAGCUCGGUCUGGGCUGACCGAGGUGGCCGCAGGGAGCAGAGGCGGCGCCGGCGGCGCACGGGAGCGGCAGGGGCCGGCUGCGGUGGUCGCCGGACGGUCGGCGGAGACCUCCGCGGCCGUCGGGAAGCGACGGCAGGGCUAGGGGGCGGCGCGGCUCCAAGGUUGGCCCGGCUCGGACUGGGCUGACCCGGGCUGGCCGUAGCUCCCCCCAGGCGGCUCCGGCGGCGCGCGCGGGCGGCGACGGCCGGCGGGGAGGCUCGUCAGGGGACAGGGGCAACACCAGCGAUGGCCUGGAGGCAAGGCAGCCUCGGCCUGGCUCCAACCCGAGAGAGGGAGAGAGAGAGAGAGAGAGAGAGAGAGGCAGAAAAAGGUUCCGGCGGCGGCUGGCCGGCCGGGGCUCAGUCGGCGGCGGCCUGGGCGUGCGCAACAGGGCAGGGAAGAGGGAUGAAUGUGGCAGGGGGGCUAGGGUUAGGGUUUCUAGUAGCAAACCCUAAAACACCUUUGUAUACCUAGCUCCAAAAUGCGGAAAAGCCCCUCGAACUUCAGUAUUUGGUACUAAGUCCCAUACAGCGCGUGUAAAACGCGAGAAUACCCCUCCACGUGCGAUCCCUCGUAAAACGGUACAUAAAAUAUUGCGACUUUUGCGAAAAUACCGUUUUUGCCACUACCGACCUCUCCUCGAACAACGCGCGAUUUCCGCAGAUCCGUCCGUCAGAUUUGCGAACGGAUUGCACCAGUGCGAUCAGCACGACGGAGACAACAAAGCUACGAUUUUGGUUCACCUCGAUCGACCACGGAUUCGCGACGAAAUCCAACCUUCUUCCAAUAGGAGGAAUAACACACAAAUACAUAUAAAACAUGUAUUUUUGGAUUUUCUCGAAAUCCGUGCGUCGAACUCAAAAUCCGUCAGUGCCACUAGUUCCAGAACAGCUGAACCGGUCGAAACGAGCUAUUGGACUGAUAUGAACGGAGUCUGAUACGCACCAGAAGCCAACUCUACUCCGUGGCUUCUCCGGAAAACCGGAGUUACUAUUCACUUAAGUGAAAACUAAUAAUCGCGUAACUUCUCCGUUUUAGCUCAUUUUCUCCUGAAACUUGACGAGUGCUUAUGUAAUUAAAUUACACACAUAAACAUCGUCAACAGAGAGUUUAGUUGCACUGUCAAAAAAUCUCAGUCCUUACAGUGAGCUAUUGUGUAGUCGCUGAGCCUUGUUGGCUGGUCACUCGCGUCAUUUCGAGAGUUCAGAAAUGACGGGUGAGCGACGGUGGGUUCCGGUGUCGAAAUAGACACUUUCGGGAACCCGGAUUCGUAUAAUUAUCCGGUGAUAAUUGUGUAGUGGUGUUAGCUUGGGUUUGCUGCCAAAACAUCCAAAUUGGAGUGUUUUGGGGCAGCAGGUGACUCGUGGCAUGAGUCGAUGAGUUUCGGGACACUUAGUGGGUCCCGACGGCGUCCCGGUGUGGUCUUCGGGAUUUCCGGCGAGUUACGGUAAUCGGUAUUUGGAAACCGAUCUUCGUGAAAUUGUUUGUGGGGUUAUGGAUACUGUGGUUAUUAGUUGUGGGUUAGAUACUAACCCGGUGGACCCUUUAUAGGUCCAGUUGACAUUCUUUUGGAGUCAGGAGACAGACGCGACAUCCUUACAGGUGGGUACUUCGAUCCGACGUCGGUACAGUGGUGCACGCUCGGUGAUGGUUUCUUACCUUUGUUCUCCUGUUAUUAUCUGGCAUAUAUAUAUAUAUAUAUGUAUAUCUCUUGAUAUAAAGUGUUGAGCCUUGCACCUGCAUUUAUAUCUGCAUUCCUCUACUCAGUUAUUUCCAUGUUGAUAUCAUGCCUAGGAGUAGAGUUAACUUAUCUGUUCACUAUAUCUGUGAUUUGGUUGGGCGUAGAGUUGACUUAUCUGUUCAUUAUAUCUGCAUUCCUCUACUCAGUUAUUUCCAUGUUGAUAUCAUGCUUAGGAGUAGAGUUGACUUAUCUGUUCACUAUAUCUGUGAUUUGGUUGGGCGGUUCUCCUAUUUUGAUAUCUAUGACCUAUUCGGUCGAGUUGCUACAGUUCUAUCUAUAUCUGUGAUUUGGUUGGGCGGUUCCCCUAUUUUGAUAUCUGUGACCUAUUCGGUCGAGUUGCUACAGUUCUAUCUAUGUCUGUGAUUUGGUUGGGCGGUUCCCCAUUUGAUAUCUAUAACCUAUUCGGUCGAGUUGCUACAGUUCUAUCUUGACAUACGUAGCCGAUAUUUUGCUGAUGGCCUAUACGGUCGGUGAGCCCUGAGAGGCUGGAUUGUCGGCUAGUUGCCGAUGGAUGAUCUUUGAGCAUACUACAUUGAUCGCCAAUGCAGGUACGCAUUUCACGAACACCAGCAGUCUGAUCCACCGCAAGAGGGUGUUCUUUUCCGGAAAAGUGGUUGGACUGCCAACCCGUGAGCCCAGGGGCUUUAUUGCGAGGGUAUAUGCUUCUGACCCAGGGGCUUUAUUGCGAGGGUCAGGUAUAUGUUUCUGGCCCAGGCGCUUCAUUGCGAGGGUCAGGAACAGGUUGAGCAGUGUGGCAUGGGCCUGAGGUCCUCGGACCAAUAGGGCAUCGAGAUUGGGUAUUUUUGAGGUUAUCGUCAGUUGACGCAUGCAUACAGUAGCUGUAGUGUUUAUUUCCAGUACAUCCUUAUCUGUUUAUUGUAGCUACUGUUUUAUUUACCUGCAUCUAUACUUGUCAGCUUCUUACAUAUCUCUUUCGUUUACUAUUGUUCCCACUGUAUUUUCACUGACCCGUGCUGUUGUUUAGCUCUUCCUGAUCUGGUGAGUACUCCUCGCCUUCAUCGGCUUGCGGUACCCACUGGGAGGGAAGACAUGUUUACAUGUUCUCACCUCCCCCACCAUUUUUUCAGGUAUCGCAGGCGAUGGGUAUUGAGACGAGACGUGAGGCACGUACGUAGCGGUCGUUAGAUCUUCCGACCCAGGUUAUUUCGAGUUAGUUAUUAUCCUUGGUAUUUCUGUUGAUAUAUAGUUUAGUUAGUUUAUGUGGUUCAGUAUUUAUUUACAUUUGAAAAUGUGGAUUUCUGGAUUUUGUAAAAUAAAAGGUUUUCUACCCCUCGUGGUAGCCUUUUUAAAAGAAUAAAAGUUUCUGUGUAGGAAACAGUUUUCAAAAGAUUUUUGUGGAUUUCUGUUUAAACCUUGAAUGUAAAACUGUGAUGUGAAUGGUGAAUGUAUGAAUGUAUAAUUAUCUUUAUAUUCAUCUGAUUGUGGUUGUAUCCUGGUUGUACUGUGUAUUUGAUCGACGCCGUGCAAAUACAGGGGAGACUCUGUCCGUGUGAACAGUGGAUUCCCUGUAUUUGUGGCGGAUCUGGCAUACUCUGGGGUCAGAUUUAAAAAAAAAAAAAUUCAGACACUUUUCCGCUUUGUUUUAAACUGAAAAGGUACCCCGGGGCGUGACAGAAACCGCGUUCUUUCGGCGAAUUUCGCCGAAAAACGCAUCGAAAUCGACUCUUCGAUUUCUGCAAAAGCUAACGGAUCAUGGACAAUCAGUCCAGAGGACACCACACAUGUCUACACACUACCCACAGUAGACCCAAGGCUCACAAUUGCACAAAAGCCCCUGAAUUUACAUAAAAUCCCAAUAUUUUAUGUAAAUCGGGCGAUAACAUAGCCCGUACACGCAAACCGAGGACUUCUAAGUUCUGCUGAGACACAUACUGAUAGGUCUCGACGUACCGAAGGCCGUGCUCACGGUCUGGAGCGCAACAGGUCACUGUGGGAAGCGCGGGAGCAACCCGAAGGUUCAGCGAANNNNNNNNNNNNNNNNNNNNNNNNNUGUACCCAAUCUGUGCCUGCUAUAUUGGUCCGCAGACCUCAAGCGCUGCCUGUCACUAACUGCACCGACCUGAUCCAUCUGCCCCGCAGGACGACCCAUCCGGAUAAGUACACCUCCGAUCGGUGGCCAAACCGAUCCGGUGUCAUGAAUACCCCCAAGUGCCGUGACUAAGUCAUGCUGGUAUGCUCAAACAAAAACAAACCCGGCGAAAGCCGGUGCCUAGGCCGAAGCCAACAACGAGGGCGUACAAUGCCAAACUGAAAUAGAAGCUAGGGCGUACAAUGCCGAACUGAAAUAGAUGCUAGGGCGUACAACGCCGAACCUCGAUCAACCAGAUCGAAACACACGACAAGAGAGUCGAUGUGUUGCCUGGACCCAAGGUCCACAGAAAUACUGAAAUACGAAUGCAGCCUGCUCUACAUGUCUAUCCACAACUAUACAAUGCAAUCAAGGGGUGCGAUAACCAAACGAUAACAAGCAAUGACAUGUAGAGACUAAAUACAAGAAUAGAAAAUUAGGAGAAGGAAGUGAAACGCUCUCACCGACUACCAGCUCGAAGCACCCACCUGUCACUGUCGCGUCGGAACAUCGGGUACGCACAAGUCUACUGGACCUAAGAAGAUCCACCAAGUCAGUAUCCAAACCACUAACCCAAAGCACGAGACUCACAAACCCCUACACAGGAUCCCCGAAUCGGUUUCCCAAAACCGAUCAUCGUAACUCACCGGAAGUCCCGAAAACCACACCGGGACGCCGUCGGGACCCACUAAGUGUCCCGAACUCACCGACUCGUGCCACGAGUCACCCGCUGCCCCAAAGCACUCCAAUUUGGAUGCAUUGGCAGCGAACACGAGGUAACACAACAAUAUGAUCAUCGCCGGAUAAUCGUACGAAUCCGGAUUCCCGGAAGUGUCUAUUUCGACACCGGAACCCUCUGUCGCUCACCUAUCAUCAUCGAACCCACAAAAUGAUGAUGGUGACCAGCCAACAAGGCUCAGCGACAAAACACGAAGCAACCAAACACCGUCGGAAAGAAUCCGAACCGAAACCGCGUUCUUUCGGCGAAUUUCGCCGAAAAACGCACCGAAAUCGACCUACCGAUUUCCGCGAAAGCUAACGGACCAUGGACAAUCAGUCCAGCGGUCAAUACAAACUCCCACACACUGCCCACAGUAGCCGCAAGGAGCACAAAUGCAUAAAAGACCCUCAAUUUACAUAAAAUCCUAUUAUUUCAUGUAAAUUGAGCGAUCAAGUGGCUCAUUCACAAAAACCGAGGACUCCCGAAGUCCGCAGAGACACGUACUGACAGAUCUCGACGUACCGGAGUCCGUGCUCAUGAUCCGGAGCACAGCGGCUCGCUGUGGGAAGCGCGGGAGCAACCCGAAGGUUCAGCGAAUAGCGCGCAGUCAGGGAAGAUCACGCCGAACAGAACUAACCGGACACUUCUGAUCCAAAGUGAGGUGAGCACUGUGAUCAGCACUGACCAACGAUCACCGUGCUCACCUCCGGAGGCAUCAGGACAGCCUCGGAUCGCCGGAUAAGCGUGCGCAAACCCAAAACAGCAGCCAAGAAGGCUGAAACGGAGCGACAUCGCCAAAACAGCGGAACGGGGCCUUCCCGACAGAAACCAAGGUGAGCACGAUGAUCAGCAAUUCGCUACGAUCAUCGUGCUCCCUUCCGCAGAGAUCGGGGAGGCUCGGAAAGCCCAGAACAACAAACAGCCCUAAACUGAGCCCUAUUUCGGGCUUGGCCGGAGCAACCUUGCUCCGGCCGGCCUCCGGCGACACGGCGGCGCGAGCGGGGGCCAGGGUCGAGUGCGGGGGUGGUGAGUAACACAGUGCUCACCUCGGUUGGCGGCGGGGAGCUGCGACGGCGUCGGCGGAGCAAGUUGAGCCCGCACGAGAUCGGGCUCGGGUUCCAGGAGUUGCUGCGGCCACGGCGGCGGCCGGGGAGCUCCGGGAAGGCAGAGGCGGGCUGCAGGAGGUCGGGGGAGGGCGGCACAGGUGGCUCAGGGAGGCGGCGACGCGAGGAAAGGGGCCGCACACAGCUUCGGCUCGGGCUCGGGUUGGGCGGCUGUAGCCGGCCGAGGCGGCGGCGGCGGCGGCGCGCUGGGNAGUCUACCGGACCUAAGAAGAUCCACCAAGUCAGUAUCCAAACCACUAACCCAAAGCACGAGACUCACAAACCCCCACACAGGAUCCCCGUAAUCGAUUUCCCAAAACCGAUUACCGUAACUCACCGGAAGUCCCGAAAACCACACCGGGACGCCGUCGGGAUCCACUAAGUGUCCCGAACUCACCGACUCGUGUCACGAGUCACCCGCUGCCCCAAAGCACUCCAAUUUGGAUGCCUUGGCAGCGAACACAAGGUCACACAACAAUACGAUCAUCGCCGGAUAAUCGUACGGAUCCGGGUUCCCGGAAGUGUCUAUUUCGGCACCGGAACCCUCCGUCGCUCACCUAUCGUCAUCGAACCCACAAAAUGACGAUGGUGACCAGCCAACAAGGCUCAGCGACAAAACACGAAGCGACCAAACACCGUUGGAAAGGAUCCGAACCGAAACCGCGUUCUUUCGGCGAAUUUCGCCGAAAAACGCACCGAAAUCGACCUACCGAUUUCCGCAGAAGUUAACGGACCAUGGACAAUCAGUCCAGCGGUCAAUACAAACUCUUACACACUGCCCACAGUAGCCACGCAAAGCACAAUUGCAUAAAAGACCCUCUAAUUACAUAAAAUAUCGUCAUUUUAUGUAAUUUGAGCGAUCAAGCGGUUCGAUCACGCAAACCGAGGACUUUUGAAGUCCGCAGAGACACGUACUGACAGGUCUCGACGUACCGGAGUCCGUGCUCACGAUCCGGAGCACAGCGGCUCGCUGUGGGAAGCACGGGAGCAACCCGAAGGUUCAGCGAAUAGCGCGCAGUCAGGGAAGAUCGCGCUGCACAGAACUAACCGGACACUUCUGAUCCAAAGUGAGGUGAGCACUGUGAUCAGCACUGACCAACGAUCACCGUGCUCACCUCCGGAGGCAUCAGGACAGCCUCGGAUCGCCGGAUAAACAAGCACAAACCCGAAACAGCAGCCAAAAAGGCUGAAACGGAGCGACAUCGCCAAAACAGCUGAACGGGGUCUCCCCGACAGAAACUAAGGUGAGCACGAUGAUCAGCAACUUGCCAGGAUCAUCGUGCUCCCUUCCGUAGAGAUCGGGGAAGCUCGGGAAGCUCGGAACAUAAACUCAUCCACAAUAAGCCCUAUUUCGGGCUUGGCCGGAGCAACCUUGCUCCGGCCGGCCUCCGGCGGCACGGCGGCGCGCGCGGCGGCCAGGGACGGGUGCGGGGGAGGUGAGGAGUGAGGUGCUCACCUCAGACGGCGGCGAGGAGCGGCGGCGGCGGCGGUGGAACCAACUCAGCCCGCACGAGCUAAAGCUCGAGUUCCGGCGAAGCUACGGCCACGGCGGCGGCCGGGGCUCCUCGGGAACGACGGCGGCAGGUCCCCAACGGCCGGAGGAGGAGGAGGGAGGUGGCGGGCAACAGCGGCGGCGGCCCGCGGCUCGGGUGUGGCUGCCCGAGCUUGGCUCGGGCUGGGCGGCUGCAGCCGGCCGAGGCGGCGGCGGCGGCGCGCUGGGGCGGCGGCGGCCGGCGGGAAGGGGCGCCCGGGCACGGGGGAUGUCGGCGGGAGGGUUUCCAGGCGGUGGCGGCGCGCUGGCAGCAGCUGCAACCCCCCUCGGCCAGGCUCGGCCUGGGUUGCAGCAGGCCACAGGAGCAGCAGCGGCGGCGCCCGGCGACGGCGGCGGUCGGCGGGGAAGGUUGCCGGAGCACUAUGCGGUCCCGGGGGAGGGUCUGCAGAAGGCGCAGCCCGGGCCUUCACACAACCCGAGAGGAGAGUGGGAGAGAGAAAGAGAUGGAGAAAGAUGGAGAGGAGAGCUCCGGCAGCCGGCGGCGCUGCUCAGGUGGCCGGGGCGCGCGCAGGAGGAGCAGGGGAAUGUGGGGGAGGCGGCUAGGGGGCUAGGGCAAGGCUAGGUUAGGGUUAGGUGAAACAAAACCCUAAAGAGCAACUAUAUACAAGGUGCAACAAAGCGAGAAAGCCCCUCAAACGUCGGAAUUUCAAUCCGAGUCCCUCACAGUACGACUAAAACACAUGAACGCCCCUCCACGUGCGAUCCCUCGUGAAACGAUACAUAAAAUAUCGCGACUUUCGCGAAAAUACCGUUUUGCCACUACCGACCUCUCCUCGAUCAACACGCGAUCUCCGCAGAUCCGUCCGUCAGAUUUGCGAACGGAUUGCACCAGUGCAAUCAGCACGACGGAGACAACAAAGCUGCGAUUUCGUUUCGUCUUGAUCGACCACGGAUUCACGACAAAAUCCAACCUUCUUCGAAUAGAAGGAAACACACACAUAAAUACAUAUAAAACAUGUAUUUUUGGAUUUUCUCGAAAUCCGUGCGUCAAACUCAAAAUCCGUCAGCGUCAUUAGUUCCAGAAUAGCUGAACCGAUCGAAACGAGCUAUUGGACUGCUAUGAACAGAGUCCGGUACGAGCCAGAAGCCAACUUCUCACCGCGGCUUCUCCGGAAAAUCAAGUUACUAUUCACUUAAGUGAAACUUGGAAAUCGCGUAGAAUUUCCGUUUUAACUCGUUUUCGCCCGAAACUUGACGAGUGCUUUUGUAAUUAAAUUACACACAAAAACAUCAUCAACUGAGAGUUUAGCUACACUGCAAAAAUCUCAGUCCUUACAUUAUGUAAAAAUAUUAAAGAUUGGUACGGUUCGAUCAAAUUUUUUGGACUCUUUCUAUGAUUAGAUCAUUAUCAUUUUAGUCGUUAUGCAUUUGCUAUGAUUUUUUUGUUUUAUACAACAUUAUCGUCAUAUGAAAAUGCAAGAUAAUAUAUCGUGUAGUUCUGAAAAAUUUAACAGAGAUUAGAAAUGGAUCAUUUGCAAUUAUUGUAUUAUUUAAUAAAUGGGAGAUGAUCAUGAACUAGGCUGGACCUUUGUGAUUUGAUUAUGGAUGUAUCUGAAUGUUUCUGAGAUGAGAUGAUGUGAUGUAUUUAUUUAUGGGUGUAAUUUGCAUAACUAUUUGUUAUUUAGUUUUCGGUAUUUGUAAAUAGGGUAUGCUUGUAUUACACUAAACUUUAGCAUAUUGCGGAGUUCUAGUGUGAGGAUAGCGUUUCAUCCUAUCUUUUGGCUUAAGUUUCAAGAACUUAGGCCUGUUUUCAGAGCUUAAUGAGCACGAGAAUGAAUUUUGAUAUCAAAAUCUGCAAAAUUGUACUUUUUGUGUCGAGUACCGGUACUGAAUUGAGGUUUCGGAACUCAGUUGAGCACAGGUUUGGGCAACUCUCGAGUCUUGCAGAACCCGACUGGGUACUAGUACUGCUGCGAGUUGUACCAGUACUAAUACGCUCGAGUAUCGGAACUCAGUUAAUGCCUGAGGAACCCAAUGUUCGAGUUUUACGGAACUGAGCUCCCGGGUACCGGAACUGCCAAGAGUAUCGGUACUCCAAACUGCGUACCGGUACUCAAUGGUGCUGAAACUAUUUUGUACAGUUUGUAAUUUUUUGAUUGUUGAGGGGUCUAUUAGGAUUUUGUGCAAAUGGGUUUACACCCUUAUCACCCCCUCUACUUCUCUUAGUUGGAGAUAGUGAAGGAGAAAAGAGAAGGUAGGUUUUCUCUCCUUCUGUCUUGGAUUUCUUCCUUUGAAUCACUCUAAUCCUUGAAAUUUCUCUCUUUUCUUCAUCUCCUCCACGGAUGCUUGCAUUUAGGACUUGGAGAGGAGGUCAGGAUUGAAGGAAGGGACUUGUUUGAGACUUGGAUUUCAACCUUAGCAUUUUAUAGCUUGGAUUGGAGCUUAAUUUGAGGUCAGUAACAUUCUUGCACCUUCUAAUUGUGUGAUUUGUAAGAAUUUUUGGUAGGAACCUAGUCUUGAGAAAACUAGGAUUUAUUUUAGGGCUUUCUUAUUGAGGGCUCUUAGAGUUAAAUUGAUGAGUACAAAAUACUCUUGUAAGUUGGAAUUUGACCCUUACUGCUUCGGUUUGGACUUUAGACAAGUUUUAAUUGAUCUAAGAUAAUUUUCACCCAUUUUUUAUAUGAUUUUUGGUGAAUUUCGUGGUAAGCCUUUUAGAAACUUGUAACUCCUUGAAAUUUUUUUUUAGGGCAUAAGAAAUUUAGGGGGCAACUUCGUCGGAUAAACGGAUGAGGUUUCGAUAGUUAUCCAAUGGGUUCGACUUCACCGAAGUGGGUAAACUCCCUUCUUACGGAUUUUAAGUUGGCAUAUUUCGUGAAGUAAGUCGGAGUCUUGAAGGUUUAUGGAAGAAAAGAUGAAGAUUGAAGACUCGAAGACUUAAAACAUGAAUCCACAAUGCUUAAUAAGUUUGAAUAAUAUUGAUAAUGAUUUAUGAUCAUUUACAAGUAUUUGGAAGACAUUAGAAUAGAUAAAAAAUGAUUCACAAUAUAAAAAUUAAGUUUUCCAAGUUUCAAGUUCCGGACCCUGAAAGCAAGGUCCGGAACCCGUAAGCCUUCUUAGCUGGCAAGCUGUCAAGGUCAGGACUUUCAAGGUCCGGACCCUGAAUUCAAGGUCCGGAACCUAAACCCAACACAAAUUUUCUAAACUCAGUUUUUCAAUUCUAAUUUGAUUCUAAUUGCUUCCAAACCUAUAAAUAAGAUGUGGGGGUGUUUCUAAAAGGUGACCAAGCAUAGAAUAUCUUUUUGAAGCCCUAGAAACUUGUUGGGUGCCCUUUUUCUUAUCUCCAACAACAAGUUUCUAUCGGAUCAAUUCUUGAAACCCUAAUUUCUUUUCUUCAUGGAGAAUUGAUCCGACUAUUGCUUAGAAAUAUCUUCUACGGUUCUUUCAUGAUUAUCUAAGCAAUAAAUCAUCACCAACCUUGUUCACCUUGCUCCGAACGGAGUGCGCUCGUGGAUUCAAGUUGGCGUCGUGGAUUCGACGUGUCGAAGCUUCGUGGAUUCGAAGUGUGGACGUUUGGUGGAUUCGGGACGUUGCGUUAGUAGAUUCGAACGUGGGCCGUGGACAACCCGUUGGUGUGCACGAGAUCCAGAGAAGAUAAAAGAGCGGUUUGAGUCCGUGGUUCGGUAAUCACCUUGUAAUCUUUUAUUUCUUAGUGGAUUAUUUUUCACGUGUUGGUCCCGUGGGCUUUUCUCCAAACUAGAGUUUUCCCAUGUAAAUCUUGGUGUGCUAUUUUAUUUUUCACGCAUUUAUUUUUAUCACAUUGAGAUUUGUGUUUUUGGCCUAUUCAUCUAUUCACCCCUCUCUAAGUGUUUGAUAGUAUCUAGAUAGAUCCUAAGAUUUUCCGUAACCUACAAUUGGUAUAAGAGCAGGAUCUAGAUAUUUCUAUUAAUAUGGUGAUGGUGGUCGUAUUAAUAGGCCUCCUCUUUUUGAUGGGAUCAAUUAUUGUUUUUCAAAGUACAUUAGAUGAUUGUUACAUAAAUAGUGCUUUGAACAUCAAUAGGUUCACUUUCAUUCACUCCUAGUUAAUUUUGUACUAAUUAUCAGUUUUACUUUAUUUUCAUUAUUUAUGAAGAUAAUUUAUUAUAGGAUAUCUUAAUUCUUAUAUUCAUCAAAUUUGAGUAAUCAUGUGUAAUCUUUAGACACUUAACCUAUCUCGGUUGUGUGUGUUGAAUUUAAUGAAUGAAAAUUUACUAAUAGACUAAAACUUGUCAAAUUUUUUUUCAAAUAAGAUAUUGCAUAAUUAAGGGAGAGUUAUAUAUAAAUAAAAAAAAAAGAGAAAACACUCCAAGUGCUUAAACUCCAAGUGUUUAAAAGAUGUGGAAAGAGUUACAUCCCAAUGGGAGUGUGAAAACUACUACUACAUGUAGGAAAAAACUACCACCCCGGAUGUCCGGUAAGUGUGCGGAGCUACCACAUGAAAUUCUAAUGCAUAACCGAAAAGAUUGAAAAAGUGUUCAUAUUAUAUAAAAAAAAUUUCGGUGUAAUAAGGUGAUCAGUAAAAGAUGCUCGAGGAGCCACCCCCGGUACAUUGUUGCUUGGUCUCGAAUUUGAACGUUUAUGCGACAAAUUUCUGUCAUUUAGUGAAUCUUUAUAAGUUAUCUUUAUAAUUCGUUACAUCUUGAUAGAUUUUGAGCCUUUAGACUAUUUUUGAUGACUUGAUUUUGGAGUAUAUUUGAAUAAAAAAUUUUUAUUAUAUUUAUCUACAUCUUGAUGAAUUUAUAGUAAAAUUCUUAAUUUCUAUAAAAUUGAUGUGGAUUGAAAGAAGUCUAUGUGAAUUUAUUGUAUUCAUACACUAAGAUUAUUAUUUUCACAAUGCAAUCAUUGAAGAUGAGUUUUUGAAGAGAAAGGGGGAGAGAAAUUGAAGUUGAAUAAGUUAACACUGAUGCAUGAACAAAGGGGGAGAGAUUUUUAAAAAUUUUUUUACUAACUUUGUUGUGGAGGAAGUAAUCUUUUUGCAGAUCAUUGAAGACUUCAAGACUCCUUGUGUCCAAGUCAUAGAGUUUAUUUAGGAGUUGCAAAAUUGUAAUUUUGUGUUUUCUUUGGAUCUUUCACGCGAUAAGUUCAUUGUUUUGGUGAUGGCAAUGAAUUUCAAUUUUGAUUUUUGGAGAGUUGAGCGUUGUGAGUAUUUUGAUGUAAUUUUAAGUUUUGUCACCAAAUUGUCAAAGUGGGAGAUUGUUUCGGAUUUUAAGUUGGUAUAUUUCGUGAAGUAAGUCGGAGUCUUGAAGGUUUAUAGAAGAAAAUAUGAAAAUCGAAGACUCGAAGACUCAAAACAUGAAUCCACAAUGCUUGGUAAGUUUGAAUAAUAUUGAUGAUGAUUUAUGAUCAUUUACAAGUGUUUGGAAGACAUUAGAAUAGCUAAAAAAUAAUUUAAAAUAUAAAAAUUAAGUUUUCCAAGUUUCAGGUUCCGGACCUUGAAAGCAAGGUCCGGAACCCGUAAGCCUUCUUAGUUGGUAGGCUGUCAAGGUCAGGACCUUGCAAGCAAGGCUAGGACUUUCAAAGUUCGGACCCUGAAUUCAAGGUCCGGAACCUAAACCCGACACAGAUUUUCUAAACUCAGUUUUUCAAUUCUAAUUUGAUUCUAAUUGCUUCCAAACCAAUAAAUAAGAUGCGGGGGUGUUUCUAAAAGGUGGUAAGUAUAGAAUAUCUUUCUGAAGCCCUAGGAACUUGUUGGGUGCUCUCUUUCUUAUCUCCAAUAACAAGUUUCUAUCGGAUCAAUUCUUGAAACCCUAAUUUAUUUUUUUCAUAGAGAAUUGAUCCGGUUAUUGCUUAGAAACAUCUUCUACGGUUCUUUCAUGAUUAUCUAAGCAAUAAAUCAUCACCAACCUUGUUCAUCUUGCUUCGAACGGAGUGCGCUCGUGGAUUCUAGUCGGCGUCAUGGUGUGGAAUAUUGAUUUGUUAUCAUCCGGACGCAGUGUACGUUGCCGGUUAACGUGUGGGCACGAAGAUGAAACGAGGUGAAACCGUUUUGGCGCGAAAUUGACGCUAAACGGAUGAAUUGGGCCAAUGUUUCAUUAUAAGGGACCAAAUUGCAAAUAGCAAAAAUAGUGGGCCAAGUUACAAAAUGGCUUGUUCUUAUCCCUUUCUUCUCUUUCUCUUUCUUAGAUUUUUUUGUAAGUAAAGAAAAGCAAAAGAGAAAAGAAAGAAUAAAGAAGAAGAGAAAGAGAAGAAGAAGAAGAAGAAGAAGAUAAGAAGGUUUGAUUUCUAGUUUAUUUUCUAUUCCUCUUCCUUCCUUUUACUUUCCUUUCCCCUUCUUAUCUCUCUCCCUCUCACCCCCUCUCCCUCUUGUUGCUGCGAGCAGAGCAGCAGCAGCAGUCCACUGUUGCUGCUCACUGCAGAGCAGCAGCAGCAGUAACAGCAGCUGCAAGGGCAGUAUGAGAAGAAAACAAAGAAAGAGAGAGAGGGACAAAAAAAGAAAAAAGAGGAAAAGAUAGAAAGAAUGAAAGAAAGAUAGAAAGAAAAGGGGAAGGAAAUGAAAUACUGAAACGGAAGUGACAUUGGCACAAUUCCCCUAUCAUCAAAAUUGGACCUUGCAGGGUAUCAAGGCAUGUGAUCGAGUUUGUGACGCACGUCCGGUUAGUCGAAUUGUAAGUGUUUUCAGGUGAUCGUGAACCGAGGAUGUACGUGAGUAGUGCUUUCCUUGCCGGAGCUGAUGUAGCCGUUGAGGUGGGUUCCGAGUCGUCGAAAAUGACGAAAUUCCUUUUAUGUCUAUUUUCCUCGCAUAUGCAUAUAUAUAUAUAUAUAUGGACUUCAAUAUUGAUAAGGGUCGUGUUAGUAUUAAACUGAGUGGAAGAAUGGCUUUCUAGUGUGCGCAGUCGUGAAUGAUGAUUUAUGCAUUGUUUCAAGUAGCAAGGUCAUAUUUAUUCAUAUUUAUAUCUAUCGCGAGGGAUGAGUCAUUGCAAAAUGGGUAAGGAUUUUCAUUCAAUCGCAUAUUGCUACAACUUGAGGUCAUUCUGUGUGAAUCCUCUACCGAAUAGCCGUGAAUAGUGGUUGUUAGCAGCAUAUCAUUUAGACAUACUAGUAGGUCAUGGAAUGCCAAAUGACACUUUGUGCAUCUUGGUGAGUCAUCUCUUACUCAUUUGUAUUGUGCAUGCCAUUUAUUAUGUGAUAGAGGCCGUGGGUAGCGCGGCUGUAGUAUGCUGAUGUUUUGGUCAUAGCGAGAGCAUAUGCAUUUUAUGAUGUAUUUGGUAGAUACCCUCGAUUAGCGUGGCGAUAAUGGACGGAUUUUGGAUAGUGAGAAGUAUAUGAUCAUGCUAUUGUGAUAUAUGCAUUAUUUGAUAUUCUUUGAUUGUGCCGAGGGUAUCAGAUUGGUUGCUUGUGAUCUUUUGACCAUCACAUAGACCAUAGCCUGUAGAGCCAUACUGAGUUGGACAGAGAUACGUACUAUUAGACUCGGUAGGGUCGUGUAAGGACUGAGAUUUUUAUUGCAGUGUUUAAACUCUCAGUUAGACGAUGUUAUGUGGAAUUUAAUUACAUAGCACCGUCAGUUUCAGAAGAAAAUGAGCUUAAAAUGGAAAGAUACGCGAUUUUUAGUUUUCACUUAAAGUGAAUAGUAACUCCAGUUUUCCGGAGAAGCCACCGGAGUAGAGUUGGCUUCUGGUGUGUUCGAACUCGUCAUCGCAGUCCAAUAGUUCGUUCGACCGGUUCAGCAUUCUGGAACUACUGGUGCUGAUGGGAUUUUGGAGUUUUACGCACGGAUUUCGAGAAAAUCAAAAAACAUGUUUUAAUGUAUUUAUGUGGUGUGUUUCCUUCUAUGUUUCGAAGAAGGUUGAGAUUUUUGUCCGUGAAUCCGUGGUCGAUCAGAUGCAAACGAAAUCGCAGCUUUGUUUCUCCGUCGUGCUGAUCGCACUGGUGACCGUUCGCAAAUCUGACGGACGGCAUCUGGCGGAUAUGAGCGUUGAUCGAGAGAGGUCGUGUUAGCAAAACGGUAUUUUCCAAAAAUAGUCGCGAUAUUUUGAUGUAACCGUUUCGCGUGAGAUCGCACGUGAGGGCUUCAUCGCGUUUAGUCAUACUGUGAGGGACUCGGAUUGAAAUUCGAUGUUUGAGGGGCUUUCUCGCUUAAGAUUGCACCGUAUAUAGUUGUUUUAGGGUUUGACCAUCUACCUAACCUAGCCUUGCCCCUAUCCCCUACCUGCCUCCCCCACAUCCCGACGCCUUCCCCCGCGGCCCCGGCCUCCUGAGCACCCCGCUGCCGAGCUCUCCCUCAUCCACCCCUUCAUCUUUCCUCCAUCUCUUUCUCUCUCUCCCUCUCUCCCUCGGGUUGUGUAAGGCCCGGGCUGCGCCUCCUGCAACUCCCCGGGAUCACCGUGCUCCUCGACGUCCGCGACCGUCGCCCAUCGCCGGUGCCGCGCUGCUGUGCUCCGGUCCUGCUGCAACCAGGCCCGAGCCUGGGCCGAGCGGGUUGCCGACAGCCGCCAGCGCGCCGCACCCGCCUAGAACCUCUGUCGACUCCUCCGUGCCGGCGCCCCUUCCCGCCGGUCGCCGCCGCCCCGACGCGCCGCCGUCGCCGCCUCGGCCAGCCGCGGCCGCCCCAGCCGAGCCCAGGUUGAUUCUUGUUUGCGGUCUCUUUCCCGCGCCGCCGCCGCUCGAGGCUGCCUCCUUCCUGCUCCUCUGGCCUCUGGGGACCCGCAGCCGACGUCCCCGACCUUCCCCGGCCGCCGCCGUGGCCGGAGAAACCCGCCGAGCCCGAGCUUCUCUCUUGCGGGCUCGGGUUGCUCCGCCGACGCCGCCGCCGCUUCUCGUCGCCAACCGAGGUGAGCACGGUGUUCCUCACCUCCCCCGCACCCGCCCCUGGCCCCCGCGUGCGCCGCCGUGCCGUCGGAAGCCGGCCGGAGCAAGGUUGCUCCGGCCAAGCCCGAAAUAGGACUUUGUUUGGGGUGUUUGUUGUUCUGGGCUUUCCGAGCCUCCCCGACCUCUACAGAAGGGAGCACGACGAUUCUGGGAAGUUGCUGAUCAUCGUGCUCACCUUGGUUUCUGUCGGGAAGGCUCCGUUCAGCUGUUUCGGCAUUGUCGACCCUGUAGAGCCUGUUUGGCUGCUGUUUUGGGUUUGCGCACGCUUAUCCGGCGAUCCGAGGCUGUCCUAAUGCCUCCGGAGGUGAGCACGGUGAUCGUUGGUCAGUGCUGAUCACAGUGCUCACCUCACUUUGGAUCAGCAGUGUCCGGUUAGCCCUGUUUAGCGCGAUCUUCCCCGACUGCGCGCUAUUUGCUGAACUUUCGGGUUGCUCCCGCGCUUCCCACAGCGAGCCGUUGUGCUCCGAAUCAUGAGCAUGGCCUCCGGUACGUCGAGACCUGUCAGUACGUGUCUCGGCCAAACUUAGAAGUCCUCAGUUUGUGAGAAUGAGUCAUAGAAGUCGCCAGAUUUAUAUAAAAUAAUGGAUUUUAUGUAAACACGGGGGCUUUUGUGCAAUUGUAUGCCUUGUGGCUACUGAGGGCAAUGUGUAUGAGUGUGUUUGACCUCUGGACUGGUUGUCCAUGACCCGAUAGUCUUUGCGGAAAUUGAAAAGUCGAUUCCGGCGCGUUUUUCGGCGAAAUUUGACGAAAGAACGCAGUUUCGGUUCGGAUUUCUUCCGACGUCGUUUGGUUGCUCUGUUAGUAGUCGCUAAGCCUUGUUGGCUGGUCACCAUCAUCACAUUGUGGGUUCGGUGAUGAUGGGUGAGCGACAGUGGGUUCCGGUGUCGAAAUAGACACUUUCGGGAACCCGGAUUCGUACAAUUAUCCGGCGAUAAUUGUGUAGUGAUGUUAUCUUGUGUUUGCUGCCAAAACAUCCAAAUCGGAGUGUUCUGGAGCAGCAGGUGACUCGUGUCACGAGUCGGUGAGUUUCGGGACACUUAGUAGGUCCCGAUGGUGUCCCGGUGUGGUUUUCGGGACUUCCGGUGAGUUACGAUGAUCGAUUUUGGGAAACCGAUUCGAGGAUCUGUGUGGGGGUUUGUGAGAUAGUGCACUUCAGGUGAGUGGGUUGGUUACUGACCCGUUGGAUCUUCGUAGGUCCGGUCGACUUGUGCGUACCCAGUGUUACGACGCGACAGUGACAGGUGGGUGCUUCGAGCUGGUAGUCGGUGAGAUCGUUUCACCCUUCCUCUGUUCUUUCAUAUCAGUAUCAUAGUCUCUACAUGUCAGUUGAUUGUUAUCGCUUGUUUAUCGUAUUCCGUUGAUUGCAUUUGUAUAGUUGUGGAUAGACAUGUAGAGCAGGCUUGCACUCAUAUAUUGCAUCUCUGUGGACCUUGGGUCCAGGCAACACAUCGACUCUUUUGUCAUGUGUUUCGAUCUGGUUGAUCGUGGUUCGGCGUUGUACGCCCUUGCACCUGGCUUCGGCCAUGGCACCGGUCUCUUUUUGCCGAUUUUCGUUGAGCAUAUCAGCAUGAUUUAGUCACAGCACUGUGUAUUCUAGACACCAGGUUGGUUUGGCCACCAACCAAGGGAUGUACGUAUCCGGAUAGGUCGUUGGUGACGCAUGAAUAAGCUCGCAGUGUCUGCUCUGUGACAGGUAACGCUUGAGGUCUGCGGACCAACAUAGCAGUAUCAGAUUGGGUUUGGUUUUGGACUAUUCACCUUUGAGGCAUCUGAUCAGUUGAGUUUUUGGUUACAGUAGUAGUUUCAUUCUUGCUCAGUUAUUAUCCUGUUUCUAUUACUACUGUAGUUGCUUUUACGUCAUAUCAUGUUCAUAUCUGUUAUAGCUACUGUAGUUCGUUUUCAUAUAUCAGUAUCUAUAUUUGUUUAUCUAUCUCCUUUGGUUUCUGGUGAUUACGGCUUGCCUUCGUGGCUCUGUCGUACCCACUGAGAAAACCAUGGUUGCGGUUUCUCACCCCCCAUCCCCCCCCCAGGUGACAUAGACGAGGAGUUGGAUUUUGGGCUCGACGAGAGGACGAUCUAGCUAGUAUGGUAUAGCGAUUGCCACCCUGGUUGUAUUUCUUUCCUGCCUUUAGUAGUCAUUUAAAUAAUGGUUCAGUUAGCUGAUUUUUAUGAUUGUUUGAAUGUGGUGAUCUGGUUUUGGUAGAUCUGUGGAUGCUUUCAUUAUUUAUGCAUGUGAACUGAGGUUUGUGGAUUUGGAUGUUGAUUCUAUGGAUAUCGGAUUUUCUUGUAUUUACAUAUCGUGGUUUUCUACCCCUCGAGGUAGUUGAUUUUCAAAAUAGAGUUUCCGUGUGGGAAAUAGUUUUAAAAAGAUUUUUGAAUGGUUUUUCAUGAUGAAUGAAUUAGAGUUAAAAAAUAAAAGCUUCCAUGUGGGAAGCACUUUUAAAUAGGAUGAUUGUAGUACUGUGCAUUGCAUCAUCCAGCGCCUAAGGAGUGCUUAGAGGCAUGCAUCAUCUCUAAGGAUUGUUAGCUGUAUGAAAAUGCAUAUCAUUAAUUGGUUGUUGAUUGGUAAUUGUAGGUUGUGGUUGUGAUCCUGUUGUAUAGUUAGUACGCCGUGCAAAUACAAAGGAGACUCUGUCCGAGUGGACAGAUGAACUUUGUAUUUGUGGCGGGUCUGUACGUCACGUGGGCUAGGUUGAAAAAAAAAAAAGUACAUCUUCCGCGACUCUGAGUUUUAAAAAUGGUAAUGGCUUUUAAAUCGGCCCCGGGGCGUGGUAGGUCGCUUCCCUUCGAGUGCCGCUACGGAUGCUGGCCAGUUAUAUCAGAGAUAUGUGUGCCCUUGGAAAGACGACCCACCUGCGGGAGUGGUGUUCGUGCUGGGGUAGAGCCUAGGUGUCGACGGUGCACCUGCGGGAGUGCGAUUCCGGCACUAGGCGGGCGCAGGCUUGACCGGACGUACGAGUCGGUCGUUGUGAUUGGGUACUAUUAUAGCAUUUGUUUAGUAGUAGUUAUAUUGUUGCAUACACUACUCCGUUUCUUUCUUUUCCUCUCGCUAUUUAUACAGGGACAUGAUAGUACAGCAGGUAUAGAGACAUGUAUAGAGACAGGUAUAGAGAGUUGUUUAUAUUACAUGCAAUUAUUCAUUUACUGUUACUACAUUUGCCUAUGAAGGUCAUAGCCAGUUAGUCUUCUACUAUACUUGACAUUCAUUUAUACUGCUUAGAGCCAAUUACCUUGAUUGUUACUUAUGGUCAUUCAUUUAUCUGUUUAGUUAAUUUCCCUGUGUACUUGCAUUCAGCUACUUAUUUACCACAUAUUUUACUGUUCAUUGAUUAAUCUGGCUUCCAGUAGACCUAGUGGGAAGGUCGUGGUUAUCGUUGAUCAUACCCACUGGGAACUACUGUUCAGUAGUUCUCAUACCCUUUGGUGGUUUACUUUUCAGGGGUUCGUAUACUGACGGUUGAUCGAGGUAAGGGGGAUCACGCAGUAGUUAGCAUCUCCUACCAGUUUGCCUUUACAGUAGAGGACCACCAGAGAGAGUGCUAUUUUGUACAACUUGCCUGCUCUGGCGAGGGUCUAGGCUGUUUUUGCGUACUUUACUUUUGAGGUUGAGGUUUAUUUGGUGAUGUUCAUGUUGUACGGCAACUUAGUUUGGAAAUAGCGCUCUGAUACAUGUUAUUUGUUUAUACGAUACUUCUUCUUGAUUCAUGUGUUGUGGAUACCUGUCAUGUUUGACCUCGUGGUUUGUCUUGUAUUGGUCGAUUUUGUGGAUGCUUCGUUCGGACAGGGGAAACUUUGUCCGUUCGGCGGGUCUGUUGACGUCCUCGUGGACUUCCGUUGUAGACUUGGGGCGUGACACAUGGAUUCGAUGUGUCGAAGCUUCGUGGAUUCAAAGUGUGGACGUUUUGUGGAUUCAGGAUGUUGCGUUCGUGGAUUCGAACGUAGGGUGUGGACAACCCAUUGGUGUGCACGAGAUCCAUAGAAGAUAAAAGAGAGGUUUGAGUCCGCGGAUUCGGUAAUCCCCUUGUAAUCUUUUAUUUUUUAGUGGAUUAUUUUUUCGCGUGUUGGUCCCGUGGGUCUUUCUCCAAAUUGGAGUUUUCCUACGUAAAUCUCUGUGUGCUAUUUUAUUUUUCGCGCAUUUAUUUUUAUCGCAUUGAGAUUUGUCAUCUAUUCACCCCCUUCUAGGUGUUUGAUAGUAUCUAGAUAAAUCCUUGGGUUCCCCAUUAGGCAUUACACAUUAGGCAUUGCACAAGCCGGGACUUUACCAUGGGUGGAUCCCCGAUGAUUGGGUAAAAGUUGAUUAAAUCAAUGUUGAACAUUUUAACUAAUUGAAGCAUAUAUAAAAAGUAGAUAUCUUUGCAAGAACUACAUGCAUACCUAUUUGCAUACAUGCUAGUGGUUUCUUCAUAUAGGUUUACCUUCCUACAUGAUAAUGGUAGAAUUAUUUACUUAUGGAAUUAGCAUAAGCUGUAUUAUAGUACACUGAACCUUAGCAAAUUGCAAGGUUCUAGUGUUAGAAUAGCAUUUAGAGCUAUUCCUGGUAUUCUUAAGAGUCGUUGACUGUGUUCCGAUCGAUUACUCGCGUCUUGAGGAGCGAGAGUGGGAACUUAGCACCAAAACCUCCAAACUGCAGGUUUUGGGGUGCUGCGUACCGGUACCAAAGAAGGGUACCGGAACCCCGUAGCACAACCGAAAAGGAUGCUCUCGGGUUUGAGCUCUACGAGGAGAGUACCGAUAUUGCAUCGCCCGAGUACCAGUACCAGGGCCUGGUACCUAUACUGCAUCGCGCGGGUACCGGUACACUGCAAUCCGUCCGCUUGACAGAUGAUUGGGUUUGCGCGUUCGGCUACGGGGUACCGAUACUCCAGCCCGCGUACCAGUACGCAGUGCAGUUGCAGACUGCAGGUUUUUUAGGGGUCUUUUUGAGAUUGUAGCAUCUCUAUAAAUAACCCCACACCCUUUGGAGGGGUUUCCUGUGCUGGAAACCAGAGGAGAAGAGGUAGAGAGCUCAUCCCCUUCUGCUAUUUGAUUUUCCUUCCCUUUUUGCAAGAUUUUUGGUGGUUUGAUCUCUCCUUUUUGCUUCUUUUUGCAUGGUGUUGGCCUUCCACCUUGGAGAAGCUUUGGAGUUGUAGAUUUGAGCUUGUUUGAGGAUUGAUCUCCAACCCUCGCACCAUUCUUGAGAGGUUAGUAGCUUUGAUCUCUCCUUUGAAUCAUGCUUUGUUGGACUUUUGAGAUGAAAACCUAGUUUUGAGAAAACUAGGAUUUUAUUUGGGGGUUUUUGAUUUGUAGCCUUUGGGGCUAAAUUGAUGAGUAUAGAACUCUCUUUUAGGUUGGAUUAGAAGCAUCCUAGCCCUCAUUUGGAUUUUGGAAGAGUUUUCAGCCAUUUAAGGUAUUUUUCUACCUAUUAAUGGGUUGGAUUUUGUAGAUUUUGUGGGGUGUUCGUUCGAAGCCCCUAACCCUCUUAGAAUUUUUGUUAGGGAGCUAGGAGACUUGUGGACAACUCUGUUCGCGCAAACGAAGGGGUUGCGAGGGGUAUCCGGUGGGUUUGACCUCACCGAAAUGGGUGAACUCUCCCUAUGUUAUAUCUUGUGGUUUAAAAUGGAAAAUCAUAUAUAUUCAUGCUAGAUAUGGCAUAAAUGAAUUUUUGAAAGCUUAAGACACAUGUGUUAUAUGUCAUGAUUAUAGCCUCUAUGUAGUAGAGAGGGAAUUGUAUAGUAAAUUUGCAUGUGAAGUGGCAUUCUUAUACUAUGUUGGAAAUCAUGCUAUAUUAAGUAAAAUGACAACUUUUAUAUGCAUAUGAACAAAGGACAUGUGCUAGACAUAGAGAACAUUAAUGUCAUAAAGUGGCAUUUGACUUAGUAAACGAUUAAACCUUUACACUAUGACAUAGAGAUGGACCUUUGGGUUACUAGUACUUGUACCAUAUUUUAGACAUGACGACCGUGUACUUGAGAUAGAUGAUCAUGCCUGCUUGCCAUUAUACUCAUUCGCACAUACUUGUGAGGGUCGCUCCCCACAAGCCGGCACUCCAGAGUUGCCCUACGCGACAUAUGCUCGCCCGUGCGGGAUUCGGUGCCUACUGGGUCGGCGUGGGACAAGCUCAUUCCUAGAGGAGGAAUGUUGGAGUACCACGGGCCAUUAGGCAGCACAAGCCGGACUACACUUGUGUAGGUCCCAAAUUGGAAUUGGAAAAUGACAUUUAAACAAUUAAUGUGACAAUCACUACUUGAUCGUGUAUAGUAGUUGGAUUCCUUGGACAUGCUUAGUGCAUAUUAGCGGAUUUAUUGGACAUUCUUAGUGCAUACUAGUGGACUCUUUGAACAUACUCAAUCAUGAUAGAAUAGCAGUAUCACUUGUUGAACAUCAUGCUAAUUAGAGUCAUAGUAGCUUAGUAAAUUAAUACUUGCUUAUUAUACAUGUUGUUUAUUUCAGUUACAAUAUUCUACUCUUUACCUCUAUAACCUAGUGGUGUAUUUCGCUGAGGUCGGCGGCUUACCCACUAGGAACUAUUAACUAAUAGUUCUCAUUCCCAUUGUGUUGUUGUUUUUGUUUACAGAGCCAUCCACGCCGGAAGAGGCUAGAGAUCACGGCAAGGGAAUCGCCUCUAGCUAGAUAGCUUGGAGUACUUUCACUAGGUGGACAUCUCUCCAUUUGUUUUAAUUAGAGAGAGAUAUUUUGUACCUGAUGUAUAGAGACCACCACUUUUGUACUUAGUUUUAUUUGUGUGGAUCUUGUGUUGUAUACACUACAUUAUGGUUUAUGUUAGUUGUUUAGCUCUUUUAUUAUCUACUUGUCUCCAGAAGUUAGAAGUACUUAUGCUCUGAUAUCAUGCAAGAUGUUUUAUCUAUCCGUUUUAAUUAUCGUAUGGUUGUAGACGCCUUAUAUGUUGUAGGCAUAUAGCGGGUCUGGACACGCACCGGGCGGGCUUCCGCUGGGUCCCGGGGCGUGACAUGUAUAGAGGAAAGACAGAAUUACAUUCAACUUUUAUGCACUAGCUUAUUACUUCAGCUAUCUACUAAUCUUGCCUCAGUUGACCUAGUAGUGUAAUUCACUCUUCUCGGUGUCUUAUCCACUGGAAACUAUUGUUUAAUAGUUCUCACAUCUGUUGUUUGUUUAUUUUUGUUUCAGAGACUUCCACAGCAAGAGAGGCUAGGGAACGAGGAAUGGGGUUAGCGACUAGCUAGAGUUUACGAGUGUCGCUAGAGGUGGACUCGAGAUGUCUUUCUUUAGUUUUUGUCUUGAAAGGCGCAUUAGUUACUUUUGUAUCGUGAUCCUGUUGGUGGUCAUGAGAUGUAUUUUUUGGUUGAUACAUACUAUAUAUCUUGUGAAUGGCCUAUGCAUUUAUCUUGUGUUGUUCAUAGAAUCUCUUGUAUGCUCUGAUUCCCUCAUGUAUGAUGUUUUAACUUUACUAUCUCUUGUUCACAUCAUGCUUCUUAUUGUGUACGCCUUGUGUGCACCGGGGUUACCUAGUGCACACGGCGGGUCUGUGCAUGUACCGGAAUACAUGGAAUCUGUGUGUCAUGCUCGAGCCCCAGUGGAAGCCUACCCAGCACGUGCACAGACCUGCCAUGCACACAAAGCACCCCCGAUGCACACAAGGCAUCUACAUCAAACAAAGCAGAAAAAGAAAUAUAUACACAUCCUAUACAAGGUAAGCAGAGCACGUGAACAUAACACUAAAGAGUAAAUCAAGUCUACUACAACUAACUAUUUACUAGAUAUACAAUAAGUUUCAAACAAAAGUACAUCUUAUGAACAUAAGGUGGCAUCUAUGCAAAAACAAAAAUACAUCUUAUGAACAUAAGGUGGUCUCUAUACAAAAAUAAACUAGUAUAUCUUUCACAACUAAAACCAAAAGAAAGGUACCUCAGAUCCACCUAUAGCAACACUGGAGUAGGAUCUAGCUAGUUGCUAAAUCCUUGCCACGAUCCCUAGCCUCUUCCAUAGUGGAAGGCUCUGUAACAAAAACAAAUAACCAAUGGGGGUAAGAACGAUUAAACAAAAGCGAAAUACACCACUAGAUCAAUUGAGGCAAAAGAUUGUGAUUAGAUGAAAUGAAAAGCUAACAUAUAAGCCGAAAUGAAAAUGUUCUAAUACUAUCAUGCCUCUAUAUAACUAUGCCAACCAACAUAGCUAUUUUUUAUCAUGCCUCUAUAUAACUAUGCCAACCAACAUAGCUAUAGUUUUACUAGUGACAUGCAUAUAAGUGUGUCAUAACUAACAUGUAUAUUCUACUACCAUGUAUGCAUCAACUAGUUAUGAUAUUGUCAUGCCCCGGUACUACCACUUUGGUCAGUUCAGAGACGCGCAUAGACUGCCGAACAGACAGAGCCUCCUCUAUCCGCUUAAGGCAUAAACAAAAUCAUGUAUAUCGAGUUUUACCUAGAAAAUCAGCAACAUAACAUAAAUUGCACGAGGGCAAUUACACAUGAACAAGAGAGAUUACUUAACUAAUAGAACUUAAACAUUUAAGCUUCACAUACAUUCACUCUCUUUACAUAAUUUACACUUAUCAUCUACCAAAAUAAAACCUCUACAAAGUUCUCUCAAAAUGUAAACACAUAUCUCCACUGUUUAGGGUAAACUAGUACUCAAAAGUCCACUCCCUAGGGUGUAACACCCUUGCCGCGAUCCUGUGUCGCCGUGUCGGGCAAAAGUUCUACAAUACAGGGUGUCAGAACUACAUGAAGUUUCUAUUGGGUUUGGCCACCAACACAGGCGUCUUUCCUACUAGGUCUUAUCAGGUCUAAGUAGUAAGGAAGAGUAAACUAUACUAUGCAACUGAAACAACUACUAUGCCUCUAUAAAAUGAAACUAGGUAAAUAAUAAAUGCUACUAUGCUCAUGAUGCUUACUAUUUCUAUCUUUUAACCCAAUCAUACCGGCCACCCAGAGAUCGAGCCCACUCACAAUAUCAGGGCCCACGAGUAUCAAGGCCCACGGGGACAAUCACCAAACCAGGGCCAUCUGUUGUGGAGAUAGCCGCUCAAUCCAUACUUGACAACUCCGGAGCUCACUGCUUGUGGUGUCAUGACAACCACAAGCCGAGCAAACUAUGUGUGAGUAUGAUCUAGCUCUCCAAUUCUGAGAGCACACCAACGACAAUGAUAAUGCUAUCCUGGGAUCUACCAAUCCCUAGCAUCUAUCUCAAUAAGUGCUCUACAACAAUAUACCUCUAAAUGCUAUCAAACAUAACUAAUAAUGAGAUGCCACUAAAUGUCACCAAUGUUCCACUAUAUUUUCUAAGUUCACCAAUGUUCCACUAUAUUUUCUACCAAUGAGAUGCCACUAAAUGAGUUCUCGACCGAAGUUGUCUAACCCUACUUUAGGAAGUAUCCAAUGAAUUAAAAGCACAAACAAGAUAAUAACCCUAAAAUGCGUUAUUUACAUAUAUACAUAUAUGACCAAAACAACGACUUAGACAUAGAAAGAAAUUCAAUUGUUCCGGAUAGCAUCACCUACCUCAAUUCGACGUCCAUUGCAAGGGAAUCCAAGAAAUUUAACUUUCAAUGCCGAUUCGGCAUUUUUGGACGUUAACGAAUGGAAUUCUUUGAUUUCGGCUCGAUUUUCCUCAAUUGGCCACCGAAACGUCGUUACUUUUUGAGUAGAAGCCACUAGGCGUUUUUUUACAACCUUCAAUUAGAGGGUUACCAAAUCAAUUUAGAUUAAAUCACUACAAAUCCAAAAGCUCCUUUCUAAACCCUAGAAACCUAUUUUCUCACAAAAUAACCCAAAAUCUUUGUGAUUUUAUAAUAAUCUAGAUUAGAAUCACGUAUGAUUUCCAACUAUCUCGAUUCCAAAGGAUUUACCAAAAACCCUCACUCAAAAACCUCCUCUCCAAAAACACAAUCCAAGGAAAAAACUUGCCCACUAACCUCUUAUAGGGCUCCAAACCAAACUAGGUAGGUGCUAGGGUUGGAGAUCUUUCCUCAACCAAGCUCAAAUCUUCAAGUCCAAAGCUUCUCCAAGGUGGAAGAACCAUCACCAAGCAAAAUGGAGAAGAAUUUAGAGAUCAAUCCUAAAAAAUCCACCUAUCUAAGUGGAGAAAUCUACCUAUCUAAGUGGAGAAAUCUAGAUAGAGGAAGAGGGGGUGCUCACCUUCUUCUUCUCUAGUUCACAACCCAAAGUGCCCUCAUAGGGGUGUUGGGGAUAUUUAUAGAGAUGUACAAUCCCCAAAAAGUCCCUCAAAAAUAUCCAGUCUGUAAACUGCACUGCAUACCGGUACUCAGGCAGGAGUACCAGUACCCGGCAACCAAACCUACGCAACCUGAGCCUCUAUUAAGCGAACAGCUUGCGGUGUACCGGUACCUGCUCAAUGCAAUACCGGUACCGAGCCCCAGUACCGGUACUCGACUGAAUCAGUACCGGUACUCAGCCUCCCAUAGCUCAAACCCGAGAGCACCUGUCACGCCCUGAGACCGCUACCAAUUUGGUCCGGUUCGGACUCGUCGAACAGACGCCGAACGGACAGCACCUCCCCUGUCCGCCCAAGACUAAGCAACAAGAUCAUGUACAAGAAUUUGCCCAGGAAAAGAAAUUCAUUACAUACACGAUCAACACGGAGCACCACAAGUGCUAACAAGUAAGAGCAAGAACCACAAGUAUACAACAAGUGAAUAAAGAGAGUUAUUCUAGCUAUUACAACCAUUCAACAUUCAUCUUUAAUUACAUUUUCAUCUUCCAAAAUGUAAAUACAAUUUAACCACCAAAAUACAUGAAAAGCUUCCAAAUACAUCACAUGUCUCUAGUACACGAGGGUACUCUAAUGCAAAAUAGGAAGCUACUAAUUAACUCAGGGCGCUAUGCCCUUGCCGCGGUCCUCGCCCGACGAACUCGUACUCGGCCCUGCAACAAAGUGGGGUGAGAACUAUAUAAAUAUAGUUCCCAGUAGGUUCGGCCGCCGACUCCGCCGAUCUUCCCACUAGGUCUAAGCAGGCAUAAGCAGAUAGAUAGAUAGAUAGGUAGAAAUGUAAACUGCAACUAUUCGACCAUGCCUUCAAUGCGAUGCUAUGUAUGAAAUAAUCAUUAUGCAACAGUAUACUAUCAUGCUAGUAUGAUGUCAAGAGUAUGUAUAUGUAACAUAGCAAUGCAAUCUACAACAUACACUAUGUCUACUCAAGGUAAGAAUGCGAUUCUACUAUGCCAUUAUGUUUAUUACCCAAUUUACCUGGCUAACACGUAGGUUAGGCCCUCGACUCACUCUCAAUCUCAUAGGUGAGGAGAAGCUGCACUCGUACACCGAGACCGUUUGCAGGACAACUACGUCUGCCCUUGUUUGAAGUACUCCGGAGACCACUGCUUCGAUAGAGCGACCACCAACAAGCGAAACAGACUAGUGAGUAUGAUCCAAUCCUCACAAGAGGAUACCCUAUCUACUAGGGUCAUAGUGCCUCUGCUGCACAAUCACAAUGCAUAAUCAAAUGCCGGGACUUCUACUAUCCCUAAGUUCAUGUCAUGUUUACUACACUAGACUCGAUGCCACUCGUUCGAUCAUUUGUAGUAAGUUUUCUAACUAGUUGACAUGCCACUUGUUCAUAUUUAGUGUUUCUACUACACUAGUUCAAUGCCACUCAUCUAGGCUAUACAUGUCCAAGUUCACCUCAUUAUGCCACUAUAGGACUCCGUGUCACAAGACCCAAUCCUCAUGCGUCCCUACUCCAUGUGUCAAGCCUUCAAUGCUACACUACUAAGAAAGCAUGCAAGGAGUUAGAAUUGCAACUAUCUACUAACCCUAUAAUGCAUAAUAUAUGUAUAUGAUCGACAUAAGGAAUUUAGACAUAAAAAGAAGCCCGGUUGCUUCGGGAUGGACAGCCCCCACCUUUUGGUGAUGUCUCGAUGCUACGAUUCCGGUUUCGUGAUUUUUGGAAGCUUACGCCGCGUGCUGCGGCAAUCUGUACCGAAAUCGGCUUUUCCUUGAUAUCUUUGCGUACACUCGUCGGAUUGCCGAACCGAGCGCACCGUUGCGUUCGUUGACCUAACAAUUAGGUUAGAGAAGGGUCAAUCGAGAUCAAAACCCUCCAUAAACAAAAUUCCUCUUUUGGAUGCCCUAGAAGCCCAAUAUUGCAAAAAUGUCAUCUACUAACAUUUAAUCAUGCAAUCAAUAAGUUCAUCCACUUCUAGAGAUCCACUAGAGUCCAUCUAGCUAGGUUCUAAGAGAUCAAAGCAAACCCUAAGCUUCUUGCCAUGAGAGGGUUGAAGCUUACCUCUGCUAGCUAGACCAAAGAUAAGAAGAAGAGGUGAGGAAGAUAGUAGCUCUCCUCUUGAUCUUCUUCUUCUCCUUCUCCUCCUUCUUCUUCUUCUUCUUCUCCUUCUUUCCUUCCUAGAGAGAGAAAGAGAGAUGUGUGGGUGUGAGUGUUGGAAGGAAAUGAGAGAAAGAGAGAGGGAAAAUGCCCACUUAACCCCUCUCAUGCAACAAUAGCACUAAGCCCCCUCCACUUUGCUUCCUGUGCACUGCCUAAACUAGGCAGAUUUCGUGUGCGGGGACCGGUCCCUCUACGAGAGGACCAGUCCCCGAGAGCUGCCUCACACGCAGAGCCCUCGGGCUAGCCCUAUCACGCGCACGGAGAUCGGUCUCUCCCGCUAGGGACCGGUCCCCGAGAGUGGAACUCUCGGGACUUAGCCGAUUUUUCCUUCUUUUCGCUCGCUACGCGUACGGGGACCGGUCCUCGCCUGAGGGACUGGUCCUCGGGGGUCCAGUCCCCUGCCAAGAGACCGGUCCCCGAGAGGACAAUUCUGCGCAGAGCCCUCUGCUCUGCCUUGCACGCGUACGGGGACCGAUCUCUCCCGCCAGGGACCUGUCCCCGAGAGCAGAAUUCUGGCAGACAGUAGUCUGCCGACCUCUACGCGUACGGGGACCGGUUUCUCCCACCAGGGACCGGUCCCCGAGAGGACAAAAUCUACAGUUUGGCAAAUUUGCUCCAGCUUGCUCUCGUGACCUCUCCUCAAUGCACUUUUUUGCAUUUUUAACAUCAUCGACCUUUCCGAAGUGCAUCAACCCCUCACAUGGUCGAUUCUAAACGAAGUCCAACUCUCGCAUUUCGAGAAUUCACUUCCUUACAUCCUCCCCUCCUUAAAAGGAGUUUCGCCCUCGAAACUACUCAACUUAACCAAAAACAUACCUCAACUCAAUUCUUCGAAGAGAUGAGGAUGGUGCACUCUCAUCACGUCCUCAAGUUCCUAAGUGACUUCACGAUCAUUGUGACUAGUCCACCGAACCUUGACGCAGGGGAUUUCGCGAUUUCUCAAUUUCCGCACUUCUCGAGCAAUAAUCAUCAUCGGAAACUCCUCAUAGCUCAUAUCUUCUUGCAAUUCCGGUGGUUCAUAUGACAACACAUGCUCGGGAUCGUGGAUGUACUUGCGCAGGUUGGAAACGUGAAAUACGUUAUGCACAUCCGCGAACUUCGGCGGUAAGGCAAGCCGAUAAGCUACCACUCCAAUGCGCUUUAACACUUCAUACAAUCCAAUAUAACGAGGAUUUAGUUUUCCUCGAACUCCGAACCGUUACACACCCCUCAUGGGUGAAACCUUCAAGAAGACACGGUCACCCACCACGAAUUCUAAAUCUCGACGGCGCUUAUUUGCAUAACUCUUUUGUCUUGAUUGCGCCGUAAGCAAUCUUUGGUGAGCAAAGCGGAUUUUCUCUUCCGCUUCUCGCAGCACGUCGGGACCCAAUGCCGAACGUUCACCUACAUCACCCCAGUGUAUAGGAGAUCAACACCUUCGCCCGUAAAGAGCCUCAAACGGUGCCAUCUUUAUACUUGCUUGAUAACUGUUGUUGUAGGCGAACUCAGCCAUCGGUAAGUGGUUUGCCCAACCACCCUUAUAAUCAAUGACACACGCCCGCAGCAUAUCCUCCAAGAUCUGAAUGGUUCUCUCCGAUUGCCCAUCAGUUUGAGGAUGGAAUGCGGUGCUGAAAUCAAGGCGCGUGCCGAGCGCUUCCUGCAGGCUUUUCCAAAAGUGUGAGGUAAAUCGGGGGUCUCGAUCCGACACGAUCGACUUCGGAACCCCAUGCAAUCUCACCACUUCAUCGAGGUACACCUGCGCUAACUUGUCACCUGACCAUGUAGUAUGAAUCAGUAUAAAAUAUGUCGAUUUGGUCAAACGAUCCACAACUAUCCAGAUAGCAUCGUGGCCUUCCACCAACCGGGGUAAUUCGACCACGAAGUCCAUAGAUAUGUUCUCCCAUUUCCAAAUGGGGAUAGGUAGACUUUGAAGCUUUCCCGCUGGAAAUCGGCGCUCCAGUAAUAUACCGAAAAUUCGGAAAGUAAAAAUAUCGAACUUUGGUCAAAUUGACCAAAGUGCGAGGAUGGUACACUUCGGAAAGACCGAAGGUGUUAAAAUGAUCAAAAGUGAGUUGUGGAAGGUUUUCGAGAGCUAAAGAAUCAAAUUCUUGCAAACUGCAGAUGUUUCAGCUCUUCUCGGGAACCGGUCCUGGUGGGAAAGAGACGGCGGUCCCCCAACGCGUUGCAAGAAUGAGACAGCAAAAAAAUCGGCUAAGUCCUGGAAGAUCAGCUCUCCCGGGGGAACCGGUCUCUGGCCUGAGAGAACCCGGAUGCCCCAGAGACCGUCCAUCGGAGAGAGACCGGUCGCAUCGCGCGCAGCGGCUCCUGGCUGGCGCAGGGUGACUUCGGAACCGGGUCCCUGCUCGGCGGAGACCGGUCUCUCCUGCGAAAAACUGCGAGUUUCAGGCAGUGCACAGAGGUGAAAGUUGAAGGGUUUAUAAUGGCAUUUUUGCAACCGCAUUGAGACUAUGUUAGGGCUGAGGGCUUUUCCUCUCAUUUCCACCCCCACACCUUUCUCUCCCUCCUCCCUUCUAGAAGACAAAAGAAGUAAGAAGAAGAAAGAAGAAAAGAGGAGAAGAAGGAAGAAGUGAAGAAGAAGAGUCAAGGAGCAAAGGAGCUUCAUCUCUUCUCUCGCGUAAUCAAAAAAAGAAGCUUACGAAGGUAACUUGACUCCCAAGUAUAGAAAACCCUAGAAUUGAGUUUGAAAUGACCUAGAGAUGGUUUAUAAUGGAAUGUUUAAAAGAGUUUUGCCGNNNNNNNNNNNNNNNNNNNNNNNNNNNNNNNNNNNNNNNNNNNNNNNNNNNNNNNNNNNNNNNNNNNNNNNNNNNNNNNNNNNNNNNNNNNNNNNNNNNNCCUCUACUCAGUUAUUUCCAUGUUGAUAUCAUGCCUAGGAGUAGAGUUAACUUAUCUGUUCACUAUAUCUGUGAUUUGGUUGGGCGUAGAGUUAACUUAUCUGUUCACUAUAUCUGCAUUCCUCUACUCAGUUAUUUCCAUGUUGAUAUCAUGCUUAGGAGUAGAGUUGACUUAUCUGUUCACUAUAUCUAUGAUUUGGUUGGGCGGUUCCCCUAUUUUGAUAUCUGUGACCUAUUCGGUCGAGUUGCUACAGUUCUAUCUAUGUCUGUGAUUUGGUUGGGCGGUUCCCCAUUUGAUAUCUAUAACCUAUUCGGUCGAGUUGCUACAGUUCUAUCUUGACAUACGUAGCCGAUAUUUUGCUGAUGGCCUAUACGGUCGGUGUGCCCUGAGGGGUUGGAUUGUCGGCUAGUUGCCGAUGGAAGAUCUUUGAGCAUACUACAUUGAUCGCCACUGCAGGUACGCAUUUCAAGAACACCAGCGGUCUGAUCCACCGCAAGAGGGUGUUCUUUUCCGGAAAAGUGGUUGGACUGCCAACCCGUGAGCCCAUGGGCUUUAUUGCGAGGGUAUAUGCUUCUGACCCAGGGGCUUUAUUGCGAGGGUCAGGUACAUGUUUCUGACCCAGGGGCUUCAUUGCGAGGGUUAGGAACAGAUUGAGCAGUGUGGCAUGGGCCUGAGGUCCUCGGACCAAUAGGGCAUCGAGAUUGGGUAUUUUUGAGGUUGUCGUCAGUUGACGCAUGCAUACAGUAGCUGUAGUGUUUAUUUCCAGUACAUCCUUAUCUGUUUAAUUGUAGCUACUGUUUUAUUUAACUGCAUCUAUACUUGUCAGCUCCUUACAUAUCUCUUUCGUUUACUAUUGUUCCUACUGUAUUUUCACUGACCCGUGCUGUUGUUUAGCUCUUCCUGAUCUGGUGAGUACUCCUCGCCUUCAUCGGCUUGCGGUACCCACUGGGAGGGGAGACAUGUUUACAUGUUCUCACCUCCCCCCCAUUUUUUUCAAAGUAUCGCAGCGAUUGGGUAUUGAACAACUGAGCACGUACUUAGCGAAUCUUAGAUCUUCCGACCCAGUAUUUUACGAUAGUUAUUAUCCUAGUAUUUCUUUGAUUAUAUACUUCGUUAUUUAUUGUUCAGUAUCUUAUUUCCCAUUUGAACAAUUGGACUUUUGAUUUUAAAAUAAAAUGUUUUCUACCCCUCGUACUUUUAAAAAAUAAAAGUUUCUGUUAAAACACAGUUUUCCAACAGAUUUGGAUUUCUGUAAAGCUGAAUGUAAAAUUGUGAUCGUGAAAUUGUAAUUUAUAAUUAUGAGUGAUAAUUACAUUUAUUCAUCUGGUAUUUGUUCUAUCAUGGUUGUACUCUGCUAUUCUGAAUCGACGCUGUCAAAUACAGGAGAAUGUGCUCCUUGAACAUGGAUCCCGUAUUUGUGGCGGAUCUGUCAUACUCGUCACUGGUCUUUCAAAAUAAAAAAUAUUCAGCACUCUUUCUGCUUUGUUUAAACUAAAACGGGACCCCGCGUUAAACAUGUACACUACUAUAUUGAUUCUUAUAUUUAUUUUUCUCAAUUUAUACUUCAUGGAAGCUUUUUAGAAUUAGGACAAAAAGAUUCAAGACGUAACAACAAAAAAAUUAAUACUAUUUGAAUACCAACUAUGUGCUCAUAAUUAUAAAUAUAUUUUUAAUGAUUUUACUAUAUUUUUUCAUAUAACGCUAUUAAUUAUAAAUUAAUACUAGAUUGGACAUUAUACUUCAAAUACAAAUUAUUAUGUAUUAUAAUCUGAUAACUAUUAUAAUACGACACUGCAUAGUCUACCAUCUUCAAUUAACGACACUUUACGUUCUUACUUUUCUUACUAAUUAUAAAUAUAAUAUAAAAUUACUUAUACAUUUAGUAUAAUUCUUUUAAUUUGUAUUUUGGUCAUUAUUAGUAUUUUUCUGUAAACUUAUAGCUAACAAAAAUGGGUUGCACACUGUGAGGAUUCUGCUGAAAACUUCAUAACUUAUACCAUAGGAUGAAGCCUGUCAAAUUAUGAUCAAUGGCAGAUACAAAUUCAUGGUAUCUCAUUUAUUCAAACUUUGGAUAUUAUUUAUAUUCUUACUAAUUAUACUAAUUAUUGUAUAUCUAUGGGCAACAUAGCUUCACGUAGUAUAUCAAACUCUCUUUAUGCAAUCAAGAUGAUGAUCAAUACUGAUAUAUCAGAAAUAUUGGAGUUCAAAAAUAAGUAAGUUAACCAAUAACCUUAUUAUUUUUUUUAUAUAUAUUGUUCACUUACAUUAAAAUAUAAAAUUUAGGAUUGUAAGCGGAGAACUAAGUCAAUCUAUGGUGCUUAGUGAAAUUUCAACUCAAUCCACUGAACAUAUAUCAUCUUUUCAGCCUUGUGUAUGUGUCACUCUAGCAACUAUUCUAAGUGUUGAGACUGAGCGUGGCUGAUACUACAAUUCUUGCAAAAAAGUGUAGCAAAAAGGUGAUUCCUGAUGGAACUGAAUUCUAUUGUGAAUUUUGUGAUAGAAUGGUAGUGUUGGACUAAGGUGAGAAUUUUUACUUCUGCACUUGACGUGUAUGAUUUAAUGUGAUGUUUUUCUAACAACAAUCUACAAUAUGCAUGCUAUGACAAUAAACAAGAGUCAAAGUCAAUCGUUAUCACAUGUUGGCUUAUAUCUAUCUAGACCGAUAUUCAGUCGUGGUCAGUUAUAUGUUGCAAUAUCUAGAGUUCGAAGCAAGGACGGAUUGAAUAUUCUAAUUUGUGAUAAAGAUGGUUUGUUAUCCAAAACCACAAGCAAUAUGGUUUUUAAAGAAAUGUUUCAGAACUUAAAAUAGGUAAGCGAUUUAUUUUUCUUCAUGUUAUUUCAAAAUUUACUAUUUUUCAACAAUUCAACUCUGUCAUUUUAUUUUUUAAAUAAAUUUAGAUAUUUUUCUGAAAAAAUUAACUAAUAUUAUGAUAUUUAUCAUUUCACUUAUCUAACAAUUUAUCUAUAUUGUUAUUGGAGCAGAUACUUGCCAUCUGCAUGCAACAAAGUUUUUUUUCUUUAUAUUUUGUUGAAGACCAACAUCUAUAUAUUUUUGAAUAUUAAAAGUUUGUAUGUCUCUCAUAUACGUAUGCUUAUUCUAAUUUGUUUCAAAUAUGAAAGUUUAGUUGAUCUUAUUAUAUGCUUAAAUAUUAAUGUCAUUUGUAAUUUUUCAUAUCAAUUUUAAUUAUCAUUUUGUUUGCACAUCAAUAUGUAAACGUAAAUUGUUUUGUAUACCAAUUCAUAGAUAAUAGAGCAGGGUUGAAUUUUGCUUUUUACUUGAGUAUUUACUUUGGUCUAUAAUUUUGUUCUCUACCUUUUGUACUUUAAUAUGUACUAUAAUUAAGAUUGAUAGUAUAUUUCUUUAUUUGUUAAAAAAAUAUAAUAUUAAUUAGAAUAUUUUNGUGGAUAGAGCCCGAUAGUCGCAACGGGGCAGGGACGGGUGUAUUCACAGUCCCGGGGACGGGUAUGCUUACAGUCCCGAUUGGAUUGGGUCAGAUUGGACAUUUUCUACAGUUGAUUAGUGUAGAGCAUGAUAGUGUAGUGUUUGAUAGCGGUAGACUUUAUUCCUGCAUUUACUACUAUUCUUGCUCCCUUCUGUAGACUUAGUGGGUGGACCGAUAUUGUUUUGGGCGGUACCCACUGAGGACUACUUGUUUUUACAGUAGUUCUCACGCCCUGUUGUUACUUCAUCUUUUGCAGAGCCAUCGUCUUUGGCUGCUACUAUUGCUGAUCAGGAUCGAGGCAAGGGCGUCGCGAGUUAGAGCCCUACCCGACGAGCCGAGCUAGAGGUGCUCUACUGCAGGUAGUAGUUUUGUUGGAGUUCUUGUACUUACCUACCUUUAACUCGCCAGUGCGAGUAGCUUUUGUGUAUCUUGGAUUUUGGGGUAUGUAUAUGGAACUCAGUUGGUUUUCUCCGUUUCUCCUAGCAGCUCUAUACUACUGUUUGUAGUAUUGUUUGAUUUACAGAUUCAGCUAUCGCUUCGUAUACAGGGAAAAUUCUUUUGUAUACGGCGGAUUUGUCGGCGCGCUCGGGGAACGAGUAAUCCGGGACGUGACAUAGAGUCAAUCCAUGACUCCACCAUUGACGGUUCCACCUUCUCCCCCUCAAAGGUUGGUGGCUUAAACUUCAUGAACUUGAUAAGAGCCAUCAACGCAUGCUCCCGCUCCACUUCAUCGGCUGUUGUGUCGGGUGUCCCCUAACCCGAAGUCGUUGGAGGUACACUUGUCGGCGGGGGACAUGCCGUCACCGGAACCGCCGCUACGCCCUCACCCUUAGCCGCUCCAAGCGCGCGUGCCAAGGGUGCGGGUGGAUCACGGCUUUCAGUCACUGUCGCGGCCGCCGCCGCCGCCUGCCGCUCCACGAACCCUUAGAGCUGCUCAAACCGAGUCUCCUGGCGCUGCAUCGCGCCCACCAUCGUAGCGCUCGAGAAGAGACGAUCACGCGCGGUCGAGAUCCAUAAGGCUCCUCGUAGGUAUGAACCUGUCACCUUGAACAAGAAUUCAAGGUUUGAGAUAGCGAGGGAGAGAGAGAGAGAAAGAGAGAGAGAGAUAGAGGGGGAGUUGCUCACCAUGAGCCUCCAAAUCCGAUCGAUCGGAGAAUGGAAAAGAGAGAGAGAGAGAGAGAGCCACCAAAUCCGAUCGAUCGAAAAAUGGAAGAGAGAGAGAGAGAGAGAGAGCCUCCAAAUCCGAUCGAUCGAAAAAUGGAAGAGAGAGNNNNNNNNNNNNNNNNNNNNNNNNNNNNNNNNNNNNNNNNNNNNNNNNNNNNNNNNNNNNNNNNNNNNNNNNNNNNNNNNNNNNNNNNNNNNNNNNNNNNNNNNNNNNNNNNNNNNNNNNNNNNNNNNNNNNNNNNNNNNNNNNNNNNNNNNNNNNNNNNNNNNNNNNNNNNNNNNNNNNNNNNNNNNNNNNNNNNNNNNNNNNNNNNNNNNNNNNNNNNNNNNNNNNNNNNNNNNNNNNNNNNNNNNNNNNNNNNNNNNNNNNNNNNNNNNNNNNNNNNNNNNNNNNNNNNNNNNNNNNNNNNNNNNNNNNNNNNNNNNNNNNNNNNNNNNNNNNNNNNNNNNNNNNNNNNNNNNNNNNNNNNNNNNNNNNNNNNNNNNNNNNNNNNNNNNNNNNNNNNNNNNNNNNNNNNNNNNNNNNNNNNNNNNNNNNNNNNNNNNNNNNNNNNNNNNNNNNNNNNNNNNNNNNNNNNNNNNNNNNNNNNNNNNNNNNNNNNNNNNNNNNNNNNNNNNNNNNNNNNNNNNNNNNNNNNNNNNNNNNNNNNNNNNNNNNNNNNNNNNNNNNNNNNNNNNNNNNNNNNNNNNNNNNNNNNNNNNNNNNNNNNNNNNNNNNNNNNNNNNNNNNNNNNNNNNNNNNNNNNNNNNNNNNNNNNNNNNNNNNNNNNNNNNNNNNNNNNNNNNNNNNNNNNNNNNNNNNNNNNNNNNNNNNNNNNNNNNNNNNNNNNNNNNNNNNNNNNNNNNNNNNNNNNNNNNNNNNNNNNNNNNNNNNNNNNNNNNNNNNNNNNNNNNNNNNNNNNNNNNNNNNNNNNNNNNNNNNNNNNNNNNNNNNNNNNNNNNNNNNNNNNNNNNNNNNNNNNNNNNNNNNNNNNNNNNNNNNNNNNNNNNNNNNNNNNNNNNNNNNNNNNNNNNNNNNNNNNNNNNNNNNNNNNNNNNNNNNNNNNNNNNNNNNNNNNNNNNNNNNNNNNNNNNNNNNNNNNNNNNNNNNNNNNNNNNNNNNNNNNNNNNNNNNNNNNNNNNNNNNNNNNNNNNNNNNNNNNNNNNNNNNNNNNNNNNNNNNNNNNNNNNNNNNNNNNNNNNNNNNNNNNNNNNNNNNNNNNNNNNNNNNNNNNNNNNNNNNNNNNNNNNNNNNNNNNNNNNNNNNNNNNNNNNNNNNNNNNNNNNNNNNNNNNNNNNNNNNNNNNNNNNNNNNNNNNNNNNNNNNNNNNNNNNNNNNNNNNNNNNNNNNNNNNNNNNNNNNNNNNNNNNNNNNNNNNNNNNNNNNNNNNNNNNNNNNNNNNNNNNNNNNNNNNNNNNNNNNNNNNNNNNNNNNNNNNNNNNNNNNNNNNNNNNNNNNNNNNNNNNNNNNNNNNNNNNNNNNNNNNNNNNNNNNNNNNNNNNNNNNNNNNNNNNNNNNNNNNNNNNNNNNNNNNNNNNNNNNNNNNNNNNNNNNNNNNNNNNNNNNNNNNNNNNNNNNNNNNNNNNNNNNNNNNNNNNNNNNNNNNNNNNNNNNNNNNNNNNNNNNNNNNNNNNNNNNNNNNNNNNNNNNNNNNNNNNNNNNNNNNNNNNNNNNNNNNNNNNNNNNNNNNNNNNNNNNNNNNNNNNNNNNNNNNNNNNNNNNNNNNNNNNNNNNNNNNNNNNNNNNNNNNNNNNNNNNNNNNNNNNNNNNNNNNNNNNNNNNNNNNNNNNNNNNNNNNNNNNNNNNNNNNNNNNNNNNNNNNNNNNNNNNNNNNNNNNNNNNNNNNNNNNNNNNNNNNNNNNNNNNNNNNNNNNNNNNNNNNNNNNNNNNNNNNNNNNNNNNNNNNNNNNNNNNNNNNNNNNNNNNNNNNNNNNNNNNNNNNNNNNNNNNNNNNNNNNNNNNNNNNNNNNNNNNNNNNNNNNNNNNNNNNNNNNNNNNNNNNNNNNNNNNNNNNNNNNNNNNNNNNNNNNNNNNNNNNNNNNNNNNNNNNNNNNNNNNNNNNNNNNNNNNNNNNNNNNNNNNNNNNNNNNNNNNNNNNNNNNNNNNNNNNNNNNNNNNNNNNNNNNNNNNNNNNNNNNNNNNNNNNNNNNNNNNNNNNNNNNNNNNNNNNNNNNNNNNNNNNNNNNNNNNNNNNNNNNNNNNNNNNNNNNNNNNNNNNNNNNNNNNNNNNNNNNNNNNNNNNNNNNNNNNNNNNNNNNNNNNNNNNNNNNNNNNNNNNNNNNNNNNNNNNNNNNNNNNNNNNNNNNNNNNNNNNNNNNNNNNNNNNNNNNNNNNNNNNNNNNNNNNNNNNNNNNNNNNNNNNNNNNNNNNNNNNNNNNNNNNNNNNNNNNNNNNNNNNNNNNNNNNNNNNNNNNNNNNNNNNNNNNNNNNNNNNNNNNNNNNNNNNNNNNNNNNNNNNNNNNNNNNNNNNNNNNNNNNNNNNNNNNNNNNNNNNNNNNNNNNNNNNNNNNNNNNNNNNNNNNNNNNNNNNNNNNNNNNNNNNNNNNNNNNNNNNNNNNNNNNNNNNNNNNNNNNNNNNNNNNNNNNNNNNNNNNNNNNNNNNNNNNNNNNNNNNNNNNNNNNNNNNNNNNNNNNNNNNNNNNNNNNNNNNNNNNNNNNNNNNNNNNNNNNNNNNNNNNNNNNNNNNNNNNNNNNNNNNNNNNNNNNNNNNNNNNNNNNNNNNNNNNNNNNNNNNNNNNNNNNNNNNNNNNNNNNNNNNNNNNNNNNNNNNNNNNNNNNNNNNNNNNNNNNNNNNNNNNNNNNNNNNNNNNNNNNNNNNNNNNNNNNNNNNNNNNNNNNNNNNNNNNNNNNNNNNNNNNNNNNNNNNNNNNNNNNNNNNNNNNNNNNNNNNNNNNNNNNNNNNNNNNNNNNNNNNNNNNNNNNNNNNNNNNNNNNNNNNNNNNNNNNNNNNNNNNNNNNNNNNNNNNNNNNNNNNNNNNNNNNNNNNNNNNNNNNNNNNNNNNNNNNNNNNNNNNNNNNNNNNNNNNNNNNNNNNNNNNNNNNNNNNNNNNNNNNNNNNNNNNNNNNNNNNNNNNNNNNNNNNNNNNNNNNNNNNNNNNNNNNNNNNNNNNNNNNNNNNNNNNNNNNNNNNNNNNNNNNNNNNNNNNNNNNNNNNNNNNNNNNNNNNNNNNNNNNNNNNNNNNNNNNNNNNNNNNNNNNNNNNNNNNNNNNNNNNNNNNNNNNNNNNNNNNNNNNNNNNNNNNNNNNNNNNNNNNNNNNNNNNNNNNNNNNNNNNNNNNNNNNNNNNNNNNNNNNNNNNNNNNNNNNNNNNNNNNNNNNNNNNNNNNNNNNNNNNNNNNNNNNNNNNNNNNNNNNNNNNNNNNNNNNNNNNNNNNNNNNNNNNNNNNNNNNNNNNNNNNNNNNNNNNNNNNNNNNNNNNNNNNNNNNNNNNNNNNNNNNNNNNNNNNNNNNNNNNNNNNNNNNNNNNNNNNNNNNNNNNNNNNNNNNNNNNNNNNNNNNNNNNNNNNNNNNNNNNNNNNNNNNNNNNNNNNNNNNNNNNNNNNNNNNNNNNNNNNNNNNNNNNNNNNNNNNNNNNNNNNNNNNNNNNNNNNNNNNNNNNNNNNNNNNNNNNNNNNNNNNNNNNNNNNNNNNNNNNNNNNNNNNNNNNNNNNNNNNNNNNNNNNNNNNNNNNNNNNNNNNNNNNNNNNNNNNNNNNNNNNNNNNNNNNNNNNNNNNNNNNNNNNNNNNNNNNNNNNNNNNNNNNNNNNNNNNNNNNNNNNNNNNNNNNNNNNNNNNNNNNNNNNNNNNNNNNNNNNNNNNNNNNNNNNNNNNNNNNNNNNNNNNNNNNNNNNNNNNNNNNNNNNNNNNNNNNNNNNNNNCCGCCGGCGAGCUCCUCCGGCCGCCGGAAAUCCCUGCAUCACCUCUCUUUCUCUCCCUUUUGGCCAACCCCUUCACCGCAUUGUGGUUUGCGGACCCUGGUAGCCACCUAGCUCGAGCACCGUUGUCCCCUGGCCGUGGCCCAGCCUUCGGCGACUCCCCUCGUCGCCGCCGUCGUCCCUGCGCACCGCCGCCGCCGCCCAGACAGGCUGCGGCCAGAUCUUGGCAGAUCUGGCCCAGGAGCUUUAGCUCCCUGCUAGCACUGCCGCCGCCACCUUGGGACGGCCGAGACACCCUUCCUCGGAGCCCCGGCGACCUCCGCCGCCGGCCCCACCGUCAGCGCACGCCGCCGGAGCCGCCCCAGCUCUCUGCGGCCACCUGCAUGCACCCAGGCCGAGCUCGGGUCACCCUUGCAUCUGCGUGCCGCCACCGCUCCCUAUCGGCCGCGCCGCCCUCUGGCGACCUCCGGCGACCUCGCGCGCGCCUCCCCGCCGUCCCCGCACGCCGCCGGCCGCCGCCCGAGCUCUCUGCGGCCGUCCCGAGCGCGUGCGGGCGCUGCUUGGACCAGUACGGCCUUCGAGGGCCGCCGCAGCCCACCGAGGGGUGCACCACCUUCCCCUCGGUCUCCGGCACCGGAUCCUUGCCGCCCCGACCCCCUCCGGCCGCCGCCGCGCCGCCGGGAAGCUCGAACCCGAGAGGAACUUGGCGGCUUUGAGCUGCGCUGCCGCGCCACCGGCCACCUUCCGCCGCCGGCCAGCACCUUCCCCGGACCUCCCCGACCUGCUGCUCCCAUCACUGGCCGGAGCGCCCGCCACCCGACCGCCGGCGACGAGCCCUAGCUCCCACUGGUCCGGUAAGCACUGUUUACAUUGACAUCACUGUAGUUUAGAGUUCCUGUCACCUUUCUGGUGAUCCGAGGAUACUUUGACACUCCGGGAAGUGAGCACGAUGAUCUCAGAUUCGUGCUGAACAUCGUACUCACCUCCGACAGGGUCAACGAUGCCCUAGUUAGCGAAUUAGAGGCGAUCUUAGCGCUGUGCGCGCAAUUUCACUAAUUUUGCGUGGCCCGUGCGCGUGCCACAGUGGCCGGCAGUGCUCCGAAAGGUGAGCACGGCCUCCGGCACGCCGAGACCAGUCAGCGGGAGUCUCGUCUUGGCUGUUUGACUUCUGGUUUGCGUUGUCGGACCAUAAAAGCGCCGAAAUCGCAUGAAAUAAUGCGAUUUCAGGUAUUCAGGAGGGCUUUUAUGCAUUUUGGUUCGUCGUAGCUGUUGUUGGCAGCAAGUGUUGGUUGAGGAUAACCUCUAGACUGAUUGUCCAAGGCCCCAGACCCUUACGAAGAUCGAAAAUGCUUCUCCGGUGCGUUUUUCGGCGAAAUCCGCCGACGGAACGCGGGUUCGGUUCGGAAUUAUUCCGACGGUGCUUCGUGAGCUUUUGCGUAGUCGCUGAGCCUUGUUGGCUGGUCACUUGCGUCAUUUCGAGAGUUCGGAAAUGACGGGUGAGCGACGGUGGGUUCCGGUGUCGAAUUAGACACUUCCGGGAACCUGAAUCGAAACGAUUAUCGGACGAUAAUUGUUUCGACACGAGGAGUUGUGUUCGCUGCCAUGAUGCAUGAUUAUUUAUGUUUAGUGGCAGCUAGUGACUCGUAGCUCGAGUCGGUAUGUUCCGGGACAGUUCGUGGCUCCCGGCGGAGUCCCCGUGCGAUUACGGGACUUCCGGCGUAUUACGGCGAUCGGUUUGGGAAACCGAUCUCCAUGGGUUUGCUUGUAGGUUGUGGAUCUAGUGAUUAUUAGCUGUGGGUUAGACACUAACCCGGUGGACCUUCCUUAGGUCCGGUUGACGUCCUUUUGCAGUCAGGAGACAGGCGCAGCAUUUAUACAGGUGGGUACUUCGAUCCGACGUCGGUACAGUAGUGCACGCUCGGUGAUGGUUUCCUACCUCUGUUCUCUCGUUAUUAUCUGGCAUUUAUAUAUAUAUCUUGAUAUAUAGUAUUGAGCUUGCAUCCCCGUUAUUUCUAUUAUACUCUACUCAUAUGUUUCUAUGCUUAGUAUCAUGUGUAGAAGUAGAGUAGUUUAUCCAUUGUGAUCCCGGUGACCUGAUUGGUCGGUUCUCGUACUUUGUUUCGGUGACCUGAUUGGUCGGUUCUCGUACCUCGUUCGGUGACCUGAUUGGUCGGUUCUCGUACUUAUAUCGGUGACCUGGUUGGUCGGUUGUUGCAUUAUGUAUUGGGUUGGUCUGUUUCUUGACUUCUGUCGUUCGAUGACCUUUGAGGUCGGUGUACCCUGAGGGGUAGGAUUGUCGGCUGGCGCUGACGGUAGUUCUGGACUAUAUCGAAUACACUCCUGUGACCUAUCGGUCGGUUCUUGCGUUCGUACUUUUAGUUGACAUCGAGCAGUAUCUACAUACUAUCUUUAUUUACUCUGCCUGGUUGUUCUAUGUGUAGUAUCCUGUAUAGGGGUAGAGUAGAUGGCAUUCGUAUAUACUAUACUUGUGACCUGGUUGGUCGGUUCUCCUAUUUGCAUCGGUGACCUGUUUGGUCGUUCGUUACUUUCCGUACAUUGACCUAUCUCGGUCGGUUCACGUUGUUACUUGAUGACCUACACGGUCGGUAUGCCCAGAGGGGCAGUGAUUGUCGGCUGAUUGCCGACGGUUGGCUAUUGAUCAUAUCCGCAUUGAUCGCCACAGCUCGAGUGCAUUUCACGUACACCAGCGGGUUGAUCCCCCGCAGGAGGGUGUUCUUUUCCGGAAAAGUGGUCGUACAUCCGACCCGUGAGCCCAGCGGUGUUCUCUUUGUGCUAGGGUUACAUGCCAGGUGUGAGCAGGUAGUGGCUUUUGCCUGAGGUCCUGAGACCGACACGGCGGUUUAGAUUGGGUACUUUUGGACUUCUCGUCCGGUUGACGCAUAUAGCUAUAGUAGCGGUUGUUGCAUAUAUACUUCUAGUUCUUUCUUUACAGUUGUCUUGCUACUAUAGUUUUGAUAUCCUUGUAUGCUUGCAGUUGUACAUUACAGUAGCGGUAGUUGUGCUUUCAUAUAUAUAUCUCAUUCGUUCAUUAUCGUUGCUACUGUAUUUUACUUACCCAUACUGUUGUUUAUCUCUUCCUGAUCCGGUGAGUACUCCUCGCCUUCCUCGGCUUGCGGUACCCACUGGGAGGGAGACAUGUUUACAUGUUCUCACCUCCCCCACUAUUUUUCAGGUAUUACAGGCGUUGAGUUUUGGGACGAGACGUGAGGUACGUUCGUAGCGGUCGAUAGAGCUUCUGACACAGGUUAUCGGUUUAGUUUUAUCCCUACUAUUCUGUUGUUAUAGCUUAGUCAGUUUAUAUGGUUCAGUAUUUUUAUUACAUUGGAAUAUGUGGACUUUCAUGAAUGUAAUAAAAGGAUUUCUGGAUUUGGUAAAAUAAAAGGUUUUCUACCCCUCGUGGUAGCUUUUAUAAAAGAUAAAGGUUUUCGCGUAUGGAACAGUUUUCAAAAGAUUUUUCGUGGACUUUUGUUUAAACAUCGAAUGUAAAACUAUGGUGUGAAUGGUGAAUGUAUGAAGGUAUAGCUAUCUGUUUAUUCAUUUAGUUGUGGUUGUAUACUGUUUGUACUUUUGUACUUGUGCGACGCCGUGCAAAUACAGGGGAGACUCUAUCCGUGUGAACAGUGGAUUCCCUGUAUUUGUGGCGGAUCUGGCAUACUCUGGGGUCAGGUUUUCAAAAAAAAAAUUUAAACGCUUUUUCGCUGUGUUUCAAUCAAAAAGGGGACCCCGGGGCGUGACAAUAUUAUUAUAUUAUCCGUGCAUCGCACGAGUCAAAUACUAGUUAUUUUUCAAAAUAAAAUCACUAUAAAUCGGACCAUGAGAUUCAAGAAGGGAGUUUUUUUGGAACUUUUUUUUAAAAAAAAAAGUGAGAAGGUUGAAAAAAAAAGAAAAAGAAAGUAAAAAAAAAAAGAGCCUUAGGAGGAGGUGGUCCCGCACCUCCCUCUCUCUGGAUCGGACAGAGAAAGAGAGGCGUGAGUCCCUCCCUUUCUCAGACCAGCAAAAAAAUAAAAAAAAAAGCAAAAAAAAAAGAAAAAAAAGAGUGAAGGCACAACGACAACGACGGUGGCUGCGACGACUUCGACGACGACAACGGCGCACGAGGAGGCUGCUUGGCCUCUUCUUUCUUCUUCUUUUGCUCCAACGACGACAAAUUGGUGUAUACGUGCAAACGGUAUAGUAGUGAUCCUUUUAUUGGUUUGAUCAACACAACCGUCUUCGCGAUAGAUCAACCCGAUCAAAUCCGACAUUGGAUCGGUACUAUAUUGUGCGCGCGUAUUCACUAAGCAUCCGUCUCUCAAACAUUGAUGAAAGAUCUAUAUGAACGUGCGAAUGACGUGACGGCGAACCUCCAACCGAUUUGAUUGUGUGGCAGUCUUCGUGUUAGGCUCGACACGCUCAAAUCGCUACAAAAAAAUAAUAAUGAUAAUAAAAUAAAAUAAAUAUUUAUCUUGGAUCGCCGUCUUCGUGGUAGGCUAGAUCCAAUUUGGCUCUUCGUGAUAGGCUUGACCUGAAUUCGGUUCAUUUGCCACGGGUCACCGUCAUCGUGAUAGGCGUGACCCGGGUCCAGUUCGAUUAAACUGGGUCGCCAUCCUCGUGAUAGGCUUGACCCGGGUCCGGUUUAAUAAAUUGGGUAGCCGUCUUCGUGAUAGGCUUGACCCGAGUUCGGUUUAUUAAACCGGGUCGCCGUCUUCGUGAUAGGCUUAACUCAGAUUUGGUUCAGUAAACGGGGUCGCCAUCUUCGUGAUAGGUUUUACCCAGAUUUGGUUCAGUAACUGGGUCACCGUCUUAGUGAUAGGCUUGACCCAGGUCUGAUUUAUUAAGUCGGGUCGCUGUCUUCGUAAUAGGCUUGACCAGGGUCCGGUUCAAUAAGUCGGGACGCCGUCUUCAUGAUAGGCUUGACCCGAGUCCGGUUCAUUAAGCUGGGUCGCCGUCUUCAUGAUAGGCUUGACCCAGGUCCGGUUCAUUAAGUCGAGUCGAUGUUUUCGUGAUAGGCUUGACCUCAAUUUGGUUCAGUAAACCGGGUCACCGUCUUCGUGAUAGGCUUGACCCGGGUCCGGUUUAUUAAGCCGGGUUGCCAUCUCAUGAUAGGCUUGACCCGGGUUCAGUUCAUUAAACCGGGUCGUCGUCUUUGCGAUAGGCUUGACUCAUGUUCGAUUCAGUUAAACCGAAUCGAUUGCAUAAAUAUUUGGUUUGAACUGAACCCAAUAUGAUUGUGAGUUCAAUUUGAAUUUAAUUAAAAAAAGGACGAGCUGAACCUAAGUCAAACUGGCUUGGAUAUAAACUCAAAUUCAACCAACCCAAGUUAAUGUCGGUGCACGCCAGUGAUGGAUCAAAAGUAAGUUAAAGCCCAAGUUGGUGAAUCAUAUAUGACAUUGAGCCAAACUCACAACAGUGAACCGAAUCCAAUUGGGUUGAACUGAACCUAAGGAGGUGAACCGAACCUAAAACGAUGAACCAAAUCGACUAAUAAGCCAGUUCAAUUCAAAUCAUACUAAGAUUCAAGAGGUUUGAAUCAAACCAAAUAAUGAACCAGUUCGAGCCGAUUCGAACUACAAGCUGGCUCAACUUGAACUAAACCACAUGAGAUUUAAGCUAAGCCGAUCGAACUCACAACUUGUGUGACUCAAAUAGAACCAUAAAGGAUUCGACUUGAACCUAAGUGGAUCCGAUCUGAACUGAACCAUAAAGAAUUCGACUUGAACUUAAGUGGAUCCGAUCUGAACCAAACCAUAAAGGAUUCGACUUGAACUUAAGUGAAUUCGAUCUAAACCAAACUGUAAGGACUGAGAUUUUGACAGUGCAUCUAAACUUUCUGUUGACGAUGUUUAUGUGUAUAAUUUAAUUACAUAAGCACUCGUCAAGUUUCAGGAGAAAAUGAGCUAGAAUGAAGAAGUUACGCGAUUAUUAGUUUUCACUUAAAGUGAAUAGUAACCCGUUUUUUUCGGUGAAGCCACGGAGUAGAGUUGGCUUUCGGCGCAUAUCGAACUCCGUUCAUAGUGAUCCAAUAGCUCGUUUCGACCGGUUCAGUUAUUCUGGAACCAAUGGCACUGACGGAUUUUAGAUCUGACGCACGAUUUUCGAGAAAAAGAGAUUUUAUCGAAAAGAGGAUUUUCGCUCUUUGUUGUUCUUGCAUAAUGAGACUCCUCGUGCUCUGUGUAUGCGACCUAGAGUAAGGUGAGGAAUGUUACAUGUACCUACUAGUGGUAGGAGAUUCAAAUUUGAAUUUGAAUCUAGGAUUUAGCGGGAUUACACAUUGGUAUAUGUGUGUGGUUUUUGGAAAUUGGAGAGCGGGCGAGUUUCGUCGCGAAUCCGUGAUCGAUCGAUGUGAACCAAAAUUGUAUGUUUAUGGUCCCCGUCGUGCUGAACGCGAUUGCGCAAUCCGUUCGGAAUUCUGAUGAACGGAUUGCCGGAUAUCGCAUGAUGUUCAAAAAGGGGUCUAAAGUGACUAAUUGGAAUUCUCGCAAAAGUCCGCAUAUUUUAUGUACCGAAUCACACGAGAUCGAAUAUGGAGGUGCGAAUACGCGAUUGUUACCCACUAUGAAGGGCUGGGUAAGAAAUACCAAGCUUCGGUGGACGUUUGUGCAAAAUUGCACCUUGUAUACAAUGUGCAUCUAGGGUUUCCAUGCACGAAACCCUAGAUCUACUCGACCCAGCGCCCCAUCUGUGCCCUAGCCGCCAUCUGCAGGUCCAUGCCCUAGCAGUGCGUGCACCCCGGCCGUCGGCGAGCUUCCCCGACCGCCGGAAUUGCUUGGUCAACCUCUUUCCUCCACCUUGCCACCACCCCCUCGGCCUUCAACAUCAGAGAAUGUCCAAGACACCCUAGGAAGCCUUUCCCUCGGCCGAGACCCUUUCCCGGUGCAGUCCCCGCCGACCUCCGCCGUCCCUGCGCCCCGCCGGAGCUGCCCGAACUCCCUGCGGCCAGCAGCAGUCGCCCAGGUCGAGCCUGGGUGAUCCCUGCCACCGCGCGCCACCGUCGUUCCCCAUCGGUCGCGCCGCCCUCCGGUGACCUCCGGCGUGCCCCCGCGCGCCAUCGCCGCCGCUCCCGACGCCGCCGGCCGCCGCUCUCCCUCUCUGCGGCCGCCCAAACCUUGAACGGGCCGAGACCUGGCCUUCUCGACCAUCGCGCGUCGCCGCCACCCGCAGCAUGGCGCGCCGACCUUCCGCGACCUCCGGCGACGUGCCGCCGUCGCCCCGACAUUCCUUCGGCCGCCGCCAUGGUCGUCGCUACCUUUGGAGCCCGUGGUGAACCCGCGCGGGCUCGGUUUGGUCCAGCAUCGCCGCCGCCGUCUUCCGCCGCCGUCCGGCGUGAGCACCGGCUCCGCCUGGCCAGCCGCACUCAUGCGCCGCUGGCGCCCCCGCCCUCGGAGCUUCCUGUCGGCCGAACUAGGCAUGUGCCCUCCUCGGGUUUGGGUGACUAGGGCAUCAAUGCCUGCCGUCGCCACCGCCUCCCGACGCCGGCCGACGCAUCCCUUGGCCUCCCUGCAUCACCUGAACCCUCCUGCCGCCGGCUCUCCCGCCGUCCGGCCGCCGCCGGGCAGCCCUAGCUCUCCCCUGGCCGGUAAGCUUGAUUUCAACCUUUCUGCGCAUAGUCUCCUGUUUAGAUCACUGUUUCGGUGACCCGGGGCUGUUCCGAUACCCCCGGAGGUGAGCACAGUGAUUUUCAGUCAGUUCUGAUCACAAUGCUCACCUCACUUAGGGUCAGCGAGCUCCGGAUGAGUUAGUUACAUGUGUUUUAGUUUCAGUGCGUGCUGUUUCAUUGAACUUCAUGUCGCUCGUGCGCGUCCCACGGUGGCCGAAAUUGCUCCGAAAGGUGAGCAUGGCCUCCGGCACGUCGAAACCUGUCAGUGGGUAUCUUGGCUCGGCUGAUUGACCUCUGGUUUGCGUGGACGGACCAUAAAAGCGCCGAAAUCGCAUGAAAUAAUGCGAUUUCGGGUAAUCGGGAGGGCUUUUAUGUAUUUUGGGUUGUUGCGGCUGCUGUGGGCAGCAUGGAUGAGCUGUGGGUGACCUCUGGACUGAUUGUCCAAGGCCCCAAACCUUUGCGAAGAUCGAAAAUGCAUUUCCGGUGCGUUUGUUGGCAAAAUCCGCCGACGGAACACGGUUUUAGUUCAGAAUUCUUCCGACGGUGCCUCGUGAGCACUUGUUGAGUCGCUGAGCCUUGUUGGCUGGUCACUUGCGUCAUUUCAAGGGUUCAGAAAUGACGGGUGAGCGACGGUUGGUUCCGAUGUCGAAAUAGACACUUUCUGGAACCCGGAUCCGAACGAUUAUCUGACGAUAAUUGUUUGGAGGCAAGAUUUUGGGUUUGCUGCCAAGACAUCUUAUUUGAUGUGUUUUGUGGCAGCGGGUGACUCGUAGCAUGAGUCGGUGCGUUCCGGGACAUUUCAGUGGUCCCGACAGAGUCCCGGUACGAUUUUCGGGACUUCCAGCGAGUUACGGUAGUCGGUUUUGGGAAACUGAUCUCCGUGGGUUUGUUAGUGGGAUUAUGAUGUAGUAUUUCUUAGUUGUGGGUUCGACACUAACCCGGUGGACCUUCCUUAGGUCCGGUUGAUGUUCUUUCGCAGUCAGGAGACAGGCGCGACAUUCGUACAUAUAGGUACUUCGAUCCGAAGUCGGUACAGUGGUGCACUCUCGGUGAUAUCCUUGUAUCCCUGUUCUUCUGUUAUUACUAUUGCGUAGUAUAGCACAUUGAGCCUUGCACCCCUAUUGUUUACAUCGUACUCUACUCGCUAUUUGCAUGAUUAGUAUCCUGAGUAGGAGUAGAGUAGUUAUACCAUGUUUCCUUGUUGCUCUACUUAGCUAUUCUGCAUAUCCUGUAUCAUGUUUAGAGUAGAGCGGUUUCGUGAUUUCUAGUGAGAUCGGUGACCUAGUCGGUCGGUUCCUUGACUCCUGUCGUUCGAUGACCUAUGAGGUCGGUGUACCCUGAGGGGUAGGAUUGUCGGCUUGUGGCUGACGAUAGUUUCAGAUUAUAUUGAUACACUCUUGAGACCUAUUGGUCAAUUCUUGCAUUUAUAGUUUAGUUGACCCAUUGAGCAGUAUUUGCAUAUCUUUGAGAGGAUGUUGAGUUGUUCCAUCCUAGUUGACCUGAGUGGUCGGUUCUUAUACUUCCUUACAGUUGGAUGACCUUUUGGUCGGUUAGCCCUGAGAGGCGGUGAUUGUCGGCUGGUUGCCGACGGUUGGCUAUUGAUCAUAUCUGCAUUGAUCGCCACAGCUCGAGUGCAUUUCACGUACACCAGCGGGUUGAUCCCCCGCAGGAGGGUGUUCUUUUCCGGAAAAGUGGUCGUACAUCCGACCCGUGAGCCCAGCGGUGUUCUCUUUGUGCUAGGGUUACAUGCCAGGUGUGAGCAGGUAGUGGCUUUUGCCUGAGGUCCUUAGACCGACACGGCGGUUUAGAUUGGGUACUUUUGGACUUCUCGUCCGGUUGACGCAUAUAGCUAUAGUAGCGGUUAGUUGAUUAUAUACUUACAGUUCUUUCUUUACAGUUGUCUUGUACUAUAGUUUGAUAUCCUUGUAUGCUUGCAGUUGUACAUACAAGUUAGCGUAGUUGUGCUUUAUAUAUAUAUAUAUAUAUAUAUAUAUAUAUAUAUAUAUAUAUAUAUUAUUAUUAUAUACUAAUAUAUAUAUAUAUAUAUAUAUCUCAUUCGUUCAUUAUUGUUGCUACUGUAUUUCACUUACCCAUACUGUUGUUUAUCUCUUCCUAAUCCGGUGAGUACUCCUCGCCUUUUUCGGCUUGCGGUACUCACUGGGAGGGGAGACAUGUUUACAUGUUCUCACCUCCCCCACUAUUUUUCAGGUAUCGCGGGCGGUGAGGGUUGAGACGAGACGUGAGAUACGUAGCGGUCGAUAGAGCUUCCGACCCAGGUUAUUCGGUUUAGUUCUACCCUUACUAUUAUGUUGAUAUAGCUUAGAUAGUUUAUAUGGUUCAGUAUAUUUUAUUACAUUUGAAAAUAUGGGUUUUCAUGAAUGUAAUAAAUGGAUUUGUGGAUUUUGUGAAAUGAAAAGGUUUUCUACCCCUCGUGGUAGCGUUUUUAAAGAAUAAAGGUUUCCAUGUAGGAAACAGUUUUCAAAAGAAUUUUCUGUGAAUUUAUGUUAAAUAUUAAAUGCAAAUCUGUGAUGUGAAUGGUGAAUGUAUGAAUGUAUGAAUGUAUAGUUAUUUCUAUAUUCAUUUAGUUGUGGUUGUAUCCUGUUUGUACUGUUGUACUUGUGCGACGCCGUGCAAAUACAGGAGAAACUCUGUCCGUGUGAACAGUGAAAUCCCCGUAUUUGUGGCGGAUCUGGCAUAUUCUGGGGUCAGGUUUUCAAAAAAAAAAAAAUAGACGCUUUUUUCGCUGUGUUCAAACAAAAAGGGACCCCGGGGCGUGACACAAACCAUAAAGGAUUCGACUUGAACCUAAGUGGAUCCUAUCUGAACCGAACCAUAAAGGAUUCAACUUGAACCUAAGUGGAUCCGGUUUGAACUGAACCAUAAAGGAUUCGACUUGAACCUAAGUAGAUCCGGUUUGAAUCGAACCAUAAAAGAUUCUACUUGAACCUAAGUGAUCUGAUCUAAACCGAACCAUAAAGGAUUCAACUUGAACCUAAGUGAUCUGAUCUAAACCGAACCAUAAAGGAUUCAACUUGAACCGAAGUGGUUUCAAUCCGAACAGAAGCACAGGAGGUUCGAGCCAAGUUGAACCGAACUACAAGUCAGUUUGAUUUGAACCAAAUCAUAAAGGACUCAAUUUGAACGGAAGUGGUUUCAAUCUAAACAGACUCAAUUUGAACCGAAGUGGUUUCAAUCUAAACAGAAGCACAGGAGGUUCGAGCCAAGUUGAACUGAACUACAAGCCAGUUUGACUUGAACCAAAUCAUAAAGGAUUCAACUUGAACGGAAGUGGUUUUAAUUUGAACAGAAGCACAGAAGGCUCGAGCCAAGCCAAGUCGAACCAAUUAUGAGCCGAUUCAACCCAAACUAAACCAUAAAAAGAUUCAACUUGAACCGAAGUGGUUUCAAUCUGAACAGAAGCAUAGGAGGUUCGAGCCAAGUUGAACCGAACUACAAGCCGAUUUGACUUGAACCAAAUAAUAAAGAAUUUAACUUGAACUGAAACCAAUUCAACCUGAAUGGCACCACAUGAGAUCUGAGCCGAGCCAACCAUGAACCAGUCAACUCAAACUGAAAGACGAAAAGGUUGCAAGUCAAGCCGAACCAAAUCAUAAGCCGAGUUCAACUCAAACAGAAGCACGGGAGGUUCAAGUUGAGUCAAGUUGAACCAUACAUGCUGGUUCAACCUAAACAGAACCAUAAUAGGAUUUAACUCAAACCAAGUGGUUUCAAUUUGAACUAAAUCACAGAGGAGGUCCGACCCAAGUUGAACCGAACUACAAGCUGAUUUGACCUAAACCAAAUCAUAAAGAAUUUAACUUGAACCAAAGUUGGUUCAACUCAAAUAGAACUAAGAUAGUUCCAAAUCGAGAAAAAUAGAGCUGCAAGCUAGCUCAAUCUGAACUGAAUAAUGGAAUGUCUGAGCUAAGCCGAACCAAACUAUAAGUUGGUUCAACCCGAGCGGAACCACAAGAGGAUCGAGCCAAAUCAAACCGAGCAUAAACCAGUUCAAUUUAAAGCAAACUUGGAGAGAGUAAUAAGUCGAUUCGGCCCAAACCAAAUGCAAAAGGGUUCCAACCCAAGGCGAACCACAAGAUCUCAACUCGAAUAAAAAACAGACCAAUCUCGAACCAAAUCAUAAAGAUUCAAUCCGAAUCAAACUAAAGUAUAAGAAGGGCUAAGUUGAGCCGAACCAUAAGGACUUGACCUAAUUAAAUUCAAAUGAAUCUCGAACUACAUCAUAAAGGUUCGACCUAGACCCAAACCAAACUCAAAAGGGAUAAACCAAGUGAAAAACCUAAGGCGGCUCAGCCCAAAUCAAAUACAAAAUGAUCAAGCCAACUCGACCUAAAUCCAACCUAAGCAAAAGUCCAAUUUAUUUCGGGCUAUAAAUAAAAUCCAAAAUUCACAAAUAAAAUCCCAAAACCCAAGGUCCACAAAUAAAAUCCAAAACCCAAAGUCCACAAGUAAAAACUCAAAACAUAAAGUCCACAAAUAAAACCCAAAAUUCAAAGUCCACAAAUAAAACCCACAAUUGCAAAGUCGCUAAACUAACCCAUCAAAUGAAACGACUGUAAAGUCGCUAAACUAAACAACCAAACGACCGCAAAGUUGCUAAACUAAACAACCAAUCCAAACAACCACAAAGUCGUUAAACUAAACUAAACCCAAAUUCAUACGACCAUAAAGUCGUUAAACUAACAUGACCGCAAAGUCGCUAAACUAAACAAUCCAAACUCAAACCGACUGCCAUGUCGUUAAACUGAGCAACUCAACUCAAACUGACUGUCAUGUCAUUAAAUUGAGCAACUCAGCUCAAACUAACCGCUAUAUCCUUAAAUUGAGUAACUCAACUCAAACCAAUCGCUAUAUCGUUAAACUGAACAACUAAACUUCAAUCCGACCGCCAUUUUGUUAAACUGAGUGCCUCAGCCUAAAGCCGACCGUCAUGUCGUUAAACUGAGUGCCUCAGCUUAAAGCCGACCACUAUGUCGUUAAACUGAGCGCCUCAACUCCAAGCCUACCGUCAUGUCGUUAAACUGAGCACCUCAACUUCAAGUCGACUGUCAUGUCAUUAAAUUGAGUACCUCAACCUAAAGCCGACCGUCAUGUCGUUAAACUGAGCACCUCAACCUCAAGCCGGCUAUUAUGUCGUUAAACUAGGCAUCUCAACUUCAAAUCACUAAGUCGCUAAACUGAGCAAAUUAAAUUUAGACUCAACCCAAUCUGACCGUCAAGUCGUUAAACUGAGAAAAUCAAGUUUAAAUCAUUUAACCGCCAAAUCACUAAAUUGAGUAAAUCUGACUGCCAAGUCGUUUAACUGAGCAACUUAAUUCUAAAUGACCGCCAAGUUCAUAAACUGAGCUUUUCACCAAUAUACAGUAGGGGUAUGCCCCUGUUUAAGCCAUGUACUUGAAAAUUAUAUAAAUACAAGUUCAUCUCUAUACUAUAGUCUUUUUCUAUUAUCGAUAUUAAAUUUGGUCUCUUAAUCGAGGGCUCCUUAACACUGAAAGUGUGGGGUAAUUCAGUAAUUCUUGAGUCUGUUGGAAGCCAUGAACCUAUAAUCUUGAUUUUAAAAUAAAACAUAAAUAGAUAUAAUCUCUACUAUAGAUGAACACUUGCCGGAGAAAAGCUUGCAGCGGGGCCAGUUCGUUCGUGGCAGUAGACAGUUAUAGUGAUGCUAGGGCUAGAGUAGUUCUAUGAUGGAUAUACCCCCCCUAGGAACGAGGCCUCACAAUUGAUAUUAGAGUUAAUCACUAGCCAGAAAUAUAAAAUAAGUCUUGGUUCGGCUAGGUCAUACAGCAGGUAGAGCGCGACUCCUUAGCUAACAACCGUUAUAGAUGGAGCACGCUCCUCAUAAGGUCGGCUAAGACUAGCGAAACGAGUCUCAUAGGGCAUAGUACUUGUGAAUGUCUUGAACCUAAUGAGAACGUCAUCAUUAAAAGGGGAUAAAAAAAUGACAUCAUAGGAUUUGGAAUAGUCACAUGUACCAUUUUAAUUGGGCGAAAUAGAAGAGGCACUUUUAUACAUAAUCUAAGAAAAUUGGGUGUGAAGUGGAUCGUUUCUUCUCUCCUCACCUACACACAUGACCUGUCACAACGCGCGGACUGUAUACUAAUAAGACAUAAUAAGGCUCCCAACUGGAAAAAAAAAAUCAAACUACACUACACUCUCGGCUGUAUGUUAUAUGAUCUGGCUUGAGAGAAAUAACGUGAUGUUUAGAAACACUAGCUCAGAACAGAUUCAAGUUUUUACGCAGAACCACCAUCUUGGAAUCUCUUCUCACCAUCUUUCUUCUUUUCUUUUUUUUGGUCACUCCUGUUAGCCUUUUGUAACUUUUUUUUUAAUUCCCUAAUAAUGGCUUUAGUUACCCCACUUCUAUCGUUAAGCUUAUUAACCUUGAUGAAUGUAGCGAGCACCUUUCUAUAUUUUUUUCAAAAAAGCCCAUAAUUAUUAAGUUCGAAACAGGAAAACGUGGAAAGAAGGAAACCGAUAAAAAAGCUCCAUUGAGACAAAAUCAAUAGCCUAGUUGGUUCAAAUCCAUAACAGCUAUGAUCCCUAACUUCAUCUCAAAGCCCGAUUACGAUGGACCACCUGUGCUUUGAGCAUUGAUGUUGAUAAUUAUAGUGUAAAGUAAUUGGAAAGGAGAGAACAGAUAAAUGAAAAUGAAAACUACAAGAUUUUUUUUUUUUUUUGAGAGACGUGCUACGCGCUUCAUUUAUUUCAUUUAGAAAUAAACUUAGCUGGAAAUGUGAAUCAACUAGGAUUCGAACUUGGGAUAUCGAGUACCAACCACCAAGUCCUUUGCCACUUGCUCUAGAAACGGUCGGUGGCAAAAGGGCUUGGUGGUGGAUACCUGACCUAAGUUCGAAUCCUAGUUGAUUCACAUUUUCAGCUAAAUUUAUUUUUAAAUAAAAUAAAUGAAGCGGGUAGCAUGCUACAUUUCUCUUUAAAAAAAAGAAAAAAAAGAAAACUACAAGAAAAAUGAAUUUGCGAGUAAAAUUCUACUUGAGUUAGAGCUUCUCUACAUUACUAAAUCGAAUGGCAAAGAAGAAAUUGAAAUACUAACUAGAAAUUGAAAUACUAGCUAUAUUUUCUUUGAAGGGUGUGAAUUAUAUACUCAUCUAUUUUGAAAUGGUAUAUAUAAUUCACACUUAUUUUGCAUGUAAGGUUUUGUUUGGGAUUGGAGGAAGAUUGCGUUACGUGCGGUGAAAAAGUAUGUUGGAAAAAUAUUCUGUUUGUUUUCGUACAUAAUAUUGUGUUCCGCAUAUCGCGAUAAGUCGGUUACGAUAUAUUUUCUGCAGCCCCAUUGGAGAACGCAAAAACAUAUCUCUAUAUGCUUUUUUUUUUUAAUUUUAUUUUAUCUAAUAACGUUUGAUAGACCUUAAUACCAAACUAAGCCUAAGUAGGUCUCCGAGUAAAUUUGUUUCAAAUUAAAUUUCUUGACUUUGACCCAAUCAGUUUGACAUUGCCGGUAGUACAGAUCAACUUAGUGUUUGUUGACGCAUAACAGACUGGGCACUUUUUAGGAAACAAAUAGCAAUUUUACAGGCAAGAUGCACAUAUAUAUUUUCUAGUUAUAAUUUAAAUUGGAAAAUGCCUGCAAUUCUUCACAAUAGUUUUAAAAAAAUAUUAUUAAUAAAUUGACAACUAUGAUAUAUAGGCUUAUAAUUGGCUUACAAUAUACUCUAAACUAUAAGAUAAAUUAUUAUAUAUAUUUCUAAUUAAAGUAUAUUAUAAAAUAGUUAAUUAUAAUAAAUUAGGAUUCAUAUUUAAAAAAAAUUAAAAAUAGGACAAUGCGGAAAUUGGCGAGCAUAUUUCUAUACCAAAUUAGAGGAAUAAUAACAAGUGAACGGCUCGGCUCGGAAGAGGUAUCGUCACUCCUAUGAAUCCGCUCCUCCGCUCACUAGUCACUACUCCGUUCGAUCAAGCGCCUGUAGGGUUUUGAACUUUCUACUAAUUUAUCUCCGCUCCUUCCUCCUCCCCCCCCGCCCCCAACGCCUUCCUCCUCUCCUCCCCCCCGGCCCAGUCCGACCUCGCCGCCCGCUUCUUCUCCGCCUUCCUCCUCACCCUCCGCCGUGAGUGGCCCGGCAUCGACUUUCUCCGCCUCGACAAGUUCUACCUCCUCAACCGUCGCUUCCUCCACCACCUCUUCCUCCUCCUCCGCACCCGCCGCUGGGACCCCGACCUCUCCUCCCGCAUGAUCUCCGUCCUCUCCGACACCUCCCUCCUCCCCGUCGAUAACCACCCCGCCAAUGGCGUCGGCUACCACAUCGCCGAGGCCUUCCUCGAGGAGCUCGGCGACUUCCUCCCCGUCGCCCCCGAAACCCUCGAUUUGCUCCUCAAGCCCUUCUUCUCCGUCUUCCAGAAGUCUUCCGAUAAGGUCCUGGUGAACAAGAUCAAGCUGAACUUGUUCGAGAGAUUGCUUCAGAACGGCGCGAAGCUGCUGAGUCUCGCGACGGCCGGGGAGCAGGCGGAGCCCAAGAGCGAUGUUGAAAGGUUUGGUAGGAUAGCUCUGUCGGUGGGCUUCUCGAAGAGGUUCUUCGAAUUGGGGUCGGCUCCGGAGACUCUGCAGGCGAACAGGAAGGUCCUGUUCGGUUUGCACGAGAGCUUUCUAAAAUUGGAAAAAGAUCUGGAAAAAUCUGGGGUUUGCAUUUCGAUUGAGAUUCCAGAGAAUGGUGAUUCGGAGAAGGUGCCUGAGUCAUCGGCCGCAAAGAACGGUGGUGAAGGAUCAGAUGAGAAGCCAUCCAAGAAGAGGAAGAAGUUGAAGAAAGCAUCUGAUGGUGACGAUAAGAAGUUAAAUGCCAAGAAGAAGAAGAAGAAGAAGAGUAAGAGCCUGAAUUCGAUGGAUUUUGUUGCUGACGAUAGUGUUGCUGAACAGAGUAAUAACGAAGCUGCUAACAUUGAAGCUAGCGGUACUGAAAAUAAUGAAAAACCUAACGAAGAUCCAAUGGAGGGUGCUAAUCUGAUAACUUUUGAUGAAGCUGUGAUCUCUAAUCUUCAGAAGCAGUUCGAGAAAGCUGCUGCAGAAGCUGGAAUGGUGAAUGGAAAUGUGAAACCGAGCACUCCACAGACCACACCGGUAAAUGGAGCUGUGGUGAAGAAGAGAAAAAGAGCAAAAAGUGCUGAUGGAAAGGCCAUCGCUAAUGGCACUGAUGCUAGUGGUGGAAACACUGUUGGAAAAAGCGGGGAUAAGAGUGUUAAGAAGGUUAGGUUUUCGAUGAAGAGCAAUUUGGUGUGGAAGCCACACAGCCCUUUGCCACCUCAAAGUUUGAGGUUGCCGCCAUCCGCUACUCCGAGAGGUAGUGCCCUCAAGAAAGGGGUUGCGCCAGGACCCAUUAAAGAAACCCCUUCAGUUUCGAAGAUGAAAAAGGGUAAGGCGAAGGCUAGCUCUGCGAAGAAGAACAGGAUGGGCUCAAAGAGUCCCUCUUCAGCGGUGAAGCGCCUUCGGAAGUUGCAAAGCCUUUCUGCGUGAACUCGCAUACUUGUGAUGGUUGUAUUUCAUAUUUCCACCUUUUUUUAUAGUCUGUGUUCUUUUCACCUUUAUUGUUUCCGAUGACUUUAAACUUUCCCCCAUUUCCUUGCUUUUCGAUUGUCUUAUGCUUCUAUUAGUAUAUGCAUGUUUUCUCCUUUGAUGAAUCAUGGUAUGUUCUUUGCGGUACAUACCAUAAUCCUUUUUUUCCAAGUUAUGGAGUAAAAUUGUUCUUGAUUGUUUAAGCACCUAUGCUUAUUCUAACUUCUAUGUUGAACAUGCCAUCCUGUUCCUUAAUUAUCUGUUAUAUUUUUCGUGGAUAUCGAGAUUUUAAAUGAUUUUGGCAUUUUCAUUUUUUGUUUUACUAUGAAAAUUUAGGAAGAAACUCAGUUGUUACUGAGAAGGUCAAUUCAUUUUGAGAAAAGAAUGAUAGAGAUUUAGGGUACUUUCUUCAUUAAGUUUAUGCUUAGUAGUAUUUAUUUCCUCAGAAUUAUUUGCUUCUUGUCUAGCGAUCAUUUGAGACAUGAUUGCAGGACAGGCAUGUUAACCACUGCUUAGAAUAGGUCAAUUCAGCUGAUACUCAAUUUCAAGCUGGAGCUAAUUGCAGCUCUAUUGGUUAUCUUAGUUGUACUUGUUGAAAUUGGUGUACUUGUAGAGCUUAGAUUAUUCCAACAAAUUAUAGCCAAAAGUAAGUUCACAAUUACCAUAAAGAUGCUAAACAAGAGAGAGUUUUGGCAUAAAUCUUAUAUAGUUGAUUAAAGUAGUAUUACUUUAAUUUGGUCCAAUUUCUAUGGUAUUAACUAUAGAAAUUUUGAUUAGAAGGAAAGUCUUAUAUGUACAGGAUCUAAAUACAUAUGCAAAUUCAAAGUGCUAUUUUAGGCACUGGUUUGGGCAAUAACAGAGUGAUAACUUGUCCUGCAUAUUCUGCCAAACUCAACCAGAAGCAAAAAAUGAAGAAGAGAAAAACAAGGAGAACUGCUUUUAGUUAAACUGUUUUAUUGUAGGAUAUCUUGGGAACAACUGUUAUGGUCGGCCCCUUUAGUAACACUACCCUCACUUUAUCCUAGUUACCUUGAAAGAAUCACAAUUCUCAAUGUUCGUUAUGGAUAUACCGGUGAUCAUUGCAAAUUUAAAGUGCUGCAAUAUAAUAUCAAACACCAAGUUGACUUAGUUUCUAGUAAUCAACUGAUAGCAUGACAAUCCAGUAUAGAAAGAGUAAGCUGUUAUGCUUUAUAAAAGACUAGGCCAAAUUAUGCCCCGUAUUUUUGAUAAUCUGUUAAAUUGUCGAGUACUCAUUUACAAGGGGACAUUGAAGUUAUAAGGCUAAUAUCAAACACAAAGUUGCUAUGGAGGGUUCAUCAUUAGAGUUUAAACUAGAAAGUUUAGCGACGUCAUGUCAAACUUCAUUAUCCUUGAGAUUGAUUAUGUUGGUUUUAGCAAAAUACCGAAAAGCAAGGAGGGGGAAAUAAGGUUUUAAAGUCUCAUGCUUAUGGUCGACUGGCUUCUUGACGGGCAGUAUUUUGUUAUUUUUUCUGAUUUCUUGUGAUUUUCUUGGGAUUGUAAGGUGAUUUUGUGGGAAACUUCUUGGGACAUUAUGCGGACCAUUUAUAAGGAUAUUGAUUUUGCUUAAGAUUCAGUGCUAUUGAUGAUUCUUCUUGUGGGUUGGAGGAUUGUUGAGGCUUUUAGUGUAGAUUUUCUAACAUAGGCAUAUUACAUGUGUUAUGAUCUCCGUAUGCUGUAUGCUGUUCAUUCUUAGAAUAACUGCUAUGUUUAUUUGUAAUUAGGCCUGUGAUCAUCCAGAAAGCUUGCUUUACCUUUUUCAUGCAUUGAUGAUAUAUGCUUUCCGUAUGGCAUUCACUCUCAAAAUAACUGCUUUGUUUAUUUGCAAAUAGAUCUGUGAUUAGUUGCAGUUUCUUAGACUUUAUACCUGUCCCUAAACACUGUUUGUCUUCUCCGAUCAGUUGUGAGAAUUUUUGAUAUGCAAAUUCUAUUCUAGCUUCUAUUCGCAAUGAUGACCCUCUUGUGAAUGUGUUUAAACUUUUAAUACAACUUCUUCAUAAUUGAACUUGUCUUCAUGAAAUUGAUCCAACCAUUCAUUAUUUUGAAAGUCUCUAAUUGCUGCCGCAUCUGUUUAUGUUCAGAUAAUGCAUUUAUAGGUUCAUAUCAGUUAAUGCAUAUGGUUGUACUUUAUAGCUUUACAUGUUCUCUUGAUUAUGAUUACAAAGCAUGUUGUAUAAAUGCAUUGGAGCAUGAUGUAGUUUUGGUAAAAAAAUAUACAAACCCAAGCUAAACUAUCAGCCAUUGGCCAAAAGGGUAGUUAAAUUGUAAUUGUUUGGAUACCUGGAAUAUCCUUUUUGAAAUUCUGCUAUAGUAGUUCACCAGCAGGAAACUGGGGUUGCUGUUGGAAAUACGGGCCACUGAUUACGCGAGUUCAUGUAAAAACUGUGUGAUCAGAGAUUUAAGUCAUGUGAGAACCGUGUUUAUGUGACACACAUUAUCAAAUGUGCUGUUAUCUCUGAUCUCCUGCCCUAAGUUUUCACCCCUAAGCUCUGAACGUUGACAGCCAAGGCCUUGUUUCGUGUUGUGUCUGUUUUUUAUUUCUGUAAAUAGAAUUUUGUAUAUAAAAUUGUGUUAGAGUGGUAGGUGGAUUGUUUGCAAUCCUCUCAUCCAAUAUAUUUAUUUGGCAAUAAAAAAUAAAAACUUAAAAUAACUUAUUAUUAUUAUUAUUAUUUUUUAGACAAGUUGUCACCUAUCACAUAGCCAGAUGUAUUUUAAGCUAACCAAUUGUAACAACAAUAGAAAAUUUUCUUCUAAUGCAUCAAAUUAUAUAGAAUUAGUGUUUUAAAAAAAUAAAAAAAGUGAUAAUGAUACCAAACGAGGCCUAAGGUUCCUGUUUACAAAUAGCUCUGUAUUUGAGGCAGCCUUCAUCCUGUUUAACCAUUAAUUUGUUCUUACUGUUUAGCUUAAUCUUGUCAUUUGUUACAAUUUAGAGUUCUAUUACUUUGAUCGUGAUUAGUGCUAUCUACUAUGAUUCUAUAUGUUUCCUUAUAAUUUGCACUUGAUGGUUAUGAUGUUACUUUUGUUCACGUAAUUGAGGUUACAGAAAAUCACAUUGAUGAUCUGCUCCCUAUUGUUAUUGUUUAUCAGCUGUUGGUUAUAUUUAUACAACUGUGAUGCAAAUUCGAGGCAAUGAAUUUAUUGCCGAGCUCUAUCGUAGGUAGAUAGUUGUCAAUUAGUCAUAUAAGGGACUCAUAUGAGGCCCUAUAACUCGUCACUUCUUAGGAAGAUGCGCUUGCGUGCUACUUUUAUGUUAGUCUUUUUUGCUAGUGAGUGUCUGUUUAGGCUUGCUUGUGUGUUUCUCACCUCUAACAGAGCAUUUGGCAAACAGAAUAGUCUGGAGCUUGUUGUGGCCAGAAGCUAAAACAAGAUUCUAGACUCUAAAAAGAAGCCGUGCCUAUUUGGAGUCUGUACUCCAGCUGUACAGAGUUUCGUUGUUGGGGGGAAUUUAAUUUUUUCUUCUGCAGUGGUCAUGGACUUGGCAAAUAUUCAAUUCGCUAGCUGAGUAUGAAAUUUCCCCAUCUAUUAUUAAAAAGUUUGGUAAAAUUAUAUAUGAGUGCUUGAUUGAUUCAUAAAGUAGUUUGUUUGAGAUGCGUACCACAUCUGAUGUGUUUCCUCAUCUUGCCAUUCGCUUGCUUUGCUUGUCUAUCAAACGUCCUGGCAUUCUGAAUUUUGUGUUUUUUCUACGAGUUAGUUGGUUAGCUGUAAUGAAUAUGUAAGAACAAACUGCUAAAGAUUAGCUUAUUAGAAACUUCACCCCCUUCCGAAAAUGUUCCAAAUUGCUUGUCUCUGAUCGUAUGUACUUACUCUCAAAUGCUUUGCACUGGAGAAGGUUAAUUUAGAAAAGAUGAUGAAAAAGAAAUGCAGAAGUUGAAGAAAGUUACCAAUUCCAUCAGCUAAAAUGUGGAAACUUUGGAAUAAGUAGGAAAGAAUGUCAGCAUGUUUCUGUCUCCAUUGAAUAUUGAUGACAAAUAUUUUUGCUCUGUUUAAAAAUGUUAGAUUUUUUUUCAUUCAUGCAUCUUACCUUUGAGUCCUUAAUCUACCUAUUAUUAUUAUUACUAUAGACUAAAGGGUGUGGAGUGGGUCUUCAUUUGUGGACAUGUGUUCCGACCAUUUUCGGUGCGUCUGCUGUACCAUAGACCCAAUAAAAAAAAAAUCAUUUUUGUGUCAAUAAAUAUGUUUAAAACUUAUAGUUUUAAUCCAUAAAUAUUUGAAAUGUUAUACAACACACUUAAUAAAUUAAAAAUUGAUUUAAAGUUUCUUAUAAUUGAUUUUUGGAAGUAUCAUGUCACUUGGUACACCAUGAACUGCCCCAUGGAGGUUUUUUUGGUCGGCUCAUGUCACUCUUUCAGUUCCAAUGCACCCAAUGCAUGGAAGAUCUAACAAGAAACUCAUUAGUUUUACUUCAAUAAAUACUAGUUAAGGCACCCAUGCUAUGCAACGGGUUCAUUUACCUUCUUUAUAAAUAAUUAAUAAAUAAUAUAUUAGCAACGGGUUCAUUUAUCUUUUUUAUAAAUAAUUAAUAAAUAAUUAAAUAUAUUUUUUAUAAAGUAAAUAAUAAUAAGGAAGUUUUAGAAACAUUUUCACAUGCGUUCAAUUGUAUCAGAUAUGCAAAUUUUGAUUACAAACAAUAAUACUGGUCUUAACAUCCGUUCGGGUUCAGAUCGUAAAUUCAUAAGUUUGUGUUUUAAUUAUAAUAAAAUUUUAAAAUAUAUAAUUAUUUAUGCCUAGUUUUUAAAUAUGUUAGAUGGUAUGUAUUAAAUAUUAAUUUUUUUUUUGAGAGAUAAGUAGCACGCUACCCACUUCGUUUAUUUCAUUUAGAAAUAAACUUAGCUGGAAAUGUGAAUCAACUAGGAUUCGAACUUGCGAACUUGGGUACCAACCACCAAGCCCUUUGCCACUUGCUGUAGGGACGGUGGGUGUAUUAAAUAUUAAUUUUAAUUUUAUAAUUAUUUAGAUAUAAAUAAUCUACUUUUAUAAAAAACACUACAAUUAAGUUUUUUUUAAAAUAUAUUUAAUUACAACAAUUACAUAAAAUAUAUUAACUAAAUAUAUAAAGCUAAGCAAAACAUUCAAAAAUCAUUAAUAAUAAAUUUAAAUUUAAAUUUAUUUUUUGUAUGUGGCCAAUAAUACUCUAAAAUAAGAAGAGUUAGAAAAGGAAAAAAAAAUCAAAAAAGAGAGAGAGAUAGGAUGGGUCCCACAGGAAAAAGCAAAAAAAAAAAAAAAAAGGGCUUUUUUUGACUGACAAAUUUUAUUUGUAAAAAUAGCCCCGUCCAAAAAUUAUUUGCAAAAAUGGCCCUGCCCCUGCCACGCCAGCGCCACGUCAGCGUCACGCGGGCAGGGCGGGCCAGCGUGUUUAAGUUGAACACGGUGAACCAUUCACCGUGUUCAAUACAAAAUUUUUGUAUUGGAUACGGUGAAUGGUUCACCGUGUCCAAUACAAAUACCCAACAAUGACUAAGUUGGAGAUAUUUGUAUUAGACACGGUGAAUCAUUCACCGUGUCAAUUAUUUGUAUUGGAACACGGUGAAUGGUUCACCAUGUCCAAUACAAAUAUUUCGACCUUAGCUAUUUUGUAUUGGACACGGUGAAUGUUCACCGUGUCCAAUACAAAACUUUGUAUUGAACACGGUGAAUGGUUUACCAUGUUCAACUUAACCAUCUGGCCCAGCCCCCCCGCGUGGCGCUGACGUGGCGCUUGCGUAGCAGGACCAGGGCUAUUUUUGUAAAAUAAAUUUUUGACAGGGGCCAAUUUUAAAAAAAAAUUUUGUAAGGGGGCUAUUUGCCAAAAAAGCCCAAAAAAAAAAACCCGUGCAUGCUAGCGCCGGCGCCAGCUCGCGCCCUGCCCACGCCCGCUCGCCUGCCCGCGCCGCUAGCGCCCACCCCGGCCCGCGGACCUGCCGCGCCCACCCCGCGCUCGCGCCUGCGCGGCCGCCCGCUCGCCCUUCGCUCGCGCCCGUGCCCCGCUCGCGCCCGCCAGCCACGUGGCGGGCCAGGUUCUUGAUUCAUAAGUUAUAUAAAUGCCUAAAGCUUAUGAAUUUUAAUAUAUAGACUAGUGUAAUGACCCGCGUGAUGUCGUGGAUAGAUAUAUAUUCUUUUAAAAUUUAAACCCUAAAGUUUAGAUCCUUAUAUUUCUAUAAGUUAUUUUGUAGAGAUUAGAACACAUUUACUUUAAAAGUUUUAGUAAUUUUAAAGUAUAUUGAAAAGUAUAAAGAUUUUUUUUGAAUAUUCUAAUUUUUAACACUGAAGCAUCACGAUAGAUAUCAAACCACAUUUAUUUCCGACAACUUUAUAUAAAUGUCUUAUUAUAAAGAUAGUAACGUGUAGGUUUAAUUAGAAACAACAAGAAAUAUAUUUAGCAAAUAAAUUCCAUCGUAUCCAUUAGAUUGCGCUAAGUAUGGCGUUGGGCUGCAUAAUAAUUAAUCAUUUUAAAAAUUCUAAAUCCUAAUAUAAACAAAUCCAUCAAAAUUUCCAACACAAUCAAAUCAUUAUACAAUGGAGACAAUAUGAUUUGUAAACAAAAAUAAAUAUAAAAAUUUAUAACAUAGUAAUCAAAAUACCGAAAACAAAUAUUAAAAAAAUAUAAAAAUUCUAAAAAAAUUUACCUCAAAUUGGAAAAGUCGAAUCUCACGUAAUUUAAAAUAUACUGUACAGUGAAAAAAUCUGAGUAAACAAAUAAAGCAUCAAAUUCAAAUAAAAAAAAACCUAUCAAAUAUAGUUAAUCGUUACAGACAGAUGCGAUCAAUUUUCUGAAGACAAAGAAAAUAGUAUUUAGUAUAUCAUUUCAUCCAAAAUGAAUAUGAGUACAGCUCUUUAUAUAUACUCUAAUAUGACUUUUUAUAUUCUAAGAUGACUUUUCAUUUUCUUCCAUUAAUAUAUAUGACUGUUUAAAUUUCUAGCUUUUUAAAUUCUUAGAUAUAUUAAGUUACCCAAAUUUUCAACUUCAGUGACCUUCCAACUUUCUUAACAUUUGACAACGUACAAUUUGGAUACUUCUAGAUAAAGUUAUGAUCAAAAUAUUGAACAAUGCGUAGGUUGACUGGGUUAAUCCAAAAAAAACCGGUUUAAUGAGAAAAACGUACGAAGAAGAACCACAUCAAUGAAACAAAAUGAAUAGGAAAACCGCAGGCGGGUCCCAUGCAGAGGCAUAAGAUAACUCGAGAUUGCCACGUGGAUUCUCAAAUAUGGAGAAUUAAUAAGACUAGUGAAUGCCCGCGCUACGCCGCGAAAAAUUUAUAUAAAUUUAGUAUAAUAAACAAAAUAAUGUGAAUCAUGAAUAUAUGUCGUAUUAAAAUAUGAAUCAGAAUUCAGAAUUCAUAUAAAAGGUAACUUAUAUGAAUUUUGAAUGUCUAGUCUUCAGAAUUCAGAGUUCCUAUUUUUUGACCUACUCUUACUUUUACGGUCCAAUUCAGAUUUCCAAAAUUUGAAUUUUGAAGUCAGGUAGGCAAUCCGGAAUUCUGCUAGGUAAUUUGGAAUUUAGCUAGGCAAUUCAGAGAAGGCAUACGAAAGGAGUUUGAUGUAAUUUUUAUGUAUUUCCCUCUUCUAUGCCUUACACUCAUGUUAUAAACUACUGUUUCCUUCUGAGUUUAUUUGAUUCGUUUGGAAAAAAAGAGACUGCAACCUAAGAGGCCUAGGAAAAAGAGGCCUAUUUUUGAACCUCGCAAAAAUUCAAGGGUACUGUAAGUUUAUGAGGAAAGGACUGACUGACAGAUUUGUUAUGGAAAAAGAAAUGUUUGACGCCUAAGAAUUACAUAAUUGAUAACAGACAUGAAGCUAAAGCUUGUUAUGAAAAAAGGACUGCUCGAUAAUUGAACAGUCUAUAACAGGUGCAACUGUUUGUUGCUAAAGUAAUAAAGGUGGAAUUCUCUAGUACUAAAAAAUUUUGUUGAGAUAAUAGAAUUAUUUAGUAGUGGAAAAUGUUGGAUUAUCGCUGUGGUGAAAUGAUCUGAUAAUCUCGGCUUUGCACUAACCUGUGAGUUCUAUUGUGAAAUGGCACUCAAAUAAGUCCAUAUUGUCAAUUAAGGAAAUGCUAGAACCAAUGUAAAUUUACAUGAUUGUUACAUAAUUUUUUUUUUACAUGAUUUUUUUUUGCCAGCAGUAAUCUUAGUAGAUAGAGUGUUCAACAAAGAUAAAGAGAAAACUAAAACUCUUGAUUCAACACAAAGCAGAAAAAAAUUUUGACAAAAAGAGAAGGAAAGAAGAGUAAGACCACAUACUGCACCCCCCUCAUCAUCUGCCUCUCAUUUUGAUUUUGGUAAUACAAAAUCAUCACUGCCUUUCUAACCAGAAUUUCAUUUUGUUCAGAGAAAAUCAUCAUUGCCUCUCCCACAUAAUUCACACCAACCAGAGGAUCAACCAAACAAAUGACACAAUAAUAAGGUAAAUCAAAAGUUGUAAGUAAAGAAUGAACAAAAUCAGAGCAUGGUGGAUAUCAGUUUUUUCCCUCGAAAAAUUAUAGUGGAAAUUUAUCAGAUGACAAAAAAAAUUAGAAAAUACUGGAGCAACACCUGAGAAAAUAAACUCCAAUAAAGUAAAUAUCCAUAAGAGUAAGAGUAAACAAACAAAAAAAAAAGGAUUUUUGAGUUCUAAGUAAGCAACGUUUGAAUUUAUAUAAAACGUUGAGGCAACAUCUAAAGUCCUUGCACAACAGCAAAUCCUAAGCCACCAGUAAUCAACUUCGAAGAAUUCAGUUCAUAAAAUAUCUUACAAACUUCCCAUUAAACAAUUAAGCUUAUACAUCCGGCUCUAUCCUACCAUAAAAUCCAUCCUUACAAUAAAUUAGACCCUAAAAUAUGAACAAUCAAUAGCCAAGUACCAAUUGGAUUCUCGAGAGCUUUCGCUUUUACAAAAGAUGCAGUUUAAAGCUUUCACUUUUACAAAAGAUGUAAUUUCGGUCAAUAAGCAUAAAUAUUUUUUACUUCUCAACGAAUGUGUAAAAAGAAUAUUGUUUUAGACAUUAAGAAGACAACAAAAUAUAUAUAUUAUUCUCAUUCUAACUUUUGUAUACGUAUGAAACAACCCGAUGCAGUUCAAAUCAGAAUUCUGAAUUCUAAACUUUCAUAUGUACCAAUUCAGCUAGGCAAUUCCGCAUUCCAUGAAGAAUUUAGAACUCACCUACACAAUUAAGUAACAUUUUAUGCCCAUCAGAUAUCUUAAUGCAAUUCAGAUCAGAAUUCUCCCAAGAUUCUUCCAGGCAACACAACAUUCAGCUAGGUAAUAUAGAUUCCAGGUAGGUAAUGUAGAAUUUAGUUAGGGAAUUCAGAACUCAGCUGGCCGAUUCAUGGUCCCAUGAAGAAUUCAGAAUCAAGAUCAAGGGAAAAAAACAGAGCUCCAUAAGAACACAAAUGAGACCCACCAAUUGCCCGCUAAGCAAGCCAUCCAUAGUGCUUUCAUGGCCAAUUAAUUACCAAAACCAUCAAUAUUAAACUAUGUGAAAAUAAGCCCAAGUUAAUGUAAAGCAACGGAUAUCAAAAAUAAAUUUUGACAAAAACAAAGUAGAAUUCUGUUAGGCAAUUCAGGAUUCGGCUGGUUAUUUCAGGACUCUAUGAAGAAUUCAGAGCCCAGGUAAAAAAAAAAACAAAUCUGCGUAAGGGCACAAAUGAAAUCCACUGGUUGCCCGCUAAGCGGGCCCUCCAUAGUGCUUCCAUGGCCAAUUAAUUACCGAAACCAUCAAUAUUAAACUAUGUGAAAAUAACAUCAAGGUAAAUAUGAAUUCGAAAAAUACUUAAAAGAGAAGAUAGAAUCCAAAAACAAUCUCAACUAAGAGAAUUGGACGAAAAGUUAACGAAAAAUCAAUAUAAUGCAAAAUUCAGCUUAAGGCUCCAAACUGACUCAAAUUCAAACCUUCUAACCUACAAUUUAGUGAAAGGAUAUGAUCCUCGAGCUCUCCUCCACCAAAUAAUCCUCGACUAAGACCCAAUUCAGGGAUUAUAAGCUCCAAAUUUCCACAAUUCCUGCAGUAGAUGCUGCCACUGCAGCUAUUGCAGAGGCUGCUGCUGUUGUUGCAGCCUGCUGCUGGUGAUUUGUUGGUUUAAAUUAGAGGUUUUCAGUGUUCUGAAGCCAAGGAUCACUGUGGUUACAUUCCCCUUUCCUCUUUUGGGCUGUACUCCUUCCUGCGAGUCCUAGGAAUUGCAGCAACAUCAACAUCAACCUCAACAUUCUACAGGAGCAUAAUUUCAGCAGCCUAUAGCUGAGUUGAAGAUAGAAUUUUGAGAGAUUUCGAAAUCCAAAUUGCUGGAGAAUUGAUUGCUCGCAUUCUUGGUGAAGAGGUGAACAUGAGGAGUGUUUUAAUUCAGCAAAUGACUUGGUAAGUUGUGUUUAAUUGCCAAAAUGGUGAAGGUCGCUGAAAUAGAAGUUUUAUACUGAUUUUGAGCAAGCUGAAUUCUUGAUGGAAUUUCUUUUAAUUUGCCUAUGUAGCUAAGAUUUUGAAAGGUUGCUAGUGAUCUUACCUUUAUCUAGAGUUGGUACGAACUUUGCUUGGACUGUUUUGAAGGUUAGGCUUUUCUGAAUUUUAGUUUUCAUUCAGGCCUUCAACUAAAAAUCAGAUUUUUUGUUGAAGCUGAUUUCUUGAGUCUUACUCCAUCUUCGAGAUGAAAUUUUGUGGUAAUUAAUAGGAUUUUCCUGUAGUUUAGGGAUCAGAGAAUACCCUUGAACUUGUCCCAACAUCUCUCUUUGGCUUGGAUCUUCUCUGUGGAUCAGGAACAACAGUAACAAAAUCCAACUAUUUCUAAAAUUUCAGCACAAAAUCAAUUUCAGCAAUUAAGCUUCAACUAACUUGAAAUUCCAGUCAGUAGUACAUAUAAACUGAGCUCCACUACUAUUCCUUCACUACCACCAGUCCGAAUUAAUAGGAAAGUGAGAAAAAAUCGAACAAACCCCUGCUAGAUUUAAUCGAAUCAAAAAAUAAUUCGAAAAUCUAAUGAAAACCAAUUUGGUUUGAAGAAAGGUGAAAUUCAGCGAUGAUCGCCUCAAAUCAGCUGACAAUACUUAAUUCAUAGGUUCCUCAUUUCCUCAAGAACACCAUGAGCCAUUCCAAUUGCAGUAGUUAACUCCACACAAACCAAAUCCCAAAUUAAAAUAAAUAAAUACCAGUAAAAUCUACAAUCCAAAAUAAAUUACAAAUAUAGCAUUGCUCACUGUAAAUGUUGGUAAAAAUGUAUAUGUCACGCCCCGGAUUACUCGUUUCCCCGGGCUCGCUAACAGACCUGCCAUAUAUAAAGGUAUUUCCUCUGUAUACAAAGCGAAAAGUAAAAGUACCUGUAAUCAUACAAUACUACAGACAGUAGUAUAGAGCAGCAGGGAGAAGAGAAUACAACAUGCAUAUAUAAACUGUGGUUCUAUAUAUACAUAAGAUCUAAGAUACAAAAGCACUCGCACUGGCGAGAGUACAACAUCUGUAUGUAUAAACCAGAACUACACUACCUGCAGCGGUCCUCCACUAGCUCAGCAACUCGACUGGAAGGGUUCUAACUCGCGACACCCUUGCCACGAUCAAUAUCAGCGACAGCAGCAGCCGAAGAUGAUGGCUCUGCAAAAUAGUAGAAACAAACUGGGCGUGAGAACUACUACAAAAAGAAGUAGUUCUCAGUGGGUACCGCCCUCAAUACAUCGGUCCACCCACUAAGUCUACAGAGGUAAGCAAGAAAUAAUAAGGAAAGCUGGAACAUAUCUACAGCUAUCUGCCUCAAUACUAUCAUGCUCUAAUCUAACCAACUGUAGAAUAGUGUCAACUCAGACCCAAUCUCGAAUAGGGACUGUAAUCAUACCCGUCCCUGGGACUAUGAACAUACCCGUCCCGCCCGGUCGCGACUAUACAACUACAUCCACACUAAUAAGUCCGUGGAGAGCAAGUCCAACCUGCACGAACGACACGAACGCAAAAGUACAGCGCCCGCCUCGGGAGUGGCAGUCGUGGGAGCUACCCAACCGAGUAUGCAGCGUAUCUCUGUCGAGCUCAAUCAGGCGCUAAUAAGCCAAAGUUAAGAAGCUAGGGUCAAAACUGGUCUAGAAAUCAAAUCCACGUGCCCUCGACAUAAUUUGAGACCAAAAACAGGACUCUAGGUCCACCGUCCACCCCGACGGUACCCAACAACCCGAAACAGCCUAGACUCUGCUGUAAAAAUAAGCUCGGCGCCCCAGCACGAGUGUAAAUGUAUUUUAAACUACCCCGGGUAUCCACCGCGCUGAAACAGCGGUAAUACAAUCAAACCACGGCUCCUAGAGCUAAAUCAGGUAGCAGAAUUAUAUGACGGGUCAAAAUGCGGGUUUUCUCCUAAGUCAAUUUCCAAGUCCAAUAUGUAUAUUUUGCAAAUUAAGAAUCAUGCUCCAAAUUCAGAUUUCAUACAUUAUACUAUUCGAUGAAUUUGAGCUACAACAUGUUAUACCGAAGUCGAACUAUACAUGUUUACUUUACACAUGCUUAGGAGCAAAACCGAUAAGAAACCCACCUUAAUUGCUAAUCCCUGGCAGCAAGGAAGUCUCAAAGGUGCAAGAUCUCGCAGCUAAACCUCAUCUCAGCCAGCAACGAUCCACAAUUCCGAUCUAAGCACCAAAAAUCACUGAUUCCAUCAUUACAACUAUAAUAUCAGCACUUAAGCUUAAUUAACCACACUCCAAUGUCAAAACUCACCUAAUAACCUCCAAUUCAGGUGAGGACAGUCCCAAAUCCAAUGGAGUAUACUGGAGAAUAAUUCUCAAGUCCCAAAUUCUCCUGCUUCCAAAGAUAGCAUCAAGAAAAGCUCAAAAUCUACAAUUCUGUCCAAAUACAAUAACAGCAGAGUAAAACUUGAGUUCGACCAAGCUAACCUCAACCAAAUUCUGCAAUUCAGGGCUUCGUGGAUUCCUCUGGCAGUCUAGAAUCCAGCAAACUAAGUUUCACCGCGAUCCGACCUUUCUACGUCGCACACGAACCAAAACACUGGAGGUCGUCGCUGAAAAACUGCAGAAUCUGCACCUAUCAAGCUUGGAGUUGUGGAUCUUGAAGCAAUUUGAGUGAUUUGGAGGGGUUGGAAUGCAAAAUAGAGGAUCACUGUGAAGAAGAGAGGAAAAGAGCUCACCAAGGACGCUCCUCAGCUAUUUAUAGGGUGAACAUAUGGUCAGAUGAACCUCAGGAACAAAGGCUGCAAUCUGCUACACUUGCAGAAAUAGCCACUUUCGGGCGCCCAAAAUCCAUUUCUGGGCAUCCGAAACCUCCAGGCUGCACAUUUGCUCCCCUUUGGUUCCAUCGCCCGUGGUGUGCUGCGCCCGUAAACGGCUCCGGCGGACCUCACCUACUACCAGCCACAUGUCAACACAAUCGAUACUCACGAGGUGAACUUUCGGACCCUCAUCCGGGCGCCCGAAACAUGGACCCGAAUUCGCUUCCAGUUAUGAUCAAUUCUGCAUUGAACUUCUGGGCGACCCAAGACCAGUUCUGGGCGUCCGAAUCUAGCAAAAUUCCAGUUUUGCUUAAUUAAGUGCACCGAGUCCAUUUCUGCAUCCAUUUCGUGCAGAAACAACUCUGACUCAGUCCGACACUCUCCAGAUGUGUCGACCAGUCACUAACACUGAAACCAAUCCUAUCCAAAGUGUAGAAACAGUACAGUAUAGAAUUUAUCUGAAACAUGAGCCAUUUCGCGAAGCGCCCUGCGAUCGCCUCGGCAUUUCGUUGAACAGGGCGCGAGCUCUCAAAGCAUAAAAUUUUAAUUAAGCAAUAGAUUGCAAGAGCAAGCAUAGCAAAAUCAAAAAAAUUUGAUAGUGGAGAGAGAAUCAGAGAAAAGACUCUAGUAGGUAUUGCAUCAAACAUAUGAGGGGCGCAGCAAAACGGACAAUUUUUGGAGCUCCCCUUGCUCCACUCAGUAGAGAGAGAUAGAGAGAGAGAGAGAGGCGACAGAAAGCAAGCCAUAGAAUUGGGCGAGGAAGUUUCGGCGGCGGCGGGGAUGGGGAGGGGUGGAAGGAGGCAUACCGUAGCAGGGGGACAAAGGUUCGGGGUUUGCAGGAGCUGCGGGGAGAAGCGCGACCCUCCGCGUUGGACGCAGGAGGAGGUCAGGGUAGGGCCCGACAAACACCCGACAUGGGGGGGCCCGGAUCGGAGAGAGGAGGAGGUGGGGGCCCGGGUCGGAGAGGCUUGCCAUCUGCGGGCGACCCGCACCACCCGCGCGCAGAGAGAGAGAGAGAGAGAGAGAGAGAGAGAGAGAGAGCCGGGGGGGCCCUGCCAUGUGAGCAGCGCUUCGCGCGCCCGCGCCCGCUCGAGGAGAAACGACAGAGAGGAGGGGGCGCUGCGGAGGCGACACGUAGGCGCCCGCCCCGCGCCGGACGCCAGCCGCUGCCGCCCGCUGUGGGGUCCUGCACAUGUGACUGCCGCUGCCGCCCACCCCGCCGUGGGGGCCACCGAAGCCCCCGCCAAACGCGGGGAUGCUUCGAAGGGGCGAGAGAGGAGCGGGGGGCUGAGGAGGUGACAUGUAGGGCACAGUAGAACUCAAGAAUUAUUAUUUCUAUAGAUUACGUAGACACAUCAAACAAUGUGUAAUUUGGAUAACUCUGAAAAAAACUGAUUUAAUGGGAAAAACAUAUGAAGAAGGACAUAUGAAGAAGGACCAGUUCAAUAGAAAUGAGUUUGCAGAGGCAUAAGAUAACAAGAGAUCGCCACGGGGAUUCUCAAACAUGGGGAUUAAUAAGGCUACUAUUAUUAUAUAUAGAUUAUAAAGAUAGAUAUAUAGAUAUAGAUAUUUAGAAUAUUUUUAGCCCUUGUUUGGUUGGGGGUUAAGGGGUGGAAUAACCCCUUAACCCCCAUUUUAUCCCCAAACAUCCCAAAAUAUAGGUGGGGUUAGCUAACCCCACUUAACCCCACCUCAAAUAAAUUAUUCCGGAUUAGCUAACCCCACCUAACCCCACCAAACUCCAACCAAACACUAUUUUCUAUUCAUAAUAACCCACUAUCUUUUUUAUCACACCUACUCCAAUCAAUCAUUAUCUUCUUAUCCCACCUACCCAACCAAACACUAUUUUUCAUUAUUCUAAACUAACUCCAACCCCAACCAAACACAAAAAAACUUUAACCCCGCUUUAACCCUAAACUUAACUCUAUUCCUGGAAUAGCUACUUUUUUCUUAACUCCGAACCAAACGGCGGCUUAGAGCUUACAUUUUACUUGGUACACCAUUAAUCGCCCUUCGAAGGAUGUGUUUUUUUGGUCAACGCACAUCACUCUUUCAUUUCUGAUGCACCUAAUGCACUAAAGCUCAUGAAUUUUGAUAUACAGAGGGAGGAUAUAAUAAAUAAAUAAAUAAAUAAAUAAAAUUUUAUAGCAUAGUGCUUCAAGAAAGUAGCCAUUACGCCGGACUAUUUUGACGCUUUGGCCCCCAACGACUUUUCAUCCCACUCUUCGCUCGGAGGGAACAGAAGUCUUACUCGCUCCGUCUCUCCACUCCAUGGCUACCUCAGGUUCCUCCUCCGCCUCCUCCUCCUCCUCCUCUCCUAUGACGUCCUCGGUAAGCGUGAACGAGGUCGUGAGCGGGUCCCACCUGUUCAAGAUCACCGGCUACUCCCUUACCAAGGGGAUCGGCGUCGGCGAGCCCAUCGCCUCCGCCGUCUUCACCGUCGGCGGCUACGACUGGGCCAUCGAGUACUACCCCGACGGCUGCAAGGCCGACGACGCCGACUACAUCUCCUUUUUUCUCGCCCUCCAAAGCUACCACACCGACGUCCAGAUCUACUGGGCGAUCAAAUUGCUCGACCCCGCGGAGAUGCCGCCGUCCGCAGUCCCGGUGGGCGGAAGCUUGUACACAUUCGACUCAAGCGGCAGAAACUGGGGCUACGGGCGCUUCUUCAAGAGAGCCGAGUUGGAGGAAUCGCGUUAUCUGAAAGACGAUUGCUUCGCAGUUAUGUGCACCAUUCACAUCAAGAUGUCGCGGGUCGAGCGGGUGCCUUAUGCUCACCCGUCGGCCGCGGCGGCGGCGCCGCCGAUCGAGUUGCACGACCACCUCGGCCGGCUCUUGGAGAGGGGAGAGGGGGCCGACGUAACCUUCGAAGUCGGCGGGGAGACUUUCGCCGCCCACCGCUGCGUGCUCGCCGCCCGCUCCCCUGUUUUCAGUGCUCAAUUUUUCGGCCCCUUGAGCGAAAAGAGCACGCAGUGCGUAAAGAUCGAAGAUAUGGAAGCUGCGGCUUUUAGGGCUUUGCUUCACUUCAUAUACCGGGACUCGUUGCCGGAGGAUGGUGAGGAGCCUAAGAAGGCUUCGACUGCAAUGGCGCAGCAUUUGCUCGCGGCCGCAGACCGGUAUGGGUUGGAGAGGCUGAAGCUAAUAUGUGAAGAUAGGUUAUGCAAUAGCAUCGAUGCCGACACGGCGGCUACCAGUUUGGCCUUGGCGGAGCAGCACGGCUGUCUCCGGCUUAAGAAAGUGUGCCUUGAAUUUGCAGUCGUGCCGGAAAAUCUGAUAAGUAUGGUGCUAACUGAAGGGUUUGAGCAUCUGAGGAUGAGUUGUCCCUCGGUUUUGGAGGAUCUCAGAAUGAAGACGACCCGGCACUCUGGUAAGUUUUAAAUUAGCAAAGACAAGAUCCGUUAUAUGUUGUUUUCAUUUCUUUCAAUUAUUGUCCUCAAUGAUAUACUGAUAUAUUUUGGAAGAUAAAUAAGACGAAAUGUCGAUUUAGAGCCAAUUUAUGCAAAUAUAAAUUUAAUCAGUUGGCUCCUUGUAAUAAAAAGAAGUAAAAGGUCUUGGUUGUUUGUGUUAACAUUCCGCUAAUGAAAAACUGGAAUCCUAGGAAGACGUUAAAAGGGUAUGCUUCAUUCAUGAUUCCAAUAGGAAUGGGAAGUGGGAUUAGAUUGUAUUGGAAUGGAAAAUGGAAUGAUGAAUUAUCCAAAAAUAUUUGGUUUAUUAUUGGAAUGGAAAUCAUAAUGAACAUUCAGGAUUUUGGGAGAGGGUGUUGGUUAAAAAAGAUGAGAGUGAUGACUGAUGAAGGGAGAGAAAGGGGAAGUGUUUGUGAGAGAGGGCUUUGAGUGGUUUACUUUUGAAUGGGCUAAUCUGGAAUUCAAAGCUAGAUUGGACCAUAAAUGCAUUAAGGCUAUUCCCAUUCCAGAGUAGAAUGGGAAUCAAAGUCCGAUUCAUGUAAAACAAACAACAACUAUUAGAAUCAAUGAAUCUCAUUCCGAUUCUAUAACCUAAAAUAGGUGGACCAAACGAGCCUUGAAACUGCAAGAUUGUUACCAUAGUUUGAAAAGGGCACGCGCCUCGGCGCCUAGCGUGGGCCUCAGCGCCACAGCAAUAGGGAGGCGCAGCGCUAUUGUUGAGGCGCGCGCCUAGGGCCUGAGGCACGCGCCUCAUGCGAGUUGCGAGGCGCUCCUGAGGCACGCGCCUCGCAAUAUUUAAGUUUACAAGAAUUUUUUAUUCAAGUUUUCGAGUUGUCGGGUUUUGAAUUUGCAUCUUAUACUUUACCCCGAUAAGAUACUUAAAAAAUCUUAAAAGAAAUUUUAAAAAAUUCAAGUUUUCGGAUUGUCGGGUUUUGAAUUUGCAUUUUAUACUUUAAACUCGAUAAGAUACUUAAAAAUCUUGAAAGAUACCCAAAAUACCACUAAAAAAAUCAGCCGCUUGCCCCUUCUCCGUCUCUUAUUCUCUCACAUCCUCUCCCUGUCGAGCAUCCAGCAGCAGCUGUGCUGUCAGCAGGAAGCAGCGGCAGGAAACCGGCGGUGGCUAGAACAAGCAACCAGCAGCAGUGGCAGCAGGAAAACAAGUAGUAGCAGCGAAAACAACAGCAGUGUCAGCAAGUACAUCAAAUUAAACUAUAUGCAUGUGUUUUCUUUACUUUUUGAUGGUUAUUUUGGGGUUUUUUAAUAUAUAACAUCAAAUUAAAUUAACUUUAGUAAAUGUGCGCCUCGCCUUCUUGAGGUGCCCGCCUUGCAGUGCGCCUCUCCGCGCCUCGCGUCUAUGCAAACACUGAUUGUUACACAAGUAUAUAUUUGUUGUGGCAAGAUAAGGAUAAAAGUAGAAUUAGUGAGGAUGGAGGUAUUGUAAACAAUGGAAGUAUUUUUAUGGUGUAUAAUUUGUUAGCAAUGUAACCCACAAGAUUACAGAGAAAUCUUUUCAGAACAACUUGAAUCACACAUAUCAUGCUUUUGAAGUGAACUUGUACUCAUGUUUUUUAUAUGCUGUUUCUAAUUUUGUGAACUUGUGUAUAGCCAAUUAGCAACUAGGUUAUUUAUUUACAAAGCUAUGAUGCAUAGAUACUCUAGAUGCAUCCUUACCAGAUACUGUAUCCAGUAUGAUACUUACUAAAAUACUUCAUAGAUAGCCUCAGAUAUGUGUCUGUAUUAAAGGAGUGUAGCAAUAGUAAUAUUGCUUUGAUAUAGAAGAAGGUAGGAUGGUCCAGACUCUAUACUAGGAGGAUGUCAUCUUUUCAUCAAUUCAAAGUAAAAAUAUGAUCGUGUUAAGCAUCAAAACUAAUUUAAUUUAUUUAAAGACGGAACAAAUAUUAUCUAAUUAAUAGAGCUUGGUCUUAUCUAGGAGUUAGUUAUAGGCUCCCGGUUAUACUAUAAAUUAUAUCCAUUCAUAGUAUGAGUAAGGUAAAAUGGAAGAUAGUUUUACAAAGUAUAGCUUCCUAAAAGAGCCAAUAGUUGAUGUUGAGAUGCUGGCGACAACAACUUUCUUGUACAGGUCAGUAUUUGAAGAUAGAGUAAGGAAUCUGACUUGUGUAACCUAAAAUAUCUAUCAAAAUCUUGAUUUAAUUCCUAUAUGUGGGGUUCAUAGUUGUUCCCAACAGCCUACGUCUAUUAGGCUAUGAGUUACAUAUUCCUGAGAGUUUACAGUAAAAACUUUUAUGUAUUCAGUCAACAUUUGCAUGGUAUGAAGUAUAGGAUGAAUGCCUUUAAAGUGCUUAUACUAUUUUGGAGAAGAAUUUAUGUUAUCUUUUGGAUCUAACUGCAGCUUUCAAAAUCUCUCACCGGUUUAUAUGCACUUCUCAAGUUUGAUGUACAGAGUCUGUUGCAUAAAAGAUGUUUCUUGAACUUCUGAUAAUAUUUAAGUAUCCUGAAUUGUUGAAUCUUCAUCGCUAGAGAGAAUUAAGUGCUGUGGAAUUUGUCACAGAGGACUAGUCUAACCUUGUUUGAUAUCUAACUAUUACUAAUUCUCAAUGAGGAUGGAUUGAUUUGGUUCACAAUUUGCUAAAUUAUAUUCUUGUCCAUAAUUUUCGUAUGAACAUGAAUUAGUUUCUGGGUAGUUAGUGAAUAUAUAUCUUGUUGCUAUAUUUGCUAAAAGUGGUAUCUAACAGAUUCUUACCAGAUUUAGACGGAUUUGAAUAUGAAUAGACUUCAAGUCUGCAGGGGUAUUGCUCAAUAAGAUGCACGCAUAGUAUAAAGUAGUCAUCUAUAAAUAUUUGUUAAAUGUUAGUAAUUUAGUGAUAAGUCUUUAUGUCCUUUAACAAAUAUUCUUAGAAAUGUUCCUUCUUUUGUUUGGUUAGUUGUGGAUUCAUAUUCAGUUUAACCGUUUAUGUUUGGGUCAUUAGCGAUUAUUGCUAUCCUGACACAUUUGAUGUGGACAUUGUAUUAAUAACUACGCAAUUUGAUGAAACUUGUGAUUGCACCUAUGUUCUUUUGUUAUUAAAAAUUGUAUUAUGACGUAACAAGUUUAUGAAAGGAGUUUGUUAUUUGUGGCUACCAUAUAGUGGAUGUUGACUUCUUGUGUACCUUUUCAUGCAAUUAGUAAUUUAUCUUAGGCGGUGUUUGGUUGUCUGUAAAAACACUCCGAAAAUUUUUUUUCGCUUGAAAAGUGGUUUUCCCUUGUUUGGUUGCUCGUAAAAGAAGUUGCCGGAAAAUUUUUUUUACGGAAUCUACGUAAAAAACCAAGUUUUGGUUUUCCGCCCACCGCGGGCGAAAAACGAAAAACUUGAUCCCAAAACGCGCGGCUCACAGCGCUGAAAAAAACGCGGUCCACGAGAAAGCCUGAUUCUCGUGGACUGCGUGAGUGGUCCAACUGCGUGAGUGGUCCAACUGUGGACCACUCACCAACUCUUUCUCUCUUAUNUGGUAAAAAAUUAUUAUACAUAUUUAUAAAUAUAUAUAUUUAUUAUAUAUAUAGUAUUUUAUUUUUAUAUAGAAAUAUUAUUAUAUAUUAUUUUAUUUAUAAAUUUGUAAUUAUUUAUUAAUAUCUCUAAAUAUAUAAUUCUUAUAUAUAUAUGAUGUAAUAUGUUCAUUAUAAUUUUAAAUAUAUUUAAUUUGUAUAUAUAGAUUAUAAUAAUAAUUUAUAAUAUUAUGUUCAUUAUAAUUUUACAUACUAUGAUGUAAUAUGUAAUUAUAUAUAUUUAUUAUAUAUAUAAUAUUUUAUUUAUAAAUUUGUAAUUAUUUAUUAAUAUUUUUAAAUAUAUUAUAUAUGAUGUAACAUAUUUAUUAUAAUUUUAAAUAUAUUUAAUCUGUAUAUAAAAAUUAUAAUAAUAUAUAAAAUAUAUUAAUUAUUAUAUAUUAAUAAUAUAUAAUAAAAAAUAUUAAAUAGUUUUUCAUCUAUUCUUUUUUCUUCCAACCAAACAACCGUCAUGGAAAACUAUUUUUCUUUUCCUACAAAUCAAACACUAACGACGUAAAACCAUUUUUCCACCGAAAAUUUUUUUUCCACAGUUUUACGUGGAACCAAACACACCCUUAGCAAUUAUUGUGGAUGUUGAAUUCUUGCGUACCUUUUCAUACAAUUAGUAAUUUGUUUUACAAUUAAUUGUCACUUGCAUGACCUUCACAUUUACAGACCAUCUUCUUUCAGCACAACAAAAUGUGAAAAAACCUACUUCUCUGACAACUCAAGCUGUUACAGAGCUAUGCUUAAUAUAAUGGGAGCUACAAAUUUAGUUUCUGACAAUUUUAGUUGUCCUCAGAUCUUCAAUUUUAAUAAUUUAAUCCUCGAAGCUUUUUCCAUGUAGCUAUCAAGUGCGUCACGUAAUCUAAGGGCUUAGAAAACAACAAAGCUGCAUUAUUGUUGCAGUUUAAAUGUUAAAAAACCACCAUACAUAUCAACAGAGCUAACAAUGGAGUUAUGAGACACCUUUUUUGGAGGGCAACGUAAUGAAAGGACUUGUUAUAUAGGACAAUUUAUAGGGACUUUAUUGUCAGAAACAUAAUAGAAGUGGGUAAUUAAGAUUGCAGCAUCUUAUAGUCAACACUUUGAUGUCUAGGCUCUCAAAUUUAUUAUGUCCAAAAGUUUGGGUAUGAAUUAAAUAGUUUGAAGUUUAUAUUGUUCUCUCUCUCUCUCUCUCUUUGAGGUUUAUAUUGUUCUCUCUCUCUCUCUCUCUCUCUCUCUGUUUUAUUUUUGAAUGGAUGUUGUUCUCAAUCUAACGGCAGUAGCUCAGAGGGGUUUGGGCUUAGGACAUUUUCUUGCACCUAUUAAUCUAUUAUGUGCAAUGUGAAAUAAGAGGGUGAAGUUUUUCUGUUGGCAAAAUAAAAGGCCUCAUGUGAUUGAAAACUCUGGAGCCUUUGUUUUUAUUCCAUGUGAAAACAUUUGUUGUCUAAAACUCGACUAUUCUUUUUGUUGUCGUAGGAAUACAUUGGUCAUUUCAGGCAUUGUUAUCCCGCAGUGAUAAUGUUUGCAAUCAGUUUGCAUCGAUAUAAUUCUUUUUCAACUCAUUUUCUUUUCUAUUCUGAUAAUAGUAAUGUUGAAUACUAAAUUUUUAUGGAUCCAGGAAACCAUGAUAACAUCAAAUAACUAAUGGAAGGAAGUGUGCGGAUGGCAAAGUUAGAGCAGUGAAGCAAAUUCGGUAUAGUUGUUGUUUUAGAAGUAUACUAACAUGACUUAUAUUGUUCGUAGAAAAAAUGUGGAAUAUUGCAUAUAUAUUUGUAAUUGUAAUUACUAGUUUCUAUUUCUAUAAAUAAAUAAUUGCUUGCUCUAUAAGCCAGAAACUUUCAUUGAAUAUUUAACUAUGUUUUGAGUUUUAAUUGGUGGCCCUCUAGAUAUUUGUUUAGCAUGUGCCUUCUGUUAAGCUCUGGUUUGCAAGAAUGAAGCAAUUUUUGUUGCAAAGAUUUCUGUAACGGUGCAGUUCUUUUUAUCCGUAUUGCAAAGAAGACUUGAUUAGCUUGCUAUUUAAACUGGCCGUCUAUUUUUCUUCUUGUAGUAUGUAAUAUAAAUUAGUUCUCAUUGUAAAUUUUGUAUGCUAUUGGAGUGGCUUCUAAAUAGAUACUGUAGGUAGUUGAGAACAUAUGGUUUUAUGAUGGAUUGGACUCUUUUUAAUUAUUAAAUAGCCUUUUGGUUUGCUUUAUGAGUAUUUGUAGUUUAGUCACUUGUUUUAUUUAUAUUCUUCAGUUUCAGUGCUAAAUUGUAUUCUUUAUGUGAAACUGACUCUAGUAAUGCUAUUUUACAUCCAAAAGUUGAGUGUAAAUUUUAUACCCUACCCAUCGAAGGGUGGGAACAAUCUUUUUUGUAUUUAAAAAAUAGGAUGGUGAUAUGACUAGUGGGAUAGAAUUAACCCGCUCAUUUUGAUGAAAAAAAAUAAAACAUUUAUAAGUGGCAGAAAAAAUGGUUAAAAACGAAUGGAUCUUUUACCUCUGCCAAGAUGGACUGCUCUUUAUGUUCUCCGAUCAGUGACUCCUUUAAGUGUAGUGUGGUAAAAAAUUGUCGAUCUCGAACUGUUGAUCUAUCUAUCUAGAGAGAGAGAGAGAGAGAGAGAGAGAGAGAGUUGGGCUAGAAUACUCUUAAUAGUAUUUGGGCUCUGAUACUAUUAAGUCAUUUUUGAUGAUAGGAUAUCCAAAUCGUCGAUCCAUAUCGUUCAAGUUGAUCUAGAGUGUUUGAACCUUAUAAAAAUUAAGUUUCAUAAUUUUUCGAAAUCAUUUUCUAGUUCAUCAAGUGACUGCAGAAUGCACAGUUGAAAAUGAACAAGCUACUUAAAAUCGAUAAUAGAACUCUCAAAUUCAAGAUCAAGGUUAUUCAUUUGAUCAAGAUAGUUAAAGAAAUUUCGAUUGAAAAUUGAACUAAUUUAGAACGUGCUACACCGUUAAACGAGAAAAUGCAUCAUAUAGACGGUUAAAAUUAUUUAAUUUUGAGAUUACUUGAUCACAAGUAGUUAAUGUCGAAAAAUUACAAAAUUAAAUUUCUAAAAGGUUUAAAUGCUGUAGAUUUACUUGAACGGUAUGGUUCGUCUAUUCGGAUGUCCCAUUAUCCAAAGUGAUGCGAUGGUACCGGAGCCCAAAUACUCUUAAGAGCAUUCUAGUCCAACAUGACAAACAUGACAAUCUUGAAAUAGUCAUUUUCUCUAAAUGUUUAAAGUUAUUAGCUAGAGAGUUGUGUCUUAAAUAUUGGGUUUGAGUUCAAUUUCAAUUAUGUCUUCAGAGCUUUAAUUUGAAAAAUUUAGCCAUUGGAAUUUGUCCCACACAAUCAUUACAUUCUUCACUUAAGAAAACAUCACGUUUGCAUUGUCAUUAUAAUUGAAAGCACAUGAAAAUAUUAGUAGGAUGUUAGGAAGCGCUACUUAGGUUGGUGAGAUAGUGGCAUGGAUUUAAGUGCCAGUUGGCAUGUGUCUUGUCAACUGUGCUGACAAAGCAUUGGCACAACACAACUUUUGUGCCAAUGGCACGAUUCGAAAUCCUUCUUUUGUAAUUUUUUUCAACCAAAUAGGUUUAGCAUUGGUUUCAAAUGAUCUAAUUUUGAUGGAAUGAAGGUGCAGGAAAUUUGAUUUGCAUCAUGCAUACACAAAAUUGAAAUCUCAAUAAAUUUAGCAUUAGUUUUUUAGGGAAUAUAAUUUUCUUCAACUUUUACUCCUUAAUCUAAUGAAUACUUGCACAUUUUAACAUACUUCUCAAAAUUAUUAAUAGUAAAAAAGAAUUCGAUAAUAGCAUAUUUAAGAACAAAUGUGAUAUAUAUUUGUUGAACAAAUAAAAAUCUCAUAUGAAUUUGUGUCGGCACAUGGGUACUGUACCAGCAGCACCGAGGCUAUGCAAAUUUUGUCAUCCUAGCCAGCGCUCAGGCAUGGUCCCGUGUCUCGACACUUAAAACCUUGUAGGGACAUCUUCUUUCAAAUAGAAAAGUUAUGAAAGGAUUCAAUUACUAUGGAGGACAAAUUUCAGGGACUAAAAUUUUUAAAACUCCUGGGGCAUAAUUGUUGUUAUUGAUGUUUUGUAUUAAUUAAUUAGCUUCAAGAAUAUUGUAGGUUUUAGAUGCUAGAUGGUUUUACAAUGUGAGAGUUUUUCUAAUGACUAAAUAGUUGAUGAGCCUGAUUUGGAUCUUUGCUACCACGUGAAACUACCAUAAUCUCUUUUAGGUGUUAUAUGCGUAUUUAGUAUUACUACCAUCAUGCACAUUAACUGAGGUGUUAAGAAUAAUCGUGGUCAUUUCUGAUUGAUUGGUUAUGCAAACGAUGUAUUCUCACAAUAAUAUUACUUGCAAGCAUUUUAUUUGCAUGAUAUAUUUUCAACUUGAUGACUUCUCAUAACUAUUCCAACUGUAGUGGACUUUAUACAUUGGUCAGAGAAAGCUUAUAACUUGCUUAAAUUUUUUUCUGCCGAUCCAGAAAACAGUAGUCACUUCAAAUGGCCAGUGGACUUGCCUGUGUUGAAAAGUUAGAGAGGAGAGAUAUGUUUAGCAGCAGCUGUUGUCUUAAAAGGUAAUGUGGAUAGAACCUAAGCUUUUUGAAUUUUGAAUAGUGAAAGCUUGUCUAUAUAUAUAUGCCCUGCAAUUUUUUGAUCUUCAGGUUAUAUUUUGUUCCAACAUGCAAAUAUUUAGUUGCCCUAUAUAGCCAUGGCCGAAAAUUCAUUAGAUAUCUGAACAAUGUUAUUCGGCAUGUUCUCAUGUCACCUUUGUUUUUUAUGGUUUUGAGGGAUGAUGAAAAUUGGGCAAUUUUUAUUGCAAUCAUAAGUAUGGAAACAACAAACUUCUUUUCUUCUUUACAGACAUUCCGUAAGAUAUAUAAUAGUGUGCUAAAGAGCUUGACAAACUGAUUUUUCUAGAACUAGCCUUUUCUCUUUUUCCUAUUUUUGCUUAAUAGUUUAAUAUAAUUCUAUUCUUAUUGUAAAUUUCUUAUAAUAUUUUAGUGAUUUCUAAGUAAAUACCGUAAAUUGUUGCUGAUAGUUGGUUUAAUGAUUGGAUUCUUGUAUAUUUAGGUCUUGUUUCACAUCACUGCUAAUUUUUUUUAAAUUUUUUGUAAACAUAAGGUUUAUAUAGGGGAAUUAGAUAUAUGUGGAUGUUAUUUUCUAUUCGCGUUAUGAUUAGUUAGAUUGACGUUCAUCUCUUCUAGGUGAUGAUUACUUCCAAGAUUUUAUCUUCUAUAGCCAAAUAAUAUUUUACUUUGAAUGCAAUGAUUGCAAACAAUCGAUCAUUCAUUUAAACAUUCUUUAAUGUGGAACUUUUUUUUUUUUUAAAAUGGUAAUAAUGCCAAAUAAGAUCUUAGUAAAUAUCUUUUGGUUUUGUUUUGUUGGUAUUCUGGAAUUUGCUAAAACAGAUCUGUAAGUUUAGCUAUGGUUCCUCAUGUUCUGUUGUCCACUUACGACAAAUUUUAAAAUCGACAACUAAUAUAUACUCUUUUAGAAAUUGUAUUUCCAUCUAAUCAAUCUUACAUAUAAUGAAAGCCUAUGGAUGUGCUUCUCAAAAGCCAAAAAAAAAAAAAAGUGGAACGUAACAGUGCAUUAUCCCUAUUUUCACUAUGUCAGGUUGCCUAUAAUUUUUUUUUAUAUAUUAUUAAUAAGUUGACAAUGAUAAUACAUAUGGCUUUAAUUGUCUUGUUAGUCUAAAAUACUCACGUAGCACAUACUGUAUGAACCAAUUAAAUUUCUUUAUAUUAUGAAGUCAAGAUUCUCUUGGAUCGAGUUACAGUACACUUUUUUAUGGAAGCAGAUUCCUCCAUUCUUUUUUCACUGUUCAGAAUGAAAAAUUUCCAAACAAAAUGUUUUCUCCUUUUGUAUUGUUUAUUUUAGGUGGCAAUCGCCUAUUUGUACCAACAAAUUUUCACCUUUCAUAUCUACCCAUCAAAAUAUAUGUUCUCAAACAUACCCUGGGAAAAAUCCAAAUCCUUUAUUAUAAACCUUCCAAAUACAGAAAUCUUUCAAUGGUUUAUUUGAGACGAAGGGUAAGUUUCACAAGUUUAUAAUAGUCUCUUAUUUCUUUAAUUAUACUAUACUAAAAUGUACUUAAUGAUUUUGUUUUUUUUGGUAGAUUGAAUUAAAAUUUCCAACCUUUAAAAGAUUUGAUUUUAAUAUCUAACUUUUCAAUUUGUUUGAUUUAAGCUAUUUAAUGGUUCUUCCAGUUUGAAAUUUAGGUAAUCAUUUUGAUGAAUUCUAACCACAUAACCUACAAGAAUAUUAAACUCUAUAUUAAAGUUGAAACCAAAUGCCGUUCCUCCAUCGAGCCACGUAGCCUGAACAUUAAAUACAAUGUGCAUGAACAUUAAAUACAAUGUGCCACGUGUCUCUCUCUCCCUCACAUUCUCUCCCUGUGCAUGAACCAAAACAAUUCAUAUCACAUAGAAUAUUGCCAUGUACUAUUGCUAUCUUGCUAAUCAUUAGGGUGCAUGCAUCCACCUCCCAGCUUUUUCUAUAUAUCUAGCAUUGUUCGCUAUCAAACAAGUGUAUGAAUGUGUAUACUUGUCUCUGCUUAUUUGUUCCUCCCAGCUUUAUCAGUAGUGUUAGAGCAUAUUCUCAACCUUGCUAUAUUUGUUUUGGAAUUAUUUGGGAUAUAUAUCUUCUACUGUUGUUAGGUGAGGUAAAACUAUGUUGCUUUAAACUCUCAUAGAGUGUACUCCUUGAUAGUAUAGGAAUACAAAAUAAAUAAUAUAAAUUUAACAGUAAAUAAUUUUUUAGUAUAUUCCUUGAUAGUAUAGGAAUACGAAACAAAUAAUAUAACUUAACAUUAAACAGAUUGUUUUUUCCAGCAUACUGGAACAAUAACCUUACAUAAACGCUAUACUAAAACUUAAACCAAAUGUCGUCCCUCCAUCGAGCCACGUGAUCUUUCUUUUAUAUGGUUUUCUCUCUCUCCCUCACUUGUUCUCCCUCCCUUUACAUAAAAUAUAUGGUGCAUGAUGGGAAAAAAAUAUAGUACAGAGAAUAUUGCAUUGUACUUUUGCUAUCUAUGUAAUCACGUGGGUUCAUGCAUCCUCCCCCCACUCCAGCAUUCCCUAUAUAUAUGCUGUUCACUACCAAACAUGCGAAUAAAUGUUAAUAUUUGUCUCUACUUACUUGUCUUCCAGCAUCAAUAGUGUUAGAGCAUCUUCUCCAGCUUUCUAUAUAUAUAAACGUUCAGCUUCUAACAUAGUUAUUGGGCCCACCACCCAUUUACUUCCUUAAGGAGUAAGAUUUUUUUUUGGCUGUAUCUACAGAUACAACCAGCUAUAUCCAUCUGUUUGUUUUAGAAUUAUUUGGGUUACAUAUCUGCUACUUUCCUAAGGUAGGGUAAAACUAUGUUGUUGUAUACUCUCAUAGAGUGUAUUCCUUGAUAGUGUAGGAUUACAAAAAAAAAUAAUAGUUAAUUAUUUACAUUCACUAAACAUCUUUAUCUUAAUUGGUUAAAUGAAAGAACAAUAAGCUAACAUAAAUCAAAAUAAAAAAUGUGUGCCUAAUUAUCUUACCGUGCUUUUUAUAUGUCGUUACUUCUUUAUGGAAUGAUAACAUAAACGCUUAAAAAGUAAAUAAUUAAUUGGCUUAUUUGUUUUAACGAUAUGUUGGUGAUGUUGGGUCCCUGGAUUUUUUGAAUUUAAUACUGGACAUAUAUAAAUUUUCAGUCUUUACAGGUGUAUUUUUAAACUAUUUAAUAAUGUGUGUAAUUAAUUACAGGCUUCUCGUCUUUGUUCGUUAGAUGCAUCCUAUUUUUCUUUACUCCCUUAAUUAAAAUUAAUUAGUAAUUGUUUAUGAAAAUUACGAUUGCCUCCAGAGUUUUUUUUCCCUUGCUUCAUAUUUCUAUUUCGAUGACUUUCUUUAAAACUAUAAGGAAGUGUCUUAUUAUUUUUAUCAAUAUAUGUUUCAUGUGGGGAAAAAAAAACCAGGACUUUAAUGUAUUUGGAAUUAUGAUUUUCAUUACUCUUCGUCUUUUUUUUUUUGAUUCCUAUCUUUCUUGAGCAUGUAUACAUGCAGAUUCUUUACUAGUUAAUUAUUUACCUCCUCUAGGCACCUUUAUUUUAAUUGGCUAAAUUAAAGAUCAGUUCUAACAAUUUCAUACUAAGUUUCUUUAUCUUACCGUACUUUUUAUAUUUCGUUAGUUCAUUAUGGAGUGAUAACAUAAAUUGUUAAAAAGUAAAUAAUUAAAUGACUUAUUUGUUUUAAGGAUAUGUUGGUGAUGUUGGGUUCCUUACUUUUUUUUAUUAAUGGUGGACAUAUAUAGAGAUUUGUCUCAGUACUUAAAUUUUUAAUCUACGGCUAUUGAGCAAUGCAUGUAAAGAUGUUAGAAAGUUUCUCUAGACAAUAGCAUUGGAGGGCUGGGAUUAAAAAAACUAAUGCAUUAAUUAUACUAGAUUCAUAACAUAAGUCUUAUGUUUUAUCAUACAUUAAUUAUUUUGCAUUUGGUCAUUCUAUACCUUAGCUUAAAAUGAUUAUCUCGUCUUUUUUAUAUCAUUCUUGAACGUUUAAAGGACAAUGGCGGCCCUACCAGUAUAAUAUAAGCAAUUGUUUACCGACAUACUUGGGGUUCUUGCCUUUCCUCUUCCUAAUUACGGCGCAAUGUUCGGUUCUGAUAGCUUGUAUGUGGGAUGUGCUGAAAUAAAAGUUGAAAAUAUUGAUGGAAUUGAAGAGGUUUUUAAGUGGUUUGGUCAGAAAUGCAUUAAUGUUGAGUUAGCAGAGGAAAAAGCCGCUCAUGAAGCAAUUAUGUGCUUGAAGAAAGCACUUAAUUUCGAUAUUGCUGAUAUUAACUAUGAUGACUUAAUGGUUUAUAAAUCUUUAUACGAACAGUUGUGUGCCAACCACAACCAACUCCAGUCCGACUACUAUUUUCUAAAAGAAUGUUACAGUUAUACUCUCAGCGAGGUUAGGUGCCUUCAAAAUGAGAAUACGUGGCUGGGACAACAAGCCGACCACGCUGCAGAGUUGCUGUGGCCCACUACAAUUAAUAAUCAUCUGCAUCCUUCAGUUGUAAUCUUUAAAGUCUUUUGUAGCAUGAAUUUCGCAGUCUCCCUUUAGUUGUAUAAAAAUGUCAUGACGUUUCGUUUCCUUCUUUCAAUGUCUUGUAUUUUGUUGUUUUUGAUACUGUAGUAUAAUUUGUCUGUCUGAUAGUGCCGUGACGUGUCGUUUCCUUCCUUCAACGUCUUGUAUUUUGUUGUUUCUAGUACUGUAUUGUAAUUUGUCUGUCUGAUACUCUGAGUUUUCUAAUAGUCAUUAAGAUUUGUGCGCUUGAGGGUAGGAGACUGUAUAACGGUANNNNNNNNNNNNNNNNNNNNNNNNNNNNNNNNNNNNNNNNNNNNNNNNNNNNNNNNNNNNNNNNNNNNNNNNNNNNNNNNNNNNNNNNNNNNNNNNNNNNNNNNNNNNNNNNNNNNNNNNNNNNNNNNNNNNNNNNNNNNNNNNNNNNNNNNNNNNNNNNNNNNNNNNNNNNNNNNNNNNNNNNNNNNNNNNNNNNNNNNNNNNNNNNNNNNNNNNNNNNNNNNNNNNNNNNNNNNNNNNNNNNNNNNNNNNNNNNNNNNNNNNNNNNNNNNNNNNNNNNNNNNNNNNNNNNNNNNNNNNNNNNNNNNNNNNNNNNNNNNNNNNNNNNNNNNNNNNNNNNNNNNNNNNNNNNNNNNNNNNNNNNNNNNNNNNNNNNNNNNNNNNNNNNNNNNNNNNNNNNNNNNNNNNNNNNNNNNNNNNNNNNNNNNNNNNNNNNNNNNNNNNNNNNNNNNNNNNNNNNNNNNNNNNNNNNNNNNNNNNNNNNNNNNNNNNNNNNNNNNNNNNNNNNNNNNNNNNNNNNNNNNNNNNNNNNNNNNNNNNNNNNNNNNNNNNNNNNNNNNNNNNNNNNNNNNNNNNNNNNNNNNNNNNNNNNNNNNNNNNNNNNNNNNNNNNNNNNNNNNNNNNNNNNNNNNNNNNNNUCUUAAAAUACACAGUUGGAAAGGUUAUGGUGUAUUAUUUACGUUACUUUAAAUUAUUCAACACCAACCAUUUUUUUUAUAGUUAAUAGUAGAAUGAUUUAAUUUUUACUAUAUAUGUACUAAUUAUCAAAUUUAGGAGACUAUAUAUACAUAUGCAUGAAGUGUGCCAGAAGCAAUUACUUCUCCACUUGGAGCUCUUUUAACGGGCAAAAAUUUAGUGGACACAGUGUCGCAACAAUGCUAUUUGGGGACUCUCCGGAUGGGCGCUGCGUGGCGAGCACGCACCGAUCUCGAAGUCUUUUUUUUUUUUUUAGGCAUUUACAAACAGGCCGUUUCGGAGAUUUCGGAUUUGGAUGCGAACCGUUAAAAGGCGUAAACGGGAAGACAGGGGAGACCCCAGUUGGGGGAGUAGGGCAUUCUCAGGCUUGGAUUUGACUUAACUGGACGCUGGUGCUGUUCAUCGUGUUGUUUCGCGGAUUCCUCAGGUCUUCAGCCUCGGCCGUUCUGUAGUACUGCCCUGCCGAUCUCGAGUCUACGACGACUGCGGCCGGCAGAUUCGUGGGGUGGAAUCAAGAUUUGGAAAAGGAGAGUUCCGGAAAGAUGAAGUGGGUGCAGAAGAAGUAAUGGAUUUGCUACAACUGCAACGAUGGAAAACGGUUUCUCCACGGAUCGCCACCGGAGUGCACAUUACAUUACAUUAAAGUGAUCAACUAAUUAAUUAGAGUCAGAAGCUCAAGCUCACGUUAUUGGAAAUGAUUUUUUUUUUCAGCUUUUUUUUUAAAAUUCUUUUUUUUUUUUCUGGAGCAGUGUUGAUCAAAGUUUACAGUUGUAAGUGCAGCUUUUGUUGAUCAAAGUUUACAGUUGUAAGUACAGCUUUUAGCGCUACAACAUUGAUUGAAUUCUUUAUUUUUUUUUAUUUAUAAUAUUCUGGUCAACACUGAUCACUCAUAUAUAUAUAUAUAUAUAUAUAUAUAUAUAUAUAUAUAUAUAUAUAUAUAUAUAUAUAUAUGGUUAUUUAAAUGUGGAAGUACACAUGGGGAUCGAUGUAUGAUUACGUGGACCUGACCAGUCAAUGAGCUCCUGUACAUAGGAAUUGUUUAAGUGGACCAUCUUCGCCACGUCAGCUGUGGACUGCCAGAGGGGGGACAUGAUACUAUAUGGUACCAUUUGGUUCGGGAACAAGGAGGAGAAUAAGCCCUUAUCCCCCCUUUGUUCCCAAACGCAGCGUUUGGUAACCGAGAACAGUAGCUCCCGGAUUUCUGAAACUAGCUGGUAUAACACUGGAACUAGCUGGAACUGCUGUUCUACCUUUUUCUUGGAACAAGCUUGUUCCUGAAUGAGAACAAGGUUAAUUAAAUAUAAAUUUAAAAUUUAAUGAUAGUAAAUUAUUAAUUAAUCUAACUAAUAUAUUUGAAUUAUUAUCUAUUGCUUAAAUAAUAAAAUAAAUAAAUAAAUAAUCAAUUAUAAUUAAUUAUUUAUAAUUAGAUAAUAAUAAUUAUUAAUUUAAUAAUUAUUAUUUAUUAAUAAUUAUUAAUUAAAUAAUUAUUAUUAAUAAUUAUUAUUCUUAAGAAAUAGAUAAUCGAUAUUAUUAAUAAUUUAUUAUUUAUAAUUAAUUAUUAAUAAUUAGAUAAUUAUUAUUAAUUAAUUUAUUACUUAUAAUUAAUUAUUAAUAUUAUUAUUUAAUUAUUAAUUAAUAAUAAAAUAAAAUAAUUAUUCUUAUUAAUUAGAUAAUCGAUAUUAUUAGUAAUUUAUUAUUAAUAAUUAAUAAUUAAAUAAUUAUUAUUAUUUAUUAAUAAUGAUUUAUAAUUAAUUAUUAAUAAUUAGAUAAUUAUUAUUAAUUAAUUUAUUACUUAUAAAUAAUUAUUANNNNNNNNNNNNNNNNNNNNNNNNNCGCGCCGCGACUUUUUUUUUUUUGCUUUUUUUCUUUUCUUUUCUUCUCCGACUCUUCUCCACCGUCUCCGACGACGACGCCUCUCGUCCUUCCCCGCCCUUCUCAUCUCUCCCUUUCCCCCAUUUUCUGCCGCCUCCAACGACGAUUUAUCUUCGCCGGCGCCGACAUCGACACCGUAGAGGUCACUGCGGCACUACAACCUCGGAGCGGGGGGUCCUUAGCGGCGUUGUCACCGGCGCCGUAGCUGUUGGCAGAGAAGGUGAUAAAAAAAAUUAUAGAAAAAACAGAAAAAAAGUAAAGAUAAAAAAUUAUAUAAAAAGAAGGAUGAAAAUGAAAUUGCAUCGUUAAUUACAAAAAAAAUUAUAAGUUGCACUAUUUAAGAUGUAAACUGCUGCUUUAAGAUAAAAAUUAUACUCUUUGAACAAAAAUUACGCUCUUUGGGAGAUGUUUACACUGUUUCUAUUCUUAUUGCACUCUUUCAGAUGUAAACUGUAAUCAUUAAGAUGAAAAUUACACUCUUGAAACGAAAGUUGCACUGUUUUUCUCUUGUUGUACUAUUUUUUAUCUUAAACUGCAUCCUUUUAAGUGAUAUUUAUACUGUUUCUCCUCUUGUUGCACUGUUUUUCCUUUUGUUGCACUAUUUCUCCUCUUGUUUUUACAGAAAAUGGUGCAACAAGAGGAGAAACAGUAUAAAUAUCUCUUAAAAGGGUGCAGUUUAAGAUAAAAAAUAGUGUAACAAGAGGAGAAAUGGUGCAACAAGAGGAGAAACAGUGCAACUUUUGUUUAAAGAGUGUAACUUUCAUCUUAAUGGAUGCAGUUUACAUCUGAAAGAGUGUAAUAAGAAGAGAAACAGUGUAAAUAUUUCUCAAAGAGUGUAAUUUUCGUUUAAAGAGUGUAGUUUUCAUCUUAAAGCUGCAGUUUACAUCUUAAAUAGUGCAACUUAUAAUUUUUUUUGCAGUUAACGAUACAAUUUGAUGUUCAUCCUUCUUUUUAUAUAAUUUUUUAUCUUUAUUUUUUUUUCUGUUUUUUCUAUAAUUUUUUUUUGUCACCUUCUCUGCCAACAGCCACGGUGCCGGCGACGACACCGCUAAGGACCCCCGCUCCGAGCCUGUAGCGCCGCAGUGACCUCCACGGUGUCGACGUCGGCGCCGGCGAAGAUGCAUCGUCGUCGGAGGCGGCAGAGAAUGAGGAAGAGGGAGAGAUGAGAAGGGCGGGAAAGGACGAGAAAGACGAGAGAGGCAUCGUCGUAAGAGACGGUGGAGAAGAGUCGGAGAAGAAAAGAAAAGAAAAAAGCAAAAAAAAACAAAAAAAAAGUCGUGGCGCGGCCUUAGCGGGGUUGGAGGCGAGGAAGGUGGGGGGUGCGUGGACGAGGGCAAGGGCGAGGGCGAGGGCGAGAGAAUGAGAGUGAGAGGCGAGACAGACCGUUUCUGCCUCCGCUCUGCCGGCGAGAAAAAAAAAAAGAACGAGAGGAAUGAAGAGGAGAGAGAAAGAGGAAAGAGAAAAAAUAAAAAGGAUAUUUUGGUCAGUUUGCUGAAAAAGCGGACCGAGUCUGGAAAAACGAAAAAAUGGCCAAAUUUUGCAAAAGCCCAAAAUAAGUGGAUUUUUUAUGCAAAUUGGCCAUAAAUAAAAGCACGUAUUUUAAAUUUCGCGACAGAUCCAUUUUUUGGCGGGAUAAAAAUUAAUUCAUCUUUCCUUACGUAAAAUAAAUAACAAAAUUAAACAAACUUUUAUUUCCUCUUUAUUUCUAUAACAGAAAAAAAUUUAUAUUUAUCCAAAUUUUUGCCAAUCGGAGAAUAUCUACUGUGAAUUUUUAUUUAAUUCUUCUUUAUCUCUAUCUGUAAUAUAAUAUCUAUACUUAUAUUAUCUAUCUAUAUCUAUAUCAUCUAUACUAUUUAAAAUAAAUUAAAAUAAUUAUUACGUACAUUUACACGUACGCUCAACUAAUAUAUAUAUAUAUAUAUAUAUAUAUAUAUAUAUACAUGCACACCUAGAGAGUAUGUAUCCAAUAAAGCCUUGAAAAUUAAUUUAAAGUUAUGGGGUUAGAAUAAUAGCGGUUCCCUACCUAGGGUUUAGUGGUGGUUGGUUGAAUAGUAUAAUCUAAAGGGUUGAUGAUGUAUUAUAGACUAACAAAUUAUAGUAAGAAAAAAAAGUUUUUUUUUCCAGUGUAAUAAUUUAUAUUAAAUUAUUGGUUAAAAAAUUAAAGAUGGCAAUGAUAUCAAAUGUGAUCUUAAUUUUUAGAUUUGUGCGGUCUCUUUUUAUCUGGAUGUAUUCAAUUUGAUCACCGUACCUUCAACUAGAUUUGGAGAGCCCNAUAUAUAUAUAUAUAUAUAUAGAGAGAGAGAGAGAGAGAGAGAGAGAGAGUAUGUAGCUGUAGUAUUUUUAAAAACACUAAAUACUUGGUACUUACAAAUUUUUCAUCACUUAACUUAUCCCUUUGAUUAAUUAUAUCCCUUAGAUUAUGUUAUUUCAUAAACCUAUUUUUAUCUAAAAGUCGAAAAAUCUUGAAGCACCAAUAAUUUAUUUAUUUAUUUUUUUGAGAGAUAGAUAACACGCUACCCGCUUCGUUUAUUUCAUUCAGAAAUAAACUUAGCUAGAAAUGUGAAGCAGCUAGGAUUCGAACUUGAGACAUCGAGUACCAACCACCAAACCCUUUACCACUUGCUCUAGGGACGGUCGGUAAUAAUUUAAUAUUUUUAAAAGCAUAUGAACUCAAUUACAUACAUAUGAAAAUUAGUAGCUCUGUUCCAAAUUAGUCUUAGUGUUGGGAAUCUGGUACUCACCUUGAUACCAGAUUUUAUACCAGAUUUUGAAAAUCGGUAAUCCGCUCCGAUAUCGAAUGCUGUAAAUUUGAUAUCAUUUAUUGAGAUUCCGCAACGAAAGCAUAAAAUUAAAUUUUUAACGUAAAUCCUACUCCUUGGCAAAAAUCUAGCACAACCACAAAAGAAAGAAAAACCAAAAAUAAAGAAUACAGAUAAAAUAAGAUUCACUAAAUAAGAGAAGAAUUACAUCUAAGUAUCUAACUACUCUUUUAUAUAAAAUAGUUUCAACUCGAGCCCUCUUUCUGAAUCUCUCUCACCCUCUUCUCGUCUUCUAUAAUUCAAAAGAAGACUUCUCUCCCAUCUUAUUCACCCAUGUAUAAGAUAUACUAAUGAUCCACAACCACGAAAAUUGCACACGUCCUCUCCUCUUACACCAAUGUACUAGAUGCAUCCAAAUCAUGACCACUUUGGCCAUGCUAUAUGGAUGUGGCUAAGUCGUACACUCGUACUGCCACCGCCACCGCCACCAAAAUAAAAGCACUCAUGUUAUAUUUACAGCUUACAUCAAAAGUUAUUCAAAUAUUCGUCUAAUUAGAUUUCUACUUUUGUUAAUACUUAAAUCUUAAUUAAUUUAUCUUUAACAGAUUUAAAUAUUAUUCUAAAUCCAACAAAGAUUCAAUUUCAAAUCUAACUAAAUUCUAAUAUAUAAUAUGCUAGCGCUUCUUAACCUUUUUGUUUAAGCUUUUGAAUUGACUCAAACCCUUGGGAAAAAAAAGAAAAGGUUAUUAACAUUAUAGCUUGUACCAGCUUAGAAAGUAACUCAAAAUAAAUCGUGAAAGGCUACGACCAACGAAAAAAUGAACUAAGAAAAAACUCCAUCAUAAGUUAAAAAAAGUUAAUACAUUUAUAAGUUAUGUUAAAUAAGUACUCUUAAUAAUACGGCCAAUUUGCAUAAAAAAUCCACUUAUUUUGGAGUUUUGCAAAACGGGGUCACCUUUUUCGUUUUUGCAGAUUCGGUCCGCUUUUUCCGCCGCCUUACCAAAAUGCCCCUCCUAUACAAUAUCCUCCCGCGUAUUUCUUGACAUACGUAUACUAUCCUACUACCCUGCCGUACGGUCUGGCGCGCAUUAAAUGAGCCGCUUCCGCCUUACGCAAUCUCGCUCAUUUCUCGGAACCCGGACCACAUCCGCCCCCGCUAUUCGCCGGCCCCGCUGUUUCCUGUUCGGCUUUAAAACUUUACGAAAUUUUCUAAAGCUAUUAAGAAAUACUGCGCGCCCCGCAACAGGGAUAAUAGUGCAACGCGAAGGAGCUACGAAAGGAGAAAUGGUGCAACCCCCUCUAUAACAGUGCAUCCGUAGCCUCGUGCCAGUGCAACCAAUCCAUAACAGUCAAAAUCUUACUUAUUUUAUUUCUUAAUGUAAUCUUAAGCUAAUAGUGCAAAUGAAAGGGCAUGGUGACGUCGAAUAUAGCGGUGUGGAGUAGUCGGAGGCUCCACCACCUUUUUAUUGCCGCCGCCACCGUGGCGCUAUCCGCCCCCGCUAUUCGCCGGCCCCGCUGUUUCUUGUUCGGCUUUAAGACUUUACGAAAUUUUCUAAAGCUAUUGAGAAAUACUGCGCGCCUCGCAACAGGGAUAAUAGUACAACGCGAAGGAGUUACGAAAGGAGAAAUGGUGCAACCCCAUCUAUAACAGUUCAUCCGUAGCCUCGUGCCAGUGCAACAAAUCCAUAACAGUCAAAAUUUUUCUUAUUUUAUUUCUUAAUGUAAUCUUAAGCUAAUAGUGUAAAUAAAAGGGCAUGGUGACGUCGAAUAUAGCGGUGUGGAGUAGGAGGAGGCUCCACCACCUCUUAUUGCCGCCGCCGCCGUGGCGCUAUACCUCCGCGCGCCAGGGAUAAUAGUGCAAGGCGAAGGCUCUACGGCAGGAGUAAUGGUGGAACGAACCUUCUAACAUGCAACCGUAGUCUCGUUCCAGUGCAACCUCUCCAUAAGCAGGCAAAAUUUUACUUAUUUUAUUUCAUAAUGUAAUGUUAAUCUAAUAGUGCAAAUGAAAGGACAUGGGGGCCGUCGAUAAUACCGGGCAACCUAGCUAGCAUGUGAAGGCUAGCUCGGAGGAGGAGGAGGAUCGUCAGAGGAAGCCGUCAGAGGAAGCCGGUUAUGGACAAACGCAACCGAUACACUAGCACCUUAACGUCUAUUUGAAGCUAUUAAUGUAUUAGUUAGAAUACUUCUCUAACAAUAUCAACUACAUUAUCUUCCAACGUAACACUAUUUUAGGACAAACAUAAAAUAAUUCAUGAUAUUUUAGCACAUUAGCCGAAUUGUCUAUUACAUUAAGAACAAGUGUCUAAUUACAUGAGGAAUGCUUAAACAAGGUGAUAAAUGUUCAAUGAGAAAAAAUAGUUUGUAACAACGUGACAAAUGAAGUAUAAUAUUAUAAUUAAAGUCUGAUAAAACGUGAUAAUACAAGUACUAUAGUGGAUCGGAUCCUUUGCAAUUAUUCCUUAACGUGAUAAUAAAAACCGCGCGCCUCCAUAUCGCGGUGCCGCCGCCUCCGUUAUUUCUCCACCACCUCGGCGGGGGAUGAGGUGUGGCGAUAUAAGCUGCAGUGGUAUAGGAAAGUAAACGUGAUAAUCGAAUUCUAAUGUAAUUCUUUAUUUUAUUCAUUUUAAAACUGACAAUACCUAACCAACGUGACCUUGGUCCGAUGCCUACGUGACAAUAUCUCCCGCCAACGUGGUAAAGAGGAAAGCAUCGAGGAAGCGCAACGUGAUAAUAUCCUUUUGAGGUAACAUCCAAACUGAUAUAAUUGAGGAAAGCAUCGAGGAUAUUUUCUUGCGGGCUAACUAAGCAUCGAGGAAGCGCAACGUGACAAAUGAAGUAUAAUAUUAUAAUUAAAGUCUGAAAAAACGUGAAAAUACAAGUACAAUAGUGGAACGGACCCUUUGUAAUUUCUCCAGCACCUCGGAGGAGGGUGAGGCGNAAACCUUCUAACAUGCAACCGUAGCGUCGUUCCAGUGCAAGGAGAAUGCUAGGAGGAGGAGGGUCGAUCGGAGGUUAAGAUCCAGCAACGAGGCGAUCAGAAAAAACGAUCCAGCAACGAGGCGUUAAGGUUGAUUCGCACUAUCUGGAAUGUUUCAUUUGCUUUGGGCAAUUUGGAGCUCCGCUCUACCAUGAAACAGACAGUACAGACGGAAAAUAUUAGAAUCCAACGAUAAGAAUAAAUAUCUGCAAGAAAUUAAGAAACUGUAUGACAGGAGGGCCAAUGGGCUCCUAGCAAAUAAAACACUCCAGAUAAUGCGAAUCUUCUCUACGUAAAGGCGAGGAGGUUAAAGCAAGACCAAUAUUUGAGAACGAGUCGAAGGCGACGAACGGCCUUCCUCGUAAGAGGGGAAGCGCUGCUGCAGAGGGGAAGCGCUGCGCUUCCUCUUACCGGGAAUGCCGUUGUCGUCUUCACUUCUUUCACGAACACCACUGUCUCCGUAAUGGGGAAUGCAUCUGAAGAACCGAUAUUUAAACAAAACGAAUCGUCACCUCACCAACCCACCGGUGCCUCUUCGGCUGACCUAAUAAAUUAUAAACCUGAUAGCAAACACUAACGUGUACAUUAUAGCGUCUCUUCGGUGCUCGAAGAGACACCGGUGGGUAUAUCGAAACUGUCUCGAGAAGAUAAACCCACUAUUCAGAAGCCGUGUUGAAUUAGCCUCUGUGCGCCGGUGAUAAUAGUGCAACGGAAAUGUUAUACUGCAGUAGAAUGGUGCAAUUAUCUCUAUAACAGUGCAUCCUUUGUUUGGUUUUAGUACAACCACACUAAACCAGUAAAAAUUUUGAGAUCCUCGUUACACUAUUUUUUAAAUAUGUUGAACUGUUAUCCUCUAUUUUAUACUAUUACAAAAAUUUACAUAUUCAAAUUAUCUAUAUGUUCACUAUUAACAUUAGCCUUGAAUUAUUAUAAUAAGACGUAUGGAUUUUCCGAUAUUUCCUGCGGUGUGCCCGCGGAUGUCGUCGUGGAUGGCUAGUUUGCUCUAGGCACAGGAGGGUUUUUGCAUGACCUUUUGUUGUGCCCCCAUCUCUGGCAAUUCCGGCACCGCUUCUUUAUUAAGCUGUUAGCAAUAGACUCUCGUCGCGAAACCUUUCUUCUGCCCGGUUGUAUGCGGACGUUUGGCGGCCGCAGCGGAACAACGUUACUUGGUAUUGCAGGCCAUUGCUCUUUGCCUCUGGUGGGGGGGACGCAAUCGUUGUAGGUUGCACGAUAAGUCGAGGUCUUAAGCCAGUCCUCGACAAAAUCAUACUGUCACGCCCCGGAUUACACGUUCCCCGGGCACGCCGACAAAUCCGCCGUAUACAAAGAAAUUUUCCCUGUAUACGAAGCGAUAGCUGUACCUGUAAAUCAAACACUACUACGAACAGUAGUAGAGAGCUGCUAGAGAAAACAGAAGCUAAAUAAAACAGAGUUUCAUAUACAUAGUUCAGAUCCAAAAUACAGAGCUACUCGCACUGGCGAGUUAAGUCAACUAUGUACAUAAACUCGAAACAAAACAUCUACCUGCAGUAGGGCACCUCUAGCUCAGCACGUCGGGUAGGGCUCUAACUCGCGACGCCCUUGCCUCGAUCCUGAUCCACGGACGGUGCAGCAGCCGGAACCUGUGGCUAUGCAAAAACAUAGGUAACAACUGGGCGUGAGAACUACUGUAAAAACAAAUAAUCCUCAGUGGGUACCGCCCAAAACAACAUCGGUCACCCACUAAGUCUACAGAAGGGAGCAAGGAUAGUAGGAAAAGCAGGAAGUACACUCUACCGCUAUCAAUCACUACACUAUCAUGCUCUACACUAACCAACUGUAGGAAAAGUCAAGUCUGACCCAAUCCAAAUCGGGACUGUAAGCAUACCCGUCCCCGGGACUGUGAAUACACCCGUCCCUGCCCCGUUACGACUAUCGGGCUCUAUCCACUCUAACUGGUCCGUGGAGAGCAAGUCCAACUGGCAUGAGCGACACCAACGCAAAAGCACAAGCCUGACUCC